UUGGAUAUACUUCCGUACGACUGCAGAACUCAUUUACACAAUGCGAUUUUGAUGCAGCAAUAAGAAAUUAUAUCAAACUUGAAAUCAGUCAUCCUUUGGGGUUCUAUAAAUACCAUCCUCCCUGUCAGUUAUGGACACAUUCCUGCCUAGCUACUUUAGUUUCAGCCAAACUACAUAUUCAUACCUAGCUGAACUGAAAUUAAACUUUCCAUGGCAUACCAGAGCGCCUACAAUAUGAAUUACCAGAUACUACUAUGCUUGAUACUCUUCUCCUAGUCCUUCUCCUGCCACUGCCAUCCCAUUCUGCUGAUCCAAGCCCAUUGCAAGAUUUCUGCGUUGCAGAUCUUGAUUCCUCUUUAUACAUUAAUGGCUUUCCGUGCAAAAACCCUGAUAACGUAUCUUCACAAGACUUCUUCGCCAAUGGGUUCCAACAAAGUCCAGGAGAAUUCAAUAUUUUUGACGUCAAUGUCACUCGUCAAGAUGUUCAGCGAUUUCCAGGACUCAACACUCUAGGGCUGUCAAUGAACCGAGUGGUUUUGAAGCCUGGAGGGCUGAAUGCACCCACGUCCACCCUCGUGCAGCCGAGCUGGCUCUAGUCAUGGAUGGAAAACUGUUUGUAGGCUUUGUGACAACCGGAAACGUUUUCUACUGGAAAAUUGUGACUUCAGGAGAGUUUGUUUGUGAUUCCUCCUGGCUAGUGCACUUCCAACUGAAUAUUGGACACGAGAACGCACGCUUCUUCGCCUCGUUCAACAGUCAAAAUCCAGGGAUUCAGUUCGCCCCCUUGCUCUUUUUAACUCCACGCCUUCGAUUCCUGAUCUCGUGUUGAGUAAAGCAUUUCAAGUAAAUCAAAGUAUCAUUGAGCUCAUUAAGUCUAGGUUUGCAACUGUGUCGACUGUGUCGACCGUGCUUAAGUCAUCUUACUAACAUCCUAUUCCAGGGUGUUGUUCAUUAUAGUUGGCAUAUUAAAUAAUAAAAUCUUCUAUAUUAUCGUUUAAUUGUAUUUUGGUCAAGUUAAUUUUUAGUAGUUUUAUUGGCGUCAAAUUAGGAUAGUUUUACUAUUUAGAAACUAGUAUUGUAUUAAAUAAUUUCCUAUGCUUGUCAGUAGUCAUGAUAUGUAUUUGGUUGGAAACAAUAAAAGUUUGAGUCUUGUCAUUGAUAUUAGUCCUCUUCAUGUAAAUUAGCCUCCAUAUAUAUAUAUAUUGGUUUUGUGAAAGUUAUCUCCUAUAAUUUUUUUUUGGAUAUAAUUAUUAGGCUCUACAUCUGGUAUCGAAUCCUAUUUGCAUGAAAUUAAUCUUUGGGUGAGUUGUCAGAGUUAGGACACAAGAAUUGCCGGGACUGUUCAAUUGAUCACGUAAGGGCCAUUAUGUUGGUUUUGGAGUAUUUAAUUGGUCAAAAUUUGGCCAUAAAAUUGGUGUGAAAAUUAUUAACUUGAUUGUGGAUAUUGCUAAUGGUGACAGUUUUUGACAUGGUAAGUAAACAAACACAACACAAAAAAAAAAAAAAAAGUAAACACAACACAAAAAAAUCCUAAAUGAAACAAUACACGGAAUAAUUUAUGUCAAAAAUGGAUCCAGCGCGAACAUGACGCGCAACAGAAUGGGUUGUAUUGGGCCAAUCCGUAGGUUGAUAUGACUAACAUGUUUUUGACACGUUAAGAAUUUUGAAAAAAUGCUACUCGUUUCCCUCCUAAUACUACACUUAAAAAAAUGGUUUUGUAUUAAGUUUUAUAGUUUAAGAACUAAAAUAAUAUAAUCAACCUACUAUAAGAAUACAUAAAAACACAUAAAUCGAGACUCUACAAAUUCACAUAUGCAACUGUUAUGAUUUUAAUUUUUUGCUUCCUUCCUUUAAUAUUCUUAUUUUCUCAAAUUGAUAAGCAUAAACAACCUCUAUGAUUUUAACUUUUCACUUCCGCCUUCACUCUUCAAAUUGAUCGAAACUUACCUUUAGAUCAAAAUUGCUCAAUUUUUCUUCCUUUCUUGUGAUUAAAUAUCUUUUCUAGGUAAUCUUUAAUAUUUCGGCAAAUUUAAUUUCUAUCAUUUUUGUCUAUUUUAUUUGAGCAUUUUCUAGUUUAUACUGCUCCUCUAUUUUAUCAUUUUCCCUAUCAUUUUCUUUCUAAAGUUUUUCUUUCUUGUGAAAGAAAAAUAAAAUAGGCUUUUUUCUGUAUAUUAUUAAUGAGAUAAUCAUGCAUCCAAAACUUAUACAAGUAAAAAUCCAAUGACAGGCUACAGCUAAAUUAGAUUAAGAGAAUAUUACAUAUUUUUUGAAAGAGAACCAUGUUUUAUUUUUCGGCAAUAUUUCUCCUAUAAUUUUGAUAUAAAAAGUUAAAUGAGUCAAUUGGGCCAAAACAUGAGAUGAACCUGUCCAAAUGUAUGGAGUAUUGCAGCAACAAAUCUUUUUGAAGAUUAAGAAUUCAAAUUUAUAUUAAUGAAAUUUACAAAUGAGAUUAUUAUUGCUGAACUUGAUUCAAUAGAGAGUUUGAUUUAAGGGAAACAAUGUUGGCAUAUUAAAUUAAAGCUAAAAAUUUGAAUUUCUAUACUAUUAUUUAGUAGUAUUUUGGUCACAAAUUUUUUUAGUAGUUCUAGAGAGCUAAGAAAUGGUAGUAUAUUAAGAAUUGGAGGCUCUAGGACAUAGAGGUUCUGGGUUCAAAUCUCCAUUCCUCCUCCCAUUUCUUAAAUCCUAUCCCUCCCCUUGAUUAGAAAAAGUUAAAAUAAUUAUUUAGAAAUUGGUACUGUAUUAGAUAAUUAUUGUAGCUAUCAAUACUUGUUAUCAAAUCAUGUAAUCUGUAAGUAGAGUCAUAUUACCAUACCACUUGAGAAGAUUGGAAGUUUAAUAGCCUUGUUGUUGUGGUGUUAUUAAUAUUUUAUUAUUAAUAUCAUUGUUCUUUUCUCACAUAUAUGUGUAUAUGUGUAAAUUAGCCUCCCAUAUAUAUUGGGUUUGUGGAAUUUAUCUCUCAUAAUGAUCUUUUGACUAUAAUUGUCACGCCUCGUGCCUAGAACGUAGCACCACACACGCCAUAGACAAUGCUAAAGGCGUAAGGCAACAAAUUUCCAAAAGCAACUACAUUUACCUUUAUAUAAACUUUUUAAAUCCGCAAAUACAAGAUCAUCUAUAUAACAGCAAUUUUGUGUCUUCCAAAAUAAAAGCAAGAUCAAACCUUCUACAAUAUGUACAAAAUUCAAAUCCUAUCAUAAGGUAUCUUAUAUAUAAGUACAAAAGUCAUCCUCUAACCCAAAGUCAUCUCCAUCUCCAUUACAACCCCCAAGAGCUAUCAAGGUCUACUUCAAUGAACUCAUCAUUAACUGCAUAAUUAUAACAAAGGGGUGAGCAAAAUCUCACUCAAUAAGUAGUGCAUGUAUCUCAUUAUUUGCCUGAGCAAUGUUACAUACAUAAUAUAUAUUUCAAACGUCAUUAACUUACACAUAUAACUUUAUAAGAACAUGGUUGCUAUAAACAUUUCAACGGCAUAUCAUACAUCACACACACAAAAGGAGCUCAAACCAUAAGACAACAAUUGACCCAGGAUAUCCAGUUGUUAACUUAAACUUAACCAGUUAACACAGUUCAUAGUGCUAACUACCACAUAGUUAGCCCAUUUCAUAUUGCUCACUACAACAUGGAUAGCUCGGUUCAUAUACCAACUACUUGUGAGGAACUAGUCCUAUCAAAAGUCGCUUAUACAAGAGCUCAACAAACAUAACAUUUCAUUUCACAAAUGACCAUGGCAAGAGUAAUAACAAAUAUCACAAAAUUAUACUUGCUCAUGCCAUUUUAGCAAUUAGACAAGUAGCUUUCAAAAUUUAUCAUUCAAAAGAUAAAGGAUACAUGCACCAGUUACCUCGAUCCAAUCGAUACCCACGCUAUUUCAAGUAAUCGGAAAAAUAGCUACCUUCUCACCUAGACAUAAUGAUAAAAUGUUCAAUUACAAUCUUAAAGAUACCAAACUACUCCAAAUUAUCAUAAAAACGAGCCUAAUACUACCCUUAACCACUAAUUCCUAAUAAAAGAUCAUUUCCUCAUCAAAGUAGGACAUAAGGGUUUACUUUAAAGGGUCACUAACUUCCAAAAAUACAGAAAUGGUCAAGAGAUUUAUAUAGAGUUAAAGCCCUCUGAAUCUAGUUUCCAACGCAAUAAACGGCACCUAAAUCCGAAUUUUCUACACCAAGUUAUAUCCAAAGCAUUGAAAUAUGUCUAUACAGAAAAUUCAAUCUGUCCGAGAAUUAUAGCCAAUCCAUCCGAGGAUUUUAGCCAAUUCGUUCGAGGAUUAUAGCCAUGGAUUUCUAGCAAGUUUUCAAGGCAAAAACAAGUCAUUCUUUCCCUCAACAUUUCUCCUUUUUAUAUUGAUGAUAGCCCUAUAUACCCAUUUGAAAAUGGAGACCAAAACAAACUCCAUACACCAUAGCCAUGGAAGCUAACCAAGGAUUUGAACCAAAUACUACCCAAUCACCCAAUCAAAGAAAACCAAGAUCAUGUUCAAGGUUUCAAGAAAAUACCUUGGUUAGUCGUCAAAGUAGAAUCUCCUAACUCCUCACUCCUUAUUGUGCUUGAUUUGUCAAGAAUCCUCCUUGAUUGUAAGGAAAAAGGAGAGAAAUAAGAAAGGGUUUUGUUGGAGAAGGAAGGAAAAAAGGAAAUGAAGAAGAUGAAGAAAGUUUUUGGUAAAAAUGAAUAGUGAAAUCCCAAUAUCACUUUUAUUCUUUCAAAAUUUCACAUAUUAACACAUUGGUCACUCAACUUAACGUCAUUCACUUUUCACCCCAAAAUAGUAUUUCUUCACACAAAAUUCUCUACAAGACACUUGGGUAUCACAUUCUCCCCCUCUAAUAAAAGUUUUGGCCUCGAAAUUUAACGUACCUCGUUGGUUAAACAAAUGUGAAUACUUAGUUCGCAUUUCCUCUUCGAGUUCCCAAGGCUUCACGAGUACUAUGAUUGGACCAUUGAACUUUAACAUAGGGAAUUGUCCUUCUUCUUAGCACUUGAUCUUUACAACCCACAAUUCGAAUUGGCUUCUCACUAUAAGUUUGAUCCUCUCAUACCAUUAAUGGCUCAUACUCCAGGAUAUAACUUGGAUUAAAUACAUAUUUUCUCAAUUGCAAAACAUGAAAUACAUUGUGAACUCUUGAUAAAGAUGGUGGCAAGGCUAACUUGUAUGCCAAUUCUCCAACUCUAUCCAAAAUUUCAAAAAGCCCAACAUAUCUUGCACUCAGUUUUCCACGUUUCCCAAAUUGCAUGACACCCUUCAUUGGUGAAAUUCUAAGAUAUAAUUUAUCCUCUUCUUGAAACUCUAAUGGUCUUCUUUUCAAAUCGGCCCAACUCUUUUGUCUAUCUUGUGCUGUUUUCAACCUUUCUCUCACUAGUGCCAUCUUCUUGAUUGUAGCUUGUACAAGUUCGGAUCCAGUAAUGAUCCUUUCACCUACCUCAUCCCAAUAUAAGGGCAAUUUACACUUCCUCCCAUAUAGAGCUUCAAAAGCUAGCAUGCCGAUACUACUAUGAUAACUGUUAGUGUAAGAGAACUCACUUAGCACCAGAGAAUCCUCCCAACUGCCCCAAAAUCCAUAACACAUGCUCUAAGCAUGUCCUCCAAGGUUUGAAUUGUACGCUCUGAUUGCCCGUCAAUUUGAGGAUGAUAAGCUGAGUUGAGGUUUAACUCGGUUCCUGUGGCUUGUUAGAGACUUUUCCAAAAUCGAGAGGUGAAUCUAAGAUACGAUCAGACACAAUACUCACUGGACACUAUGAUAACGAAUAAUGCAAUCCAUACAGAGAUUAGCCAAAGUAUCCAUAGAUGCAGUAGCAACCAUAGGUACAAAAUGAGCUGAUUUUGUCAGUCGAUCAACUAUUACCAAAUGGUGUCAUUACCUCUCCUAGACUUGGUAAUCCAACAACGAAAUCCAUUGCUAUAUGCUCCCAUUUCCAUUCCGGUAUUGUCAAAGGCUUUAAUAAUCUAGCAGGUCUUUGAUGUUUGGCCUUUAUUUGUUGACAAACUAAGCAUUUAGACACAUAAUUCGCGAUCUCCCUCUUCAUACCACUCCACCAAUACGACUGCUUUAAGUCUCGAUACAUCUCAGUGUUAUUAGAAUGAAUAGAGGCUUGGGAGAAGAGCAAGCCUCCGCCAUUAUUUCUUUUCGUAACUCCGGAUCUUUAGGCACCACAAGCCGAUUCCACAUCCAUAUACUACCAUCCUUGAGUAGUUGAAAGUCGGGUAAUUCCUCACUUUUAACUUUUUCCUUGAUUUUUGCCAACUCAAUAUCAUCUUCUUGAGUUUCCUUGAUUCUCGAAAUUAAGGAUGGUUAGGCAACUAGAGUUGCGAGCACAUGCAUGAAGGAUUCUACCACCUCUAAAUUCAAUUCCUCCAUUUGUUUGACAGGUGCCGAACCUGUACAAUAAUAAUAAUAAAACCUAACUACCACCAAAAGCAAUCAAUAAUCAAUUCUAAGUAUUGGAGCAGGGACUCUAGGUAUGCAAUGAGUUACUUGAUUCACCUGUUGCUGAAGAGUUUGUUGAAUCCGAUAUACCAAAAUUAAUUAGCUAACUAAAUUUACUAAGUAGUAGACAAUGGCAAGCAGGGUCGUCUCCUCAGGGGCUGGAGAGAAAUUUGUUUCUUUUUAAGCCAAGACAAACGGAGGGUUUGAAAAUUAGAUGCUAAAGAAUCACUAACUAAACAAAUUAAAUGCAAAAAAUAAUUAAUUGAGAGAAAUAAUUGGAGAAACUCUAGCCAAGGGUGCACUUCAGAAAUGGUUCAUGCAACUGAUCAUCGAUUCAAAUAUAAUUCCAACAAUUAUUAAUAGAUUAGUUAUAGUUGUCAUGCACGCGAUAAACAACCAGCAUUUCCUUAAUUUCUCGAUAGUUAAGGUACAACCGUUAACUAUUUCUCUAACCAAAAAACAACCCUAGGUACGACCGUAGGAUUUAAUUUCUAGUUUGCAUUAAGAUUUAGAAAAGCCCAAUCCUAACUAACAAACACACUACGAGGGUUUGUUUAAAUUAGAUCGUAUGUUUUCCUGACAUAAACCCAAUUACGCCAGUUGCUACCGGGAUGGAGCUAAUCAAACAAUUACGGAUUCAACUACUCCCAAUUAGCAAAUUAACUAAGUGAAUAACUAAAUAUUGCGCACUAUUCAGUCAUACACAAUAGCUAUGACAAUUAAAGGCAGAAACAUACAAAUACUAAUAAAUGAAGGAAACAGUUAAAACAAUUUCGAUCUCACAGUUAUUGUUGAACCAAAUUUUCAAUUGUCUCCUUGACUAAAAGUGGUGAUUAGUUCAUCCUCAUUGAGAGUAACUCACGCAAUGCCAUCGAAGGAAAUUGCGUCAAUGUUUGACAAUAGAAGAACUACUCAGAGAAGAAGAGAGCCAAGCGGCUGCCUUCCUCCCCUUUUCUUAUUCCCUGGCCGAGUAGUAAUCACGCGGAUCCGGCUUUUGUUCUUCCUAUUUUCUAGCUUUCUAAAAACACAUUGAACUUCUCCCUCACAAUCCGUAGUAAAUGAUUCCAAAAAAAUCUCCUACUAUAGGAAAACUAACUUCCUAAAGAUAGGUACUCAAGCGCUUAAAAGUCUCCUAAACCAACCCAAUUACUAAUUAGAAACUUGGCAAAUAAUAUCAUCUUCCAGUUAUGAUGACGACUCCCACUUGGAUUAGGAUACUGCCCGCAUAGAAUCCCCGCACUCCAGACUUGAUUGAUGUCUUCUCACGCGUCCACACUUACUUGGAGGAAAAUCUUCUAAAAACUGUUAUUUCUGCACUUUCUUUCUCCAAUUGGCUAAACAUCCCCUAAACAUAAAAUUCAAACAAAAUAUGUCCAUUAAUGCAAUAUCCAAUCCAAUAAGAAAAGGAAAUUAUAAGAAAAUUAAUGCUAAAUUAGCGUUCUAUCAUUGUUUUACUAACAUAACUGCUAUCAUUCCUGAAUUUUUCCUGCUCAAAGCAUCAGCAACCUUGUUUGCUUUUUCUGGAUGAUAACUAAUGGUAAGAUCAUAAUCUUUCAUUAACUCAAGCCAUCUUCGUUGUCUCAUGUUUAGCUCUUUCUGCGUGAACAAAUACUUUACGCUUUUAUGAUCUGUAAAGACUUCACAUUGCUCCCCAUACAAGUAGUGCCUCUAAAUCUUCAAGGCAAAAACAACGCCUGCCAAUUGCAAAUCAUGUGUAGGAUAGUUUGUUCAUACCGCUUCAAUUGACAAGAUGCAUAAGCUAUGACCUUCUCAUUUUGCAUUAGCACACAUCCCAACCCAUUUUUGGAUGUAUCGCUAUAAAUAGUGAAACCUCCAGAUCUAGAAGGUAAGGUGAGAACUGGUGCCGAAACAAGCUUAUUCUUUAAUUCUUGAAAACUAUUUAACAUUUAGGUGUCCACUCAAACUUAACAUGCUUUUGAGUUAAACAACUCAAGGACAAAGCAAUAGUAGAAAAUCCUUCAACAAAAUUUCUAUAGUAGCCAACUAAGCUCAGAAAACUCCUCAAUUCUACCACAUCAGUAGGUCGGGACAAUCCACAAUAGAUUCUAUCUUCUUAGGAUCCACAAAGACACCAUCUUGAGAAAUAACAUGCCCAAGGAAGGACACACUUUGAAGCCAAAAUUCACAUUUGUUGAGUUUUGUAUAAAGUUUCUCACGCCUCAAGAUUUGUAAAACAUCUCGCAGGUGAUUUUCGUGCUCUGCUUCACUUGGGAGUACACCAAUAUAUCAUCAAUGAACACCACCACAAAUCGGUCUAAUUGCUUUUUGAAUAUCCUAUUCAUCAAAUCCAUAAAGGCUGCAGGAGCAUUAGUCAACCCUAAAGGCAUGACGAGAAAUUCAUAAUGGCCAUACCUUAUUCUAAAUGCACUCUUUGGAAUAUCUUGCAGUUUAAUCCUUAAUUGAUGGUAUCUGUAAUGAAGAUCGAUUUUUGAAAAACCUUAGCCCUUUUAAAUUGAUCAAACAGGUCGUCAAUACGAGGCAAUGGAUACUUGUUCUUGAUCAUAAUUUUAUUGAGCUCCCAAUAAUCAAUGCACAAUUGCAUACUUCCAUCCUUCUUCUCUACAAAUAAAACUGAUGCACCCCAAGGGGAUACACUUGGUCGAAUCAAUUUCUUGUCAAGCAACUCCUGAACUUGAACUUUAAGCUCCUUCAACUCUGUGGGGGCCAUCCGAUAGGGUGCCUUAGAUAUAGGUUCUAAGUUGAGUAUUACAUUAAUCUCAAAAUCAAUUUCUCUCUUGGGAGGUAGACCUAAUAAGUCAUUUGAAAACACAUCUGAAAAUUCUCUUGCAAUUGGGAUAUCCUCAAGUUUUAUCUCUUUCUUACUAGAGUCUACUAUAUAAGUCAAAAACAUUCACAUCCUUCCUAAUUGCUCUCCAAGUUUGUAUGGCAGAUAAAAUGGGUAGAGACUUCUUCUUUGGUUUUCCUCAACACCCUUGAAAAGAAAAAUGUGGAAUGUUUGGGGUUUAAAAAUCAACACUUUUACCCAUACAAUCUAUAUGGCAUAAUUUUGUGAUAGCCAAUCCAUACCUAAGAUAGCAUCAAAUUAUAUUCAAUUGCACUAGAUUUGCCUUAAACUCUCUCCCACUAAAUCUAAAGUAUAACCUUCAUACAUAAGGUGAGAAACUAAAACUUUUCCCCGGGAAUGGCUACACGAUACGGGUCAUCCAAAACACAGGGUUUAAUAUCUAACUCUCAUGCAAACUUCUUUGAAAUGAAAGAAUGGCAAGCCCCACAACCAAAUAACACAUCCGCUGGAAGAGAAUUAAUCAUUUCCAUACUUGUCACAACAUCCUCUACUCCUGCUGCUUCUUGUUCAGUCACCUUAGAGAUUGUGUAAGGUCGAUCUGCACUAGAAUUCAAGCUAUUUCCUAGCCUAUUGUUGCCUCUAGUUUGCUUAGAAUUCGGGCAAUUACUCACUUUAUGCCCCAUUUCUCCACAACUAAAACAAGCUCCCGUUUUCCACCUGCAUUCUCCGAAUGAACCCGAUGACAAUAAUCACACAACUUAGAUGGGUUAGUAGGUAGAUACCUUGGAAAAGGUUGUUGAGAAGAAUUAGCCUAUUGCGAAACUAUAGGUCUUGGUAACGGUGCUUGUCGGGGAGGUUGCAUUGGUCGAAGAGGUUGCAUUACACGAGAAGGCUGACCAUGUUGACGAAGUUGGCCUUGCAUUACGAUUUAUCUAUUUCUCCUUUGUCUCGUCUCUUCAUCCUCCUGAAGAAUGUCUUGUUCAACAUCUAAACUAGCUUCAUACAUUUGGUCACAAUUGGCAUAGAAAUUUUCAGAUAUUUUUGAUUGAAUCUGACUAUUCAAUCCUCCCUUAAAGGAGACCAUCUUCACAGUCUCAUCGCCAUUGUAGAAGGGACGAAGCAUCCCAAGGAGAGAAAAAUAGUGUAGUACUCACCCACAGACAUGGAACCUUGAUUAAGGUUAUUGAAUAUUCGAAUAUUUUGAACUCGAAUAGCUGGUGGAAAGUAAUGCUGUAGAAACAUCUUUUUGAACUCAUCCCAUGUCAAAGUACAACCUGAAGAAACCAUGGUCAGGGCUACACCAUCCCACCAUUUCUCUGCUUCACCAAGAAAGAUGUCACUACUUGAGGUCGAAUAUCUUCUGGCACCAUCAUAGUUUGGAAUUUGUUCUCAAUUUGGGAUAACAUCUCUCUGCCACAUUCAAGUUUGGACCUCCAUCAAAAGUAGGCAAAUAGACCUUGCUAAGCUCCUUGAAAUGGUACUUAACACUAACCCAUAUCUUGCUCUCUUUCUUCUUGUUGUUGUUGUUGAUAUUGCUGCCAUCCAUGCAUGAACUAAUAUGCCACAGAUAAGGUAGUUGGAUCUAAUUUUAUUAUGACACCCAAACUUUUGCAUUUUAGCCCCAUCUGUGGUAAACUAAUUUCAUUAACUCUACCAUGACAUCUAAUCUUUUAUAAUUUAGUCUCGUAUAUGAUAAAUCGAUAUCAUUAAUUCUAUUAUGGCACCCUAUCCUUUGUACUUUAUCCUAUGUUUUUUUCAUUAGCAAAAUGCGGAAGGUAUUGUAAUAAAAAAAUGUAUAUAUAUUUUAUAAUUGAUCCAAAUUUAGUUAAUAACUUGGUAUUAAAGUUAAAAAUAUCAUGGAUUCCCUAUCCAGUUCUCUUGACAACACCUAGAAAAUUAUUGAUUAGCAUAGUAGGAAAACAAUGGCAAAGAAUUUUAAUAUGAAAUUAAGUAAAGCCUUGACAAUUGGAUGGCUAGAGUUUAUUAUUAAUUACACUAGUCACAUUGUUUAUGGUUUAUGAAUCAGUACUUGUACUAAAUACAUUUAGUGUUUCAUGCAUGUAUUAGCAAACUAUUUUGGUUAUUUGAUCAACUAAACAUAUUGUUAGGUCUUGUCAGACCAUAAUUCGUACAUAAUUGACAAAAUUAUUAAAUUAAAACAAAAAAUAUUUACAUUAAAAGAUUUUUUUUGAAUCAUAAACAUAUUUUUAAUAAGCUUUUUAGUUUUUGAACAUUAUUUUUUUGUAGAGAUAAAAAAACCUAUGUUAGUAAAAAAAAUUAUCAAAAAACACUAAAUUUUCAUAUUCUAAAAUUUUAAUACAACAAAUAAAGUUUUAAUAUAACUUGUGAGAUAAAACUCAAAAUAAUAACCAAUUUUAAUUACACAGAGAUGGGGGAAAAAAGAGAGAUAUUAGAGAAGGCAUUGUUUUUGUAAAGAAAGGUCCAAAUAGUUUGUAUAAAAGUCACUUGAAAGUGUUAUUUUUUGGCUGAAGCUAAAAUGGAAGCGGGAAUUGAAAAUUGAAAGAGUAGAGGCGGGUGAACAAAAGAAGCAGAAACGACGUCAUUUUAGCAAGAGUUAAACAAAAACACUCAUAACACUUAGAAAAAUUUCGGACAAAACUUGCUUUCCCCCUUCUUGCCAACUUCGGACACUACAUCUUCUCCUUCUCUCCAUUAUCAUCUUGCUGAAAUUAUCCAGAAAAUCAUUUUAACCCAUCAUUUUCAUCCGUAAUUUGAGCUACCCAAAAGAUUUGGGCAGCUUUAGUGGAGUUGUAGAUAGCAAAAAUCCUAACUCGGGUAGCACUUGCUUGCUGGCAAGAACACAGAAAAUUGACCAUGAAUUUUUGGGGAAAGCCAAAGUUUGAAGACUGAAUCUUAAGGAAACAAGAGCUAAGGUUGUCACAGCAUAAUUUGAGGUAAAUAAUCUGUUACAUUUUUCCAUCUAGUUUCGAUAUUUUCUGUCAAAUGUAGGUCGAGUGAGCUGAAUCUUGAGUUUAUGGGCCCAAUCUUCCACUUUAAUCUUUCAAUGGUGAGAGAUUGAGAGAGUUUUGAAAGUGAAACAAAGUGAAGGGAAGCUAUCCUUUGUGAACUGUCCAGACCCCCUGAGAAAAUUCAUGUUUGAAUUUUGGAUGUGGAAAUUUUACUUGUAGCGAACUAUUUUUCUGAGUUUGAUAUGUUAAAAAUUGAAACAUUUUUGUGUAGUUGAUAGCGAUUUAUUAUAAUUGUUGGAGAAAGUUAAUAACAUGUGCUGUUUUUUAUGUAAUUUUUCAAUUCUAAUUCUAUUUGUAAGAGUAGCUACAUAUUAUAAUGGCUUACAUACAACUGAUUUUGAGGUAAUAGAGCUUUAAUAUUCUAUAAGUCAAGUAUCCUUUUGGGAGCCAAUUCGAUAUUUAGUUUCUAAGACCUUAGAAGAAAUUUUGAUCAGUUUGGCGACUUCUAGAUAUUGAGGGAAUGAGAAGCUAUGCAAAGUGAGUGGAUUAUCUUGUUGGUAAGUGGAAGUGAGGCAGAUUGUAUAAUCUUAACUUGUGGCCUUUGACUUUAGAAGUUAACUGUAUAAACUUACCAUUACCACACACUAAUUAGACAUUGUUUACUCUGAUGUGGAGAAACAAACUCCUAAAUUGAUAAAUUCAUGUUAUUGUUAUGUUAUGAUUGUUUUAUUGCGCAUUAUGGGUUAGUGUUGCAGUAGAGUUUACUAUGGCUUUUUAAGAUUCCUCCCUAUUGAAUUAUAGUUUUUGACCUGGAUUUACCAACUGAACGUGAAAGAUUCUGCAACAAAUAAAUGUUGGCUUUGGAGUAGAAGAGCAUUGUUGUCCACCCUGUAGUUGUAUUUGUUAGAGAAGUUAUUAAGGGGACCAAGAAUAAUGCCAAUCUGUAAUGGCUUAUACAGUUAAAUAAGCCAUUAUGAAUAAAGUAUUAGUUUAGCCAUUACAAAUUGUAAUGUCAUCUACACAUUAAUGCUUUUGCAUUGUAAUGAGAAAGUGGACUCUAUUUUGAAAAUUAUGCACUAUGUUUAAGUUUGGAGCAGCAUUAACUCAUUAUUCUGCGGCAAAUGUCUUAUACAUUUGCACGGGUAAUUAGCUCUUCAAUGCAUGUUUACUUGCUAUGCAGAGACAUUUUCACUCUGAAAUGCAACCUAAUCUGUGAUGUUUGCUUGUAAGAGAGGUGCUGCAUGUUUAUUUGGAGAGUAUAGUGCUCAAACUCGCUCAAACGAUGACAAAUGAUAGUAGUGGUGUUUCUGACAUAAUACAUGUAAGUGUACUUUGAAACUUCUUAUUAAUUAACUCUAAAGAUUUUGAAGCUAUUCUGUGGCAUGUCAUCUUAGACAAGUGUGUGUUUGACUUUGAUAUGAUUCAUAGCCUCCAAAAGAUGUGGAUUCCAAUUUGGUCUGGUUUGUUGGAGUCUCAAGAUUCUCCUAACUUCAACUUUUAUUUCUUUCCCUUUUUUCUUUGGCUUCUUUAUAGGGAAUUUUUUUGUAAAGUUAUUUUAUUGAGCAACCAAGUUAAUGCCGCAUCAAAGAUUUCAUUGGCAAGUUACUUAUUAAGUUACUAGCAAGCAUAACUGUGGCGUUGCGCGGUGGAUUAGAUAGCAUGUAUGCCAUUUAGGUAUGAAUAAAUAGACAUUACAUGAAUAGUGAUAAUGUCACGGAAUUAAACAUCUUUUUUUUCAAUACGGAAUUAAAUACCUUGUGGUUACAUUAUCUAGUUUUAUUUGUUUAGAUCCAUAUACCGCGCUAAUUAAUCAUUAAUAUAUCCAUGAACGUGUAGAAGAAGGUAAGCAUUUAAUCCAAUUAAAAUUUAAUAAUAAUAUAAAAACAAUAUAGAAAGCAAUAUAACUUUGGAGAUCAAGAAUGUAAAUUUAAAAUUUAUGAUAGACAGAACAAGGGGUAGAAAUUGGAACUCAAAACAAGGUUAAUCUAUUUAAGGCAUUUAGAAGUACCAAACCAGAAAUUGGCACAUUGCAUCGGACAAAAGCAAUUGCAUUAAUGAUUUGGAGUCUACUUACAUAAUAUUUAGAUCCUGAACAGGCAAUGCUAAGGGUACAUAAUUUCUAUAUGUUAAUCUCAGUUCUUAGCUUUUGAUGAUUACAAAACAAAUGGAUGUUGCUAAUAUCUCCUCAAAAACCUUUUUAGAAAUGAAGCAAAUUAGGUUCAAAGAUGAACCUGUUGCUGAAGCUGUCGGACACACAAAAAAACUGGAUCAGAUGUUCGACAAUCAUUGAACAACUUCGGACGUAUGAGGAACUCCAUUACCGGACAUCCGAAAGAAAUCAAACACCUCCUUAAGCUCACUGACCUCGAUCGGACGCAGAACAUUAAAGCACCGGACGUCCGCAGAAUUGAAGAAGGAUUCUCAAACAUUACCAUCUGCUUUCGGGCGCAAACACUUUGGAGGUACCGGACGUCCGAAAGAAUUAAAGAAAUUUUUCUUGCUCUCUGCCUGCUGUCGGACACAAGAAACAAGACUACCGAAUGUCCGACACUACCAACGGUUAGUUGAUUUUUCAGCUACCUUCUAUUCGUUAGAAGCUUUAAUGAAGGAAUUUUUUGGUCUCCUAUCAAUAGAGCAAAGUCAACCACUUCAAAUUACUUUUGCACAUUGAAACUACAAAAGAUCGAGAGCAAUUUUAGUGAGAAAAUUCUCUUCAAAGAAGAUUUGUACUCUUAGUUGUGUAGAUUUCGUACAAGCUUUUCUUGUGUGAGAAAAUUACUUCAAUAGUGUAGCUUUGUGAGGGUUAUCCGAGUGAUAAUAAAACUUGCUAACUUGAUCAAGUGUGGUUUGGAGCAAGGAGAAAGUGAUCCUUUUUUUCUGCACAUAGAUUAGUUGUAAUUGAUUAACUUGAAGAAACUUACUCUAUAAAGUGAUAUUCAAACUCAAGAGGAGAUUGAAAUUUGGUUUGCUAUUCUAUCUCUUUUAUUUACUAUACUGCCAAUAUAAAUUGUUCAUCUCUUCUACUCACAGACAUUUGUACUUUCUCAUUAUUUGUUCCAUUGUAUGGUCAUCUAGAAAGAGGGUAAAUUUCAUAUUCAAUCAAAAAGUGUCUCAUAAUUUGGUUAUUUUGUAAUUUACCUAAUUCACCCCCGUCUUACGUUGUUUUCGAUCCUUACAAUUGUAUCAGAGUUUGGUCUCCUAGAGAUUAAGCUAAUCGACUUUGGAAUAAAAAUGACAACCAACAAUGCCAUGUUUUUUGAAGGAUAAUCUGUCACUAGACCCCCAAUGUUUAAUGGAUCCAAUUAUGUGAAUUGGAAGGAAAGAAUGAUUAUAUUCUUGCAAUCUAUUGAUAUUGAACUAUGGUUUAUUGUUAAUGAAGGUUCAUUUGAAUAACUCUACAAUUGAUGAAGCCACUCAUAGACUAAAACCAAAAUCAGAAAUGAGUUGACUGCUGAGAAUAGAUCUCAUCUCACCUUGAAUACCAAAGGUAUGAAUGUGUUGUAUAGUGCUUUAGAUUCAAAUGAGUCUAUUAGAGUCAAAGGUUGCCGAUCUGCAAAAGAAAUUUGGGAUAAACUAAGAGAGAUCCAUGAAGGAAGUGAGAAUGUAAGAGAAAAUAAAAGAAAUCAAUCCUAGUUACUAAGUAUGAAUCAUUUAAGAUGGAACCUUAUGAAAACAUUGAUAAGAUGUAUUGUAAAUUCAAUGAUCUCAUUAAAGACUUAGAUCGGUGCUGGAAAAUGAAUACACCUUAGGUCGAGAAAAAAUAGAAAGAUUUUGAAUGCACUGACCAAAGAUUGGGAGAGUAAAGUGACUUCCAUUGAAAAAGCUAAAGAUCUAAAUACUAUGUCUAUUGAAUCUCUCAUUAAUUCUCUAAUUUCUUAUGAGUUGAACCUUAAGUCUAAGGUACAAGAGGAGGAAGAUGCAAAAGUGAGAAGAAGCAUUGCUCUAAAGACUUCUCAAGAUGAAGAUGAUUCAACUUCCUUAGAUGGAGAUAAUGUAGAAGUUGAUGACAAUGAUCUUGCUCUUAUCACAAGGAGUUUUAAAAGAAUCCUCAACAAAAGGAGAUUUAGAAGAGGAGGACCUAGCAAUACAUUUUCUAAUCAGUUCAAUAAUUCAAGAAACAAAGGAAAAUAAGAGACUAAUAAAAAGCAAGUAGACAAAUGCUUUGAAUGCGGCCAACUUGGACACUACAUGAGUGAGUGUCCAAUGAAGAAGAAGAAAGAAGGAAAAGUUGAACGAAAACCAAAGUUCAACAACUUUCAAAUUACAUGGAAUGAUUGUAACUCAGAUGGUGAUAUCGAAGAGAAAGAGAAUCUGCUCAAAUGGCUUUCAUGGCCAUUGGUGAUGAUGAGGUAACUACUUGCAACUGUCAACCUGUUAGUGAUGAUGAAUCUAAAGAUGAUGUUGAGUCUUUCAUUGAGAGAUUGCAUAAUAGCUUAAAAGAAUCGUAUGCUAGAAACAAGGAACUAAAAUAGAAAAUUAAUUUUUUGAUUCAAAACAAUGCAAAUCUUUUUCGACAAAAUAAAAUGCGGAAAGCUGAAAAUGACUGCUUGAAACAGGAUGAAAAUGUUCUACUUUUUGAGCUUGAUAGAAAAACAAAGCUGUGUGAGUUGUUCAAAAAGGAACAAGGUGACUUAAAAAGAAGAAUGGAUGGCCUAGAUAAAUUGCUUAAACAUAAGAAACAAGACUGCUUUCAAAAGAGUGAAUCAAAACCUCACUUUGACAUUCACAAGAAAAGGUUGAACUCUAAUGCAAACGAAUUUAACAUCUAUAAAAGAAGGUAAGCUAGAUUUAUUAAACCUGUCUUUGUAGGAAACUCACUGACUAUGUGUAGCUUUUGUUGCCAAGUUGGUCACAUGAAAAAUAAUUACUAUGUAAGAAAGAAUAUGAGAAAUGACAUGAAAUGCAUGUGGAUAGUUAGACAUAAUGUUAACUCUCAAGGACCCAAAAAGUAGUUGGGUACCAAAUAUAUCUUGUGAACUUUUGUGUAGGUGAGAUUGGUGAAUGUUAUUAAGGAAUCAAAAUUGUUCAUAGAUAGUAGAUGCUUAAGGCAUAUGAUUGGUGAUCCCUCACAGUUCAUCAAACUCAAGUCAAAAUCAAGUGGAAAAGUAACAUUUGGACAUGAUAACAAACCAAAACAGUUGGAGUUAGAGAUGUUGGUAAGAAUGACCAAACUUUUGUUCACAAUGCUCUUCUAGUUGAUAACCUGAGUUAUAAUUUGUUGAGUGUUAGUCAAUUGUGUGACAGAAAUCUGUUUGUGCUAUUUAAAAGGCAUGAAUAUCUUAUUCUUGACUCAAAAUUUAACAUUAUUUUCAAAGAAAAAAGAGUGAAUGACAUUUAUGUAGUUAUUCUAGAAAAUAUUGAUUCUUUCAUCCUAAAUGUCUUAAAACUGCAGAUGAGGAUCUUUGGUUGUAGCAUAGAAGGUUUUGUCACUUUAAUAUAAAUUUGUUAAAAAAAAUUCAAAAAAGAACUUGUUAGAAAUUUACCAAAAAUUAACUUUGAAAAAGACAAAAUUUGUGAUGCUUGUCAAAUUAGAAAACAAGUAAAAGUUUCUUCAAAUCUAAGAAUUGUGUUUCUACUUCAAAACCACUGGAUCUUUUACAUCUUGAUUUAUUUGGUCAUACACAAAUUGCUAGUUUGGGUGAUAAAAUAUAUUAUUUGAUUAUUGUUGAUGAUUAUUUUAAUACACUUGGGUGAUAUUUCUUGCUCAAAAGGAUGAUACUUUCAAAAGUUUUCUUUCAUUAUUUGCAAAAGUUCAAAAUCUGAUUGGAUUGAAAAUUAUCAAGAUUAGAAGUGAUAAUGGCUCGGAAUUUAAAUUUUGUGGUUUUCAGAAUUUUGUGAUAACAAUAGAAUCACAAUGAGUUUUCAAUUGCUAGAACUCCUCAACAAAAUGGUGUUGUUGAAAGAAAAAAUAGAACUCUUCAAGAAACCGCACGAACUUUGUUAAAGUGAAUGUAACUUACUAAAAUAUUUUUGGGUCGAAACCGUUAAUACCGCAUGUUAUGCUAUGAAUAGAGUUCUUUUGAGACAUAUUUUAAACAAAACCUCUUAUGAGUUAAUGUUUGAAAAAAGCCAAUUGUUAGUUAGUUCAAAGUUUCUGGUUGCAAAUGCUUUAUUUUAAAUAUCAAGAAACACUUUGGAAAGUUUGAUAAGAAAUCUGAUGAAGGUAUUUUUUUGGGAUAUUGUGAGAACAAAAGAGGCUUUAGAGUCUAUAAUAGAAGGACUCUUGUUAUUGAAGAAGCUAUACAUGUCACCUUUUGAUGAAUCUAAUGAUAAUAUUUUCAAAAGUAGUUGUGAGGAUGAUGAUGUAGGUGUCCAAGAAAGACUCAAGAAACUCACAAUUCAUGAUCAAAACGAUACUCCACAAGAAGAGAGCUCAAAAGAAGAUAAUCCCCAAGAUAGUCAAGCAUUAGAAGAAAAUGACAAUCAUGGUGAUGCACCUAGGAAUCUUCCAAAGGUUUGAAAGUUUGUUCAAAAUCAUCCUAAGGAAUUCAUUAUUUGGUGAUCCAUCCGAAAAGGUAAUUGUGAGAACAAAAGAGGCUUUAGAGUCUAUAAUAGAAGGACUCUUGUUAUUGAAGAAGCUAUACAUGUCACCUUUGAUGAAUCUAAUGAUAAUAUUUUCAAAAGUAGUUGUGAGGAUGAUGAUGUAGGUGUCCAAGAAAGACUCAAGAAACUCACAAUUCAUGAUCAAAACGAUACUCCACAAGAAGAGAGCUCAAAAGAAGAUAAUCCCCAAGAUAGUCAAGCAUUAGAAGAAAAUGACAAUCAUGGUGAUGCACCUAGGAAUCUUCCAAAGGUUUGAAAGUUUGUUCAAAAUCAUCCUAAGGAAUUCAUUAUUGGUGAUCCAUCCGAAAAGGUAAGAACUCGUUCCUCUUCAAAACAAUUGAUGGACAAUUUUGCUUUGGUCUCACAUUUUGAACCAAAAAUUAUUAUUGAUGCAUUGAAAGAUGAAAACUGGAUUUUAACUAUGGAAGAGGAACUAAAUCAAUUUGAAAGGAACAAGAUGUGGACAUUAGUUGAAAAAUCUCAUGAUCAUCCUAUUAUUGGCACAAAAUAGAUGUUUAGAAAUAAAAUGACUGACAAAGGUGAAGUGGUGAGAAAUAAGACUAGAUUAGUUCUUAAGAGGUAUGCUCAAGAAGAAGGAAUAGAUUUUGAUGAAACAUUUGCUCCCAUAGCAAGACUAGAAUCUAUUAGAAUGUUUUUGACAUUUGCAUGUUUCAAGAAUUUUAAAUUAUUUAAAAUGGAUAUUAAAAGUACUUUCUUAAAUAGUUUUAUUGAUCAAGAGAUAUAUGUUGAUCAACUACCCGGUUUUGAGAAUGAAAUGUUUCCAAAUCAUGUGUUUAAACUCUCAAAAACUUUGUAUGGUUUAAAACAAGCUCCAAGAGUAUGAUAUGAAUGCUUAAGUGGUUUCUUGAUUGAAAAUGAUUUUGAAAGGGGCAUUAUAAACACCACUUUUUUCACCAAACGAUGUUCCAAUGAUCUACUAAUUGUGCAAAUAUAUGUUAAUGAUAUUAACUUUGGUGCUAUUAAUGAGUAUUUGUGUAAGAAUUUUUUCAACUAUUAUGCAAAAAGAGUUUGAGAUGAGAAUAAUAGGAGAAUUGAAUUUUUUCCUUGGGUUUCAAGUGGAACAAACUCGAGAAGAAACAUUCAUUAAUCAAGCUAAAUACACCAAGGAAUUGCUCAAAAGGUUCGGUAUAGAGGAAUCAAAAUAAGUUGGAACACCAAUGUGCACAUCUAUCAAACUUGACAAGGAUAAAGGAGGUAUAAAUGUUGAUGAAAAGAAGUAUAGAGGUAUGAUUGGCAGCUUACUUUAUUUAACUGCAAGUAGACUUGAUAUCAUGUUUGCUAUUUACUUGUGUGCUGGUUUCCAAUUUUGUUCAAAAAAAUCUCACUUGCUUGCUGUGAAAACAAUUUUUAAAUAUUUGAAAAGAACAUUGAACUAUGGUCUUUGGUAUCCUAAAUGUCAUGAAUGUCCUUUAUAUGGUUUCUCGAAUGCUGACUUUGGUGGAUGUAGAAUAGAUAGAAAGAGUACUAGUAGUACAUGCCACUUUCUUGGUAAUUGUUUAGUAUUUUGGUUAAGUAAGAAAUAAACCUAUUUCAUUGUCUACGGCCGAAACGGAAUAUGUUACCACUAGUGCAUGUUAUACUCAAUCGAUGUGGAUGAAAAGUACCUUGAAUGAUUUUGAAUUAGUAUAUGAUUGUGUGCCUGUGUAUUGUGACAAUAAAAAUGCUAUAAAUUUGACAAAAAAUCUCAUUCAACAUUCUAGGAUAAAGCAUAUUGACAUAAAGCAUCAUUUCAUUAGAGAUCUCGUCCAAAAAGAUGAAAUUUGUGUGCAAUAUGUUUGUUCAAAGGAUCAAAGUACUGACAUUCUCACAAAAGCCCUUCCACUAGAUCAGUUUAUAUUUUUAAGAACAAAAUUGGGUAUUAUUGAAAAGUUUUUUUGAAAAAUUAUCUGGUCACACUUUAUCAAACGUCUGACAGUGUUCUUGAUCACUUUUCCAGAAAAUUUGGUUUUGGACGAUAAUGUCAGACGCUUCACUUCGUUCAACCGUCCAACACUCUAAAAAUGCUUGUUAUAAGUCAGUUUUCUCCUUCAUUCAGUUUAUUUUUCUAUCCGUUAUAUCAGACGCAACUUCUCAUCCUCUCCUAUUUUCAAAUUUCAAAGUUCGUCUCUCUUCUGAACAAGUUUCAAGAAAUUAAUUAGUUCAAAGCCUUUACACUCUUUUUACCCGUUCAUAACCCCUCAUAACUUCCUCUAACUGCCAACUAGUCUAUAAAUCCCAAUUCUCACCCGAAACCCUAGUCACUUAAAAGUCACUCUCUCUGGAUGAUUCAAGCCCUCAUUAUAAUUAAUACCGCACUUUUAGUCAGUCUCAUACAUAUUUUCAUCAUUCUCCAUAACAAAAACAAUCUGCAUUUCAUCAUGGUAAGAAUUAGGGAAGGAUCUGUCAGUGCAAGACGCACCACCAGGUUCAGGUUGAGGGAUGAAGAUACUGAAAUUAUUGAGCCCUCUACCACUAAAUUUCCAAAAAGGGCGACAAAAAAACAUGGUGGAAAAGGAAAAGGUUCGGCCCAAAAAAAACAUUCAGAGAAAUGGCAAACUACUUCCGCUGAGCAAACUGCAUUACCUCUUAUCAGUGAUAGUGAAGAGGAAUUGGAGCAGCUUACUAAUGUUGAUGCAUCUGUCACGAAAUCACCCAGAAAAGGGACUGAACCUCAUUGUAAAAAGGGGAAAUGGUCUGCUAAAAAGAAUGGGACAGUUCAAACUAAGGAAAGGCAAACUGCUGAUCCUUCUGUGAGCAAAUUGAGGAACAGCAGACUGUUGAGCAAAAUGCUAAGAAUCAGCAAGCUACUGAGACUUCCACCAGAAAGUCACCAAGAACAAGGUUUGGUGGACAGACCGAUAUACAUGAUACUCCACGAAAUGGAAAAAGGAAACGAACUGCCAGAGAGCAACCUGAGGCUCAGAUUGCAGAGGAAUCUACCUCAUUGCCAAAGUUCAUUGAUGAUGAUGCCCGAGAUAGGUUCGAAUGGGUUUCUCAGAAGGACUUCAUCACCCAAUGGGCAAUUAUCCCUCAUGAAUUCCGUAAGUUUGACCUUGAACCUGUCAUUAAGUUCUUUGAAUUCCAAAAAUGGAUUCAUAUUUUGACCAUUCCCAACACCUACUACCCUGACAUGUUUCAUCAAUUUUUUGUCAAUCUUAGGAAGGGUAAAUCCCAUACUGAUCUAGUCUCACGAGUAAAUUCUGUUGAUAUAGAAUUAAAUCCUGAUAUUGUCAACACUGUUAUGAAAAUCAAAAUUGAAUAUGGUUUUAAAGGAAAAAUUGCUAACUUUUUUUCAUAUGAACAAUUUCUUUCUGCCUAUAAUCACUUUCAUAUUGCAAAACUGAUAACUUAUUUUCAAACUCAUUUUAAUACUCUUACUGAGGCAAGAUUGGAAGAUCUCAAUCCUCAAAAUUUGAUCAUCUUCUCUAUAAUUUCAUCUAUUAGUUCCUACUGAUGGUUAUAGGACAGAUGCCAACAAAAUGGAGCUUUACCUGUUUUUCUGCUUUCUUGAAAAAAUUUGAAUUGAUUUCGGCUUUGUUAUGUGUAAAUUCUUACUCAAAAUCAGCACUGAUAGCCGUAGAAAACUUUCCUAUGAAAAAUUUCUGAUCCCAAUUUUUGCUCAUUUCAAAAUUCCCUUCACUGACAAAUCACCAAAAGAAAGUACAUCUAUUGUCUUUUCAAAGGCAUAUUUUGAAAGAAAAAAUCUGAACUUUUUUUUAUGGAAAAUGGUGCUACAAGGAAACUGUUUUGGAGACUAGGAGAAAGAAUCAUCAUGAAACACCUGUCUCCCCUAGGACUCCUCAAGAUCAGUCCAUGUAUAUUUCAUCCUUUACUAUCCAUCCUAGAAGGUCAGCCACUACGCCCUCUUCAUCUAACUCUGAGGUUAUUUCUUUGCUUGAAAAUCUCAAACAACACAUUCUACUCCUUGAAAAUGGUCUAAUGAUGACCAUGCCACCCGACCAACAAGCCACCUUCAUUGACAAAAGAAAUUUGCUUGUGUGACGGCCCCACUUCCCCCUAGGGCGUACCAAAGGGUUCGGCGGGUCGCCUGCCCAACUCUCGCCGAGACUCAGUCGUUCACUACAUUCCUCAAACAGAUUACAAUAUAAAUCUCAAAAAUUACAUCAAAUGUUCCCACAAUUACACAUCCAAGUCUCCAAUAAUUAUAUGUCACAAGCGAAGCGAAAACAAUUUCCAACUAUACAUAAAAUGAUUCCAAAUCCAAAUUGUACAAAAUAUAGGCCAUCUAUUCAAGUGAAUAACCACAACAAGCCUUCCUUCGCCACGAGCCCUGUGGAGGGGAAUAAAACAUUUUUGGGUGAGUUAGAAGCUCAGCGAGUAACCAGUAAAUUCAGUAAUCAAAUAUAUUUCACAAUAUUGCAUUUCGAUCCUUUCGAUGAUGUCAUGAUUCAGAGAUCAAAUAUACAUUUAUUGCUCUUGUGAGUCAGUGAAAUCAUGGCACUUGAACACCCAACGCUCAAAUAGAUCCAGUAAUAGUAAACAGUGAGAGAGGGAGCCAUUUGCUCCAGAUGAACAGUAAACAGAGGUGGAGACGUUGGUGUUCAGCACAAGACUUCUCCAGAACUCAGUGAAGCCAAAUCAUGUCAUGAACUCACAUGCAAGCACGCAUGAUAUGCAGUCGAGUAAAUAAUGCAAGAAACAGUUCAAAAGUAACUUUGGAAUCAGUUUAGGGUCACUCACCUCCACGGCUCAGAAACCAUCCAUCAUAUAUCAUUAUCUUGCCCGAGUCUGAGCCCUAAAUCACAAACUCAAAGCAAUCGUACAUUUUCAAAGUUCGAACAGCAUUUCCCCAUAAAUGCCUCAUUUCCAACCUACAAGGUAUCACUUACAUUUCAAACCAGGCCCACAGUCCGGCAUCCUAAACUUCAAGCCUAGGAUAAACUACAGAGAUCUGAAGCCUAAACUCUGAUACCACCUGUGACGAUCCCACUUCUCCCUAGGGCGUACCCCAGGGUUCGGCGGAUCACCUGCCCAGCUCUCGCCGGGACUCAGUCGUUCACUACAAUCCUCAAAUGAAUUACAAGAAUAAACCUCAAAUAUUACAAUGUAAAUCUCCAAUAUUUAUAUAUAAACAAAACGAAGCGGAAACUAAUUCCAAGCGUGGAACGUAUGUAUACAUCCGAUCGAUUCCAGACAUUCAUUACAAUCCCUAAUAAUAACUAUUACACAAAAGGAAAUCCAAAUUCAAACCAUACACGAGAUAAUCCAUCCAUUCACAUGAAUAAGCACUACAAGCCCUUUCUUCGCCACGAGCCCUGUGGAGGGGAAUAAAACAUUUUGGGGGUGAGCUAAAAGCUCAGCGAGUAACCAGAAAAAAUCAGUAAUCAAAUCGGUUUCACAAUAGUUCAUUUCAAUGAUGUCAUAUAUCAAUGAUGUCAUAAAUCAAAUGAUAAGUCCAGAAACAACUACAACAUUUGCAAAACAGUAAAUAUGGAGUAUCAAUAAUUCAAGAAACAUUUACAAUGGAAAGCGAUAGUAACAUUCAUGAAAAGAUACGGCUCACAGGAGCAAUUCAUUCGAUCAUUCAUUCGUUCUCCUGACAUUUUCCUUCCUUCAUUCAUUUGAAAAUGCAUUUUUCAUUUAUCAAUAAACCCUCGUUCGUUCGUUCGUUCAUUUCAUUCACCAAGCUCCACCAACCUCCACCAACCUACAUAGGUAAUACUCGAGUAUACCAAACGUUCACCCAAGUCCCUAAUCGCCCGACCGAGACCGCUUCUGGCUCGAGACGACCGGUAACAAGGGGCAAUGGCCAGUUCAGCCCAAAAGGCUUACAUUAUGCGCAACUAGUAUUUCAAUAAUUAAAUCCUUGAAAAUUGCACAGUUAUUUAGGUCGAAUGCGAUAAAGUACACACUCGCCUAGAAAGCUCGUUUUGGAAAUCAUUCAAAGCAGUUAACACGUUAUCAAUCAAUAAUACAAGUCAUGAAGUCAAGAAAAUAUACCAAAUAAGGAACACUCACAAGUCACUCAAACAUUCCAAGCAAGCACUAAGAGUUACUCUAAUCCCACUUGUAGGAAUGAAAAUCCGACAAGUGGGAUUAGAGUAACUCUUAGUGCUUGCUUGGAAUGUUUGAGUGACUUGUGAGUGUUCCUUAUUUGGUAUAUUUUCUUGACUUCAUGACUUGUAUUAUUGAUUGAUAACGUGUUAACUAUUUUGAAUGAUUCCAAAACGAGCUUUUUAGGCGAGUGUGUACUUUAUCGCACUCGACCUAAAUAACUGUGCAAUUUUCAAGGAUUUAAUUAUUGAAAUGCUAGUUGCGCAUGAUGUAAGUCUUUUGGACUGAACUGGCCAUUGCCCCUUGUUACCGGUCGUCUCGAGCCAGAAGCGGUCUCGGUUGGGCGAUUAGGGACUUGGGUGAACGUUUGGUAUACUCGAGUAUUACCUAUGUAGGUUGGUGGAGGUUGGUGGAGCUUGGUGAAUGAAAUGAACGAACGAACGAACGAGGGGUUUAUUGAUAAAUGAAAAAUGCAUUUUCAAAUGAAUGAAGGAAGGAGAAUGUCAGGAGAACGAAUGAAUGAUCGAAUGAAUUGCUCCCUGUGAGCCGUAUCUUUUCAUGAAUGUUACUAUCGCUUUCCAUUGUAAAUGUUUCUUGAAUUAUUGAUACUCCAUAUUUACUGUUUUACAAAUGUUGUAGUUGUUUCUGGACUUAUCAUUUGAUUUAUGACAUCAUUGAUAUAUGACAUCAUUGAAAUGAACUAUUGUGAAACCGAUUUGAUUACUGAUUUUUUCUGGUUACUCGCUGAGCUUUUAGCUCACCCCCAAAAUAUUUUAUUCCCCUCCACAGGGCUCGUGGCGAAGAAAGGGCUUGUAGUGCUUAUUCAUGUGAAUGGAUGGAUUAUCUCGUGUAUGGUUUGAAUUUGGAUUUCCUUUUGUGUAAUGGUUAUUAUUAGGGAUUGUAAUGAAUGUCUGGAAUCGAUCGGAUGUAUACAUACGUUCCACGCUUGAAAUUAGUUUCCGCUUCGUUUUGUUUAUAUGUAAAUAUUGGAGAUUUACAUUGUAAUAUUUGAGGUUUAUUCUUGUAAUUCAUUUGAGGAUUGUAGUGAACGACUGAGUCCCGGCGAGAGCUGGGCAGGCGAUCCGCCGAACCCUGGGUACGCCGUAGGGAGAAGUGGGGUCGUCACAGCUUGUACCUCCUGUUCCUCAAGACAAUGAGAAUGUACACCAAAAGGGACCUAGAAUUGAGUCAACUGAGCAAACUCCUCGUGCUGAAACUACUCCAGGAUUCGUGCUUCCAGUUCUCAUCCAUAGGACAAGGGAAAGGCUCCAGCAACUGAAGCAGAAACUGAAGAGGAUGAUGAUGAGGAAACUAAAGAGGAAGAAGUGGAUCCUGCUCAGUUUCGCCUAGCAAGAAGGAGGUCUGGAUCGUCCAAAUUACAAUUUAGGCACCUCUAGGUUCGUGUACUUCAUGUUUAAGUAGGCAUCUCAUAUUAGACAUUUGCAUCUUCGGCAUUUUAACAUUUCAAGUACUCUGUACUCAAGAUUCUGGUUGUUUGGUUAACUCUUCUGGCUUAUAAACUAUUCAGUUAACUUCUCUAUGUUGAAUGGUUUCUAAUUAAUUUUGUUGGUUAUCUUUUUGGUUAAUUCUGUUUGCUUCUGGGUGCUUGGUAUCCCUGUGACUUCUGAUUUUUAACAUUGUUUGCUGAUAUUGGUGAUUGUUGAUUUUGUUGGAUAUUCUUGGUUAAUGAUGUUGUUGAUGACAUUGAUGUUGGAUACUGGAUUGGAAUUGGAUUUGAAUUGUAUUAAUGCCACUGGCUAUUAAGAUCUUCUAAUGAUGACAAAAAGGGAAGGAAAUGAUAACAAGUUACUACAGGAAAUGUAAUCUGGUAAAUACGUGAGGGGUAACUAUUCUGAGGGAGAGUGUCUACCUUUUUUGAUUCAUUAAGUGAGGGGAAGUUUUUAACUUAAUUAUUUUUCUCCAUCCACUGUUUUGUCAUCAUCAAAAAAGGGGAGAUUGUUAAUCUCGGUUCUUAGCUUUUGAUGAUUACAAAACAAAUGGAUGUUACUAAUAUCUCCUCAGAGACUUUUUUAGAAAUGAAGCAAAUCAGGUUCAAAGAUGAAACUGUUGCUGAAGCUGUCGGACAUACAAAAAACUGGAUCGGAUGUCUGACAAUCAUUGAGCAACUUCGAACGUAUGAGGAACUCCAUCACCGGACGUCCGAAAGAAAUCAAAACACUUCCUUAAACUCACUAAUCUCAAUCGAACGCAGAACAUUAAAGCACUGGAUGUCCGACAGAAUUGAAAAGGAUUUUCAAACUUUACCAUCUACUUUCGGACGCAAACUUUGGAGGUACCGGAAGUCCAAAAGAAUUAAAGAAAAUUCUUCUUGCUCUCUGCCUGCUGUCGGACGUAAGAAACAAGACUACCGGACGUCCGACACUACCAAUGGCUAGUUGACUGUUCAACUACCUUCUAUCCGUUGGAAGCUUUAAUGAAGGAAUUUUUUGGUCUCCUAUAAAUAGAGUAAAGUCAACCACUUUAAAAUACUUUUGCACAUUGAGACUACAAAAGAUCUAGAGCAAUUUUAGUGAGAAAAUUCUCUUCAAAGAAGAUUUAUACUCUUAGUUGUGUAGAUUUCGUAUAAGCUUUUCUUGUGUGAGAAAAUUACUUCAAUAGUAUAGCUUUGUAAGGGUUAUCCGAGUGAUAGUAAAACUUCCUAACUUAACCAAGUAUGACUUGGAACAAGGAGGAAGUAAUCCUUCUUUUGUGCACAUAGAUUGGUUGUAAUUGAUCAACUUGAAGAAGCUUGCUCUAUAAAGUGAUAUUCAAACUCAAGAGAAGUUUGGAAUUUGGUUUGCUAUUCUAUCUCUUUUAUUUACUAUACUGCAAUAUAAAUUAUUCAUCUCUUCUACUCACGAGCAUUUGUACUUUUUCAUUAUUUGUUCCAUUGUGUGGUCAUCUAGAAAAGAGGGUAAAUUUCAUAUUCAAUCAAAAAGUGUCUCAUAAUUUGGUUAGUUUUUAAUUACCUAAAUCACCCCCCUCUUAGGUUGUCUUCGAUCCUUAUACUAUAAUUUCUAUUCCACUGGCUCCAAAGAUCAGUACAACAAUUGAAGUACGAGGCUGAGCAAGAAAGAGCAAAAUGUCUCCGUCUUCUAGCCUAUGAGCUAUAACAAAGUCACUCCAUCUUCGAUGAAAGCCAUCUUUUGUGAUUCCAAUAUUGUAACUUUUGGUUCCACUUGUUAGAACAAUAUCUAGAGUCCGAGGCUCAACUACAUUUAAUCAGUGUGCUCCAGAAUUUUCUACAAGCAAAAAGCAAGGCAUAAGAAUGUAAAGGAAUUAUGUUGCAAAAUAGAAGGAUUUGUUUUAAAAUAUAUAUAUGUAUAUACCGUGCUAUAUCUAAAUCUUCGAGUAUAAACUUAGAGCGCAUUUAGCACCAUUAGAUCAUGCCUAAUGAAUUGAUUGAUGGAUGAUGCAACAAAUCCUAAACUCACAUCUAUAGCUAUACCAUCUGUAGCACAGCAACAGGUGUGUUAGUAAAGUAUAUCAAGCGACAAAAAAAAUGAUUCAUUGUGAAAUGGAAAUUUAUGCUCCUUCUAAGAUCAGUGGUGUGUAUGGGAGCAUUGGCAAGUGCAAUGUUCAUCAUGUCCACAUUAGAUUGUGAGUUGCAGAGAAAGCAAAAAUUUCGUAGAUGAAGUUCCCUCUAUUUCAAGAAAAAAAAAUUAUAUUGCCUGGAGAGAUGUAGUUAUCACUGCAGAAAUUGUUCCAUUGUUUUUCAAAACAAGAAUUCAGAAUUUUUAUUUCCAAUGAGCCAAACCAUGAUAAAUUGUCCAUCUUCAAAACAAUUAGCAACUACCAUUUCAUCAGGGAUCGCUUGAAAUGAGAUAGACAGGUUAGGUAUGUAUUAAGGGAAAAAGUGAGCAUCAAUUUAACAGAUGACUUAUUUUUUGGUGCUUGUGUAGAAUAAAACAUAACACCAUGGUUGUCCACUAUCCAUGAAACCAAUCUCUUCAUUUUCUGUUCAAGAGAACAAAAGAAAUGCAAUUAUAUGUGUAGUUCAUUGAGUAGUCCACAUUCUAUAAUGAUGCAAAAAAUGUAUAAAAAGCCACUUGUUUCUGCGAAUGCCAUUGAGGUGAUAUAUGUAUUAUUCUAUAGCCACUGCUCAAUCAAUGCAAAUGAAAAUAGUGAGGGUUCACCCAUAUAUUUUAGAACCAUUGGACAUGCUUCAAGGAAAGACCUCUUCACAUAAUAAGUUGUCGCUCCAUGAACCUUGUUUACAGCAGUUGCUGCAAGAAUCUUUUCAUGGUCAAAGGUGCAUAGAUAAAAUUUAAUAUUGUUUCCCUUCCCAACUGCCUCCUAUUUCUAAAAGGGUCUCUUGGUUUAACCAUAGGUGGUUAAUAUCAAGAGUAUUUUAGUUCUAUAAUUUCAGCAUAUCUCAAAGCCGAUCACUAAAGCAAGGAGCAAAAACAAGGGAAAGUUUGCUGUGCCACCAAAGGAAGAAGAUGUUGAAUGUAUUUUAAAGUGAGGAUGAGCAUAGCAUGUUUAAAUAAGAACUCAAUAUACAAGGAGAAGCAUUAAGUACAAGAGCAUUAUAAUUGGUUGAAAAAAUAUGAAACCUCCAAAUAGAGCAAAGCAGGAAAUACCUCACUCAAUACUUCCAAACAAAGCCACCAUACAUAUAAUUAUUUAUAAUUCACAAUACUGGGAAACAAGCAAAUAUUUUGAAAAUUUUCCCAACAAGACUUGCAUUACUGUAACCACAAUGAUCUCAAUCAUUAUGUGUUACAUAGUUGACCCAACUAUUCUAUUUUAACAAAGACAGAUUGUUUUAAAUAUUCUUACGAAAAUGAUAGAACACAAGUGGCAUGUUAGCCUUAAAAAUUUAUUGAAAAAAUACAAUAAUUUGACCUUUACUUGAAUGUCCAAUCUCCAAAACUCAAAUACGAUACUGGAAAUCCUAAAAGCUUAAGUCCAAAUUAUAGAUUAAGGCCUUUACUCCAUAUCAGCCAAGUAAUAAUCAUAUAAUACCAUCCAACUAAAUAAAAAAUUAUGCUCACAUAAGCUUUCAAGAGCUGUAUAUAUUGAGAAGUAAAUCUGUCAAGGAUGUUUAGAUAAAAUAGAACUUAAUCUAUCAAGGAUCAUCUCCAGCUAUUGUCUCACAAGUACAUCAUAACCAGAAGGAAAAGCAACUCAUCUACAUUUUUUCUUAGAAACCUCCAUUGUUUCAGAAGUGCAAGUGUAAACAGGCUCAUCCCUAGCCAUUAUCUCACAACCACAUCAGGACCAGAAGGAAAAGUAAAGGAAAUGGCCAAUGGAAAAUUCGAAAAAAAAGCUACAAUUCUCAGAAAGAUUCAACCAUGCUCAAGUAAUACUAACAUAAUACCAUCCAAGUAAAUAAAAAAAAUUUUGGCUCACAGAAGCUUCCAAAAGCUAUACACAUUGACAGACCCACAACAUGAAAGACCCAGACCAGAAUAAUGCCAAGCAAAGACAUAGCCACAACCUAAAAAGGCAAGUCCAAAUAUAAGUAAAUAUGAAAAGUUUCUGCUUACAAAGGCUGCCAAAAUCUAUGCACAUUAACAGAAUUAUAACACAAAAGACCUACGAGAAUAAACCAAUGAAAAACAAAAUCACAACCAGAAAAGAUGACAAGAGGAUAGAAAUGCAAAAUACAAAGAUAAAUGAGCAAAGAAUAGAAAAAUAUCCAACAAACAUCAAACCAAUGGACAGAACAAUAGUGAAAAUGGUAAAAAGAAACAUAACCAAAUAUCCAUGAGCAAACGAAAAAUAGAAAAAAUAUAAUUUACCUGACGGGAGAAAUUACAAUCAGAGCUCGCAAGUAAAGGAUCUGUAGAAAAGAGGAGCUUGUCAAAAUGCAAAAAGAAAAUGAAGGAAAUAGAGGAAAAUACCAAAAUAACUGAUGAGAAAAAGAAGGAGAUGAAGGGGGGAAUUUAGACAGAGCAAUAACAAAAAAUGGUACCCAAGAGCAAAGAAAAACAAAAAAAUUACAAAUUACCUGACAAAAGAAACUAUUAUUAGAGCUCGCAAGUAAAGGAUUUGCAGAAAAGAGGAGCUUGUUACAAUUUUUUUUUUUUUAAAAAGGAAGAGGGAACCAAAGGAAAUAUUGAAAUACCUGAUAAGAGAAAAGAGAUGGAAAUGCAAGACACGGAGGUAAGCGAAGAAAACAGAAGACGAUGGAAAUGUAGAACACAGCAACAAACAUCCAAAAGCAGGACACACCUAAGCUUCACAUAGGCAGAGCAAUAACCACAUAGAAUCUGCGAGACAAAGAUGAAGUGAAAGGCAAAGAAGCUGAAAAGUGCCUGACGAGAGGAGCCACAAACAAAAUUCUCAAGACAAAGAUGAAGCGUGAAAACGGAGAUGAGAAAGCAAAUGAGAAACUCUAGGAAAAAAGGGCACAACCAAUUUGUCUUGGAAUUUAGACCACAUUGGAAGAGACAGCCAUGAUAAAAUGCGCCAAUUACCAUUCUGAAGAAAGCUCUCCUGGUAGCUCCGGACAAUGCAGCGGUGAGAGCCAAGAAAGGAAAGGAACUCGUACGGCCAUCUGUUCCAAAGCAGAAAACCAUGGUCGACCCAAUUACCCGAACCAUUCCAAUGGAGCAUCUAGAAGUGCAAACUUACACAACUCACAUGCUCGGCACAUGACAACGACGAAACCCCUUGGUGCAUUGUAUGUUAUGUUGAUAAGAAAAAAUGCACCUAUAUGAUUCAUCUUCAUAUCUUGCUGUCUUGUUUAAGUUUGCAUUACUGUUCAUGCAUCCGAUGUAUGUUCUUCCAUUUUUUUUCUUCCAUGUGUAUGUCAAACCUAUGGUACUCAUGCACUUAAUUGUUUUUUCAAAAUCUUAAGAGUAACAAGUUUAUUCUACUGAUUUCAUGAACUUGCAAAACACAAAAAAUUUAUAAAUGCAGGGAAAUGAUCAUAAAGUUCAUAAAACACAAUAAAGGAAAAAAGAGCAAGGAAAAAACACAAAAUAAAUGCAAAAAAAAGUGGAAAAAAGUACAAGGGCAAGAAUCAUAAAAAGAAUGGGUAAGAAAGAAAGAUGCAGCACUUGCACUUGCACGAUAAGCCUUUGUUCACUACAAUGAAAAUCUCAAGCAAUGAUCAAUUACAUUAUUGUUAUCCUCUAGGCAUUAUAUCAAGCUAGCUUACAUAAUGUACUUUGCCAAAUCAUUAGUCUCCUAUUGGGAGUCGAGCAUUUAAAAACUAAGAUGAGUUUUGCUCUACUCAUCAAAAAAAGAAGAGGAAAAACAGCUUUUUGCCACAUUUGUGGUUUUAGAGCUUAUUGCACUACGUGCAUCUGGUGAUUUCAUUUGAUGCUAAAACUAUAUCGGUAUUUCCUUUUGAAUUUAAUGUAUCACAUCUUGCAAAAAAGGAGGCACAGUAUUAAGCGCAAUAAGGGGACAGGUGACCAUUUCAGCUGCAUGUCUUCUGAAUUUGCAGCCCAACUCUUCAUUGACUAUGAUCGGAUUGAUGAGAUGCCACUCACUUGUGUGUCCAGUUUGAAUCUACUGCUAUUAAAUGAAAGACAUAAAACGAGCGAGUUGUGCAUGAUAUGCGUAGAAGCAUAACUGGUUCCACGUAAUUUCUAAGUGCAUUUGAAGGUAGGAAGUUACACUACAGAUUUGUUGGCCUAUUAUUCUACAAAAUGGCUCAGUGAUCUAGAAUUAUAUCAUUGCAAAGAAUGAUUUGCUUGUUGAAGGCACUGACAAAAACAUCCAGCUUCUUGUUGAAGAUUAGAACAUCUGUGACAUCUAAGUUCCAGUUUGUUUUCUUUUCCCAUUUUUGGAAUGAGUUUAGUUUCUUAAGUCACCAAAUUUACAACAUUUUCAUGUUCUUGACAGUGGAUGCUAUUUGUCUAAAGUAAUUUUUCAUGUAUACUUAGCAUCGUUCACUAAAAUCGUGAUAUAGAACUUGACUUUUGACUUGAUAUUAUUUUCUGUUCUUCCUAGGCCUGUCUACUGCUUGUUGUUUUGUGUAGUCAUUGUUCAGAGUUUGAAGACUACUGGACCUGUAGGCUUUAAAAGUCUUGUUCACAAUUUUCUUCGAAGAGUUGGCUGCAAGAAGCUUUAGAACCUGCAUUUCAGAGAGCUAGUCAGAGAAUGUAUCCUUCUUGAAAGACUACAGUGGAUAAUUAUACUGAUUCAUUUUUUGCUAAAUAUCUUUUUAUGUUGACCAUACCUUUUUUUGGUUGAACUUAACUUUCGCUAUAGAGGGACAGAGAUUUGGAGAAUUGAAAACUUCCAACCAAUUCCUUUACGAAAAUCUGAUCAUCGUAGGUUCUACUCAGGUGAUUCAUACAUUGUCUUGCAGGUGCAUAUGGCUUCCAAUAUUUCUUCCUUUGUAUCUUAUUUUGGGCCUCAUUUUUACGAAUUGAGUGUUUAUGACUGAAGGAAGAGCUUAAAUCUUUUUUAUCCUGUUUUAAUUUGGAUACAAUGAACUGAUAAAAACUAAUAUCGAUCAUUGCAGUCCAGUUUAAUAUUGAUCAUGAGGAGGCUGUUGAAUAUGAUGAUAGAGAUGGUUGAAAUCUGACAUUGGUACUACGGUCUAUGCUUUAGUUUAGAAAUCUAGUACUCUUUUUUUUUGGAAGGAUAUGUAUUGGUCAUUACUGCUUGAACUUAUUAUGUGAGCUUUGGGAUCCAACAUUUGUGGUUCACUUUUGUUUUGAUGAAUGUAUAGACGUUCAUGGCCAUAUAUAUGAAUUUGUGGUUUUAUUCUACGUUGAUUUUGUCUUUUGUCAAAUUGAAUAUUCUGCUAUAAUUUGUUGAAAAUGCUAUGGCAAUGCUAUAUUCGUAAUGGUCAAUUUCAACUCUUCAAGACAAAGCUCAGUGACAACCUUUGACAUGCAAUUUCACUAAGUGACGAUUAUUUCUGUCACUGAAUAAUAGGACUGAUUGUGACAAGCUCAGGUUGUCACUGUAAACUUCAAAAUUGUGACGACUUUUGCUACAUCUAUGAUAAAAAUAUAGGUGAAACAGUGACAAGAAAAGUCAUUACAAAAUAAUAUCCAUUAGUGACGACUUUGUCCUCGUCAUUGAAUAACAAGAUUCUAUGACGACUUUCAAAGAGUUGUCACAUGGACCCAUUUAUGACAUAGAAUCUGUGACAACCAUUUGACAAUCGAAAAAGCCGUCACUAUAUCCAUAUAAUGACGACUUUUUGGCUUUUAGUGAUGACUUUUUGUUGUCACAAAAGACCCAUUUUCUUGUAGUGUAGUAUGCACAGAAAAGGUGGCUAGAUCUAAUUUUUUUGGGGGGAGGGGUGUUUUGAUUCGCAUUAUUUGAAUUCAAAGGGGUGUUACCCUAGACGUAUCUUCACCUUUAUCUCUUUGAGCGGCUUGGUGAGCAUCAAACAUAAAUCCCCUAAUAGGGGCAUCUAAUUAAUCUUCAGUCCCAUCCGGUUCAAGAUUUUCAAGUACCACAUCUUCUUCCCCCAUAGCUCGUACAUUAUUCUUGUUAGGAUCCAAUCACGAAAUAAUCAACUAUUGAGAUAUCAAGUACAUAAUAAUUUAAUGACAAACAAACCACAAACAUGAAAAAUAAAAGACACAUAAUAUUUAACAUGGUUCGAUUUCAUCAUUGAGCCUAUUCCACGGAGAGAAACUCGUUCUUUAUUAUGAGAGGAAAACCCUAUAGAAGAAUAUAAAUUGAACCCAAAUCUAACCCCUGUAUACCAUCUCUCAUCUCCCAAAAACCUUCUUUCACUCCCAUGUAUAAGGCUAGCCCUUUUGUGUGCCCCUUAUGUGUCUUUGUGUAGUAUGCAAAUCCAUCCAUUUAUAGGAAAUAUUAUUUGACCAAAACUCAAAUAACAACAAGAAACCAAUUCUAAUUUCUAAAUUUACAUAGAAUAGGACAUAACUUCUAAUCCUAAACAAAAUAGGAAAUUCUUUGACUACUAUUUCAAAUAACUAAAAUUAAUUAGAAAACUAGUUACUUUCACACAAAACAAGAACCCUACCUAAAAGAAAUUGAACCAAUUUUCUAACAAAUCUCCAUCUUGGUGAAAAUUUCUUUUAGCAACCAUUUGUCUUCAACUACCAAAUAAUAUGGUAUCGAAUUACACAUUCGAAUCAAUACAGUCUUACUACCAAAUUGAUUCAAUCGGCAAAUGAAUAUAUGUAGUUACCUAGAAUCCAACCUCCAAUUGACUCGUGAGAAGGUGCCUCAAUUCACCGUCUCCCUAUGUAAGAUUUUUUCUAAUCACUACUUGCAACCAGGGAUUCCCUUCUGUGAGCUCUAACGCUAAAUAUUGAGAAAGACUAACUCCCAACAAGGUCCGACUUUACAGGAGAAAGAAGCGUCGAUAAGGGAAGCGCCUUCAAGGAAGAUUUCAGGAAGCAUUUAUUCAAUAAGAUUGAGUGGAGAUUUCUUGAUAAAUGAAGUGGUAAAGUCACCAUACUUUUUCCCAUCCUCAAGACUCCACCUAAAAUAAAAAACUCAAAACUAUCAGAGUCUUCUGGUGAAUGGAAAUUAAAUCUCUUUUUUUCUUUACAGCACAUGCCACACUACCCAAAAAACAUAACCAAAAUCUAAAAUCCAUCGGGAUGAAGUAUCAACCGUUGGAGGUAUGGGAAAGUCUUCAUCGAUUCAUGUCCAAAUCAACAUUGGACUCCAUCUUUUCCUUGACCAUUGAAUCAGCUACCAAUUCAUUUGAUCUCAAUAGUUACCCAGGAUCCAAUCAUGAACAACCAAACUCUUGAUCCAACCAUUCAGUUUGUUGGGAUCCAAGUGCUUGUGAGCAGCCCAAUUUUCACAACCAAACUCUGAUACCACUUGUUAGGAUCCAAUCACGAAAUAAUCAACUAUUGAGAUAUUAAGUACAUAAUAAUUUAAUGACAAACAAAUUACAAGUAUGGAAAAUAGACGACACACAAUAUUUAAUGUGGUUCGACCCCACCAUUGAGUCUACGUCCACGGCGAGAAACUCAUUCUUUAUUAUGAGAGAAAAAUCUUAUACAAAAAUAUAACUUGAACCCAAGCCCAACCUCUAUAUACCAUCUCUUAUCUCCCAAGAACCCUCUCUCACCUCCAUGCAUAAGGCUAGCCCUUUUGUGUGCCCCUUGUGUGUCUUUGUAUAGUAUGUCAAUCCACCUAUUUAUAGGGAACAUUAUUUGGCCAAAACCCAAAUAACAACAGGAAACCAAUUCUAAUUUCUAGACUUGCAUAGAAUAGAAAAUAACUUCUAAUCCUAAACAAAAUAGGAAAUUCUUUGACUACUAUUUCAAAUAACUAAAAUCAAUUAGAAAACUAGUUACUUUUACACAAAUCAAGAGUUCUACCUAAAAGAAAUUAAGCCAAUUUUCUAACAAAUCUCCACCUUGACGAAAAUUUCUUUUAACAACUAUUUGCCUUCAACUACCAAAUAAUAUGAUACCAAAUUACACACCGAAUCAAUACAGUCUUGAUAUCAAAUUGAUUCAAUCGGCAAAUGAACAUGUGUAGUUACCCCGAAUCUAGCCUCCAGUUGACUUGUGAGAAGGUGUCUCAAUUCACCGUUUUCCUUUGUAGGAUUUUUUCUCACCACCACUUGCAACCGGGAUCCCUUUCUGUGAGUUCGAACUCUUAACAUUGAGGCAACCAAGUAGUAAAAUCACCAUACUUCUUCCUAUCCUCAAGACUGUCUCGCCACAUGUGGUUUCCAAGACUUCACAUAAAAUUAGAAACUUGUAACUGUCUGAGUCUUUUGGCACAUGAAAAUUAAAUCUCUUUGUUUCUUUAAGACACGUGCCACACCAUCCAAAAACAUAACCAAAAUCUAAAAUCCACCGGGAUGAAAUAUCAAUCGUUGGAGGUGUGAAAAAGUCUCCACCGAUUUACGUCCAAAAUCAAUAUUGAAUUCCAUCUUUUUCUUGACCCUUGAAUCACUUGCCUAGAUUCACCGUAUAUCUCCAUACUUUUCGACUUUCUAUCCUUCACCAUCAAUGUUUUUUCCCAAGCCAUUGAAACAAGAAUACCAGUCAUUAAAUUGUUCAAUUAGUAACAGCUACCAAUCCACUUGAUCUCAAUAGUUAACCAAGAUCCAAUGUUGAACAACUAAACUCUCGAUCCAACCAUUCAGUUUGUUGGGAUCCAAAUGCUUGUGAGAAGUCCAAUUUUGCAAUCAAGCUCUGAUACCAUUUGUUAGGAUCCAAUCACGAAAUAAUCAACUAUUGAGAUAUCAAAUACAUAACAAUUUAAUGACCAAUAAGCAACAAACAUGGAAAAUAGACGACACAUAAUAUUUAACGUGGUUCGACUCCACCAUUGAACCUACGUCCACGGAGAGAAACUAGUACUUCAAGUAACUAAAACCAAUUAGAAAACUAGUUACUUUCACAUAAAACAAGAACCCUACCUAAAAGAAAUUAAGCCAAUUUCCUAAUAAUUCUCUUGAAUACUGACAAUAUCCCUUUGCUUUCUUUUUGGUGCCAUCCUGCAAACACAAAUUAGGUUAGGGCAAAAUCUACCUACACUAAGCUACCCAAUCCUCAACUGGUAGCAAUAGGUAUUUGAACACGAAAAUCAAAACUAAGUCAAUCCACACUAAGGUUGGCCACCUGAAGUGUAAAUCAACUAAUUCCAAUAUUCUAUCCAACAUACACACUACAUUACAUCAAACUUUCAAUAAAUAUUCAUUCUUAAGGUACUAUAAGUAAGAUUCACACCUAGGCUCUGAUACCAAAUAAAUGUCACGCCCCAUGUCUGGAAUUUAACACCGCCACGCCUAGACAAUGCUAAAGAUGUAAGCCAACAAAUUUCCAAAAUAAAUAUAUUCACCUUUAUAUAAACUUUCUAAAUCCGCAAAUACAAGAUCAUCCAUAACAGCAAUUUGCGUCUUUCAAAAUAAAAGCAAGAUCAAACCUUCUACAAUAUGUACAAUAUUCGAAUCCUAUUAUAAGGUAUCUAAUAUAGAAGUACAAAAGUUAUCCUCUAACAAAAGUCAUCUCCAUCUCCAUUACCACUCCCAAGUUCUAUCAAGGUCCACUUCAAUGAAUGCAUCAUUAACUGCAUAAUUAUAACAAAGGGGCGAGCGAAAUCUCACUCAAUAAGUAGCACAUGUAUCUCAUUAUUGGCCUGAGCAUGUUACAUACAUAAUAUAUAUUUCAAACGCCAUUAACUUACACAUAUAACUUUAUAAGAACAUGGUCAUUAUAAACAUUUCAAUGGCAUAUCAUACAUCACACACAUAAAGGAGCUCAAACCAUAAGACAACAAUUGACCCUGGAUAUCCAGUUAUUAACUUAAUCGGUUAACACGGUUCAUAGUGCUAACUACUAUACGAUUAGCCUAUUUCAUAUUGCUAAUGACAACACAGAUAGCUUGUUUCAUAUACCAACUACUUGUGAGGAACUAGUCUCGUCAAAAGUCGCUUAUACAAGAGCUCAACAAACAUGACAUUUCAUUUUACAAAUGACCAUGGCAAGAGUAAUAACAAAUAUCACAAAUUAUACUUGGUCAUGCCACUUUAGCAAUUAGACAAGUAGCUUUCAAAAUUCAUCUUUCAAAAGAUAAAGGAUACGUGCAUCACUUACCUUGAUCCAAUGGAUACCCACGCUAGUUCAAGUAAUCAAAAAAAUGGCUACCUUAUUCAUCUAGACAUAAUAAUAAAAUAUUCAAUUACAAUCUUAAAGAUACUAAACUACUCCAAAUUAUCAUAAAAAGGAGUCUAAUACUACCCUUAACGACUAAUUCCUAAAAAGGAUCAUUUCCUCAUCAAAGCAGGACAUAAGGGUUAAUUUUAAAGGGUCACUAACUUUAAGAAAUAUAGAAACAUGGCAAGAUAUUUACACAGAGUUAAAGCCCCCUGAAUCUAGUUUCCAACGCAACAAACAGCACCUAAAUCCGAGUUUCCUACAUCAAGUUAUGGCCAAAAAACUGAAAUAUGGCUGUACAGAAAAUUUAAUCCAUCCGAGAAUUAUAGCCAAUCCAUCUAAGGAUUAUAGCCAUGGAUUUCUAGCACGUUUUCAAGGCAAAAACAAGUUCCAAAUUUGAUAAUCAAGUUCCAUUUCUAUCUCAAAUCAUCUUCCAACCUCCAUAGUUGUCAAAAUCAACAUAUUUUAGCUCCCAAAGUCAUGUAAAUACAUAAACAAUCUUGAAAAUGAAUUGUUAGCUCAAGUAAUUCUUUCCCUCAACAUUUCUCCUUUUUAUAUUGAUGAUAGCCCUAUAACCAUAUGAAAAUAGAGACCAAAACAAACUUUAUACAUCAUAGCCAUGGAAGUUAACCAAAAAUUUGAACCAAAUACUACCCAAUCACCCAAUCAAAGAAAACCAAAAUCAUGUUCAAGGUUUCAUGAAAAUAUGUUGGUUAGUUGUCAAAGUAGAAUCUCCUUACUCCUCACUCCUUACUUGUGCUUGAUUUGUCAAGAAUUCUUCUUGAUUGUAAGGAAAAAGGAGAGAAAUAAGAAAGGGUUUUGUUGGAGAAGGAAAGAAGAAAGGAAAUGAAGAAGAUGAAGAAAUUUUUUGACAAGGAUGAAUAGUGAAAUCCCACUAUCACUUUAUUCUUUCAAAAUUUCACUUAUUAACACAUUGGUCACUCAAUUUAACAUCUUUCACUUUUCACCACUAAAUAGUAUUUCUUCGCAUAAAAUUCUCUACAAGACACUUGGGUAUCACAAUAAUUGUUAGGACCAACAAUUCUUAUAGACUGUCUGAGACAACAGUAUUCAUGGAUAUAAAUGAAAGCAAGAACAUUUGAUAUAGCGCUAGGGAUUUUCGUAUCAUCCUUGACAUUUAUAUGCAUCUCUUCUAUUUGGAUAUUUAUCUACAGCGAGUCUUUCUAUCGAUAAUGCCCAACUAAAUAAAAAAGAAAAGACAAUUUGCAUUUUUUCUUUUUUCUCUUUUUUUUUCCCAAUGUGUCAAACAACAAGAAUGGUAACCUCCUGUUGGAUCCUUAAUCCAACGUUGGACUUAUAUGUGAAUAAUUAUGUAUUUCAAACUGUCAAAUAAGGUUAAAUUCAAUUAAAAUGAUCAAAUAUGAUUUGGACUUAAUGUAUCUAAUAAGGUGUGGGUCUUUAAUGUGUAGAGACUUAAAGGUAUUUUCUAUUUCUAUGAUGGAUUGAAAUAUGAAUCUAAAAGAUAACAGGAAUGCUAUCUAUAAAUAGGGAUAUGGUCUCCAGGUCACAAGUAUUCUUAUUGUCAUAUUUUCUAGUACCACAAAACAGUUUUUUCCUAAUGUCCCAUCAUCAGAAAACAUACCAGAGAGAAACUAAAGUGCUCUCUCAAGAAUUGGUAAAUACGUGUUGACUUAGAAGGCUAUCCUAAAAUCUUCAAGGAUUCAAGUGCCAGUUUGUCAAUAUGAAUUUAGAUACGCUUCCGCAUUUAUAUUACAGUUCUGUUCAAAUAUCUGAUAUUGGAAUUCUGGAAAUUCCUACACCUUCUCCCUUUGAAAUUUCAGAGAACAAAACCAAAUAUUUCAUUCCUACUAAGUUAUGGGCACGCAUUACAUCAUUCCUACUAAAUUUAACUAUCUUAACAACUUAGAAAAAGCUAGCUACAUAUACAUUGUCUUCUUACAUAGAUAAAAGAUAUGCAGGGCAUAUAGAAAGAUCGUCCAAAUGGGUUUAAUUUGCUGCUUUUAAGCUUGACAUUUGUAAGACUUAUGACCGGAUAUCAUGGCAAUUUCUAUAGGCUGUUCUAAGAAAAAUGGUUUUUCCAGAAUCCAAGAUUAAUAUUGUUUUGAAGAGUAUCUUUUUGUCCCUUACUCUAUCAUAGUUUUUUUUUUUUAACUUAGGGUUAUCCAAACUUUUUGGCCAACUAAUUCCCUAAAACUGUGUAGAGUCUUAUUCUAAGGAUACAUAGUAAGAUAGUACACAGGAUUCGAUUACGGGACAUGUUAGUAACUAUCAAACUACGGAAUUAGUCGAACUACCCGCGGGGCACUCAAUCGUAGUUAAUGGAGUACUAUCAUCGGUAAUAUAUCCUACCAGAGGCCAGGGGCGGAGGGAAGGGGGGGCCAGGGGGGGCAACCGCCCCCCCUCCAAUUGUUAAAAAAAAAAUUUCUAAGUAAAAAAUUUUUUAUUAUAUUGUUUUGCCCCCCCAAAUAUUGAUAAAAAAUUUCACUUUGCCCCCCCUCCAAUUGUUAUAAAAAAAUUUCUAAGUAAAAAAAAUUUUUCUUAUAUUGUUUUGCCCCCCCAAAAUAUUGAUAAAAAUUUUCACUUUGCCCCUCCUAAGGCCCAAAUAAUAAUGUUUGAAAGUUAUUUGGACUUUGUCCAAAUAACAGAGACUCGCCCCCCCUAAUUGCAAUUCCUAGCUCCGCCACUGCCAGAGCCUUCGCCAGGGAUGCCCCCUCUGAGCAUCAUAUCUCUGCUUUAUACCAAGAGGCGUUGUCAGCUGCAUUAUGUUCUUUGGCAUCUAUAGAAUCUAUGUCCCCAAAUAUGAUUUUGAAAACCUAUACUUUGACUUACAAAAUCUUAAUUUUUUUCAAAUCCAAUAAAGAUGGAAGGGAAAUAUAAAAAAAAAUAAGAAACAAAAAAUACAAAAUCUUUUUUUGACUACAAAUAUCAUUAUAAGUUUUAAUCUAAAACUUUAAUGGUAUUUUCUAUUUCUUUUUAUCUAUUUUUUUAUUUCAAUUUCUUCCUUUUUAUGUUUAGAGGAAAAAAUAAGCAACGAAAGGAUAAAUUUAUCAAUUUAUUAAUUUGAUUUUGCAUUUUACCGCUGACUCUAAGUUUUAAUGAAAAAACUAAGUCACAUUUUAUUUCAAAUCAUGAGGAGGUUAUAUAAAGUUUUCAUACCAUAGGAUGGUUAUGUUGUAAACACCAAACCAUACGGGUAAAAGGUAAUUUUCAUUAAUCUAUGCCCACUAAGUUUCGUUGGAGCUAUUAAUGCAUGAAAAAAAAGCAUGCGCUUUUCAGCAAAAUGGGGACAUAGACAAAACGCAAAUUUGAAAGUUUCAAUCUCAUAAACAUAAUAACCACCGGAUGUUUUCAUUAAUUCAUAGUGAAAACAAGAAGAUCCGCAGUCCUAGUUAAGCAAGCAAAGCUUAUGAGUCAGUUCAUUCAAAAACUUUCGGAAUUACCUGAAGAAUGAUGAGCUUUGGUGAUACUUUUUUCGGCAAACUGCAAGCUUUCUACAAUUAAGGUUGGAAUAAGAUUGGAUACAAACGUCCUCUUUAAAUACGAGACAUCAGUUUGUAAAGAGGAAGUUAUAUGGUUCUCUUUGGGAAGCUGCAAAUUUUGGUGAUUUGAAACCAAUUUGAAAAUUGACAAAAUUCGUGCUUUCCUUGGCAGCUACUGGCUUUGAUUGAAAGAGAUGAUCUUGGCAAUGGCUAUAUUGAGUCAAAAUCAGACCGUAACGAUCUUGGCUAUGGAAUUUGGAAUGUUUUGUUUCCACUUUCCAAAUGGUAGUUGGCUUGUUGCAAGAAAGAAGAAAAAUUGCAGUGGUCUUCAUUGGCAAAAUUUGAUAAUAUCAUGGUCAAAAUAUCUAACUGCUCACGUGGGACAUCUUUUUGUAAGUAUUACUGUAUUAGUUGCUUCUAAUCCACAACAAGUCAAAAGGAAAGUUGUCUUUUAACUACUUGUUCCAAUUUAUAAGUCAGGCUUCCAUUAAGGAAUUGAAGCCACCGCCUUGCACUCCAAGGUGGUUCUGUGCACUAAUCAAAUUGAUUUAGAUGCAUUACAGGGUUAGCAAACAAAGUUGUGGGCUUUCAAAUGAUUCUAAUGGAAUUUACUAAUGAAAAGUCUUGCAACUCAGGACUCGUACUUCAAGCUUUGUGUUUGGCAAUUGUCAACCAAUGCCUUACCAAAUCUUAAAGCGGGCAUUUGCAGAAAAUAAAAAUUUUAUUUAAUUUAUUUAUUCAAGAUUUAAUAAAUUAAGUUGAUUUUAAUUAAACUAAAUUAAAUUAUGAAAGUCCUUUAUUUUUGAACUAACAAAUUGGACCAGUAUUAUGUGGGCUGUAAAAUCAAUUAAAUAUGCAAGGUCCAUUUAAAUUAAAAUGGAUUAAUGGAAUCAUUAAUUCACAAUGGACUGUUGGGCUAGCUUAUUACUAAAAUCAAUAUUAAAUAGAUUUCAAAUUGAACCAGUAUUAAACGAAUUGUUGGGCCAGCUUAUUGUUAAAGUUUUUCACAUAUAUUGUUAUAAUAAAAUAUUUCAAAACAUCCGUAAAAAUAGUUAAUCCAAACAGAGACAUGGUUUUUUUAUAUUACUUUAAUUAAUUUUUUUUUUUUUUCUUCUUUGGCUGCAAAAAUUACGCACCACCAUAGGAAUAAUUCACUUAAUGAACUUCGGAGGUCUCUGACUAAAAAUAACGGAGCAAUCAUUGAUGGCAAUUUGGCAAUGGAAAUGAUGGCAUUUGACCAUGUUAUUAAUGGCACUUUAGAUCUAGCCUCAAAAAAUGCUGAUUCUAAACAUGAGGAUGGUUUCUUAGAAAAACGUUGUCCUCUUUGUUCUCUUGCUACGGUAUUUGAAGACAAUCACUAUACGCAAGCAAAAAUGCCUAAUCCCUCCUUUCACUCAGUCGCUUCAUUUUUCUUCAUUUCUCACUUGUUUGUUUUUUGGAUUUAUAGAAGAAGUGCCUUUUAAAUUUACAGAACAAGAAGAAGAUGAUGAAUGCGAGAGAAAAGAACCCUGUGGUCAUAGCACAUUGUGCUUCCUAAAUUGCCCCUUCAUUAUGUCUAGUGAAUCACACAACGGUGGAAUCUGACAGAAUGACUCAGGAUCAAAAUACAUACUUUAGAUAGUUUAGUAGCCAAAAUCAAAUUGUUAAUAGUUCAGUGACCAAAACUCAAUGAUAGCAAAAGUUUAGUGCUAAUGAGGUAAUUUGCUCGAAAAAUAAUGAUAGAAGCAGCGAAGGGUGAAAUUUGGAUGUUCAUGCUACUGAGAAAGUUUUUGUACGACUGAUUCCCUGGAGAUUGCUAUCACUUGAGGUAGGGGAAACAACAAUGGAGGCUCUCUGUCUUGGAGGUGUCUGAAGCAAAAAGUCCUGGGCAGAAAUGUGAAACAAAAUCUGAAUUGUGGGCUUGUGUUUGCGGCUGAUGACUGUAUUAUUGUCCACCGAAGUCUUCCGCCCAAACAAGGUGACCCUCUUAUUAUCCCUGCCUCAUUAUCUACUUCAUGUUUUGCUUCUACUAACUCCCCUACCACUUAAAACGAGUUUUGGGUCGAGGGUUAGGUUAGGGCGCUAGAACUCGAGAAGGGGAUGAAGAAGAUCGAAGCUUCUGUGGUCUGGAGCUUAGGAUUGAGGAUGCUGGAGUUGGGUUUGCGUUUUGCCCGCCAAUGAUCACCCUGAGUUGCUUAAUUUGGUAGAGAAAAAUCAGAACAUGGGAGUGGCCUGGAGGCAGGUUACCCCGUGCCAGCGACCUAAUUAAUAUUGAUAUGGGUAAAAUACAGUAAACCCCUUAUGGUUAGGAAAAUAAAUAUGAAACUCCCUCAUUGUUUAAAAAUACCCAUUUAACCUCCCUUGUGCUUUGAACUUCUUUGGAUUUUGACUGCUAACAGGUUGGAAGCCAGUAAUAAUAUAAAAUACCAAAAAUACCCUCAUUUAUAAUAUCUCAAAAGGCACAGCUGCAAUUAGUAGAUCUUGAGUGGUACUUCAGGUGCAGAGAGAGAAAGUGGAUGAAACCCUAAACCUAUAGUACUAUCUUCUUCCAUGACAUCAAUAAACUACAGAAUUUUCGUGUGUAUCUCACAGAUGAAGAAGGCAUUUUUGUGCAGAUUGAUCGAGGGUUGCGAAGCAUCGAGCAUAGCGAUUAACAAGGUAAUCUCAUAUCUUAACCCUAACUUUACUUGUGUUGAUUGGUUUCAUGGUAGACGUUUGGUAGUAUAUUGUUGGAGAUAUUUCGAAACUUGGUAAAAGAAGUGAUAGCUUUGGCUUAGUCAAAAGUAUUGUCGACAAUCUUUAUCGAAAAAAUUUAUAAAAAAAUUGCUAAGUAUGCAAAAAGGAGAAAAGAAUGGGUCUUUGCGGAGUAAUCUAGACUAUUGUGGUCAAUACUGGUAUUGAUUAUGUUUUUUAACCUUUUAGAUGAGUGUGUUAAUGUUGACUAUGCUUUUUUGAAACUAAAAGUGUAUGAAAUAUUGCCUGUCGUUUUCGAUACAUCUGAAAAUUAAAUUAGUAAAUUUAUCUCUGUUACUUUGGUUUAGGUGUAUAAGAAUGGAAUAAUCCGUUUAAGAGUAUAGACAUAUACAUGCAUUAUGGUGGAAAUUUCAAAUGAAACUGAGAAUUAGAUACACCGGCGAACAAGUGAGGAUAUUUUGUGGAUGGGACCUGAUGAAUUUUCUCCAUUUGACUUUCAAAAAUGUAUGACACAAUUGAGUGUGGUGUAAGCAAUAUGAAUUUCUAGUACUCUAUCCCCUUUCAUGACCUUGAUGUUGGUGUUGUUAGUAUUAAGGAUGAUGCCACAUCGAGUUAUUGACAAUAUGUUAUGAAAGGCUUCCAGAAAUACACAUAUAUGCUGAGAAAGGGCCUGAACCCAUUGAAGUUGUGUCUUUGGAUGAAUAAUUAUUGUACAAGAAAGUGACUGGUGAUAGCUUACUUGCACUUCCAUUUCGUGAUAAUUGGCAAUUGGUGUGUUCAGAUUGGAUUAUCCGCAUUUGUUAAAGGCAGUGAUAACUUUGACCCUACAGUUAUUGGGAAUGAGUACAAUAAUGAUAUUUCACAUAUUAACUAUAGAAGAAAAGGCAUCUGUGAUGAAGUGUCAUCACAAAUGGAGUUGGAUCCAAUUUUUGUGGGACCACAUAGAGAGCAGAUACAUGAUUAAACUAAUAAAUCCAAGUGGAAGAAAACAAUAAAUGGUAAAAAAACUGAGUGGCAAAGAGUAAAAUUAACUGCAAGGAAGUUAGUCCGCAGUUAGUUAAAGAGAAGGAAAAAGUUGAUACAACUACAGAGGUCUAGCAGUCUCCCAAGAAAUUCAGCAGAAGAAACAACAUUUGGGACAGAUCCAACAGAAGAAACAACUAAUUUGAGGGAGAAAAAUAGCUGAUGAAGGUGGAGAAAAGAUGAUGUCGUACCAGACUAUUUAGAUCUCCCGGACUGGCUAAGAGAAGGACUAGAAGGGCCUAAAGAUUAUGAUAUAUUUGCAGGCUUAAAUGGUCAAGAAUCAACACAGGCAUCUAUUAAUUCAGGAUCUAUAAAUUUUGUUAGAGUUGGUUCAGAGUAGCAACAAGAAAAUUAGCAAGCCAAAGCUAGAAAACAAGUGGUAUAGAUCAACAACAAGAAAAUUAGCAGGCCUAAUCCAGAAAACAAACUAGUUCAGAGCAGCAACAACAACAUCAGCAAUCGAAAUCAAGAAAACAAGCAAAGAACCAGACCCAUGAAGAGAGGAGUCAACAACACCAGGUGUGGAUGAUAGAUGCCGUGUCAAUGAGCAGGAAGAGAACUGGAAUGACCUAGUAAAGGAUGAUGAAAAGCUAUUUGACAAUGGGAUAAGAUCUGAUGAAGAAAGCAUCCCUGUUUAUAGUUACUUCAAUGCGGAGAAAAAGUUUAGGAAAGAGCACUUUGAACUAAAGGUUUGACAGAAAUUUACUAGCUUCUCCAAAUUUAGGGAGACUUUAGAGGAGUGGGAAAUUAGGGAGGGUAUGAGCACAAAUACAUCAGAAAUGAAGGCUCUCGAAUCACAACUAAAUGUGCGAAGGGGUGCAGUUGGAGAAUUCAUGCAUGCAGAAUCCAGAGAACAAAGACUUUUAUGAUCAAAACUCUUAAGCGAGAGCACCAUUGUGGUAGGGAUUAUGCAAUAGACAUGCUACUUCAACAUAUCUAAGUGAAAAAUUUCAGGCCAAGGUGAGGGAUGAUUGUGGGUGCAGUACUCCAGGCAUAGUAAAUGAGACAAGAAGACUGUUUAUGUUAGACAUUAGUGGGAAGAAAACUGCCAGAACAAAGCAGAAAGCAUUAGAGGCACUUAGGGAAAAUGACAUGGAGCAAUAUCACAGGCUUUGAAAUUGUGUAGCCACUGUAAAAAAGUCCAAUCCUGAUACUCAUAUUUCACUGCAGAUUGAUAGGCAAAGUGUUGAGGAAAAAGCUACAUUUCGGAGAUAUACUAUGGAUUAGGUGCUCUGAAGAAUGGUUUUUAGAAGGUUGCAGACCUAUAAUAGGACUAGAUGGCUAUUUCCUAAAGUCCCUUUGGAGGUUAGCUGCUUACAGUCAUGGGUAGGAAUGCCAAUGAAAACAUGUUUCCUAUUUCCUUUGCUAUUAUUGAGGUAGAGAACUAUGACAACUGAUAAGUGACUAAUUUACGUAAUAAUUGGAUGAUAUUUUAUAUUAUUUUUAGUCACUUUGGUUAUAUUAUUGGAAGAAAAUGAAUCAUUUUGGCUAUAAUUGGUGAAAAAUGCUUUUAAGUAAUUAAAUGAAGUUUUUAUCAUUUUUUACUUGGAUUUUGUGCAUUUUGACAGUUUUGACAUAUUUUUGUAUUUUGGCUAUAACUUGAGCUACAAUGAUCGGAUUGAGAGAAUUCUUAAACCAAUUUGAAGAUAAGAGAUAGAUCUACAACUUUGGUGAAGACAUCUGAAUCCAGUUUGAAGGUUUUCCAGGUCAAAAAGCCUAAUUACAGUAGCUAAUUUCCAUUGAUCGAAGCUGAAACAGAGCAAUGAGCAGUCAAGGGUUUUGGUCAUUUUGCAGCCUACACAGAUCCAAAUGAGGUGAUUCUUGAUGCAUUGGAAAUUAACUCAAGGGGCUACAAGUUUAUGUUUUGGUCAAAGGCUAAAUCAGCUUUUAUCAUCAAGAAAAGUUCAGUUGAAGUUGAUGCAAAAGGGAGCAGAGCUGGAAAUUGAACAAAAGUGCACCAAAAUGUCACUGUAGUAAUCCGGCCGGAACUUGGCUGGAUUUGUGGCCGGAUUUGUGGCCGGAUUGUGUCAAAGAAGGCUGCUCUUUACGCGGAAAACUCAAUUUCACCUCUACUAAGUCACAUGUAAUACUAGACAUGUGAGAAACAUUACCAGCUGUAAAAGGGAAGUGUAGGCCUCAUUUUCUUGACUUCCUUUGUCUUGAAAUAGUCAAAUCUUGCAAGCAGAAUGGGAUCAUCAUAUGGGAGAAUAGAGAGACAUACGGGAGAAACUUGGAGUCUGCAAAAAUGUAAUUCUUCCAUUUUCCUUAGUGUAGGAUAGUUUUAGUUUUAGACAGUUUAUCCUUUCUUGUAUGUUAGCUACAUGAAGAGGAAGAUGGAGGAUGAAGAAGGCAAGAAAUGAACUCAUGUGACAAGGGUUACAUUCCUUCCAAACUCUUUAUCUUUUGUACUUGAUUUUAUUGUUUAGUUAAUAUACAAGUCUGGAUUUUAUGUUAUUUAUGUGUCUCUAAAAUUUAUGCCUUGGGUUUGGUUGAACUUCUUAUAAUUGUUAGUGUUUAUUAUUUGACUAUUUGAUUGCUAUGAUUUGAGCAAGUUAUUUAGUACUUUAGCUCUUUAAAAUCAUGAUUAAUCUGGUAUCAUUGAUUGUGAUUAUCUAAGGUGUCGUUUUUGCAAUGAAAAUUGAGAUUUAAUACUAUUUCAAGAAGUGCUAAACAUAGGGAGUACACUCACGAAAGUAGAGGUGCACCUAUGUGGUUUUUAGUGAUUCAUUUCAUGUAAUUCACUGAAGAAAUGAACUUGUAGCUAAUUUCAUAACCAUGAGAAUAGGUAUGGAUUAGUUAUAAGUAUAAUUGAUUCACUACGAAAGUAGGAUUCAAAUGCAUAAGGAAAUUACACCAUAACUAGCAAAGAUGUAGUACUCAAUGAUCCAAAUAUAGCACUUGCAUGAGUAGUUAGGGAUACCACAACCUAAGGAGCAUUUUUUUUUUUUUGUGUAAGCAGGAGGAUUCGAACCUGAGACCUCUUGCUUACACUCCCUCCCCCCAUACCACCCAACCCAACCCUCCCCCCACAACCUAAGGAGCUUUUAUUUGUUAUUUUGUAUAAUUUCAGUAGGUUAAAUUUGUUAUAAUUCAUUGAUAGUCUAAAUAAUAGAGAAGCUUUAGUAAUACCGGUAAUUGUUCACUCUUCCCUGUGGGAUCGACCCAAUAUAUACCCUAAACUACUAGUUGACCUGUAUACUUGCAGUGAACGGGUGUAAUUCGAUUUUUUUAACUUGUACGUAUAUUAAAAUCCCGUCAACAACUAGAGCUAGUUUUUGAGAGAAUUAAUCACCCAAAUUGGAGAAGGAAACAAAGGAAUGGCUUACACUUUCAUUUCGGAUAGGCAAAAGGGUCUUGUCUAUGUAAUUGAGGCAUUGUUCCCUGAAUUAGAGCACAGAUUUUGCCUAAAACACAUGUUCGAGAACUGCAAACAAAGAUUCAAGAAUCAAAACCUUUGAGACAUGUUCUAGGAAGUUGCUGCAGUAGCAAGUAUGCCAGAGUAUGAAACUGCCCUAUCAAAUCUUGAAAGGGUUGACCCAAAGGAAGGUGACAAACUAACAAUUGCAGGAUGGUUCAAACGGUUGCCUCUAAAGCUUUGGUCCAGAGCCCACUUUAGUACUAUUUGUAGAAGUGACACGUGCAUCAACAACAUUAGUGAGUCGUGGAAUAAUUACAUUCUAAAGGCUAGAGGUGAGCCAAUAAUAACAAUGCCGGAGUAGAUUCGGAGGAGAUUAAUGCAAAGGUUGGUAACCAAGCGAGAGGGCAUGCUGAAAUAUAGUAGCACUUUAUGUCCAAACAUUCACGAGAAGUUAGAGAAACUGAAGAAAAAGCAAGAAACUGUGUCGUGGUUUAUGGAGGAAAUAGGAAUUUGGAAGUUGAUGGCUAUGGAAGGACUAAUGUCAAUUUGGAUAUGAAGACAUGUACUUGUAGUCAUUUUCAACUUAGUAGAAUUCGAUGGGUGCAUGUGGCUGCUUGCAUUCAAAGCAGAAGGUUGGAAUUCGAGCAAUUUGUUGAUGCUUGUUACUAUAGGGAAGCAUAUUUAAGGGCCUAUAACUUCACAAUUGGUCUUGUUCUUUCGAAGCAGUUCUAGGUGGAUAGCAAAAUGCAGUAUUUGAACCCGCCAUUGGUGAAAAAUCAACCUAGUAGGCCAAAGAAACAGAAGAAGAAGGGUCCAAAAGAACCUACAAAUCAGCAUAAAGCAAGUAAGAACGGGUCUGGCAGUCUACUGGCCGAGGUGUUUGAAAUUUAGACAUAACAUUAGAACCUGCAAGUCAGCAAUUCACCCUAAGUCCAAGCUUUACAAGAUAAUGUAACAUUUCAGAACCAAAUCAUUUCUCUAUCUUGUUUUGUUGCUGCUUAUACAUCCAGCCAUUUCGAUGUGAACUAUAUGCACCUAAAUGUGGUCUAAUAGUUUCAAAUGCAACAUUCCGGCUUCUGUAGCUCAGGCUAGUGUCGCAAGUACUACUGCUACUACUCUUUCACAGGUACUAGUUCUCAAUUGCCUAUUUUUGGGUAUUGUGACCUGCUUACACACUAAGCAGUGCCACUUAUAAGCAGGAACCAAGUUAGCCUAUAAGUGGUACCAAUCAAGAAAGCUAGAAGAGUAAAUCUUCAAAGAGGAAGCAACCAGCUACAGGAAUGUCAAGAUUGCAACAUUGUGGCUCUAAGAGACCAAAAAAAUGAACUGUAGUUAUCUCUCUUUUGUUUUUUGAAUAUACUGGUUAUGUUAACCACAUUGAUCCCUUCUGGGAUUGAAUCGUAAUAUUUAUUGAAACUAGAAAACUCAGAUUUUGGUUAUGUUUUGGUAGAUUGAUACCAUUAUGGUAUGAAUGUAGUAAUAUGCUUCAUUUUUAUGGCAUUCGUGGCAGUAUUGCUGGUGACCCUUUUUGGGAUUGGAUUAUAAUAUUUACUGAAACUAAAAAACUCAAAAUUUGGUUUUAUUAUGGUAGAUUGAUACCAUUGUGGUAUGGAUGUGGCAAUAUGCUAAUUGUGACAGCCCCACCUUCCCCUAAGGCGAACUAAAGAGGUUAGCGGACUGCCUGCCCAACUCUCGCCAGGACUAACGGUGCAGUAUAAAGCGAUCUAUCACGUUCUGAAACUUAUAAUGCGCGCAACAAGGCAAAAGGGCAAAAUAACCCAAAAUAAAAGAAAUGAAAUCCAAAAUCCGCCAUGAAUAGUAACCGACCCGUCCGAAACCCAACCAAACAUCGAAAUACAUAUACAACAUAACAUUAACCAUUUACAAGCCACAAUGGCCUUUAAAAGUGAUACAAAAGUCACUACAUAUGUGGGUUGCCAAAACAAAAGUGAAAACGGCCCUAAUGAUACAUUUAGGGUCCCAUUUUAUAUACAAUACAAAAGAGGCAUUCAUCUAGUUCAUUCGGCAACCAUUUUACAAAAUUCAUUCCAAAAGAGUCAUAUUCCUGUAAGGAAAACAAAAGAAACGGGGUGAGCUAAAUGCCCAAUGAGAAUACAACCACCACAGCAGCUAAGAUCACAUAAGCAUAACCGUUCAGUUCAAGUAUGCAAAUAAGCAAUAAAUCACAUCAGUGAAAGGAUACGGACGGCUCUCAAGAGCCCAUUUCCACGCUUAUUUCUUGAUCCAACUUCAUUGACCCUCCAUCAAUGUUAAAAGUAACCAUCCGUAGACAUCACUUACAUCCAACCGUCCAACUAUCAUACCCCAACCGGGCCAGCACUCCAUUCAGUCAUUUUGGUAAUACUCGAGUUUACCGGAAUCAAGAGUCUCAUUACUACAAGAUUUCCCAGUACAGUCCCCGUGGCAUGUCAAUUAUCACGACCAAGCCCUCGCCGGCUCGAUCCAAUUGACUACCUAACGGAGUUGAGCUCAGUGAUACAGUAAGGUCGUUGGACAUUCGUCCAAACAACACCAAAUCAGUUUCCAUGAAAUGGAAUGCAAUAACUCAUAUAUCAACUUCAGUAAGACAGUGAAACAGUAGACAAUCAGUGAUACUAUCAAAAGGAGUGAGGGCGGUCAAGUACACCCUCACCUUAAUCAAUUACAAUAUCCAAAUAAGCCUUCAAGGCAACACAACCACAUAUAGCAAAGCCACAUUACAACAUUUAAAUGAGUAGUAUACUCACCAAUCACGUAAGUGAUAUUUCAUGCACCAACGUUAAAAAGGUCGCCGUGAACCCUCGUCACGUCCUAGAACACAUAAACAAAGACCAUGAGACUCGAUAACUAGUCAUAAAGCCAUACCAAUUAUAACCCCAAUAGGGUUUCAUAUGCAUAAAUAAGCAUCAUAGGUAACCAGAAAUUAAGAAAUGGCAUUAGCUUAGGCCUUAACAAAAAAAACAGUUUUCGUCAUACUUUUGCGGUAAUGGCACAAAAUGUGCUAUGCUUAUCGGAUGAGGGUGUAAGACCCACCAUCUCGAAGCUAAAAGACAGGGCUACAACAAUGUAGAAGGCCACUCAGUCCAAAUCCUAGUACAACUAGGUCAAAAAUGCAGAUUACCAAACCAGAACCGCAAUUGCAGGUUCCCAAAUCGUACUAUGCUGUAAUUAGUCUAUUUCAGUCUACACAAGUCCAAAUUCAUUGAUUCCAAAGGCAUAUGAUAGCUAAGACAUCCAGCUACAUUUCAUCAGAAGACACCAACAACAAAAUCCAAACCAAUUCCAGUCAAAAUGGCCAAUUACUUGUACAGUUUUCGCAUUCUGAUCAACCCAGAACAGCAACAGUAAAAUCGACAUAUCUCACUCUACACUAAUCCAAAUGACCUGAAAUUUUGCAGGCACUUCAAACUCAUCAAUACCUACAACUUUCAUGUUUUGAGCAAAGUCUAUUUCGGCCUCUAACCCUAUGAUCCAAAACCGGACAGAAUUAGGGGUUUUGAAACCCUAACAUUUCACAUUUCAAUCCAAAUCCAAAAUUGGUUGCAAAUAUCAACAAUUCACAUCCACUAGAGUCAUAACCCCUCAUUAUCAACCAUCAUAAACAACCACAACACCAUGAUCACAUUAAACCAGAAAAUUCCUCAAAAAAAUAAAAACUUCACUAAAUCACUUCAAAUCAAGAAAUAAAUCACAAAAGGCUUCACUAUCACUACCAUUAGGCACAAUUUAAGCAUCAUUAGGUGUAAGGGAAUAGUCAAUCAUCACUUACCUAAGAAAAAAGAUAAGAGGAGUUGUAGACCACCUUAGCUCUUCCAAAAACUUCACCAAACUCAACCACCACCAAAUGGAAAAGUUGUAUGGAAUGGAAACUAGUUUAUGUGAUUGAUUUAGAUGAUUCAAGCUAGUGGAAAGCUUGAAGUUGGAAGAGGUUUUUCUCCUUCUUUGUUAGAGAGAGAGGGCCGGCUAUGGAGAAGAAAAAAAUGAGGAAAUUUUAGUGAAUUUUGGAGAUAUUUAACUAAAUGGGUCAAAAGGUCAAAAGUGGAAUAGUAACUCUUAAACUUCAACCCAUAAAAUGGUGACACUUGUCACACCAUUAAUGCAAUCUUAUCACUUCUUUUUCUCUCUCACAUCAAUCAUUUCACACACUCUACUUAUCUCUUAACACCCGAUAAAUUUUACACAGUAUCCGGAAUUUAACCUAAUUGGCCGAAUUUUUUCCGAACUUUUCGCACUAGUGGGUCCCACGUCCAAUAUAUAUUCUUAAUUUUCUAAAAAUUCUCCAAUACUAGAAAAAUCAUCUAAAAACUAUAAUUACUCAUAAAAUUCACCAGGAAAAUAUUCCUAAGCCAGAAAAUGCAGAAAACAUGCAAUUAAGGGGAAAAACCCUAGGAAAAAUAUUAGGGAAAUACGGGUUCUCACACUCUCUCCCUCUUAAAAAAAUUUCGUCCUCGAAAUUUCUCACCUUAAUUUCUGAAAAGGUUUGGAUACUUCUUUCGCAUUUCCUCUUCCACUUCCCAGGUAGCUUCCUCUACUCCGUGGUUUCUCCAUAGCACUUUCACUAGUGGAAUCCGCUUGUUUCUGAGCUCUUUGACUUUCCGAUCAAGCACUUGGACCGGUUUUUCUUCAUAGGCAAGCGAUUCGUCUACUUCGAUCUCCUCCGGUUGUAAGACAUGGGAUGGGUCAGGAUGAUACUUCUUUAGCAUCGAGAUGUGAAACACAUCGUGGAUUCGAGAGAGACUGGAUGGCAGUUCCAGUCGAUACGCGACCGAUCCAACCCUCUGAAGGAUCUUGUAGGGUCCGACGUACCGCGGUUGAAGUUUCUUUCCUUUGCCCGCUGUAAGACUUCGUAAGGGUGUGAUAUUGAGAAAUACGUAGUUUCUAACUUCAAACUCCAAGUCUUUUCUUCGAUUAUCAGCGUAGAUCUUUUGUCGGCUUUGAGCUGUUUGGAUUCGUUGCCGUAUCAACUUGACCUUCUCGUGAGCCUCUUCCAUCCAUGGAAUAGUUGCCGGGUCUAACGUCUUCGUUUCACCAAUUUCAUCCCAAUAAAUCGGCGACCGGCACUUGCGUCCGUAUAGGGCUUCGUACGGAGCCAUUUGAAUCGACGAAUGGAAGCUAUUAUUGUACGCAAACUCUACCAAGGUCAUGUGCUGACCCCAGUUGCCUCUAAAGUCUAGAAUGCACGUUCGUAGCAUGUCCUCGAGAGUUUGAAUUGUCCGUUCUGACUGGCCAUCCGUCUGAGGAUGAUAGGUCGUGCUCAAAUUGAGUUUAGUCCCCAGGGUUUCUUGAAACUUCUACCAAAAUCGAGACACAAACCGUGGAUCCCGAUCGGAGACGAUGCUUACAGGAACACCGUGUAGUCUUACUAUCUCAUCCAUGUACAGUCGGGCCAACUUGUCCAUUGAAUACUUCAUGUUUACUGGCAAGAAAUGAGCCGACUUGGUUAAUCGAUCAACGAUCACCCAAACGGCGUCAUGUCCUCUUUGCGUCCUCGGUAAACCUGAAACAAAGUCCAUUGUGAUAUUCUCCCAUUUCCACUCGGGUAUCUCCAAGGGUUGUAACAGACCCGACGGUUUUUGAUGCUCUGCUUUCACCUGUUGGCAAAUGAACAUUUCUGCACGUACUGAGAGAUUUCUUUCUUCAUAUUGUCCCAGCAAUAAGUUCCUUUCAGGUCUUGAUACAUCUUGCUGCUGCCCGGAUGGAUUGUAUACUUGGACCGAUGAGCUUCCUCCAAAAUUUCCAUUUUCAUCGACUCUUCCUUCGGUACCACUAUUCGAUUUCGAUAUUUCAAAAUGCCCUCAAGACUCAAAUUGAUGUCCGUAGUUUCUCCCUUUUCCAUUUUCUCUCUCCACUUCUGUACCAUCAAAUCUUCGUUUUGCGCCUCUUUAAUGCGUUCCAGUAGAGUGGAGGUCACCCUAACAUUGACAAAUACCACCUUAUGGCUCCCAAGACAGGGUCUCCACUCACACACGGAUUCUAAUAAAUCACACUCCUUAAUCAUCAAUCCUGCUACUUGCACCUUACAACUCAAAGCAUCUGCUACCACAUUUGCCUUUCCCCGAUGAUAGUUGAUUGUGCAGUCGUAAUCUUCCAGGAAUUCCAUCCACCUUCGUUGCCUCAUGUUCAAUUCCUUCUGGGAGAAAAGGUACUUAAGACUUUUGUGAUCCGAAUACACUUCGAAGGUCACCCCAUAUAGGUAAUGCCUCCACUUUUUCAGUGCAAAGACCACUGCGGCUAGUUCCAGAUCGUGAGUCGGGUAGUUCUGCUCGUGAAGCUUCAAUUUCCUAGAGGCGAAAGAAAUCACAUUCCGGUUCUGCAUCAACACGCACCCCAAUCCUUCUCGUGACGCGUCUGCAUACACCGCAAACCCGUCCACUCCAUUUGGCAAAACUAGCACUGGAGCCAUGGUCAAUCUUCUCUUUAGUUCCUGAAAACUUGUUUCGCAUCGGGCGUUCCAGACAAAUCCUCCAUGCUUCUUUGUCAGGUCAGUUAAAGGUCCCGCCAGUUUGGAAAAAAUCCUUAAUGAACCUUCGGUAGUACCCAACUAACCCUAGAAAGCUGCGAAUUUCCGUGGGGUUUUCUGGCCUCUUCCAAUUUGUCACGGCCUCUACCUUCGCCGGGUCCACAGAAAUACCUUCGUGGGAGAUCACGUGCCCUAGAAACGCUACUUUCUCCAACCAGAACUCGCAUUUACUAAACUUGGCGUACAGCUGAUGUUCCCUCAAUAUCUGCAACACCACUCUCAAAUGCUCCUCAUGCUCCUCGCGUGUCUUAGAGUAGACCAGAAUGUCGUCAAUGAACACAACGACAAAUCGGUCCAGAUAGGGUUUGAAAACCUGGUGCAUUAGGUCCAUGAAGGCGGCGGGAGCAUUUGUCAGUCCAAAGGGCAUAACGGCGAACUCGUAAUGCCCGUAUCUUGAGUUGAAAGCAGUUUUCGGAAUGUCCUCCUUCCUAAUCAACAACUGAUAGUAUCCCUGCCGGAGGUCCAACUUGGAGAAGACCACUGCUCCUUGCAGCUGGUCAAACAACUCGUCGAUGUGAGGCAGUGGAUACUUAUUCUUGAUGGUUACGUUGUUCAGCCCCGGUAAUCAAUGCACAUCCUCAAGGUUCCGUCCUUCUUCUUCACAAAUAGAACAGGAGCCCCCAAGGAGAUCCACUCUCGUGAAUGAAUUCCCGCUCCAAAAGAUCUUGUAAUUACAACUUAAGUUUUGCAGGCGCCAUUCGGUAAGGGAUUUUUGAGAUAGGUGAGGUUCCAGGUAAUAGAUCUAUUCGGAAUUCUAUCUCCCUUUCCGGAGGUAAGGCUACUAACUCAUCAGGAAAAACAUCCGGAAAUUCCCUCACUAUGGCCACGUCUUCCACUUUUAAUUAUCCGUAGGGGUGUUAAUCAAAAAGGCCAAAAAUCCUUGCGCCCCUCUACUUAUCAGUUUCCUAGCCCGUAUGCCCGAGAUUAAAGCAGAUGAGACUAACCUACCCCUUAUAUCUAACUUUAAGGUUGCCUCGCCAGGAAUGCGAAAUUCUACUACCUUCGUUUUACAAUCCAGUUGGGCGUUAUAUUUGGCUAGCCAGUCCAUACCCAGAAUCACGUCAUACCCCUUAAUGGACAAGCUAAUAAGAUCUCCUAAAAAUCUCUUUUCACUUACCCAUACAUCGCAGUCCCUAUAAACCAUACUAGUCACCAACCGUUGAUUCCCCGUAGGUGUACUAACCUCUAGGUCAUAUGGUAAACUAGCAGGUUUUAUAUCGAUGCCACACAUGAAAUCAGGGUUAACAAACGAAUGAGUGGCACCAGGAUCAAUUAAAACUUUGGCAAAACGGUGGAAAAUAGGGAUCGUACCUUCUACGACCUCCGAAGACUCUGGGACCUGAUGGGGCUCUAUAGAGUACACCUUAGCUGGUACUUUAGGUUUGGACCCAUCUCCCUUGGCUGGUCCAGUAUUGGUCCUCGAUGAUGGUUGGCUCCCCUUUCCGUCUUGUUUCAGGACCGGGCAUGUAGCCAAUUGGUGGUCCGCGCUUCCACAUCGCAGACAUUUGCCCUAUUUCCUCCAGCAAUUAUUUUCGGUGUGGUUUGCUUUUCCACAAUGCCCACAGGGACCACGGGGUGCCAAAGCCGAGCCACUCUGAGCGUUUCCCCUUUGUCCUCGCCCAGUUUGACCACCCCUGAACGGAGUCCCUCUGCCUGAACCAGACUGUCGACACACCACCCGUUCCUCGUCCGAAUUUAGAUGGAGUAGUCUUUUCACCCUGUCCGGAAGUACUCCCAGGAAAGCCACGCUUCUUAGCCUGUAAGUUUCGGACCUGCAGCCGUGUACUUUCAACUCGUUGGGCUUUUUCCAUUGCCUCGCUAAACGUAGUGAUUUGAGCCGCCGCGAGGUUUUCUGGAUCUCAACGUUCAAACCCUGAAUAAAGCGCCUCACCCGUCGUUGCUCAGUCAUGAUUAGCUCAGCGCGAAUUUGGACAGGCGGGUGAACUGACUCUCAUAUUCCGCCACAGUCUGAGCCCUUGCCGGAGCCGGAUAAACUCGUCCUCCUUCCUCUCCUGGACUAGAGGAGGGAAAAACUUUACAUUAAAUUCUCGGAUGAAAUUCACCCAUGUCCUAGGCAUCUGCUCCCGCUCCCAUUUCUGUCUAAUUACGUUCCACCAGGAACGGGCAGCCCCCUCAAAUUGAAAUACGGUAAAAGUCACCUGCCGUUCGUCUGGGUAAUGUAGAGCUGCAAAUAUAUCAACCAUCUUCUCAAGCCAUUUCUCAGCAACGUCAGGGUCGGGUCCCCCAACAAACUUUGACGGGAAAAACUUUUGAAAACGUUCUAGAGCUCUAUCUUCGCUCUCAAUAUGAUGGCCAGGGUUUCCGGGGUUAGGGUUUGGGUUCUGGCCCUGUUGUUGCACUACUUGUGCUAGUAAAUUGGUCAUUUGCUGCAUAGCAGCAGCUAUUUGCACAUUCGGAUCUAUUUGCGGUCCAGGAUUGGGUCCAGUAGAGGUUUCCCUCGUUUCCCUAACCGGUGUGGGUUGUCUAGUUCCGCGCCCACGUCCCCGACCACUCCGUGUACCUUCCAUGAGUUUUAUUCGCGUUUAGGCAAGAAUACUAAACCAAAGUAGUAACAAGACAUAUAAGUAACACUUAAACUUUGCACAAUAACACAUAUUUAUACAGUCCAAGCAUAAUCACAAACACACAUACAUACAAGCCAAACACAUAUAUACAAUCAGUCAAGUCAAGUACGGCCAAAGCACGUACAAACACAAACGAUCCCCCGAGGAUUGGCCUAUCAAAAGAGAUUUACGCGUAGCUAACAACCCAAAACGGUUAGCUAAGGCUCUAUCCCUAUCCCUAUGUACAUACAAAAACCACCAACUAUCCAAAAGAUGCCUAAAGAUCAAGGCCUAGUCAGUCGCUGGGGUCUGGGAUCCAGGCGACAGGGUAGACUCUCCCCCGCCUCAGCCCCCGCAUACGAAGCCUCAUCACUAGACUCCUCAAGACCAUCGUCACACAAAUUAAGGAUCGCCUCAGCGCGACCCCUGACUUUGCGAGCCCGCGUAAUCUCGCGCUCGCGUGCAGUCCUCAGCUGAUCGCAGAGGUCGUCAACUCGGUCCUCGACCUCAAGCACGUCGUACUCUAACUCUUUGAUACGUGCGACUUGCUUCUCAUUGGUUGCCUUAACCUGAGUCACCUCAGCUUCCAGCGUAGCAACCCCGCUUCCAACUUAGUGUUGUCAUCCUCUAGCUCCUUACGCUCCUUUGCCACAGCCAAAACUAAGGCGUUCGGGUAAGCAUAAGUAUCACGGCACCACACCGUCGAAGGCGGUUGGCCGGGCUCCAACGCACCACGGCCCCCUUCUGCCUGAUCUGAUAUGGAAUCACGGGAAGUGCUCUGGGAGGUCUCACUCCCGAAGGACUAGCACUAGGGUCACCACUCGCAUCCAUCCUAUAGCAAAGGAAGAAAUGACAUGAAUACACUUAAUAGGCAUAAACAAUAGAAUCCUCAAGUCAAGCAUUCCUAUAACACCCAGGCUAAUUCAAACCUAGACUCUGAUACCACCUGUGACAGCCCCACCUUCCCCUAAGGCAAACCAAAGAGGUUAGCGGACUGCCUGCCCAACUCUCGCUAGGACUAACGGUGCAGUAUAAAGCGAUCUAUCACGUUCUGAAACUUAUAAUGCGCGCAACAAGGCAAAAGGGCAAAAUAACCCAAAAUAAAAGAAAUGAAAUCCAGAGUCCGCCAUGAAUAGUAACCGACCCGUCCGAAACCCAACCAAACAUCGAAAUACAUAUACAACAUAACAUUAACCAUUUACAAGCCACAAUGGCCUUUAAAAGUGAUACAAAAGUCACUACAUAUGUGGGUUGCCAAAACAAAAGUGAAAACGGCCCUAAUGAUACAUUUAGGGUCCCAUUUUAUAUACAAUACAAAAGAGGCAUUCAUCUAGUUCAUUCGGCAACCAUUUUACAAAAUUCAUUCCAAAAGAGUCAUAUUCCUGUAAGGAAAACAAAAGAAAUGGGGUGAGCUAAAUGCCCAGUGAGAAUACAACCACCACAGCAGCUAAGAUCACAUAAGUAUAACCGUUCAGUUCAAGUAUGCAAAUAAGCAAUAAAUCACAUCAGUGAAAGGAUACGGAUGGCUCUCAAGAGCCCAUUUCCACGCUUAUUUCUUGAUCCAACCUCAUUGACCCUCCGUCAAUGUUAAAAGUAACCAUCCGUAGACAUCACUUACAUCCAACCGUCCAACUAUCAUACCCCAACCGGGCCCGCACUCCAUUCAGUCAUUUUGGUAAUACUCGAGUUUACCGGAAUCAAGAGUCUCAUUACUACAAGAUUCCCCAGUACAGUCCCCGUGGCAUGUCAAUUAUCACGACCAAGCCCUCGCCGGCUCGAUCAAUUGACUACCUAACGGAGUUGAGCUCAGUGAUACAGUAAGGUCGUUGGACAUUCGUCCAAACAACACCAAAUCAGUUUCCAUGAAAUGGAAUGCAAUAACUCAUAUAUCAAGUUCAGUAAGACAGUGAAACAGUAGACAAUAGUGAUACUAUCAAAAGGGGUGAGGGCGGUCAAGUACACCCUCACCUUAAUCAAUUACAAUAUCAAAUAAGCCUUCAAGGCAACACAACCACAUAUAGCAAAGCCACAUUACAACAUUUAAGUGAGUAGUAUACUCACCAAUCACGUAAGUGAUAUUUCAUGCACCAACGUUAAAAAGGUCGCCGUGAACCCUCGUCACGUCCUAGAACACGUAAACAAAGACCAUGAGACUCGAUAACGAGUCAUAAAGCCAUACCAAUUAUAACCCCAAUAGGGUUUCAUAUGCAUAAAUAAGCAUCAUAGGUAACCAGAAAUUAAGAAAUGACAUUAGCUUAGGCCUUAACAAAAAAAACGUUUUCGUCAUACUUUUGCGGUAAUGGCACAAAAUGCGCUACGCUUAUCGGAUGAGGGUGUAAGACCCACUAUCUCAAAGCUAAAAGACAGGGCUACAACAAUGUAGAAGGCCACUCAGUCCAAAUCCUAGCACAACUAGGUCAAAAAUGCAGAUUACCAAACCAGAACCGCAAUUGCAGGUUCCCAAAUCGCACUAUGCUGUAAUUAGUCUAUUUCAGUCUACACAAGUCCAAAUGCAUUGAUUCCAAAGGCAUAUGAUAGCUAAGACAUCCAGCUACAUUUCAUCAGAAGACACCAACAACAAAAUCCAAACCAAUUCCAGUCAAAAUGGCCAAUUACUAGUGCAGUUUUCGCAUUCUGAUCAACCAGAACAGCAACAGUAAAAUCGACAUAUCUCACUCUACACUAAUCCAAAUGACCUGAAAUUUUGUAGGCACUUCAAACUCAUCAAUACCUACAACUUUCAUGUUUCGAGCAAAGUCCAUUUCGGCCUCUAACCCUAUGAUCCAAAACCGGACAGAAUUAGGGGUUUUGAAACCCUAACAUUUCACAUUUCAAUCCAAAUCCAAAAUUGGUUGCAAUAUAACAAUUCAGAUUCACUAGAGUCAUAACCCCUCAUUAUCAACCAUCAUAAACAACCACAACACCAUGAUCACAUUAAACCAGAAAAUUCCUCAAAAAAUAAAAACUUCACUAAUUCACUUCAAAUCAAGAAAUAAAUCACAAAAGGCUUCACUAUCACUACCAUUAGGCACAAUUUAAGCAUCAUUAGGUGUAAGGGAAUAGUCAAUCAUCACUUACCUAAGAAACAAGAUAAGAGGAGUUGUAGACCACCUUAGCUCUUCCAAAAACUUCACCAAACUCACCACCAACACCAAAUGGAAAAGUUGUAUGGAAUGGAAACUAGUUUAUGUGAUUGAUUUAGAUGAUUCAAGCUAGUGGAAAGCUUGAAGUUGGAAGAGGUUUUUCUCCUUCUUUGUUAGAGAGAGAGGGCCGGCAAUGGAAGAAAAAAAUGAGGGAAUUUUAGUGAAUUUUGGAGAUAUUUAACUAAAUGGGUCAAAAGGUCAAAAGUGGAAUAGUAACUUAAACUUCAACCCAUAAAAUGGUGACACUUGUCACACCAUUAAUGCAAUCUUAUCACUUCGUUUUCUCUCUCACAUCAAUCAUUUCACACACUCUACUUAUCUCUUAACACCCGAUAAAUUUUACACAGUAUCCGGAAUUUAACCUAAUUGGCCGAAUUUUUUUCGAACUUUUCGCACUAGUGGGUCCCACGUCCAAUAUAUAUUCUUAAUUUUCUAAAAAUUCUCCAAUACUAGAAAAAUCAUCUAAAAACUAUAAUUACUCAUAAAAUUCACCAGGAAAAUAUUCCUAAGCCAGAAAAUGCAGAAAACAUGCAAUUAAGGGGAAAAACCCUAGGAAAAAAUAUUAGGGAAAUACGGGUUCUCACACUAAUGGUAUCUUUGAAAUAGAUAGGUGACAUCUUUGCUAAAACUGAUUUAAUUUGACAAGUUCAUUGCAAUGUAAUCUCCAGUCUUUUCAAUUUUUUUGUCCUGUAUUUUUUAAAUGUCUUGCAACAAAACAAUGUAGCUUCAUUCGUUCAUCUUAAUCAAAACCAGAAUGUCUACUUCAUUACAUCCAAUUGAAACUAGAUGUGGCAACAUGUUGCGACAUAACAAAAUCUACCAUUGUGCCCAACUCCCUCAUCUACUACACAUUUUUUAUACUAAUUUGUCCUGAACAUUCAUUUCAUACAUAUAACAACUAGUGACAAAAGAGACACAACUACAAACACCAUCAUCAUCAUCUCAUUAGCCCUGUCAUUGUUUCGACAUUGUGAAUCUUCGACUGUAGUGUCUCAUAAUGAUAUUAUAGUUAUUACUUUCCAUCCCUUGCCAGAGAUGAAAAAUAUUUUCGCCAUUGCAGAUCCAGUAGUGAAACUCCUUCCAUGUAUGGACUUUGACAGGAUGAUUCAUUAGUGCCUGCCUCUCUACUAAUUGGGUUGCAUCAUGUCCAAAAUGAACAAGCACCAUUUUCACAUACAAAAUACAACAUAUCUUUUGAUGGAUUUUUAGAUUCCACUACCUUAAUCUUUGCUUUAUUCUUGCAAAAACAUCAAUUUUGGUACCUUAGCUUGACAUUUUCGGUUUCUUCCUUGAACAAAGCUAUGUUGUGCCCUCCAAAGCUACGCUCUUAUGAUUUUUGUCUUAAUUUUGUGUCUCUCUGUCCAAUUUUUCCAUUUGCAAAAUAACAACUAUGGUGGGUUUCAUUCGUAAGAGACAUGGAGGGAAAAAUGGGAAUGAAAACUAGUCUCUUUCAGUCACAUGCGGCCAUUAGGUCGCAUCAAUGUCACUUGCUAGCUUCCUAGCCGGUUAGUAGGUAAAAUCCAAAGAAAUCCAAAGCACCGGGGAGGGUUAAGUGGGUGUUUUUAAAUAAUGAGAGGGUUUCGUGUUUAUUUCCCUAACCACAGGGGUUUACUGUAUUUUACCCUAUUGAUAUUGGUGAGGUGGAAUUUGGGGCAGAACCCCUCUAAGAAUUUUGUUUCUCCCCAGUGUCUCAAGAGGUAAUCAGGCCCUGCUUGAAUUCUAAUCCUGCUGGUAGACCUAGUUUGGAAGAACUAUUCAGGGUGAUUUGUUUAAGGACCUUAAGCCAUUUGAAAAGGUGGUAGGGAAAAUCUUUGAGGUGCGCGUUUUUUAUGGUAAGGGCACCUACAAACUGGUGAAAAUUCUUGGCCACCACCAGGGGAAUGUCUGGUUUACCAAGCCAAGUAUGAGCCCAUCAAAAGCACUGAUCACUAUGUGGCUUUGAAGGUAAUGGAGAUGGAGAAGUGAGUUGCUCCAGAAAUCAGCUGAGAUCAGUGUGGAUGCUAAUUCCCAUCCGUGUAUCAUCGGGGUUAUAAACGAAUUUGCAAGCGGUACAAGUUAUUGUGUCUCGAUGCCCUUAUUUGAUAAGGGUUCACUGAGGCUUCUUUCAAGGAAUCGAUGAAAUGAUGGUUGACCCGACGAUUGUAUUGCCCUGGUUCGGAUGGAACCCUUAAAAGGUCUUGGUUUCCUCCAUGAAAAUCAUAUGGUUCUCAAACGUGCCAGUCCAGACGAUAUUUUUUUCUGUAGGAAUCCUUUAUGCAUUGCUUUGGGUCAUGAUGCAACUCUGUGUCAUGCUUGGAAAUCUGACAAUGCUAAAAAUUCAGUGAUAAAUUCAACGAUUGAUGAAUUCAGUCAUGCUUCAGAAGUCUAUGAUGCUGGGGAGGCUCUGACAUAUGGCUCCUCAGAUUAACUGCUUUGGAGUUGGCCUAUCACCGCAUCCCUGUCAAGACAAGAGUAGGCUUAAUGGUUAUUAUACAUCAAUCAAAACAAUUGUUUGCCUACAGGACUGAAGCACCGCUUGUCUAGGGAGAAACGAGACAGUUCGCCAGCAAUUUCGGUCACCUUGUCAGCCUAUGUCUCCCUGAAAAUCCUGCACAAAGACCAUUAGCUAUCCAGCUGUUGGAACAUCCAUUCUUGAGAAGUUGCACUAGUCUUGAAUGUUUCGAUAAGGUGCUUUAAGUAAUAUGGCCAUUUUGAAGCUUCUCCUCCCCUGAGUCUGCUUGAAGUAUUUCGUGUUUUCGACUUAUUGUUUUUUAUUUUUAAAGGUGCUCAAGUAAUGUGGCAAGUUUGAAAAGUUCUCCUGCCUAUGUUAAAAUGAGAAAUUUCAUAUUUUCGGUGUACAGUUUUUGUGCUCUUAAGUUUAUCUUGCUUACUUUUUGACAUCUUGUGAAAUUUAAGUAUUUAGAUUUUUUUUUUAAAUUUUGGGUUAAUUAUUGACCUUUUGAAAUUGAGAAUGCUUGGAUGUUGGUGUUACAACAAUUUUUUUUGGGAUGCUUCUUCUCAAAUUGUUACUUGGGAGCUUUAUUUUCCCCUGAUAAGAAGAAGAUGAGGCAUCAACAAUUAUUAUCCCUGGCAAACCAACAUUUAUUUGCAACAUGUCUUAGUAUAAUGAUGGAAUAUCUUAGUGCCUUCAGAAUCAUAUUGCAUUUGGUUAUGCAGGUAAAAUUUUCAUAGGAAGGGGAAAAUUGAAAGUAGAAAUGCCUUUAAUAAUCAUUUCACCAGUCAAUAAUUCCUUCAGAAUGCCAAUUGACACUGGAUGUUGAAACUUUGAAUGCAUAAAACUACUUUAUUGAGAGGCAAUUGGUGACAUUAUGUUUACUGAAGUGAUUCUUUGCAAUGCUACAGAACGUAUGAACUAGUUAUAAAACCAAACCGCAUUGAUAGCCUCUACUCGUGUCCUACCUCGUGAGAGCUAGAUUUGCUAAUACUUUGAAAAUUAAAGUUUUUCACCUUUUUAUCAUUUUUGGCACUGACGGGCUAUGUUAUUGCAUCUGGAUAAUCCACCUAAUUCUAUCCUAAAAUUCUAUGCAGCUGUGUUUUUCUUCUUCAUCUCCUCAGAUCUCUUUUCUUUUUCCCCCCUUUCCUCUCUGUUUUGAACUUAUGCCUCAUGGUAUGCCUAACUUGCGACCUUCAUAAUGAUAUGGCCUAUUUCUUAAUGUCAGUUUGCUGGCGCCUUCAAGCAAUCUCAAGUUCUUAGGAUCAGAGAGUUUGUCCAAAAUGGUCUUAUUUCUGCAGCUCUUUUGCGGAAUAUCCCAUUCUGCUGGAGCAGCAGACCUUUUGGCAAAAAGUGCUUGUGGCUUCAAUGUUUUGGAGCAGUUAGUCUUGCCUAGUCCUUUUUUGCAAUAUCUGCUGGAUUUGAAUUCUACUUAACAUCCUCAAGAAAGAAGGACAACUUGUAGUUUCCACUCUAGACAUGUAUUAUUGAGGUUGACGUUAGUCUGUUUUAGUUCUUUGAUGCUUGCUAAAUCGUGUGUUCAGUGCUUUGUACGGUUGUGUGACUUUCUUCAAGCAAUCUGUGCAUUGUUGUUUUCUCAUUCAGAAAACUUGCAAUCCUUAAUAGUUGUAAGAAAUGGAUUUUCUGUCUCCUGAUUUCAAUUAAAUAUGUAUGUAUGUGUAUCUAGUCUUUCAAAAUGGAGCUUCUGAAGUAUCAGCAUAUUUUACACUUGCAGACACUAAUUCUGGAAAAACUAGAGAUAAAUAUAUAGCGAGUUCUUUCAUCCUUGUAGUCACUGUGCUGACAACUUCCAAAGUCUCAUGAAGAGCUUAUUGUUUCCUAAAUUGUCCAUUAUGUUUGACAAUUGGCAGUAGUUCAACUUGAGGAUAUGUUGGCUUCUAGCCACUCUGGUUUCUUCAGUGCUUUAGUCUAGAUAUAUAUCGAACUCUUGCUAACAUCCUGUAUAGCAACUUGUUAUAGCUUCAACUUGAUCCAUUUUUUUGACAUGCUGGCCUUCAGGCAUGGAAACUUGAAUUUAUUUGGUUUAAUUUUAUCAAAAGUUUGUCAGAGAAGUUUGUUUUGAGUAUCUUUUUAGUUGAUAUAGAAGACGUGCUAUGUUGAUGAAUGCACAUAAUCAGUUGUAUCGCUCGUAAAGAGCAUGCUUGGAGCAGGCUGAUGACUCCUGUUAGAAGUUUUUGGAACUAUAUAGAGUAUACCUCAAAUAUGAUACUUGAUAUGUGCCCUCUUAAAGCUGUGAAGUCCUUGAAUGUUCCAUGUUCUGUGAAAGAUGUAUAUAUCAACAUCAUAAUAUCUUGACUGUAGGUUAGCAUCUAGACUGUAGAUCUUUUAAGGUCCAAUCAUAGAAGAAGUGGUUUAUCACCUCGAUGAAGAUUUGGUCUUGUAACGACCCCAUUUUCCCCUAAGGCGAACCAGAGGGGUCAACGGCCGCCUGCCCAACUCUCGCCAGGACUCCGUCAAUCACUACAGUUCUCCAAAAAAUUUCACUAUAAAUCUCAAAUAUAUUUAUCAAAUUCUCCAAGAACUACAUAUCAUAAACGCUGCGGAAUGUACACGUACGUCCAUUCAAGUCCAAUCAUUCAUUACAAACCAUAUCCACAAGCUAUUACACAAGAGGCGAUCCAAAUUCAAACCGUACAAAGUGUAAUUCCAUCCAUUCCAAUUCCCCUAGCCCAACAAUUACACAAACGAUUCCAAAUCUAAACUAUACAAAUUACAAGCCAUCCAGGUACACCGAUAACGUAAUACAGCUCUUCCUUUGUUCGAAACCGGUACUCGCAUAAACACAUCAAACACGUAAUGCAGUUUAUCGAAGACUUGAUAAGGACAUAGAUAUACAUGAGAAAGGUUCAAUUGUACACUUCAAAAGUACUUGAAUUCAUUUACAUCAAAAUUUCAAGUUUUCGAGGAGCAACUCAAAACUAGCUACAUAACUAGCUCAACUCAUUUCAAAACUUGAGUCCAGCAGUGUCCCUGUAAGGAAAACAAAACAACGGGGGUGAGCUUGCGCUCGUGAGGUACCAAAUGCACAAGUACAUGAUAUGGCCAAAUAACAUAUAUGCAUAAGUGCCUUCGUUCAAACAUCCAUUUAUAAAAGGAUACAUUCGGCCCUCAAGGGCCGUUUCCGAGGUCCAUACUUGAUCGUACUCGUUGACACUCCGUCAACCAUUGAGGAUAACCAAAAACCGUAGACACCACUUCGCACCAACUCCUUCCACCAUUCACCCCCUAUUCGGGCCCACACACCUCAUAGUUUCAAAAGGUAAUACUCGAGUAUACCACAAGGUCGAGGAGAUAACACUCCACUCGCCUAUCAGAGACCCGAAGGCUCGUUAACGAAUCGCCCAAGCCCUUGCUGGCUCGACUCAAAUAACGGUCCAAGGGAAUGAGCUCAGUUUUCACAGAAAUAAUAGGGCAUUGCCCUAACAAAUAUCAAAUCACAUAUUCAUGAAAUUUCACAGUCCAACAGUAGCAAUAGUGCAAGCAAGUGGUCAAGAGCGGUAAAGUACACCCUCGACCUAUUCAAGUCAUAUAACAAGUACAUUGAACCAUUUAAUGAUACACUCACCAAGCACGGCUCACGAAGCUUAUCCGGCAAACCUCACUAUCUCGAUCAAGUUGGAAUCCUAAAACCAAAUAUCAAGUCAAGCAAAGGAAAAUUCUAACAUUAACAAGUUUCUAUUGCCUUUUGGCAUUUUAAAGCUACACCCAUCCGAUCGAAACAAAUCUUAUGGCGUUACAAAGCUAAAACAUAUGUCAACAUUUCUUAUGAAGAUUUCCAAGGCCAAAUCAUACAUUUUCAAAACCAAAAAUCUGAAUUCUAGAGAAAGAACGAAAACUGUCAUAAAACAGGAGUCUAUAAACAGUCAGAGCAAAUCAGUCAUUUUCCAGGCUACAGAGGUCCAAACAAUCUGAAAUUUUGCAGGUAGGUAGUUAACUCAUAUAUCUACAAAAUUCAUGUUUUGAGCAAAAGCUGGUUCGGUCUAAAACACAGAGAAAAUGACUGUCCAAGUUCAGUCCAGAAACAGGGGAAAAACUGAAAUUACUCUCCUUGAACCUAUCUUUGCGUAUAACCAUCCCUAACCACAAUUAAGGCCUAGAAAUCCCCACUUAACAUGAGACUAGUCUAUACUAAUCAUGUACAUGGCAAUUCCACGAGGACAAAUCAUUUCGAUAACGUCUGGAAGUACCACCAAACUUUCAAUCAUAAGAAUUCAUAAACUUAACCAAGAUUAACUCAAGUUCAAAGUAAUCAAAUGUUCUCUAAAAUUUGACAGCAUUUCCCUUAAGUUUACACAUUUCCAACCUACCAUACAAAUACCCCAAUCAUAUAGCCAUUAACCACAAUUGCACAUACGGUUCGUAAACGAUAAAACAUAUCCAAUUAGGGCCACAAAACCCUUUAAUCAAAACUAAUUAAAAGCUUAAAGCCAACCAUUAGAAAAACCCCCAAUUAAAACCCUAGAACCGGAAAUUCAUAUUAUAAGCGUAAAUUUUCCGCAAUUGAUCACCAUUAACGUAUAAGAGCUUCCAUUAACACCAUUUAAACCACUAAUCCAAAUCCAAUCCAAGACUUUCAUAUAAAAUCAUAAAAUACCCAAUAAAUCAGAAAAUCACCAUAAUUUCCAUAAACCCAUGAAAUACUCCAUAAUACAACACAUUUAAACAUCACAAACCCUAAAUUAACCAAUUUUAGAACCAAAAGGAACUUGUUUAAGCAACUUACCACAAAUUCAAGAAGCUAACACCUUAGAGCCUUCCCUCCACAAUCAAUCCAUCUAAAAGCUUUAAACCACCUUUGAGAGCACUUGUGUGAAAUAUUUGGCAAAACCACCGAUUAAAACUCAAGAUUCAAAGAAGGAAAUCAAAGGGAAGAAAUGGAGUUUUUCUUUUCUUGUUUUCUCUCCAAGACAGCCGGGCAAGGAGGUGCAAAAUGACGAGCAAACACAGCCAAAACAAGAUAUUUAUCAAGCACAAAAGCUGGUCAAAAGUGGCUGCCGGACAUGACACGUCACAAUCCGGCCGGAAUCUGGCCGGAUUUCCGGCCGGAUUCUUGGCCGGAUUCAAGGCAGAAUCGAAACCAAUUUUUUUUCAAAAUUGCAAGGCAAUCCGGCCAUCUAUCCGGCCAGAAACUGGCCGGAUUUCCGGCCGGAUUUGGCCCUUGCCAUUUUUCGAAACUUUUCUUUUCUUGUCCGAGUUGAAAAACUGUGCUACUCCGCUCGUCCAACAAAAAUAUCCAUAAAAUGAAAACCCUACUUUUCGGGGCGUCACAAUCUCCCCUCCUUAAAACAAUGUCGUCCUCGACAUUCUACCUCAUAUACAUCUGGUCAAGAUAUCGUUCAAAAACGCAUUCAAGCAUUAGAAUUCCAUAAUCCAACUUGCAUUCACCAGGUCCAAUUAGUCUUCCCAAAGUCGGUCAAAUACUAAGAAUUGUUCCAAUCUCACUUAUCGAAAUCAAGUACUAAGGAGUAUCCAAAUCCAGCUUAUCAAAUAGUCAUGAUCCAGUAAAGCAUGGCUUAUCAAAUAAUCACUUAUCAAUUUCAAGUACUAAAUACACGCCAAUCCAACUUAUCAAAUAGUCAUGAUCCAAUAAGGAGUUAUCGCGUAGCCAGAUAAAACAGGCAAAAGGCUUGAAAUCGGACGUAAAGUCCCAGAUAUCUGGAAGAAAUUCAGGGUGUAGCGAAGCUGCAAAUCAAAAACUCAUCCUGGUGGUGCUGGACAACACAACAAGCUAGCACAACGGCUAUGCUUCACCAAAGAAUUUCAAUUCAGUAAGUUGGCCCUGGUGGUGCCGGACAACACAACAAGUUAGAACCACGGCUAAACUUCGCCAGAGAGCCUCAAUUCAAAAUUCCAUCCCUGGUGGUGCUGGACCACACAACAGGCAUGCCUCGCCUGAAGAAUGGCGGUGCUGGACAACACAACAAGCAAUGCCUCACCAGAGAGGUUCAGUUCACCCGCUACAAAAGAGUAGUAGCCGGUCUACAACCAUAUGAGUAUGAAUAAGUUCAAGAGUAGGGUCAAAGCAGCGCCAAUUACUUCAGGUUCAUAGUGCAUGAGUACGAGGAAGUUCAAAAGCAGGGUCAAUUAUUGCAGGUUCAGGGAGCACGGUCACAAAUAAGAGUACAAGUUCAGGUUCAAGUGCAAGUUCAAGUUCAGGGAUCAUGAGUACUGGUAAAACACACUAGCCUAACCUCUGUCCAACUAUUCACAUUCUUAAGCAGUCAUGAAAUUCAAGUCCACCUACAGGUCCAAUACCAUAUAUUCAGUGAAGUUAGGUCCAUCAAGGAUACGUAUAAACACACUCGCCUAACGAGGUCAAGUCUCAAGGAAGUUCAAUCUAGUCGAUCUCAGGCAGCUCAAGACCAAUCUCAGGUAGUUCGAGGUCAAUCCAAGUAGUUCAAGUAUAGCAAAUUCCAACACUUACCACUCAAGUGGUGCAACUUUAAUCCAACAGGAAUACUAGAAGAGAGAUACAAAACUAAAAAUUUUCAACAAUUCUAGCCACUACCGAAAUCUAUCAAAACCCGAGCCACAUACUUAUUGAACAAGUCCAAGUCAUUAUUUCACUCUCCUUAUUCGGUUUAGCCGUGAGUACAAUACAAAAUCUUCUGUGCUCUAACCUAUGCCAUCACAACUUAUCUCAAACUCACUUAUAAUUUCCAUUCACAUCGUCAUACAUUAAACUAUGUUCCAACCAAGAUUCAUGAGCAUUUCCUCAAGAAAAUGUCAAGUACUCAAAUACAAGAAUUCCAACUAAGAACUUCACGACUCAGAUCGUAUGGUAUUCAGCGAAAAUCAAAGUCAUAUUUUACAUAUACUACUUCCAGAAUUAGUGCCAAUGUCACCAAGUUCAAUCGGAUCACAUGCCUUUACGAAAUUAGAUCCAAUAAGUCCAUAACACAAGCUGAAACCAAAGAUUAUCCAUUCGAAGUUCAAAAUCUUCAAUAAACCAGCUACUAGUAAGAGCACCAUCAUCUCCAAGAAUAACCAAUCUUAGGUUCUAUAGCAGAGUCUCAAGUUCAAGUUCAAAUCCAAGAAGUAAGCACAGCUUGCUAACUUACAUGUUAAAUAGAAACCAAGUCAAAUAAGCUCAUCAGUUAUUCACAAAUUUUCGAAUUCGAAAUUCAAGUAAAAUUCACCUUUUUACCAAAAUCGGAAAAUUACACAUUUUUAAAGCAUAUAUAUCGUAUUUCCAAUCAUCGCUUGCAAAUAAAACUAGGAAGUAUACAGGCAGAAAAUGCAUUUUAUUCAUUUGAUACUCUUUUAUCUUGGUUCAAAAUCAUCAUACGUGGAGUUUGGCCAGCAAACCUCGGUCUCUUAUUCCCCAUAGCCAGUACUAAUGAUUAUAUCAAUUCUUUCCACACUUACAAGUAUAAUUGCAAUUCAAAUUCGUCCAAUCUUUCACUACCAAACUCUCAUCCCAUAUUUUCCUUCAAUAUAACAUCACCUAACUCCUCAGUUUCUUCUGCAAGUCCCAAAUAAACUCCCAAAUAAUCAAUUUCUUUAACCCCUAAGAUCAAUCGUCCUUGUUCACACAAUAUUCAAAUCAAUCCCACAGUCAGGCAUCCUAAAUUUCAAACUUAGGAUACGCUACAGAGAUCUGAAGCCUAAGCUCUGAUACCAAUUGUAACGACCCCAUUUUCCCUAAGGCGAACCAGAGGGGUCAACGGGCCGCCUGCCCAGCUCUCGCCAGGACUCGUCAAUCACUACAGUUCUCCAAAAAAUUUCACUAUAAAUCUCAAAUAUAUUUAUCAAAUUCUCAAGAACUACAUAUCAUAAACGCUGCGGAAUGUACACGUACGUCCAUUCAAGUCCAAUCAUUCAUUACAAACCAUAUCCACAAGCUAUUACACAAGAGGCGAUCCAAAUUCAAACCGUACAAAGUGUAAUUCCAUCCAUUCCAAUUCCCCUAGCCAACAAUUACACAAACGAUUCCAAAUCUAAACUAUACAAAUUACAAGCCAUCCAGGUACACCGAUAACGUAAUACAGCUCUUCCUUUGUUCGAAACCGGUACUCGCAUCACAUCAAACACGUAAUGCAGUUUAUCGAAGACUUGAUAAGGACAUAGAUAUACAUGAGAAAGGUUCAAUUGUACACUUCAAAGUACUUGAAUUCAUUUACAUCAAAAUUUCAAGUUUUCGAGGAGCAACUCAAAACUAGCUACAUAACUAGCUCAACUCAUUUCAAAACUUGAGUCCAGCAGUGUCCUGUAAGGAAAACAAAACAACGGGGGUGAGCUUGCGCUCGUGAGGUACAAAUGCACAAGUACAUGAUAUGGCCAAAUAACAUAUAUGCAUAAGUGCCUUCGUUCAAACAUCCAUUUAUAAAAGGAUACAUUCGGCCCUCAAGGGCCGUUUCGAGGUCCAUACUUGAUCGUACUCGUUGACACUCCGUCAACCAUUAGAGAUAAAAAAACCGUAGACACCACUUCGCACCAACUCCUUCCACCAUUCACCCCCUAUUCGGGCCCACACUCAUAGUUUCAAAAGGUAAUACUCGAGUAUACCACAAGGUCGAGGAGAUAACACUCCACUCGCCUAUCAAGACCGAAGGCUCGUUACGAAUCGCCCAAGCCCUUGCUGGCUCGACUCAAAUAACGGUCCAAGGGAAAGAGUAUAAUAGGGCAUUGCCCUAACAAAUAUCAAAUCACAUAUUCAUGAAAUUUCACAGUCACAGUAGCAAUAGUGCAAGCAAGUGGUCAAGAGCGGUAAAGUACACCUUCAAGUCAUAUAACAAGUACUAUUGAACCAUUUAAUGAUACACUCACCAAGCACACGGCUCACGAAGCUUAUCCGGCAAACGCUCACUAUCUCGAUCAAGUUGGAAUCCUAAAACCAAAUAUCAAGUCAAGAAAGGAAAAUUCUAAAUUAACAAGUUUCUAUUGCCUUUUGGCAUUUUAAAAGCUACACCAUCCGAUCGAAACAAAUCUUAUGGCGUUACAAAGCUAAAACAUAUGUCAACAUUUCUUAUGAAGAUUUCCAAGGCCAAUCAUACAUUUUCAAAACCAAAAAUCUGAAUUCUAGAGAAAGAACGAAAACUGUCAUAAAAGAGGAGUCUAUAAACAGUCAGAGCAAAUCAGUCAUUUUCCAGGCUACAGAGGUCAAACAAUCUGAAAUUUUGCAGGUAGGUAGUUAACUCAUAUAUCUACAAAUUCAUGUUUUGAGCAAAAGCUGGUUCGCGUCUAAAACACAGAGAAAAUGACUGUCCAAGUUCAGUCCAGAAACAGGGGAAAAACUGAAAUUACUCUCCUUGAACCUAUCUUUGCGUAUAACCAUCCCUAACCACAAUUAAGGCCUAGAAAUCCCCACUUAACAUGAGACUAUCUUACUAAUCAUGUACAUGGCAAUUCCACGAGGACAAUCAUUUCGAUAACGUCUGGAAGUACCACCAAACUUUCAAUCAUAAGAAUUCAUAAACUUAACCAAGAUUAACUCAAGUUCAAAGUAAUCAAAUGUUCUCUAAAAUUUGACAGCAUUUCCCCUUAAGUUUACACAUUUCAACCUACCAUACAAAUACCCCAAUCAUAUAGCCAUUAACCACAAUUGCACAUACGGUUCGUAAACGAUAAACAUAUCCAAUUAGGGCCACAAAAAUUUAAUCAAAAACUAAUUAAAAGCUUAAGCCAAUCCAUUAGAAAAACCCAUUAAAACCCUAGAACCGGAAAUUCAUAUUAUAAGCGUAAAUUUCCGCAAUUGAUCACCAUUGAGUAUAAGAGCUUCCAUUAACACAUUUAAACCACUAAUCCAAAUCCAAUCCAAGACUUUCAUAUAAAAUCAUAAAAUACCCAAUAAAUCAGAAAAUCACCAUAAUUUCCAUAAACCCAUGAAAUACUCCAUAAUACAACACAUUUAAACAUCACAAACCCUAAAUUAACCAAUUUUAGAACCAAAAGGAACUUGUUUAAGCAACUUACCACAAAUUCAAGAAGCUAACACCUUAGAGCCUUCCCUCCACAAUCAAUCCAUCUAAAAGCUUUAAACCACCUUUGAGAGCACUUGUGUGAAAUAUUUGGCAAAACCACCGAUUAAAACUCAAGAUUCAAAGAAGGAAAUCAAAGGGAAGAAAUGGAGUUUUUCUUUUCUUGUUUUCUCUCCAAGACAGCCGGGCAAGGAGGGUGCAAAAUGACGAGCAAACACAGCCAAAACAAGAUAUUUAUCAAGCACAAAAGCUGGUCAAAAGUGGCUGCCGGACAUGACACGUCACAAUCCGGCCGGAAUCUGGCCGGAUUUCCGGCCGGAUUCUUGCCGGAUUCAAGGCAGAAUCGAAACCAAUUUUUUUUCAAAAUUGCAAGGCAAUCCGGCCAUCUAUCCGGCCAGAAACUGGCCGGAUUUCCGGCCGGAUUUGGCCCUUGCCAUUUUUCGAAACUUUUCUUUUCUUGUCCGAGUUGAAAAACUGUGCUACUCCGCUCGUCCAACAAAAAUAUCCAUAAAAUGAAAACCCUACUUUUCGGGCGUCACAAUCUCCCCUCCUUAAAACAAUGUCGUCCUCGACAUUCUACCUCAUAUACAUCUGGUCAAGAUAUCGUUCAAAAACCAUUCAAGCAUUAGAAUUCCAUCUAAUCCAACUUGCAUUCACCAGGUCCAAUUAGUCUUCCCAAAGUCGGUCAAAUACUAAGAAUUGUUCCAAUCUCACUUAUCGAAAUCAAGUACUAAGGAGUAUCCAAAUCCAGCUUAUCAAAUAGUCAUGAUCCAGUAAAGCAUGGCUUAUCAAAUAAUCACUUAUCAAUUUCAAGUACUAAAUACACGCCAAUCCAACUUAUCAAAUAGUCAUGAUCCAAUAAGGAGUUAUCGCGUAGCCAGAUAAAACAGGCAAAAGGCUUGAAAUCGGACGUAAAGUCCCAGAUAUCUGGAAGAAAUUCAGGGUGUAGCGAAGCUGCAAAUCAAAAACUCAUCCCUGGUGGUGCUGGACAACACAACAAGCUAGCACAACGGCUAUGCUUCACCAAAGAAUUUCAAUUCAGUAAGUUGGCCCUGGUGGUGCCGGACAACACAACAAGUUAGAACCACGGCUAAACUUCGCCAGAGAGCCUCAAUUCAAAAUUCCAUCCCUGGUGGUGCUGGACCACACAACAGGCAUGCCUCGCCUGAAGAAUGGCGGUGCUGGACAACACAACAGGCAAUGCCUCACCAGAGAGGUUCAGUUCACCCGCUACAAAAGAGUAGUAGCCGGUCUACAACCAUAUGAGUACGAAUAAGUUCAAGAGUAGGGUCAAAGCAGCGCCAAUUACUUCAGGUUCAUAGUGCAUGAGUACGAGGAAGUUCAAAAGCAGGGUCAAUUAUUGCAGGUUCAGGGAGCACGGUCACAAAUAAGAGUACAAGUUCAGGUUCAAGUGCAAGUUCAAGUUCAAGGAUCAUGAGUACUGGUAAAACACACUAGCCUAACCUCUGUCCAACUAUUCACAUUCUUAAGCAGUCAUGAAAUUCAAGUCCACCUACAGGUCCAAUACCAUAUAUUCAGUGAAGUUAGGUCCAUCAAGGAUACGUAUAAACACACUCGCCUAACGAGGUCAAGUCUCAAGGAAGUUCAAUCUAGUCGAUCUCAGGCAGCUCAAGACCAAUCUCAGGUAGUUCGAGGUCAAUCCCAAGUAGUUCAAGUAUAGCAAAUUCCAACACUUACCACUCAAGUGGUGCAACUUUAAUCCAACAGGAAUACUAGAAGAGAGAUACAAAACUAAAAAUUUCUCAACAAUUCUAGCCACUACCGAAAUCUAUCAAAACCCGAGCCACAUACUUAUUGAACAAGUCCAAGUCAUUAUUCACUCUCCUUAUUCGGUUUAGUCGUGAGUACAAUACAAAAUCUUCUGUGCUCUAACCUAUGCCAUCACAACUUAUCUCAAACUCACUUAUAAUUUCCAUUCACAUCGUCAUACAUUAAACUAUGUUCCAACCAAGAUUCAUGAGCAUUUCCUCAAGAAAAUGUCAAGUACUCAAAUACAAGAAUUCCAACUAAGAACUUCACGACUCAGAUCGUAUGGUAUUCAGCGAAAAUCAAAGUCAUAUUUUACAUAUACUACUUCCAGAAUUAGUGCCAAUGUCACCAAGUUCAAUCGGAUCACAUGCCUUUACGAAAUUAGAUCCAAUAGUCCAUAACACAAGCUGAAACCAAAGUUAUCCAUUCGAAGUUCAAAAUCUUCAAUAAACCAGCUACUAGUAAGAGCACCAUCAUCUCCAAGAAUAACCAAUCUUAGGUUCUAUAGCAGAGUCUCAAGUUCCAAGUUCAAAUCCAAGAAGUAAGCACAGCUUGCUAACUUACAUGUUAAAUAGAAACCAAGUCAAAUAAGCUCAUCAGUUAUUCACAAAUUUUCGAAUUCGAAAUUCAAGUAAAAUUCACCUUUUUACCAAAAUCGGAAAAUUACACAUUUUUAAAGCAUAUAUAUCGUAUUUCCAAUCAUCGCUUGCAAAUAAAACUAGGAAGUAUACAGGCAGAAAAUGCAUUUUAUUCAUUUGAUACUCUUUUAUCUUGGUUCAAAAUCAUCAUACGUGGAGUUUGGCCAGCAAACCUCGGUCUCUUAUUCCCCAUAGCCAGUACUAAUGAUUAUCUCAAUUCUUUCCACACUUACAAGUAUAAUUGCAAUUCAAAUUCGUCCAAUCUUUCACUACAAAACUCUCAUCCCAUAUUUUCCUUCAAUAUAAAUCAUAAACGCAAGCAAGAACUCCCAAAUAAUCAAUUUCUUUAACCUCUAAGAUACAAUAGAUCCUUGUUCACACAAUAUUCAAAUCAAUCCCACAGUCAGGCAUCCUAAAUUUCAAACUUAGGAUACACUACAGAGAUCGGAAGCCUAAGCUCUGAUACCAAUUGUAACGACCCCAUUUUCCCCUAAGGCGAACCAGAGGGGUCAACGGGCCGCCUGCCCAGCUCUCGCCAGGACUCCGUCAAUCACUACAGUUCUCCAAAAAUUACAAUAUAAAUCUCAAAUAUAUAUCAAUUCUCCAAGAACUACAUAUCACAAACGCUGCGGAAUGUACACGUACGUCCAUUCAAGUCCAAUCAUUCAUUACAAACCAUAUCCACAAGCUAUUACACAAGAGGCGAUCCAAAUUCAAACCGUACAAGGUGUAAUUCCAUCCAUUCCAAUUCCCCUAGCCCAACAAUUACACAAACGAUUCCAAAUCUAAACUAUACAAAUUACAAGCCAUCCAGGUACACGAUAACGUAAUACAGCUCUUCCUUUGUUCGAAACCGGUACUCGCAUAAACACAUCAAACACAUAAUGCAGUUUAUCCAAGACUUGAUAAGGACAUAUAUAUACAUGAGAAAGGUUCAAUUGUACACUUCAAAAGUACUUGAAUCAUUUACAUCAAAAUUCAAGUUUUCGAGGAGCAACUCAAAACUAGCUACAUAACUAGCUCAACUCAUUUCAAAACUUGAGUCCACAGUGUCCCUGUAAGGAAAACAAAACAACGGGGGUGAGCUUGCGCUCGUGAGGUACCAAAUGCACAAUACAUGAUAUGGCCAAAUAACAUAUAUGCAUAAGUGCCUUCAUUCAAACAUCCAUUUAUAAAAGGAUACAUUCGGCCCUCAAGGGCCGUUUCCGAGGUCCAUACUUGAUCGUACUCGUUGACACUCCGUCAACCAUUGAGGAUAACCAAAAACCGUAGACACCACUUCGCACCAAUUCCUUCCACCAUUCACCCCCUAUUCGGGCCCGCACACCUCAUAGUUUCAAAAGGUAAUACUCGAGUAUACCACAAGGUCGAGGAGAUAACACUCCACUCGCCUAUCAGAGACCCGAAGGCUCGUUAACGAAUCGCCCAAGCCCUUGCCGGCUCGACUCAAAUAACGGUCCAAGGGAAUGAGCUCAGUUUUCACAGAAAUAAUAGGGCAUUGCCCUAACAAAUAUCAAAUCACAUAUUCAUGAAAUUUCACAGUCCAACAGUAACAAUAGUGCAAGCAAGUGGUCAAGAGCGGUAAAGUACACCCUCGACCUAUUCAAGUCAUAUAACAAGUACAUUGAACCAUUUAAUGAUACACUCACCAAGCACGGCUCACGAAGCUUAUUCGGCAAACCUCAUUAUCUUGAUCAAGUUGAAAUCCUAAAACCAAAUAUCAAGUCAAGCAAAGGAAAAUUCUAACAUUAACAAGCUUCUAUUGCCUUUUGGCAUUUUAAGCAAGUAGCACCUAUCCGAUCGAAACAAAUCUUAUGGCGUUACGAAGCUAAAACAUAUGUCAACAUUUCUUAUGAAGAUUUCCAAGGCCAAAUCAUACAUUUUCAAAACCAAAAUCUGAAUUCUAGAGAAAGAACGAAAACUGUCAUAAAACAGGAGUCUAUAAACAGUCAGAGCAAAUCAGUCAUUUUCCAGGCUACAGAGGUCCAAACAAUCUGAAAUUUUGCAGGUAGGUAGUUAACUCAUAUAUCUACAAAAUUCAUGUUUUGAGCAAAAGCUGGUUCGGUCUAAAACACAGAGAAAAUGACAGUCCAAGUUCAGUCCAGAAACAGGGGAAAAACUGAAAUUACUCUCUUGAACCUAUCUUUGCGUAUAACCAUCCCUAACCACAAUUAAGGCCUAGAAAUCCCCACUUAACAUGAGACUAGUCUAUACUAAUCAUGUACAUGGCAAUUCCACGAGGACAAAUCAUUUCGAUAACGUCUGGAAGUACCACCAAACUUUCAAUCAUAAGAAUUCAUAAACUUAACCAAGAUUAACUCAAGUUCAAAGUAAUCAAAUGUUCUCUAAAAUUUGACAGCAUUUCCCCUUAAGUUUACACAUUUCCAACCUACCAUACAAAUACCCCAAUCAUAUAGCCAUUAACCACAAUUGCACAUACGGUUCGUAAACGAUAAAACAUAUCCAAUUAGGCCACAAAACCCUUUAAUCAAAACUAAUUAAAAGCUUAAAGCCAACCAUUAGAAAAACCCCCAAUUGAAACCCUAGAACCGGAAAUUCAUAUUAUAAGCGUAAAUUUUCCGCAAUUGAUCACCAUUAACGUAUAAGAGCUUCCAUUAACACCAUUUAAACCACUAAUCCAAAUCCAAUCCAAGACUUUCAUAUAAAAUCAUAAAAUACCCAAUAAAUCAGAAAAUCACCAUAAUUUCCAUAAACCCAUGAAAUACUCCAUAAUACAACACAUUUAAACAUCACAAACCCUAAAUUAACCAAUUUUAGAACCAAAAGGAACUUGUUUAAGCAACUUACCACAAAUUCAAGAAGCUAACACCUUAGAGCCUUCCCUCCACAAUCAAUCCAUCUAAAAGCUUUAAACCACCUUUGAGAGCACUUGUGUGAAAUAUUUGGCAAAACCACCGAUUAAAACUCAAGAUUCAAAGAAGGAAAUCAAAGGGAAGAAAUGGAGUUUUUCUUUUCUUGUUUUCUCUCCAAGACAGCCGGGCAAGGAGGGUGCAAAAUGACGAGCAAACACAGCCAAAACAAGAUAUUUAUCAAGCACAAAAGCUGGUCAAAAGUGGCUGCCGGACAUGACACGUCACAAUCCGGCCGGAUUCUUGGCCGGAUUCAAGGCAGAAUCGAAACCAAUUUUUUUUCAAAAUUGCAAGGCAAUCCGGCCAUCUAUCCGGCCAGAAACUGGCCGGAUUUCCGGCCGGAUUUGGCCCUUGCCAUUUUUCGAAACUUUUCUUUUCUUGUCCGAGUUGAAAAACUGUGCUACUCCGCUCGUCCAACAAAAAUAUCCAUAAAAUGAAAACCCUACUUUUCGGGGCGUCACAGGUCUUUAUAGCUAAUACCUUACACAACCCAAGGAGAAAGCCCAAUGGAAAAUCAUAGGGUUUUACCUAUAAAAACCUGUGUUGACAGUGACUGGAGAAAUGUAGUGUUCACUGUAAGUGUUACUUUUCUACCAGGAGAUGCCUGAUAAUGUGUAUUACCGACUUUGAGUGUGUUAUAUGUGCAUUUAUGAAUGUACACAUAAAAUUCCUUUAUUGUGUCAAAUAGUUCUUUAGCUACAAUUUCAGUGAGAAUCCCCUCCCAGACUUGGUGCAGAUGUUGUACAUUUCUUUCUGUACAUGAUAUAUUUGGUUCAUUAAACUGCAAGACAUCUUAAUGUAUUUUGGCUUCUGAACUCGCAGUAAAUUGGCGUUAUGGUAACGAAUGGUUUAUGAAUCUAUUCAAAUUAAUCAGCACGUUUGUUGUGGCUCACAUUCAUAAUUCAACAAGAUACCACUAGGGGUGUCCGGCAUGUAGCUCACACCAUCAGGGUGACACAGCCGAGCAUUAUUUCUCAAAUUUUGUAGUUAAUGCGAGACUGCUCAAUCUCAAAUGGUUCAAUUGAGCAUAAUAUUAAUGUGUGGAAUGGUAUGAUGAAAGUGGUUACUUCGAUUUGUAUUUUUGACGAGUGCACUUCAAGUUUUCAGUCUAUGCCUAUUGCUUAUGCUUACAAUUUUCUUCCAGCUUCACAAUGUUCUGACUUCUGGACCUUUAAGUUUCUAAACGUUUAACCAUAAACUGAUGCAUAGAUUGAACUCUUUUUCCUAAUCCUCUUGUUCCACCGUGUAUUUUAGAUCCUUGCACUCAUUCAGAUUUUGCAAGAUCUCUACAUAUUCUUUGCUUAGAAUUUUUUUCUUCCUGGAACUCAGAAGUUUUGGACUUGAUUUGGUGGGUCAAUGGAUGCAACAUAAUUGAACACUGUAUUACACAGGAAGACAUCCCAAGGCGUUCCGCCCUGGAAAUUCAAAGAUGUCUACUUGAGUGAGAUUCACAUUAAAGGCAUCGAACACUGUUCCCUUUCAUGUGACCAGUCGUAGCAUCCAUGGGAAGGCAUUGGUAGAAUGCAGAACUGACAAAAAUAUCAAGCAAAAGACUAACAUUGUUGUAGGAAGCCAUGUUGUGAAUUUUGCUAGAGGGUAGCCAAAAGUGCUUAUUAGCUUCCUGGUUGCUAGGAAUUAGGUAAGUUGGUAUAUUUACAGAAGCCCCUUAUGCACGGCGUUGGGGCAACUUUUCAAAUAUGGCUGCCAAUUAACGUAGGUUGUGUUGGAUGCAUUGAUUGUAUCUCGUUACAUAUUUGUUUGGUAUGUGCUUAAUGUCGUGCAAGUUAUCAAAUAAGCAGUCGAUUGACACUUUUUUCUUCGUUUAGCUAAGUCUGUAUCUCAUUGCAUCAUGAUUUAAAAUGACACUUGAUCCUUCAUUUGGAUUGAGUCGGUCGUGAGAUUUAACUCCUUCUUGAAUUUGAAGCUGUCAAUUCUCUAGUUUGCCAUUCUUGAUCAGAAAAAGUAAUAUGAUGAUAUGAAAUAUAACCAGUUGCAUCACUUACGUGGUCAUUAACUCUGACUUUUUUGUCUCAACACUGGUUAAGUCGAGCAAGUAAAUUUAAAUGCUAAGAACUCGCAUGCAUUUAUCUGAUAAAAUUGAAGAUGACAGCUUCGAUCUUUUCUUAUUGUUUUCUGUAGUAAAUUAUACUUCUUUUUAGUUUUAUAAUUAUGAAGAAUACUUUUUAUAAUUAUGUUUACAAUUAUAUUUCUUCAAAAAACUCAAUAGCGCCAGAAACUAAUUAGGAAAAUUCAAUGGGCUUGCAAUGCUUCAGUUUUUCUUCCUUUUUUUGGUUGAAACAUAAAGCAUUCCACUUGAGUUGUGUUGAUUUUAUCUUAGGUUUUGGGGUUGAGGAUAAAAGAGGAAGACUAUUAUAUUUUGGGUUUAAAAAACUUUGUAAACUAAUAGCUACUUGUCUGUAUUCCUACUUUUCAUGAUUUACUUGUGAAAUUUCACUCAAAAUAGAAAAUAUAAAACCAUAUAUCAAAUUUCAAGAGUCAUAAGAAUCACAAGGAUUGCCCAAAUUAACAUUUGAGCUAACCUUUACUAAGUUGAUGAACCAUAGAAUAUUAAUUGUAACUUGUUUCUUUUUGAAUUAAUUUUUCUUAUAUUAUCUGUGUAUAUACUUACAGACCUAUAUGCAUGUCGCAUUAUUUCAAUUUGAAUUUAAAUACUGAAUUUUUGUAUACGUGACCUGCAUCUAAAUGCGUUAAUGUAUACAUUCAUCUAAAUGCAUUAAUGUAUAAUGCAUUAAUGUAUACAUUGACCAUGCCAUAAAAAGAUGUUAAUGUACAAACGGAAAAUUUAUAAAUAUUCCUAUACUUGUCAAGCAUUUACAAUGAUAUAAUGACAGCACUUAUCAGUUUACAAUGAGAUAAGAUACGUUGAAUUUGAACGAAUCUAAAUUAGUUAAGUAAUCUAAUCCAAAUCUUAAUUGACCACUAAUUUGAAAAUUCAAAAGGUAUUUACAAAUGUCUUUAACUCAGUCCAACAAGAGUACGGUAGAGCAAAUAGAAUGGUGGAAUGAUCCACCUGAUUUUGAACCACUAAACUUGCUGGAUAAUUCAUUUGCAAGUUGAUGCAUCGAAUCCUGCUUUGAUGUCAUAAAGAAACCAAGAAAAGAAAAAAGGUUCAAUAGCAAUAUAGCACUCGUGGGAUUGCUGUUUGAAAUGUAAGUUAGAUUAGUAUUGCAAUUGUCAAAAGUCAAUUUGGGUAGCAAAGCCUCAGAGGAAAUGAUUUCAUGUCCUUUUUUGUUUGUUCCAAAGUAAUCUUAAACGAGAGGUUCCGUUGUUAACUUGUUAAGGAUGUGAUCAUGCAUCGUGGCUCCAUAGUCAACUAGAGGAAAGAAGUGAUACAAAUUAUGAAAAGGGGCAAUUAAAAUUCAAGCUUUUUCUUGUGUUUCAGGCUCUGAAAAUUUUACCCUAAUGAUAAUAAUUAGGCAAUAAGAAAAGCUAAUACAGUAAUUAACAGCAAAGUCAAAUGCUGUAACGUGCUUUAUUGGCAACCCUUUGGAUUUUAUCAGUUCAAAACCAAUUACAUUUGGGCAUGACAGGAUUUGUACACUAGUUCUGAAUUUAUACACCCUCAAUUAUGGCCAAAGAAGAAAAAGGUGUACACUUCAAUAUUUGGUCAAAAAAUGGCCAACCUCAGCAAUUGCUAAACGCCUAAACCAGAUGUGCCUCCUUGAAUUUUUGUUCUUCAAAUAUUUCUGCUGAAUCGGAUAUUCAAUGUAAACAUAUUGGAAAAAUCACCAAUCAAGAUCACCUUUAAAUACAUCCCCCAUAUUUGAUCUCUUGCAAACACACUUCUUUUAUUAUAAAUAUUAGUAAGUAACUAAAAAAGUAUCCUUUGUCUGCCCUAGCCGAAAAAACACAUAGCCUCCUUAAAUGUUAUUAUCAACCUGAUUAAACAAUUAUUUUUGUAUUUAAAAAACUUCCUUUUUCUAGAUUUAUACGUUUUAUUAUAUUUCAGCCGUAAAAUAGGUAUUGAUGAUUUCAGAAAUUUGACGUUUCUCAUAAUAUUACUUAACACCUCUAAAGUUUAAAAAAUUUCAUAAACUAUUAUUGCUAAUUUAUUAGAAGUUUUACAUUAAACUUGAAAGUUCGUGCAUAUGCUCUCAUAGCUUAUAGCUUAUGUAUCAUGUCUGACAUCACCCAGUUCUCUCUUGUGACCGUCACGACCGUCGUCCACCUUAAAACUCCGAUUUCCACAGGAUCCAACUUUAACUUAUCGUUUCGACCAAAAAAAAAAAAAAGAAGACCACACGACAGUUGUCCACCUCACACUUCCAAGGACCAUUCUUUGUAUUAAUGCUUCCUUUUUUCUAAGAAGACAGUAUAGCAUAUGUUGACAAGGAUUUUCUUAGAGGUGGUGGGAUGAAAGAAAGGAUUGCUUUACAGGUACGUAAUCCAAAAACAUUAGGAUUUGAAACUUAGAAAGUUGACAAGAAGGUAUUAUAUAAUUAUAAGGUACGUGUCAUGGUGCGAUGUGUUGCACUACUGUCAAUCAUGUUUAACCAAAUAAAUAAAGUAAUUCUAUCAUGUUUAGCAAGGGCAGAACUAGGGGGAUGCGGAGUGGCCUCAUCCCCCAAGUUUUAUAAAAUUUAAUUUUCUUUUCCUGUAAAAUUAAAAUUUAUAAAAAUACUUUUUUAUAAAUUUAAGCUCUCACCCUUGCAAAAGCCUAAAACAUUUUAGUUUCCAUGUUAAAGUUUAGGUAUCCUAAAGGUUGCCCCCUCAAAUUAUAUUUUCUGGUUUUGUCUAUAACGUUUAGUACCUACUAGACAAAUUAAUAAUUCUAUUUUUUCAUUGUCAAACCAUCUAUCUCAAAAUUAACAAAAUAAAAACUCUUUCACUUUCACUCAUGUGGACCACAUUGAAUAUAUUCCGUCAUAAAGAAGGCAUGAGGGUCGUCCACAAGUGCAGAUCCAAUUGUACAUCUGCAAUACACGACACGGAAUGUACCUAUCUUUGAAUUCCAUAACCGUAGUUAGAUUUUAUAACACAAAUCUUCGAUAAGAAGAAAAUCAUGUGUACACGCACAUGUGUAAAGAAGUGAUAAACCAUUGGAGUUUACCUAGUGUCAGAAGAAUACUCUUAAAAUCUUUUUUACUGUCAAGUUCAAGAUUCAAAUUUCAUGCUUAGUAGUUGGAGGUAGGAAGUAUGUAAAGAAGUAAUAGGUUCUAUGUGUUUUGAUUACGAGUUAUUCAAGAAAAAACUUUUAAAAUAUUUUCUAGACACGUUUCUCAUUUACCUGUUCAUCUUGUAUAGAUUACAUCACUAAAACGUAUUUUUCUAUAAAUUCUCCCAUCCAAAUAGAUCCAGUUCUUGAUUUUUUUUCAAAAUUAAACAAAAAUUUGUUAUUGCUCAGAAUCGAUGAUGGAAGAAGCUUGAGCGAUAGAAGAACAAGUGGCGAAUGGAAACAAGGGUAGAAAUGAAAGUUUGAACCUCAUUGAAUGGUCAAAGACUCAAAGCUGUCAUGGCUUAAAUUUGAAGUCCCAGGCCGGCAGGGAAAGGGGAAUUUGCCGGCAGGGAAAGGGGAAUUUGAAGUUUAUGAAUUGAGAUCUUGAUUUCAAAUCUCUCUAUUUUUCCCACUUUUACGGCCCCACAAGUUUUCCCUGCUGAAAAAAAAAAGAGAGGGGAUUAGUGUUUGUAAGCCUAAACAUUUAUUAUGCAUGUCUUCAAGCACUUUGAUAUAUAUGAACAUCGUACUCAACGAUCCUCAGCCAAUAAGUACAGAAAUGAGUGAUCGUCUUUUUCUGCAUUUUAGGUACCUUUCUAUUUCCAUUUCCCACUCGGCCAAUAAGAAUAGAAAUGAGUGAUCAUCUUUUUCAGAGCUUUAGUUGCCUUUUGAUUUCCUUCCACGACAGUUGGGACCUCAUGGCUACAACCUUACAAAGGAACCUUGUGAAGGGGAAGAAAAAAACAGAAAAGGAACCUUGUGAAGCCCUAGUCGUUUCUGCUACUGCUUUUAUUCUUGCACGAUAUUUAUUCUCUUGGUCGAGAACGUAGCAAUAGAUACUGUUCAAUUAUGUCUCAGCAUAAGAGGAUAAUUUUAGAAACCUCCUCUAAGGUUUCUGACAAUUUUAUUUAGCCCUCAAAUUUUAAAAAUUUUCACUUGUCUCUCUAACUAUAAGUUUUUUUGUAUCAUUUACGACCAUUUUAAAAUAUAAUAUUAAAAAUUUAUUUUGGGGGGAGAGAAUACAAUUUCAUUCCAAACUUGCCCAUUUUCUUGUGAUUUCUUGAUUGUCAAAAUACACCAAAUUUUUCUCUUAAUUUUUGUAAAUUGAUCGAUAAAAAUUUAAAAAUUGAUAGCAAGAUCAGAAAAUUCUUUAAUAGCUUUUGCAUCAUUGUUUUGAACAAGAAAUGUUAAAUUACUUAAAAUUAUGAAUAAUUUACAAUACUCUUAAAAAUAACUUGAAAUAAUUUACAGUCAUAAUAUUACAACCAACCAUAAUAAUACCUUAUUGUACUAGCUUAAAAAUAAUACAAACAAAUUUUAUAUAUAAUUUUUAGCAUCUUUUAUCUUUUAGUUUUUAAACCAUCGAUUUAGAAAAAAAAAAUUAGAAAAUUGAAAAAAAUGUAAAUGAUUGAUGAAACUUCUUAAAUUUACUCAAAACACUUUACAAUUAAAAAAUACACUAUAUUCUGUACAAUAAGAAUAAGUCUUCAAAAUUUUUGUUUUUAUUUGUUAUUAAUAUACUCAAGUUUUUGUAAUAAAAAAUAAGACAAUAAAACUGCAAAUUUGGAACGAGAUUAUAUUUACUCUCUCGAAAUGAAUUUUUUAAUAUUAUAUUUUCCAAUGGAUUGUAAAUGAUACAAAAAAAUUUAAAGUAAGAGAGGCAAGUGAAUUUUUCAAAAUUCAAAGGUGCUAAGUGAAAUUGUCAAGGUUUCUGAAAUUAUCCCAAUAUUAAUAAGGAAUACUUGGUACUGCAAAAGAAGCAAUUAAGUAUACCUUUUAUGCAAUUAACCUACAGUAGUUUUGUUUUUCUUUUUUUUUGGUGCCUUGAAUUUUCUUUUUUAUAAUCAACAGAGAUAUCCACAUUUUCUUGAAAACCUUGAAGCCAUUUCAAUGCAUAUGGUGGAUGACAAAGGAUACACCAAUUGGUUCAGUGAUACAAUAGUAUGUACCUACAGUUGUCAACAGAUAUACAAUUGGUUCGGAUUAACUCUACUUGCACUUUUAAACUUGUAUCCCUUUUUCACUUUGCACCAUGAACUUCAAUUUUGAACACUUUACACCCUAAACUCUUAAUUUCAAGCACUUUGUACCCUAAAUUCUUAAAUUUAUUUCAUUUAAUUUCAAUCAAUUAUUAUAUUGAUAAAAUUAAUGAGAUAAAGGGAGGUAAAAAUUAAUAGCAAUGUACUUUUGUUAUUAUAUUCUUAAAUGUACUUUUGUUAUUUUCUUCAGGAAAAGACUUAAACCCCACCUGCACUAGGGUACAACAAACAAAGGUGAAUUGGAUAUACUUCCGUACGACUGCAGAACUCAUUUACACAAUGCGAUUUUGAUGCAGCAAUAAGAAAUUAUAUCAAACUUGAAAUCAGUCAUCCUUUGGGGUUCUAUAAAUACCAUCCUCCCUGUCAGUUAUGGACACAUUCCUGCCUAGCUACUUUUAGUUUCAGGCAAACUACAUAUUCAUACCUAGCUGAACUGAAAUUAAACUUUCCAUGGCAUACCAGAGCGCCUACAAUAUGAAUUACCAGAUACUACUAUGCUUGAUACUCUUCUCCUAGUCCUUCUCCUGCCACUGCCAUCCCAUUCUGCUGAUCCAAGCCCAUUGCAAGAUUUCUGCGUUGCAGAUCUUGAUUCCUCUUUAUACAUUAAUGGCUUUCCGUGCAAAAACCCUGAUAACGUAUCUUCACAAGACUUCUUCGCCAAUGGGUUCCAACAAAGUCCAGGAGAAUUCAAUAUUUUUGACGUCAAUGUCACUCGCCAAGAUGUUCAGCGAUUUCCAGGACUCAACACUCUAGGGCUGUCAAUGAACCGAGUGGUUUUGAAGCCUGGAGGGCUGAAUGCACCCCACGUCCACCCUCGUGCAGCCGAGCUGGCUCUAGUCAUGGAUGGAAAACUGUUUGUAGGCUUUGUGACAACCGGAAACGUUUUCUACUGGAAAAUUGUGACUUCAGGAGAGUUGUUUGUGAUUCCUCCUGGGCUAGUGCACUUCCAACUGAAUAUUGGACACGAGAACGCACGCUUCUUCGCCUCGUUCAACAGUCAAAAUCCAGGGAUUCAGUUCGCCCCCCUUGCUCUUUUUAACUCCACGCCUUCGAUUCCUGAUCUCGUGUUGAGUAAAGCAUUUCAAGUAAAUCAAAGUAUCAUUGAGCUCAUUAAGUCUAGGUUUGCAACUGUGUCGACUGUGUCGACCGUGCUUAAGUCAUCUUACUAACAUCCUAUUCCAGGGUGUUGUUCAUUAUAGUUGGCAUAUUAAAUAAUAAAAUCUUCUAUAUUAUCGUUUAAUUGUAUUUUGGUCAAGUUAAUUUUUAGUAGUUUUAUUGGCGUCAAAUUAGGAUAGUUUUACUAUUUAGAAACUAGUAUUGUAUUAAGUAAUUUCCUAUGCUUGUCAGUAGUCAUGAUAUGUAUUUGGUUGGAAACAAUAAAAGUUUGAGUCUUGUCAUUGAUAUUAGUCCUCUUCAUGUAAAUUAGCCUCCAUAUAUAUAUAUAUAUAUAUAUAUAUUGGUUUUGCGAAAGUUAUCUCCUAUAAUUUUUUUUGGGUAUAAUUAUUAGGCUCUACAUCUGGUAUCGAAUCCUAUUUGCAUGAAAUUAAUCUUUGGGUGAGUUGUCAGAGUUAGGACACAAGAAUUGCCGGGACUGUUCAAUUGAUCACGUAAGGCCAUUAUGUUGGUUUUGGAGUAUUUAAUUGGUCAAAAUUAGGCCAUAAAAUUGGUGUGAAAAUUAUUAACUUGAUUGUGGAUAUUGCUAAUGGUGACAGUUUUUGACAUGGUACGUAAACGCGGCACAAAAAAUCCUAAAUGAAACAUGAUACGGAAUAAUUUAUGUCAAAAAUGGAUCCACGCAAACAGAAUGGGUUGUAUUGGGCCAAUCCAUAGGUUGAUAUGACUAACAUGUUUUUGACACGUUAAGAAUUUUGAAAAAAUGCUACUUGCUUCCCUCCUAAUACUGCACUUAAAAUAAAUGGUUUUGUAUUAAAUUUUAUAGUUUAAGAACUAAAAUAAUAUAAUCAACCUCCUAUAAGAAUACAUAAACAACACAUAAAUCGAGACUCUGCAAAUUCACAUAUGCAACUGUUAUGAUUUUAAUUUUUUGCUUCCUUCCUUUAAUAUUCUUAUUUUCUCAAAUUGACAAGCAUAAACAACCUCUAUGAUUUUAACUUUUCACUUCGAAACUUACCUUUAGAUCAAAAAUAUUAUUGCUCAAUUUUUCUUCCUUUCUUGUGAUUAAAUAUCUUUUCUAGGUAAACUUUAAUAUUUCACAAAUUUUCUAUCAUUUUUGUCUAUUUUAUUUGAACAUUUUCUAGUUUAUACUGCUCCUCUAUUUUAUCAUUUUCCCUAUCAUUUUCUUUCUAAAGUUUUUCUUUCUUGUGAAAGAAAAAAGAAAGAAAAACAAAAUAGGCUUUUUUCUGUAUAUUAUUAAUGAGAUAAUCAUGCAUCCAAAACUUAUACAAGUAAAAAUCCAAUGACAGGCUACAACUAAAUUAGAUUAAGAGAAUAUUACAUAUUUUCUUGAAAGAGAACCAUGUUUUAUUUUUCGGCAAUAUUUCUCCUAUAAUUUUGAUAUAAAAAGUUAAAUGAGUCAAUUGGGUCAAAACAUGAGAUGAACCUGUCCAAAUGUAUGGAGUAUUGCAGCAACAAAUCUUUUUGAAGAUUAAGAAUUCAAAUUUAUAUUAAUGAAAUUUACAAAUGAGAUUAUUAUUGCUGAACUUGAUUCAAUAGAGAGUUUGAUUUAAGGGAAACAAUGUUGGCAUAUUAAAUUAAAGCUAAAAAUUUGAAUUUUCUAUACUAUUAUUUAGUAGUAUUUUGGUCACACAAAUUUUUUUAGUAGUUCUACGAGAGCUAAGAUAUGGUAGUAUAUUUAAGAAUUGGAGGCUCUAGGACAUAGAGGUUCUGGGUUCAAAUCUCCAUUCCUCCUCCCCAUUUCUUAAAUCCUAUCUCUCCCCUUGAUUAGAAAAAGUUAAAAUAAUUAUUUAGAAAUUGGUACUGUAUUAGAUAAUUAUUGUAGCUAUCAAUACUUGUUUAUCAAAUCAUGUAAUCUGUAAGUAGAGUCAUAUUACCAUACCCACUUGAGAAGAUUGGAAGUUUAAUAGCCUUGUUGUUGUGGUGUUAUUAAUAUUUUAUUAUUAAUAUCAUUGUUCUUUUCUCACAUAUACGUGUAUAUGUGUAAAUUAGCCUCCCAUAUAUAUUGGGUUUGUGGAAUUUAUCUCUCAUAAUGAUCUUUUGACUAUAAUUGUCACGCCUCGUGCCUAGAACGUAGCACCACCACACAUAGACAAUGCUAAAGGCGUAAGGCAACAAAUUUCCAAAGCAACUACAUUUACCUUUAUAUAAACUUUUUAAAUCCACAAAUACAAGAUCAUCUAUAACAGCAAUUUUGUGUCUUCCAAAAUAAAAGCAAGAUCAAACCUUCUACAAUAUGUACAAAAUUCAAAUCCUAUCAUAAGGUCUCUUAUAUAUAAGUACAAAAGUCAUCCUCUAACCCAAAGUCAUCUCCAUCUCCAUUACAACCCCCAAGAGCUAUCAAGGUCUACUUCAAUGAACUCAUCAUUAACUGCAUAAUUAUAACAAAGGGGUGAGCAAAAUCUCACUUAAUAAGUAGUGCAUGUAUCUCAUUAUUUGCCUGAGCAUGUUACAUACAUAAUAUAUAUUUCAAACGUCAUUAACUUACACAUAUAACUUUAUAAGAACAUGGUUACUAUAAACAUUUCAAUGGCAUAUCAUACAUCACACACACAAAGGAGCUCAAACCAUAAGACAACAAUUGACCCAGGAUAUCCAGUUGUUAACUUAAACUUAACCAGUUAACACAUUUCAUAGUGCUAACUACCACAUAGUUAGCCCAUUUCAUAUUGCUCACUACAACAUGGAUAGCUCGUUUCAUAUACCAACUACUUGUGAGGAACUAGUCCUGUCAAAAGUCGCUUAUACAAGAGCUCAACAAACAUAACAUUUCAUUUCACAAAUGACCAUAGCAAGAGUAAUAACAAAUAUCACAAAUUAUACUUGCUCAUGCCAUUUUAGCAAUUAGACAAGUAGCUUUCAAAAUUUAUCAUUCAAAAAUAAAGGAUACAUGCACCAGUUACCUCGAUCCAAUCGAUACCCACGCUAUUUCAAGUAAUCGGAAAAUAGCUACCUUCCUCACCUAGACAUAAUGAUAAAAUGUUCAAUUACAAUCUUAAAGAUACCAAACUACUCCAAAUUAUCAUAAAAACGAGCCUAAUACUACCCUUAACCACUAAUUCCUAAUAAAAGAUCAUUUCCUCAUCAAAGUAGGACAUAAGGGUUUACUUUAAAGGGUCACUAACUUCCAAAAAUACAGAAAUAGGUCAAGAGAUUUAUAUAGAGUUAAAGCCCUCUGAAUCUAGUUUCCAACGCAAUAAACGGCACCUAAAUCCGAAUUUUCUACACCAAGUUAUAUCCAAAGCAUUGAAAUAUGUCUAUACAGAAAAUUCAAUCUGUCCGAGAAUUAUAGCCAAUCCAUCCGAGGAUUUUAGCCAAUUCGUUCGAGGAUUAUAGCCAUGGAUUUCUAGCAAGUUUUCAAGGCAAAAAAAGUCAUUCUUUCCCUCAACAUUUCUCCUUUUUAUAUUGAUGAUAGCCCUACAUACCCAUUUGAAAAUGGAGACCAAAACAAACUCCAUACACCAUAGCCAUGGAAGCUAACCAAGGAUUUGAACCAAAUACUACCCAAUCACCCAAUCAAAGAAAACCAAGAUCAUGUUCAAGGUUUCAAGAAAAUACCUUGGUUAGUCGUCAAAGUAGAAUCUCCUAACUCCUCACUCCUUACUUGUGCUUGAUUUGUCAAGAAUCCUCCUUGAUUGUAAGGAAAAAGGAGAGAAAUAAGAAAGGGUUUUGUUGGAGAAGGAAGGAAAAAAGGAAAUGAAGAAGAUGAAGAAAGUUUUUGGUAAAAAUGAAUAGUGAAAUCCCAAUAUCACUUUUAUUCUUUCAAAAUUUCACAUAUUAACACAUUGGUCACUCAACUUAACGUCAUUCACUUUUCACCCCAAAAUAGUAUUUCUUCACACAAAAUUCUCUACAAGACACUUGGGUAUCACAUUCUCCCCCUCUAAUAAAAGUUUUGGCCUCGAAAUUUAACGUACCUCGUUGGUUAAACAAAUGUGAAUACUUAGUUCGCAUUUCCUCUUCGAGUUCCCAAGUAGCUUCACGAGUACUAUGAUUGGACCAUUGAACUUUAACAUAGGGAAUUGUCCUUCUUCUUAGCACUUGAUCUUUACAACCCACAAUUCGAAUUGGCUUCUCACUAUAAGUUUAAUCCUCUCAUACCAUUAAUGGCUCAUACUCCAGGAUAUAACUUGGAUUAAAUACAUAUUUUCUCAAUUGCAAAACAUGAAAUACAUUGUGAACUCUUGAUAAAGAUGGUGGCAAGGCUAACUUGUAUGCCAAUUCUCCAACUCUAUCCAAAAUUUCAAAAAGCCCAACAUAUCUUGCACUCAGUUUUCCACGUUUCCCAAAUUGCAUGACACCCUUCAUUGGUGAAAUUCUAAGAUAUAAUUUAUCCUCUUCUUGAAACUCUAAUGGUCUUCUUUUCAAAUCGGCCCAACUCUUUUGUCUAUCUUGUGCUGUUUUCAACCUUUCUCUCACUAGUGCCAUCUUCUUGAUUGUAGCUUGUACACUUCCUCCCAUAUAGAGCUUCAAAAGCUAGCAUGCCGAUACUACUAUGAUAACUGUCAGUGGCAUGGGCAGUAGUGGAAAAAGAAGCAACUGAGUAGUGGAGGUGGGUCUUGACACUUUGAAGGUUGACUUAGAAAUUGAUAAUCAAUUCCACUACACAUUUAGUUCUGAUCAAUAGAAGGUAUGCCAUUUACUGUAUCAUAGCUAUCAUUUUUUUUGUGCAAGCCACGAUUAUCUGUUUGUUUGUUCUUGCUACAGGGGUUGGACAACACUUUCAGAUGUGCUUCUGAACUCUGAACAUAGGUACUGUGUGUAGUAUAUAUAUAGGAACUUCAAGAAAAAGCAUCCUAGACAAGGUUUAAAGGACAGACUUUGGAAUAUUGCUAGUAGCACAACAAUCCCACUUUACAAUAAAGCUAUGGAUGACUUGAAAAAGUAUAACAAAGAGGCCUUCCAGUGGGUCAAGAAUACUCCACCUCUUAGGGGCAAAACUUUCUUCCUUACUCACACAAAAUCGGAUUUACUUGUAAAUAAUUUGUGAGUCAUUUAAUGCACAUAUUUUGGAGGCAAGAGAAUAGUCUAUUAUAUCAAUGCUAGAGUCAAUUAGAAUUAUGCUAAUGGAGAGGAUUCACGCAAGAAAGUUAGCAAUGUAAAGGUACGAGGUCCAACAGGCCCACUGAUUAGAGAAAUUGUAGGAGAAAGGGUCAAAUUAGCAAGUUAGUGGAAGCCAAUCUUCAAUUCAAUUGAUAGUUAUCAAGUUCAUGGCCCACAUGGGGCCCAAUUUGUUGUUAAUUUGAAAAAAAGGCACUGCGCAUGUCUAUUAUGGGAGGUGAGUGGUAUUCCUUGCUAUCAUGCCAUUGCUUCUAUUCACAUGAACAAUGGUGACCCGUACAAAGAGUUAGAUAAGUGUUACAGUAAAGAGCUAUUCCUUAGAAUCUACAAUAAUGUGCUAGAGUCUAUUAAUGGUCAUGAUCAUUGGCCCUUUUCAUCAAUACUAGUGUUGGACCCACCUUCGAGUGUAACUCCACUCGAGAGGCCCAAGAAAGUUAGAAAAAGAGACGUGACUAAGGUAAAUAUCAUGGAAGAAAAUUAAGGCGAAGAGUUGCGAUACAUUGCAGGAAAUAAGGGCAGCAGGACAUAAUGUAGCAACAUGCAAAAAAGAGAACAAUUCAAGGGUGUCUCAGGGAGAUCAACAGCAAAUAGUAAUAAGUAAAGUGCAGCAGUCAGCAACAAAUACAUCACAGCAGGUCAGGGGCUUUAAACCUUGUUACAUCUUGGUAUUAAUUUUCAUACAUAUUUAUUCAUGUAAUUUGUAAAUGAUGACAGGUCAAAAGGGUUCAACGGAAAGCCAGACAACAUACCAGAGCACAACAGAGUACCAAUGGAGGGUCGCAUUAGGAGCUUGCGUAGAACCAAUCCAAGCAGCUAGAGAUUGCAUAGGAGCAUUCCCACUAGCAACAGGCUACACAUGAGCCAUCUCAUCAGCAAGAGGCUGCACAUGAGCACUCCCAAUAGCCGCAGCAACCUGCUCAUCAGCAGCGUACCAAUCAACUAAGAAGGAUUGCUUUUUAGAGACUCUUAAUUGAUGCAAAUAAGGGAAUGAUAAAUUUGAACUAUGCUUAUUUAGGAAAGAACCACUUAUUCACUGUUGGGAAUUGGAGAAGGAAGUGGAGUGAGAGAGGAAAGCGGGGAAGAGGAUCUGGAAGAAGACAAGGGAGUGAAAGAUGAGAGACAACUGCUUCUCCUUUUGUCAUUUGGUGAUAAUUGUAAAUGAUGUCAACCUGCAAGGCCAACAACAGCUCUCUUUUUGUCAAUUGUAAUUUUUUGUUCAUGGAUAUGUGCUAGUUAUCAAUUGUAAUGAGUUGGUUGGAAACUUUCUUUCUGUUGUAGGGGUUGAUUUGUGGUACAAUUGGCUAGCUAUUUGGUGUAAACUUACUUUUUGUAUAUGAGAUCAAGACUUCGGUUGAUUAAUGGGAAUUGGUUCUUUUCAUUUCUUGUGCCUGUUGAACUUUGGUUAGCAACACGUUUCAAUUGAACUCACGUUAUCAUUAACAUUCUUGACUGAAUUAGUAGCUAAUUUACUUAACUAACAACAAGGCUUACAAAUUUUGUCUAGACAUACACUAGCUUCACCAAACUAGCUAAACAUUCCAUAAACCUAUCUACCAUGUACAUUUGCUACUAUAUUUGAAGAGUCCAAAAUAGUGUACAUUCACUACUACACCUAAACAAUCUAAAACAACGCCUUCAUUUUUCACCUUCAAUUUGUCAUAUAUAGGUUGUAUUCCUUCACUUUUGAACCCAAACAAGCACUAUCACAAUGACCCAGGUGAUCAAAAGCAGUCUCAUCAGAAUCUUGUUCAACCAUUUAUGUGAUUGGAUUUCUUUUUGCAAUACUAUUAUUUUCUGAUUCUUGUUUUCCAACUUUCUCUCCAACCUUCUUCUAACAUCUUUACUUUCAUCUCUUUCUUUUUCCGUCCAAUUGAUUCUCCUAAGAAAACAACAUAUCAACUCUACGGAAUGAUGACCCAGGUGAUCAAAAGUAGCCAAGUGUCAACUCUAAGAAGACCAGGUAUCAACAAUGACCCAGGUGAUCAAAAGUAAAGUAGCUUUAUCAGAAUCUUGUUCAACCAUUUAUGCGAUCGGAUUUCAUUUUGCAACUCUCUUAUUUUUUGAUUCUUGUUUUCUACCUUUCUCUUCAACCUUCUUCUAACAUCUUCACUUUCAUCUCUUUCUUUUUUCGUCCAAUUGAUUCUUCUUAGAAGACCAGGUAUCAACUCUACGGAAUGGCAACACAUUUCCCUGUCAAUUCAAGACCCAGUGCUAGCAGCCACCAUCUACACAAACAGCAUGCCUCCUCCCUAGAUUCCUGUCGGUCCAUGAAAUAAUCAUCUUACAAGCUUUGUCGCACCCACAAUUGGGGAUUGAAAGGCAUUCAUAUGCUCACAUUUUUUCACUGCGAUAGUUGCCUUUGUUACUCAGAACAACUAGAUCUAUUUCUUGCAAGCGCACUUUGGAAACCAUGGAAACAGCCAUGAAAAUAUGAAAAAAGAGGCUUCCUUUCAUGUUUUAACCUAGCAGCUAUGGUGUGCUGAUGAAAAUGCCCUUCACUUAUCCCCUCUGUCUCGUGUCUGUUGCUCUUUCUAUUGGACUUAACGGCUCUAGCUCACGGAAGGGCCACAAACAUACCAUUUAAUUAGAUGGAGGGCCAAAAGCAUUCAUUUAAUAGUUGGGGGGCCAAAACUUGAAUUUUUAAAUAGUUCGAGAGCCAUGGAGACAUUCUACCCUUUUAUUGCAGCACGUGAAAGAGUAGAUCUGUCACUGCAAGAAAUGAGCAUUAGUAUACUCUUAAUGAAAAAUUAUUUUUUGAAAUAAAAAAAUAUGUAUACAAUCUGUCUAAAUAACUAUAAGAGGCGUAAUUGGUAAAGCUACUACCUUAUUCAUCAUAUGACCAAAGUAAAAUUUUAUAAUUUCUGCCCAAUAUCAACUGUGAAAACAAUAAUGCAAAGAAUGAUAUGCCAAAAGCACACCUAAAUAGUGUUUUAAAAACUAGAUUAGACCAAUCGAUUCAACUAGUUUAACUACUAAGCAGUCAUAUUGCAUGGGUCAGAUUCUGUAUUAAACCUAAAAAGUUAAUUGAACCAGUCAAGAACUAGUUGAGGCAAUCAAAACAGUAAAAAUCGAAUGAUUAUACUAGUUUGCACUAAUUUUUUAAAAUUUUAGUGUUAUCAAAUUAUUUAAAAUAAAAAAAAACCUUAACCAUGUGGUUGAAAACAUUAGCUACACCCAAACAUCAAUGUUGUCUAUUUGGUGGUGGUGCUCUCUAUUUGGUGAUGGUGGUGCUAUAAGUGAGAAUGGUAGGAUUUGGUGGUAAUGCUCACUAUUUGGUGAUGGUGAUGGUGUAAGUGGGAAUGGUGGGGAAGGAUUGGGAAUGGUGUUCUCUAUUUGGUGGUGGUGGUGAUGUAAGUGGGAAUGGUGGGGAAAAUGGCAAUCAAAGAGCAAAAUGGUGCAUUUAUAAGUUUGUUAAAUUAGAGCUUAGGUGAUGCAGAAUUGAAGAAAAUGAUAGAUUAAGUGACUUGCUAGUUUGACCAAAAAAAAAAAAAAGUGACUUGCUAGUGAUUGCCCGUGACUUUCUCCUAUCAAAAUUUGACCGAAAAGAUGAGCAUGAACAAAAAAUGAGCAUUUAUAUAAAGAGUAUUUAUAUGAACAAAAAAUGCUCAAUCCCUCUAGGAAAACAAGGACUUGCUUGCUACCUUUCCCAUAUGGUUUUUCACUAUUUUUCAAAAACCCUAAUAACCAAUUGUUGAAAAAUCGAGUUGGAAGAAUGGUAAAGGGGCUUUUGCUGUUGGUAGAACAGAGGAUGGAACUGUAUUACAGAUGUUGGAAGGGUCGAAGAGCAAUAAAAAGGAAAGGAUAAAGAAACAUAGGGAUGAGAAUGACGACAGAGGGAGGAUAGACAUAAGAGACACAUUUUAUUUAGCAGUCAUUUAUGAAUAUCAAAUUAAAUAAUAUAACAAUAUUAUUAACCGAGAAUAACAGAUUGCCAAUCUUCAUUAACGAGGUAGCACAAUAUGAUGAGCCGUUAGUGUAAAGUAGGUUUACACUGACGGUAUAGGAAAGAUUUACUCAUAAUUUUAGGGCAUUCUACAAUCAUUUGUGAGUGUUAUACCCACACGUGAAAUUUAUCGUUGAAUGGUGAAAGAAGUGUUAUUGACCCUUAGAUUAAACAUUAUUAAAUAUUUAAAUUUAAACUAUUAUCUUUAGUGAGAAAUACUAGUUGAGCAAUGGUACCAAUAAAAAGACCAUGAAAUUUUUUUAAGUGCAUUUAACUGAUCUUCUAUAGUUGUGGAUCGCCUAAUGUUUGGUAAUUGAAAGAUAAUGUGAUGUGAUUGUAAAUAUAAUAUUUCAAGCAACUUAUAAUAGGUUUGUUAGAAUCUAAACUACGUACAGGAGAGAAAAGAUAAGCUUUGUCUAUGAAUUACUUGUUUGCUUUUUAACAGAUAAAAACAAAAAUUGAUUAAUAGUACUUAAAUAAUGGUAGUACCUACAUAAUUUAAAAUGCACCAUAGAAAUGCUAUGCUACUACUAAAAGAAAAUGAAUAACUAUAGAAGAAAUCAGCGGUGGAGCUAGAAAAAAAUUUUCAGUGAGGGCAGAAUUAGCAUAGAGCUUUGCACAUAACAUUGGGCAAUAACAAAUAUAAACAUGGUAAGUAAUAUGAAAUAGUGGCAUACAUAUUUAAUCAAAAGGACAAGAGAAUGUCACUAAUAUUCUACGAUUCAUUAUAGUGUAAAUUUUUUGUGUAUGGGAAUCUUCACAAGUAAACUUAAUAUCUUAAACUAUCGAGUUUGUGCAUACAUAUAUUCAUCAUUAGAGUGAUAUAUUGUGUCUGUCGUUAUUAAACAUUGUUAUCAAACAUAUGUAUUGAAUUAGAAACAAAUUUUUUGACAAAUCAACACUUAGAAUCUAUAUUUUUCUUUUGUCAGUAAGGACAAAUUGAUAAAUUAGAUAGGGGAAAAUUAUAUUUUUCUAAAUAUUAUAUACCUAAAAAUGAAAAUUUUCUUUGGUCAGUGGGCAGUGUAGAUAGGGGAAAAUUAUAUUUUUCUAAAUACUAUUGCCUAAAAAUGAAAAUUUUCUUUGGUCAGUGGAGGCAGUAGGUGCAAAUGCCCCUAUUGAUGAAAGAGCAGAUUUAUCACUGCAAGAAAUGAGCAUUAUUAUACUCUGAAUUAAAAUUAUUUGCUGAAAUAAAAAAAUAUGUAUAGAAUCAGCUAUCUAAAUAAUUAUAUGAUGUUUUAAUUGGUCGGUGAAGCUACUACCUCAUUUAGCAUAUGACCAAAGUAAAAUUUUGUAAUUUCUGCCCAAUACCAACCUUGACAACAAUAAUGCUAAGAAUGAUAUGCCAAAAAGUACACCUAAACAAUGUUUUGAAAACUAGAUUGGACCAAUUAGUUCAACUAGUUGGACCAUUGAGUAGUCAUAUGGUGUGGAGUCAGAUUCUGUAUUAAACUUAAAAAGUUAAUUGAACCAGUCAAAAACUAGUUCAUGCAGUCAAAACAGUAAAAAUGGGAUGAUUAUGUCGAUUUGCACUAAUUUUUUUUAUUUUAUUAUUAUCCAAAUUAUAUAAAAUAAAAACAAAUAAUAAGUUUAACUCAUUACUGAAAACAUUGUCUACAACCAAACAUCAAUGCUCUCUAUUUGGUGAUGGUGCAGUCUAUUUGGUAAUGGUAGGGGAGGAUUGGGAAUGGUGCUCACUAUUAGGUGGUGGUGGUGGUGUAAGUGGGAAUGGUCGAGAAAGAUUGGGAAUGAAGAAGGGAAAUGGCGCAUAGGUAAGUUUGUUAAAUUAGAGUUUGGAUAGAAUAAAAUCGAAGAAAAUGAUAGAUUAAGUAAGGUGCCAGUGAUUGUUCGUGACUUUCUCCUACCAAAAUUUGACCAAAGAUGGUAGAUUAAGUGAGUUAUCAACAAUGUUUUGAAAAUCGGACCGGACCGGCGGGUUCGGCCGGUUGAACCGCGAACCGGCCAUGGCACCGGCCCGGUUCAAUGACAUAGUUGACCUUGCCAGAAAAUCGGUCGAACCGCGAAAACCGCCGAACCGGUGGUUUUCGAUUUCCAACUUUUCUUUUUUUUUUUUUUAUUUUUAGUUUUGCAAAAUGCAACUAUCAAAAUUCAAACUCAAGACCUUUGUAAUAGAAGACCAAUGUAUUAACCGUUGCACCAUCACAUCUUAUUAGUUUUUUUUUGAUAACUUAUUUAUAUGAAGCAAACACUCAUAUUUCUUUUUUUCAUUUGUCUUACAAAUCUCAUCCUCUCAUGGCUCUUUCUUUUUAAUUUUCAAUUCUCUCUCUCUCUAUUCUCUUUUCUUUUGUCACUCUCUUUUUUAUCAAACCUCUUUAUUUUUAAUUUAUUGAUGUUUUCUUAAAUCUUUUAAUUUUGUUUUUGUCCAUUAAAUUGAAAAAAGGUAAAAAAAUUAUUUUUUAAACCCAAAUUAUUUAAUGCCACAACCACUCACUUUUAUCUCAUUUUUUGUUUCUUAUCAAGUUUACAUUUCUAUUUUUUAUUUUCUUGACUUCCUUCGAACUCCAAACUUCCUUUUUUAAAUUACAAUUUCUAAAUCCCAAAACGUAAAUUAAAAUUUAAGUUUACAAUAUCUAAAUUCUCAUAGACGUAAAUUUUGUAUAAUUUCAAAAUAUUGUGAUAUUUUUGGGUUGGAUUUAGAUAUAAUUGAAAUUGAGAUGAAAUUUAUUUAUUUUAACUUAUAAUUUAAAAAAUUUAUUUUUAAAAAUCCAAGUUAUUAAAAAAUAGUAAACUUUUCAUCAUAUAAAGUAUUAAAUUAGUCCAUUACAUGUCUUAUUUUAUAAAUAUAUAUUUAUAUAAAUUAUUUUUAAAAAAAUUCAUUGAACCGAGAUUGAACCGAUCCGACCGGUUGAACCUCGAUCCUUUCACUUCACCGGUUCAAUUAACGGUCCGAUUUUUAAAACAUUGGUUAUCAGUAAUUAUUUGCUAGUUUCAAAAUGGUAGAUCAAAAUUUGACCAGAAAGAUGACCACAAAUAAAAAAAUGAGCAUUAAAAUCUCUUAAAGAAUAAAAUGGCUCAUUUUCAUUGUGAACGAUUAAAAUUUAACAUAAAAAAUUCAAUUUUCCGACGUCUAAAACUUAAUCAUGUUGAAUGUAUAUUAAUGACAAAUAAACUCAUAAAACUGCUUAAUCAUGUUAUAACUGCUCAUACAUUUUUUAUUCUCAUUUUGGUGGAGAUAAAAAAAGCUUUAUAUAUCUAUGUCGUUUUUUCAAUGCAAUUCUUAUAAGAGGGAUUUCUCCAAAUUUGGGCCGAGCCCUAAUUCCGCAUUGGAGGCAGGGUUUUAACCUUGCUACUUGCUACUUGCCCUGAAGAAAAAAAGAAGGAAAAAAAGAAAGAAAACCUUUAUUACGUUUUACUGUGGAAAAGAAUAUCCUUGUUUUCAAGUACAGAACAAGGGCCCUGAGAGACAAGACUAUCCCUGCAAGUAAUUUCUAGUGAGGGAUCAAUUAUUAAUUAUUUACCCCAUUCUCCAUCACUGCUAGAAAAAUUAUCCCAAAACAGAAUAACCUUCUCAACCCAGAAUGCAGGACUAUUCCAUCACAGGAAUGCCCAUAUGAGGAGGGAGCUGGUAGCUAGCUGAAAGUUUUACAAGCUUCUAUAAUCACAAUGAAACUACAGCCAACCUCAGAGCUUUGAGAUGAAUAACAUCCUAAGCUCCAAGUUCACCCUAUAGUGACAAAGAAUAGGGAGACUUGUUGCUUAAAUCAAUUGGUUCGCCAGUUUUUUUACAAAUGUAUAUAAAAUGAGAAUCUGGAUCUUCUAAAACAUAAUCUGCAGGAAGUUGUCCCUUUUCAGUGAUAGGAACAGGUUCCAAGAAUGAUUUUGCUGAAGAGGCGGAAUCGGCUGGCUUUUGAAAUCCAGGUCUAGCUGCAAAAUGAAGAACAUUUAACAUGACUAAUUCAUAUAAAUCUCCUGACAACAAACAAUAGGCUUCCCCAAGUAAAACGUCACAAAGGUCACAAAAUUGUCAAAAGCAUAUUCAUGUUGAGUUUUACAUCCAGUAUUUUAGGAGGACAAAACAAUCAAGAGGCGAAAUUUGUGAUUUGGAAAACAAUAGGUUCCCUUCAUCUGUUUUGCAAGUAAAUUAGAAUGGACUACUGUUUUUUCUCCUCAAAUAUAGAAAAGGAAGCAACAUUUUGCGCAAGAAGUUUCACAAUGCAGUUCCUAAUGUUUGAUAGUUUGCUGUCCACCUUGUUUCAAAGUCAUACAAGUAUAAAUCUCAACUUAUUCAAGAAUAUAGCUCUAAUGAAUUUUCAUCAAGAGACAAAUUACAAAAAAACAAUCAGCCAUUCCACAUUCAUCGAUAUACUUGAUGCUGUCAUACUAGCAAGCAAAUGUCAAUUUCACACCAGAUGACCAAUAAUGAGUAUCAGAAAUAAAACCGAAAGAACAAUUUUCAACCCAAGCAAAGAUUAAUUGAACAAAUUAUAUUAGACCCCUCGAAAUAAAGUUUGUGGCACAUUACCACUUCAAGUACAUUUUAUCCCAUUAAACACCUUUCCAUUUCUUGUCAUAAAAGAGUCUCAGAACAUUCUUUUUUUUUUUUUUUCAUUUUUAAAUUAGAGAAGAACAUGAACUAAGAUGGCAUAAACAGCCCCGUCUCCAUUGUGAUCACUACAUACUCCAAAAGAUUCUCUGUCUCUCUGUCUCUGUCUCUGUCUCUCUCAUGGUAAAAACGAAGAAGCAAGCCUGCAGGCAAAAAGCAAAUAUUGCUGCUCCACUAAAAAAGCCGCACCGUCAGCAUCACCAAAUUUGACCAUAUAAUGGCUCAUCAAGUCUUGUGGUACUGGCAGUCCUAUUUUUCAUCUUGGCACUCGACUAUACAGUCUUUCUUUCCCUGGACCAACAUGUCCUUGUUUAUUUUCUGACUUUCCCAUUGUGGUUUCUAUUGCAAGGUCAAACAACAGUCACAAACUAGUCCUCUUGACUUUCUCUAUCCAAGCCCACAUAAUAAACCAGCAGUUGUUACUUUUCCUAUCCCAUCUUUCCUCUUCCAAGCCACACGCAACCCAAUAACAAGACCACAGGCAUCAAGCAUAAUGAACAUAUCUCUGAUGGCAAUAGUGGUCAAAAGAACACAUAGCCACAUAGUGAAGUACAGAAAUCAGAAAACAUGCUUUAUAGCCUAGAGACUGUUCUAUGCAAAUUCCACCCUUGUUAGAAAAUUUUACUGAGGUACUGUUAAGUUUUCUAGCAUCAUGAUCUUAAUUUAAUUCUUACUAUUUAAAUUUUCACCAACUUACGGCAAUCUUUUCUUUAGACCAGCUCCUAGUGGGGCUUUCUAAUUCUGGUUGGAGGACCAUAUCUAAGGGACAUGGCAUACCUUAGUAUGAAUGGUCAUGCUGCAAGAAAUAAAGAGAAUAACAUGUUGACUAACUGAAGAAUAUGUUCCAGCAAACAAAAAAAUUCCACAUUCCUAGUCAUCCUGGGUGCUUUGGCCAUUUGACCAGAGAUGCAAGCCGUAAACUACAUGUAUAUGUACCAGAGAUGUAAGCCGUAAACUACAUGUAUAUGUAGUAACAAUGACAGAGUUAAAGUUGAUUUCCUAAAGAGCAAACCAUCCGCAUAGCCACUGAACUUCUAGAAUAGUUAAUAUUUCACCACUCAACUAUUAAUAGUAUGUUUUUACCCACUGAACUGUCAAUAAGUGUAAAUUUUAGGCAAUUUCAUCUUGUUCCACCGUUAACUCCACCAAAUCUAAAGGCCCGCAUGAUUCACGAGACAUACCAUUAAUAGCUCAAUCUGGUAGAUUUAACAGUGAAAUCAGACGGAACAGUCCAAAAUUUACACUUUUGAUAAUUCAAUGGAUAAAAACAUAUUAUUAAUAGUUGAGUGGCCAAAACUCGACUAUUCGGAAAGUUUAGCAGCUACCCAGAUAAUUUGUCUUCCCUAAACUUUAAUGGCAAUAGAACAUAUAUCACAAUAACAGGAAUAGGCAUGCCGUUCCUCAACAUUAAUGAGAUAGAAUAAUGAUUAACAAAUUGAUUAUGUGACUAAAGUGUAAGUAAAUAAGAAUAAGAAAAUGCUACCACUCCUUGUUCACCUUUAUCGACACCCUACGUCCAUGAUUUGUCAUAAAGAAAUCUCACAAUAUACUAUCACACUGUUUAGCCAUACUGAAUAAGAUAAUUAAUUAGCAACACACAACUAUUAACUAGAUUGAUAUCCAAAUGUGUUGGACGAAAAGCAAAUUUGUUAUCCAAACAUAAUUUCAAAUUCAUUUUCCUGAGAGAUUAACACGGCCACCAUUUUUAGCUUUAAAAAACAAUCUCCGCAUGUCACUCUAGGAAAAUGAAUCUGAAUGCAUCCCAUGCAGCUUCUAAAUUCAAUGCAUACCAGGAGUAGUAAUCAAAGAUCAGUAUGUCCCAAUAUCACUUGGGGUAUGUUGGAGCCAAAGUUGUCGCAUGAAGAUAUAACGAACAUUAAAAUACUAUUGUCCCAUAAAUACUCAAACUAUGACAUAUAAGUAGACUAGAGCAUAAUAGUAAAAGAGAAUAAACAGGUUUUCAUAUCAAGGAAAAAUCCACUUACGUAUAAUGUAUAGUUCUAUCUUCCAACUGUACACUGAUCGAUAUAGAUGAGGAAUUCUUACAGUAGGGUCACCAUAAGUAAUCUGCAAUUGGCAAGUAAUUUCAAACUCCAAAAGUUUACGUCUAAUUUAUGAUUCAGAAGAAGAAAAGCUACAGACAUUAGGGUUAACAUUACCAACAGAUAGACUCCUCCGGGUUUAAGAAGCCUGAAACAGAGAAAAAUCAAUAAAUUUAGGUCAGAAGAAUGAGAAACCGAAAAUCACAUCAAGGAGGUACAAAUACUUCAAAAGAUAAACAAAUCCAACAACCUGCUCACCUCCCCCAGCAUAUGAGCAGCACUGAUUGGAGCAUUGUUCCCACACUAUGAAAUGCAAGCAUUAAACAAUUUAAAGUUAGACAACCCCAAGACUAACGAGGACUAAGCAGAUAACAAGGGGAAAAGUAGAAACAUAACUUACCAUUAAUGAAUCCAGAGUUCCUAUGUGGAUCAGCAAGACCAGAAAUGCCAAAUUAAGAGAUAUAUCAGAGAAUUAACAUUUUGUAACUCAAUCUUCAAGAAGUAUUAAAACUUCACCGCUUACUAUGGACAUCUUACCUUUAUCAAUCACACUAUGGAAUGAGUCAUCGGGAAAAAAGCUCAUGUCCCUAACAUCCAUUUUCAUGUCUGUAGAGUUUCAUAAGGAAGUUUUACUGGCUAGAUGCGUUCUUUCAAUCAAGUAGAAAAAGUAUAAAUGAUAAAACUCAGCAACAGUAUAAUAAACUAUUCCUUAGCCUGGAUACAUUUCAUUUGCGGAACUUGUUCAUAUUUCCUUCUCAUCAUGUCAAUAGCCACUGAUGAUAUGUCGAUGUUCAUUAUAUCUUCAUAGCCAUCCUUCACCAUAUCCUCUGACAUAACUGCAAAACAAGUUCUUUUAUGGUCAGCAUUUUAAUUACCAUUGACAAGUCAACAUCUACAUUAUGGAACAAGUAUAAACAUGAAUUACAAAGACAGAUAACCAUCAAACUCAUAAAAUAAGAUACCCAAAUAAGAAGCCUGAAUUUGACAACUCAAAUUGUGAUUUUAACGCUCGAUUCUUUGGUUUGGCCAUUACUGGACACCAUCACAAACUUAUGCAUUUGAAAUUGUGUAUUUUGAAGAAAAUAGAAGAAAUAAAUAUAAUGGUAACUACAGCUUCAACAACUCGGCUUUGGCAAAACUUCACGUGAGUUAAAUGCUAUGAAGAAUACUUGGGAUGUGGAAUUGCUGGAAAAUAGCCUAAUACUAAAGAAGCAAUAAGAAAUGGGUAUAGCACAUCCUUAUUGAAAAGCAUAAAACAUCCUAAGCUGAGUACAGGAAUAUGGGAAGGCAGGGACUAAAAAUAAAAUAAUCAGACUUGGGACAUCUGAGACUCACAUGUAAUUUGAUAGUCAUUUAUUUUUCUUAAAGAAUAAGCCUGCAAGUCAAUAGAUACUACAUGCAGUACAAAAAUUUAUGCUACAUUUGUAUAACAACAUACAUCAAUCACAGUGAUGUAUAAUCUCGGCUAAAAGUCAUAAAUGCUGAACAAAACCAAGUAGUAACCCCAAUCACAAUGUAUCACUAAGUUCCAAGUGGAAGCUCGACUAACCCCAAGUCAAUCACAAUUUUCACUGAAGCACUGAGCAAUCCAAGCUUAGUGCAACUGCACCCUAUUUUGAUGCAUUUACAUGCUAUGAGCACUCUGUAAAGUAUCUGCAGUCACUGAACAAAGGCAUAAUGAUUCCCAAAUAGAUUUGUUGACAAAUUUUCCACUUCGAUGCAUUGGAAAAUCCAGCUUGGAUCAAAGUAUCCAACACUAAGGCAGGUUCUGUUUCACAGAUGACUCCAAUAAACAUGUUGAUAAUAUCUUUUUCCCAUAUCACAUGUCGAUUAAAUCCUCAAUUUCACAAAAUCAGCUUGUAAGUAAUCCAGCAGUUAACUACAAUAUUAACUGCAAGAUCCACAAUGAUAGGAACCUUAUUUUGAUCCACAUCUUUCAAUUUCCUCCAUACUUCUCCUGUACAGAUAUAGGCUAGUAACAAUAUCAGCUGUUUUGAUCAUAAUCAUUUGCAGCUUCUAGGUUAUCAGAUCCAAAUCCAGACCUCCAUGCUCAAUUUCUGCAAAUUUUGAUGCUGAAACUUAGAAGUCCUUUUUUUUGUUUGGGGGGGGGGGUGGUGUAGAAGUGGGUUGGGGAACUAAUUUAGCAGUCCAACUGAUGCAGCAACAAGAAGCUUUUGCAGGUAAUAUUAUUUUUAGAAUUUCUACUGUUAACUUUUUGAGAAUGUAGAAGAAAGUUUCGAGAGUUAGAAAUGGGAAGGGGCGCCAAUAGGGGUUUUAAAAGGAAGCAACGAGCAGGAAAAGAGGAAAAAAUGGGAGAAGCAAGAAAUCAAGGAAUCCCACCAAGAUUUUCUUAAAAAAUACACGCAGAGGAAAGCUUGCUUCCAUUUGUUAAACAAAGCCCAACACAUUAUCUUAAGCUCAAAGCAAAAAUUCUUCCCAUCAUUCCUCUCUUCCCAAUGCCAUUACAAUUUACAACUGAUUAGCUACAGUAUACUUGGAAGUUAAGAAUUGUUAUGACUAAGUAAUAAACAUAGCUAAGCAAACCUGUCAACUAUUAAAAUGCAGCUAAUCACUGUAGUAAGCCAGGUUGACUUUUACCAUCCCAAGUUGACUCUGUCAACUUGGACUGGAAACCUAUCAUAAUUCAGAAAUCUUAGCUUACAGGCUUAAUCCGUCUACAGUGGAACCUAUUGCAACAUAUGUUGUAUUAGGGAUGGCCACAGUUCUAUUUUGAACUGGGAACCGCACCUGCAGUUCCUGUAACCAGAACCUUGCCUACAGGAUCCGGUUCUGGUACUUAAUCUUGAAACUGGAGUUCCAAGUGACAAGUGAACCAAAUAAGCUGUUACCCUUGCCCAGGCCCAGUCAAUGCUACAGCAACGACUCAAAACUUAGCAGUUUCAAUCCAAAACGAAAGACAAAUUUAUUGCAUUAACAAACAGCAGGCAAGGAAUGAUAACAUUGGCUAUAAUAGCAUUUGCUAUCUUUUUUUUAUUUAUUUAAUUUUGAAUUAAACCCUAUAAAAGCCCCCAUGGUCUCACCACACCACAUAUUUAUUCUCCCUCUUCUACCCUUUAAUUCUUUUAAUUACCCAUUCACUCAUUAUAAUCCCAUAAUUUCUUUUAUUCCUUUAAAGUCCAAAACUAGUACUAUUAUUAUUUUACAUCUCCUUUUACUUACAUAAUUUAUUUAAAGAAGAUAUCAGAGGGGGAGAACUAAAAGGUCUCUUACACAAGCUAUCUCUUUGUGCUGCUGUCUAUUUCAUAUGGCAAGAAAGGAACAUACACUUGUUUCGGCAGGAAAGUAGACCACCAACAGCAUUAGCUCACACUAUUUUGGAUCAAAUCCAUAAGAAGAGUGAAAGAAACUGUUAAGGACAAUCCAAGCAACAGAUCCCUAGCUAUGAGAUGGGGACUUCAAGCUGCUUUCUUUCAUCCAACCAUACAUUGGUGCAAACGGUAAACUCCCAAAUCUGGACUAAAAUGUCUGAAUUGUGAUGAUUCAGUUAGAGGCGACAUAGGGGGUGCAGGCUUCAUUCUUAGAGAUGAAAAUGGCAAAAUCUUAAGGGUUGGGGCUAUAGGAGUAUGUGAUGAUUCAAUAUUAAUCCAUGAGCUGGAAGCUAUCAAGAAAGAGUUGGUGAUUGCCAAACUCAAAGGAUGGAGACAUAUUGAAGUCCACACUGAUUCAAAACUUACUGCAGAUAUCUUAAAUAGCAAAAGAUGCUAUAAGCGGAGGGUUCCAGUUGUAUAUCUGAUAUAAAGGACUUAAUCCCAUCCUUUAGGGAGGUGAAUGUGUAUCUUGUAUAUCGCCAAUGUAAUCAAGCUGCUGACUUUAUGGCUGGUUAUCUCAAUAGGUAGAUAAAGUUAUUUUUGAGUCAAAUCAUCCCCCCCGGGGCAAUCUUAUUAGAAUUGUAGAGGAAGAAAAUAGGCGGAAGUUGACUGUUAGAAUGUAAAUUCUUUUAUUUUGUUUAUAUAAAGCUCACCAAUUCUCCCAAAAAAAAAAAAAUUAUGACACGCCAUACCAAGUCAACCAACAUCUUCAACAUUGAUGAUGUUGAAUUUCAUAUAUUCUCAUACUACUGCUUGCAUGAUUUAUUUAAUACCUUUAAAUUCUCAACAAUAUUUACAAUGUACUUUUGUUUAUUUCCUACAAAAUGGCACAUUUUGGUGGCAGUAGUUCAUCUUCUAAAUCAAGGAACUACAAGGAAAAAGAAGUUACGCACAUUUUUUCCUCAAUUAACAUCUUCAACACUGAUGAUACUGAAAUUCCAACAGAUAUUUCAGGACAAGGGAGUCAAGAUAUAAAAAUUAUGUUAACAAGAAGAACAAAAAUUUUAAUAAGGUUUUUAUAGGGUUUAACUCAAGAUUUUUACAGCAUUUAGCUCAAAACUUUUGAAAAAAUAAAAAGAUAGCACCGUCUAUAAUAGCAGUUGCUGUCAUUCAUUUUCAAUGCCAUGGCUUAAUUUUGAGUCUCUUAAGUAGCAAAACUGGGCAUGGACAAGGGUUGCAGCUUUGUGACUCCUGUUCAAUUCCACAUUUUGAUGAGGUAGAACCAAAACAUGAAAGGUUCAUGUCAUGGUUCCAGAUUCGGUGUGGAAGUUGGUUUGAAAUGGAAGUGCAGCCACCCCUAUCACCAAACAAGUUAGAAAAUAUAGAACCACAAAUCUAGAAUAUCAUGUUUGGUUGACAUGAAGCAGCUUAGACAUGUCAGUUUGAUACCAUAUUUUUAUUUAUUCCCGAUAAAAAUCCAAAUAGUACUUUUUUGCAUUGAACUUGUCCAAAGAAAGUACAUUACAUAUUGUCCCACUUAUAACCAUCCCUACCUGUACGGCUCAGACACAUACUAAUUCCCAAUUAUCGUUGAACAGAAACUUUUUUGGUGUGGAUACCACAAGCAAUAGGAUGAAACCUAUCAAAUCAAACGGUCAAUCUAGGUCUACAUCUCAUGACUACUUCAAUAAGCAGCUGACUUCAAGUAUGGGUUAAUCUACACAACUAAGAUGCUAUCCCAAUCAAUCAACUUCUUAAACUAAAACCUUUCACAAUGUACAGCUCAGCAUCAUAAAAGCUAGAAUGCUUUAAGGAUUGGAAACUCUUAAAAAGAAUCAUUAGGAACAUGACAUAUCACUAAAACUUGCAAGGAAGAAUUCCAUCAUACCUUUAAUUUAUGUUUCUAUUGUAUUAACAAAAGCACAGGGCCUCAGUGGACUAGCAGUUGGUUGCUAACUUUCCAGUUCCCAUAAUCUAAAAUACAUCUUUCACCACAAUAGUUCCCUGGAAGCAAUUUACUAGAGAAUAAAGGUAUUCUUCUUAGAUGAAGUUUCUUUGAUCAUUUUCAGUUAGACAAUUUGUAACCCAGUUAAAUGCCUUUCGUCAGAAAUACUCAUCCUCAAACGUAUCAUUUUCUAAUUACAGUUCACCCAACCAAAGAUGUCUACCUUCCAGUCUCCUUGGAAAGCAAAACUAUAUCUUAACUACCUGACCCCAAAUUAAGAUAAUAAAUAUUCAACUAAUUUUUCUAUGUUCCUUUGUCACCUUAUUCACCUUUGGACCAUGAGUUCACGUUGAUCAAAAGUUCAUUCUGUCCAGUCUUCUGGGACUGCAAAUGAUCUCACUGCACAGUUCUUAGGACUUCCAUUGUGUCUUAGACAUCAUUCCCUCUAUUGCUAUCAGCUACUGCCAAAAAGCUUUCCAUUAUCCUGUUUAUAUUCCAGGUCAGGUCAGCCAACAUUCAUUUAUUACAUUUUGUAUUUCAUUUUUGCAUGAUUUCCUUUUCAAGCAUUUGUUUCACUAUUUUCUAUGGUUUGUGGAGUUUUUUAGUUCCCUACUUCAUGCCAAGGUAUUGUUUGAUCUCUGAUGACUAUCUUUUCCACUGUGUUUUUGAAGUUUAUGUUCCUCAUUUCUAAAGUUAAGGCCUUGUCUUCAAGAUGAGAGCCAACACUGCCAAUUCUAGGCUUGAAGUAUCACUAUUUUUGCAUCAUCUUUCUAACACUUCUAAUCAUUUUCUUUUUCCUUGUUUUUAUACAGUGCCUAACAUAGGACACAAUAUUAAAUUUUUGAUUCCCCAGAGUAAAGCUGCAAUCUUUGCCCCAGAAAACUUCUGCAGAACUAAUUCUUAGCUUCUACAGCAAUUAUACCAACACAACAGAAUCAUAAGGCAAUAGCUCAAAAUACAACCUCCAGGCUUCAUGUUCUGAUACUUCUAAGCAUUCUUUUUCCUGUCUAUACAUUGCAUUGGAUAUUGAACACAAUCACAAAAUCGGAUUCCUCUAAGCAUUCUGGGGCAACUUCUGCAGAACUAAAUUCUUAGCUUCUACAGCAAUUUUACGAACACAACAGAAUCAUAAGGCAAUAGCUCAAAAUACAACUUCUAGGCUUCAUGUUUUUGAUACUUCUAAGCAUUCUUUUUCCUGUCUAUACAUGGCAUUGGAUAUUGAACACAAUCACAAAAUCGGACCUCAAAAUAAAGCUGCAAUCCUUGCCCCAGAAAACUUGGGCAGAAUUACCAAUACAUCAAAAUUUUAAGGAAGUAUCUCAAAAAGAUACAAUCUCUGCGGCUGAAAUUCAUUUUCACUGCAAAAUUUGAAUUGUUUCUAUUCUAAAGCCCUGUUCUUGGAUUGUUUCAAAACCUCAUGCAGCCAAGUAAGGGUAGUCCACCCCAGAAACAAUAAGAGGAAAAAAAAAGGGAGAGCCACCACAGGAAAAGGUUGCCAAAUGAUUAAAUUCUUUCCCCAUGCAAUAAAGAAAAAGGAAACUAACUACCUGCAAAAUCAUCAGAGCUUCCCUGACUUAAUCAACAAUAUUACUAUCAUGUAGCUAAAAACCCAUCCUUACCCUUGACUUCCAUUUUCAACUUCUUUCAUUCCAAGACUUGUUCUUUUCAUCACUAGCACGCAGCUCACUGAACUUUAGCAUCUUUACUCCUAUAUAUCAACUUAAUGCACAAAACUCACAUCUACAACAGAAAAAAUUACACCCAACAAAGAACUGAAAAACAAAACUCUACUAAAUAUUGAACUGCUUCAUGGCACAAAUCUAUGCAGUUCUCAGUGUAGCCAUCAUAAAAUAGGAAACACAAUGAAACCCAUUAAAAAUAAGCAGCAAAAGUCCAACAACUACAGCUAUAAUCAGCAAAAAAAAUUUAAAUUUCACCUCAAGUUUGAGAAAGGAAAUGAAUUAGGAGGGCAUGCAUAUGUCUAGCUUUGAAAUGGGUCAUAAGAAUACAGCAAAAUAAACAAAACCAACGAAAUUUAGAGCAGCAAAAGCUCAAAAAACCUGUUAUCAUAAAAAAUUCGUAAUUUUAGCGAAUAAUUAGGAAACGAAAUUAAAAGCAUUUGCCACAGCCAAAAAAAGUAAAGGAAGAGCAAAGGGAAGAGAUUCCUUACGGGCGUUGCCACACCCAACCAUGAGGACACGGGCGGAAGUUGGAAUAUACUUGCGGACAAAAGGGCGAAGUGCAGAGUAACGUUGAUACCAAUCAAAAGAACCACAAUUCGCUUCUUGAAUAUACCGCGCGUCCCAGUAAAGCGCGUCGCCAUAGUUGUAUGUACUGCAAGCUGAAACGUCCCUGUACAUCUUUCGGUCCGGCGGGCGGAGGGAGUGGGGUGGGGUGGGGCGGGCGAAGGUUGUUUGGGUAAUUGGGGUUGGAGUGGAGUGGUGGGACUCGUGGGAGUAGAAGUGAAGAGUGCAGGCUACGCGUGGCCCGGUUAGAUAUGAUCCGGUGGGGUGGGCGUUAACGUGGUACGGACGGCUGGUUAACCUUUGUUUUUUGUUUUAAUUUUUUUUAUUUUGUCUCUUCUUGACAGUUUUUUUUUUUUCCUGAUAAAUCUCUUCUUGAAAGUUGUCAAGUGUUUGUGACGAAAUGGAAAAAAUUCACUUUUCAUCUCCAAACUUUGUGACAAAGACACUUUGAUCCCCAAACUUUUCGUCAGAACACAUUGAGUACAUGAAGUAAUGAUUUUUUGUCACAUUUAGUCAAAAAAAUGGGAAUUUACUCAAUUUGGACGGUGAAGAUCACGUGGCUGUUAACAAAUGUCCAAAUAUCAAUUUAUAACCAACACAAGUCAACUUUUUGAGGACAUUACACAAUUCCUUGAACAAGUUAUCCAUUUUGGUAUUAUUUCAAGUUCUUACUUAACGGGCAUUACCUAUGCAAAAUACUAGGGGUGGCAAUCGGGUCGGAUUCGGGUUGAGAUUUAAGUAUAACAAAGAACCUGCUGACCCGAACCCGACCCGCCAACCCGAAACGGGGGUCAGGGUACCUGACACGAACCCGAAAAUUUCGGGUUGACGGGUCGACCCGAAAUGACCCGAAACUUAAUUUUAAUUUAUUAAUUUAUCACUGUAAUUUCUAAUAAAAUCAAUUUUUCACAAAAUUAAUUACAUCAUCAAGUAAUAAAAAUUUAAAUAAAUAAUUUCAAACCAAAUUUAAAAUAAAUUAAACACCGUAAAAGUGUUUUAUCCCAAAUCAAAUGUAAAAUAAUUAAAACAGCGUAAAAGUAAGAAAUAACAUAAUAUAUUAUUUGUCCAAAUAUAAUAAUUUUAACUUCACACAAGUUAAAUAAAUUCAUUUAGGAUUAAAUAAUUAAUGCCUUUGGAAAAAAAAUGAUUUAGUUUAGUUAGAUAAAAUAAUUUUUAUGUUUAUUAAAUUAGUUUUAAUUCGUAAACGGGUCACAUCGGGUCAUAUCAGGUCACCACGGGUUGACCCGAAAUUGACAUGUUUUCUUUUCGGAUUCAUCGGGUUCGACCCGAUUCUGACCCGAACUUCCGAAAUCUCAACCCAAACCCAUUAAUUUCGUGUUAGGUUCGUGUCGUGUUUUCGGGUCAUGUCAGGAAUUGCCAUCCCUACAAAAUACUAGUUUUUUGUAGACAUUUUACUCUCAAACAUUCAAUUUAUAAAAAAUAUAGAAAUAUUUUUAAGUAAAACUCAAAAAGUGUUAGAGUAUAUUAGCUGUUUUUAAGUAAAAUAUAAAUGUUUUUAAGUAAAAUUCAAGUAAAAUGAAAAAAAACUAGUAGGUUAUCUAUUUAAAAGAAAUUAAAUAUUUUUUAAAAAGAAAUAUCCCAUAAAGUACCAACUCUUUAUGACUUUUCUCUAUUACAUGAACCAAGUACCAAGUUUUUAUGGGCAUUUUAUUCUGAAUCAUUUAAUUUAUGUUAAAUAUAUAAAUAUUUGCAAAUAAAAUUCAAGAGUCGUUACACAAAUAUUUUUACCAAAGGAAAACUAGCAUGUUUUGUAUUUAAUAUAAAUGAAGUAUUUGAAAGUAAAAAAAAUUGUCCAUAACAUACCAGUUCUUUACGAGUUUCUUCCAUUAUAUAAAUAAAGUACUAGUUAUUUAUGAGCAUUUUACUUUGGAUCAUUUAAUUUAUAUUAAAUAUAUAAAUGUUUAUAAGUGAAAUUCAAAAAGUGUUACACUAAUAUUAUUAUGAAAGGGAAACUAGUAGGUUUUGUAUUUAACAUAAAUUAAAUACGUGAAACUAAAAAAAGAAAUUAGCCACUUUUUACUAGCUCUUUACGGGUUUCUUCUAUUAUAUGAAUAAAGUGCUAGCAAUUUAUAGGCAUUUUACUCUGAAUCAUAUAAUUUAUGUUAAAUACAUAAAUGUUUGUAAGUAAAAUUUAAAAAGUGAUAUACUAAUAUUUUUACGAAAGGAAAACUAGCAGGUUUUGUGAUAGCCCAACUUUUAGGAUACUAUUGUUGUUUAGUCUCAAAAAGGAUAUUACGCUUUCUUUAGUUUAUUUUUAUUUUAAUACAUUGUUUUGUUUUAAAAACUAGAAAUCCUAAAUUCUAAAAAAAAAACCCUAGUUACUUGUGACUAAUUGAUUUUCUUAAAUUUCUCAUGUUUUAAUCGAAACCUUAAUUUGUCAUUCAUUCCCUUAUAAUAGCUAUACUACUCAUUUACAUCCCCAAUGUUUCGAAUAAAAAAAUAGAAUUAAGAGUUUUCCCUUUUGCAUUCAUCGUUAGGGUAAAUUAAGAUUUUUACGUCUUUUCAUAGUGUGAUUACUCGAUACGGAGUGUGUAUCACAUUUGGUGAUUAAGAGUGAGUUUUAGAUGAUAUUAAGUAUGUGAUUAGAAGUGAUAAUAAUAAGUUAGUGAAUUAUAAGUGAAAACCCUAGUGUACGCGAUUUAAGGAAAAACGGGUUGAACCGACGGGUACCGUCCACUACCGAUUGAACACACCAUUUGAUCAUUAUUUUAUCAAGUUAAUCUCAUUGUUAUUAGUGCCAAAUAUCAGCCUUUAAUCCAGCUCAAGAUGGCCGAAAAUAUUGACCAAGAAAAGGGAGGAAAAAGAAAAAAAUUGAGAUUGAAUCUUGUGGUGACACUUGGCGGUCAUCCACCUAACUUUGACCCAAACUAAUUACCAUCUUAUUAACCUUCUUGAAGCUUCAUUUUCUCCUCCAUUUCAUCAGCUUGGCCGAACCUCAAGGAGAGAGAGAGCAAGAGAAGAAAACUCCAUUUCAUCUUGAGCAUAGCUUGAUUGAGUGAGAAAACAAGAAAACCAAAUCGAUUAACUUGCAAAUUGAGAGCUUGGGAAGCUUGGGAAGCUAAAUUUCACAAGGAGAGAUGGUGGAUAAUUCUUCCAAGCAUCUUUGAGAGGUAUAUUGGCUGUCCAUCACAUUUAUUUCUCUUAAUCUUGUUAAAGUUUAGUUAGAAGCUCUUAAUCUUGCCUUAUGACGGGUAAUCAGUUGGUUUUGAUGGAUUUGUUGAAUAUGGAGCUAGGGUUUACAUUUUCAACUUUGAUUAUAGUUAUCUACCUCUUAAUUGAUGUUAUUGAGCUAGUAGUGGAUGGUUUUGAUGAUAGAGUACUUCUUGGAUAUGAAUUUCUAGUGGAAAAGUUCAAAUUCCAGAAUUAGAUUCUUCAUUGUUCUGUUCUGUCCGGUUUUAGUUCACCAUGAUAGAGGCCGAAUCAGGCUUGGCACAAAACAUGAAAGUUCUAGGGAAUGAUAUUUUAUAGUUUCCUGUAAAAUUUCAGCCUAAUCUGAGCACUUUAGCUCAUGAAAAAGAUAAAAAUACCCUGAGACUGCCUUAGGAAGAGUCCAGCAGACAGUUUUGACAUUUUCUCAUGUUGGCUGCGUUUUUCACCUUGAUCCGUACCAAACCAGUCUUUGGACAAAACAUAAAACUUUUAGCCCUAUGUUUUUUCUUUCCAACACCACUAAAAACGCCCUAAUCGGACUUUAGUAGCCUGAGUUAUUUUCGUUUACGCAUAAGGCGGUUAACAAGCUCGAAUGUGAGAUUCUGGUUCUGUCAUUUGAGAUUUUGACUUAGAUACACUGCAAACUGGACUGAGUGGUCUUCAUCAAAGUUGUAUACCUUUGUUUUAGCUUCGAAACGGUAUAAAUUUCACCCCAAUCCAAUAAGCAUAGCUUUGGUUGUGCUCGUUACGCUAAAUGACGGCAAAUCUGUCUUUUGUUUUAUGCCUUAAACUUCAUUUCCGGACAUGUACCUAGUUUAAUUUUGUACUCGUAUGACUUUGAGCCUAUGGAACGGCUAUUGAAAUGAGAUGAUUUUGUGUGUGACUUUGGGACUGAUUUGAGGAAAAUAUUGAAGCUAUAAAUGGCUAGAAAAUAGAUAAACACAAGGGGCAUGCCGCCAAAUUUUCACUAGAGGUAUAAACCGGUCUUUGGAGUUUUGGUUCGGUAAUCUGCAAAUUUGACUUGGAUACACUGAAAACUGGGUUGAGAUGUCUUCAUGAAAGUUGUAAUUUUUUGUCUAAGUUUCGAGACACUACCUAGUACAUUUUUAUCCGAUAACCACAGCUCCAGUUAUGGUCAAAAUCGUGUAACCCAUUUUGUACCAUUUUCAUUGUUGCACACACGCACGUGCAUUUCUCAACCGUUUUUGCCGUUUUGGACCGUUUAGGAUUAUUUUUGUUAUUUUGUUACCAUUCCGGCCGUUUCGGCCAAUUUCGACAUUCUUUUGGCCUUAACGUCAUUUUUGACCUUUUUUAUUAUUUUUAACCGUUUUCGAUCGUUUAAGUUAUAAACUGCUAUUGUAUAAUCGUUUCACUUAUGUGUGUAUAUAAUUUGUCAAUACAGACUGUGAGACUUUUGACAGUGACGGUCAAGCUCAGUGAAUUGUAUCGUUUUUCGUGUCAAGCUUUAUCAAGUGAGUAAUUGGGUUGUUAUUGAUGUGAAAUUGUCAAAGUGUUUUGUAUAUGCUAAAUGGAUACUUAGGCGAGGGUGUACUUUAUCUCACUCGACCUAAACCCAUCCUUUGUUUUGAUUUCCUAUGUGAGAAUACAUGCUUUAUGUUGAGUAUCACCCCAUUAACUCUGCUAAUCUCAAGUAGCUUUUCACUUCAUUAACUUAGUGGGAAAGGGGGAAACUUGGAGAAGAAAAGCAGUGGGUUAGAGUGAGAGAGUCAAGUGUGGACUCGUGUCUAACUUGUGUUGGUUAUAAAUUGAUAUUUGGACAUUUGUUAACGGCCACGUGGUCUUCACCGUCCAAAUUGAGUAAAUUCUCAUUUUUUGACUAAAUGUGGCAAAAAAUCGUUAAUUCAUGUACUCAAGUGUUUUGACGAAAAGUUUAGGGACCAAAUGUGUCUUCGUCACAAAGUUUAAGGAUGAAAAGUGAAUUUUUCUCAUGAGGAAAUUGCACACAAAGUCUCUUACAUCUUACGCUUUCACUACCGUCAUCCCUCCUUCCCACAUAGGACAGUAAAGUAGGUUGUCAAUUGGAACAUUUGAGUUGGAUUUUAACAUGUUUAAAUUCAAUUCAUAGAAAAUAUCACUGUCUUGAGCCCAAGCAAGUUUAAUUAAGUUAGAAUCACUUUUUUGUAACUCACACCUGACUCAUUUUAAUUCACAUCAUAUAUUUUUCACAUUUACAAAAUUUUUUUUUGAAGGACACAUUUACAAAAUCUAGUAAAACCAAAUGAUUUACCGAUUCACAAACAUCCAAUAAUAUAUAAGUAAAGUUGCAAUAUCAAUAAAAGUUUGAAUUUCAUGACAAAAAAUAGGGAGGAUCUAAAUCCACACCCUCCCAUUCUAAAUUCAGAUCCUAAUUACCAAUAUGGCAAUUAAGCCCCUAUCACUUAAUAACUUUUACUUAUAAUUUUUUUACAAUUCCAAAAUUAUCAUUUCAUAUAAUAAAAACGAUUUGUCAUAACACUAUUCUUUUAAUUAUUUUUCUAAUUUUUUAAAUUCAUUGCAUGUUGUUUUUAAUAAUUUGUACCACAUUAGUGUCUUUGAACAAUAAUAAAUUCAUGAAACCGAUCAAGUUAGGUAAUAGAAUUAGAGAUCUUGUAUACUUCAAAAGUGUUACUAUACAAAUAAUUUCAUUAUUUCAACAUAAUAGAUAUGCAUCCUAUAAAAGAAAGUGAAAAAUGCAAAAGAAACAUCCAAUGAUCCAUAAAUUUAGUAUGAUGUUUAAUUAAUAGCCAAAAGCUCCAAUAAGGUUACACAUAAAUGCUGAACUAUUAGAAAUUUUUAUAAGGAACAUGAAUAGUACUAUGAUAAUUUUGGUUGUUAUAUAUUUAGAAAAACAAAAUUAAUAUUAAAAAAGAGAAAAACAAAUUAAAAACACACAUUACACAUCCUAUAAGCCCAAGAAUUUUCAAAACUCAUGAGACUUUUGUUGAAAACAUUUAGAAGAAAACGUAAUGGAAUAAAUGACUAAAGGAACAAUUAAAUGUAAAGGGUUUUAAUGUCAUAUUGAUUUUUAGGGUGUGGAUAUAGGGUGUUAGUGUAUGGAUUUAGCCCCUCUGCAAAAUAUAUAGCUUACCAUAUCGUCCAUAAACUUAUCAACUAAAGAUUAAAAAAAUAAUUAAUCAUAAAAUUAGCCAUAUAAAUUUAAAUUUAUUUAAUCGGAAAUAGACCAACAAAUAUUCUUAAUUCCCAUAUAACCUAUAAAAUACCCAAAAAAAGAGAAAUAUUUUAGAUAAAAAACUAUAUGUUAAAAAUUCUAGUAUUUUAGUAUUUGGUACUCUAAAAUGAACGAUGAUGUAUAUAUAUGUCAUACCAUCAUUGUUGGGCCAAGUAUUAAGUAGUUUGAGAUUAAUGCAAUUCAACCCACAUUCAAAUCGGGCCAAAUAUUUUGAUUCAUGCUCAAUUUAAACUCAUAUUGCUUAAAAAUCAGCUCAGUAAAAUUAGGGCCGAAGGGAUUGCGAUCUAAUCAAUCCAACCCUAUUCACAACCUGAAUGUAAUAUGUUCACAUUUUUCUUACAUUUAUAUAUUUUUUUCUUAUAGUUAUAUUUCUUACUAAAGUAAAACCAACCAAUUUGGUUCUAAUCUCAAUUCAUCUUCUUCCACCUUUUCUGCUUAAAAUUGACAUGAAACCAUGCGUGAACUAUUUUAACCGAUCCAAAAAUUUCUUUUAAUUAAUCUCAAUUUUUUUUUGUCGAGUGUAAAUGCAAGAGAGAAUAGCUAACAAAUUGGGCUCCUUUUUUUUCACUCUUUUUUGAAUUGGACUUAUUUAGGAUGGUGGCUGUGGUGUCUUUCAACUAGUGCCAACAUGGAAAUUGAUUGAAAGUCAACACAAGUUGUCUAUAUAAGUUGGAUUAGUUGAUAAGGUUGAAUUACUAUUUAAGAAAGGGUGUGUGAUGUAAGGAUUAUAUUGGUAGGCAAUUGUCAAUUCAUAAGAAUCUCUAUAAGCCACCUUUAAUCCAAGUAACAUGCCCUAAUCUGUUGCGAUGACCAAAAUCAACAGGUCGAUGCACAAGCUAAAAUUGCUAUAGAAUGCUUUGCUUGCUUUCUGUUGUGCUCAUUAUGUGAAUACUUUUUCCAAUAAAUGAGACCAAUGGUAUUUAAACUUUUCUAGAAACAUUAAUUUGAUAUUUCACCUUUUAGUUGUGCAUCAAUUCAAUAUCUAUUUUUUUUGUAUUUUGUAAGGCCCGAAAACACCUCUUUUCUAGGCGACCACACAAUGGAGCAGUUGAUAAGAAAGCACAAGUGCUUGUGAGUAGAAGAGAUAAACAAUUUAAAGAUCAUAAACGGAACAAUAAGUAAAUAAAAAGGAAAGGAUUGCAAACCAAUUAACUACCCAAUUCCUCUUGAGCUUGUAGAUAAAUUCAAACAAGCUACUUCAAGUUGAUGAAUUACAAUCACUCUUGUGUACAAAGGAAGGUUCACCUCCUCCUUGCCCCGAACUCCACUCGGUCAAACCAGGACGUUUUACUAUCCCUCAGGACAACCCUCACAGAGCUACACUCAUGAAAGAUUCACUCACAAAUGAAAAGCUUAUAAUGAACCUCACACCACUAAGACUACAAAUCUUCUUUGAAGAGUAUUUUCUCACUAAAAUCUCUCUAGAUCUUUUGUAUCUUCGGUGUGUCAAAGUUGUUUGAAGUGUCUGACCAACCACUAUUUAUAUAGGACCAAGAAAGUGCCUCAUUAAUGCUUCCAACGGAUAGAAAGUAGCUGAACAGUCAACUAGCCGUUGGUAGUGUCGGACGUCCGAUAGCACUGUUUUAUGCGUCCGACAGCAGGCAGUGAGUUUGAGAAAUUUUCUUCAAUUCUUUCGGACGUCCGGUAGGCUGGUUUUCUGCGUCCGAAGAUACUCGAUGGUUGUCGGACGUCCGAUGCAGUCUUUUUCAGCGUUCGACAGCUUUCAGCAACCUUUGUUUUCUUUCAAUAGCACUUGUUCAUGGAAUCACAUAACUUCAUAAUUGAAAAUAUUUCUUGGAGAGAUAUUAGUAUCAUCCAUUUGUUUUGUAAACAUCAAAAAAUAGGGAUCAAGAUCAACAUAUUUGAUCAAUUCUAAACACAAUUUUGGUAGAAAUUGGUUGCUGAGGUUGGUCAAGUGCCAGUUUACAUAUAGUCAAGGCAUACACAAUUCUAAAAUUUUGAAACAUUUAGAAAACUAAUGUCAAAAUAAAAAACAGGGAAAAGGAGAAAAAAAAAAUUUGAUGGAUGACUUAGUGGCGGAAGCUUAGGAGUAAGAAUAAUUACAUAAAUAAUCUGAAUAAAUGAACUAAGAGAGAUUCACAACCUACCCUAAAAGGAAAACCAAGAUUCAACAAGAAUCUACCACUUGAGUGCACUUAAGAAGAGGAUUUAAUCCAACACAAUUGUGUUAAAAUUGAUAUAUAUUGUCAAAAGUCAAUAAAAUAAACCCUAUAAAGCCUAUUUAUAAGCUAUAAAUCUUUUAAACCAAAAAGGAAAAGAAAAUACAAUUAAAAUAGAAAAACGAUCAAUAGCUCAUUUUUUGGCCACCAUGGGAUUUGCGAACAUAUCCAACUAUGCUAGGUGCAGAUGGAUCCAAAUAUGCUAGGUGCGGAUCCGUUUUGCAGAUCGAAGUUGUUGCUUUCUGGCCUAAAUCCACGGGCUAGAUCUAAGAUUCAGAUUCGAGGCGCAGUCAUCUUGAUCGGGCAUCGAUCAGUGCGAAAUUGUAGCUUCUAGUAUUUGACUCCAACCCCCUUGUUGAGUGACUCAAUUCCCUUUUUUGGUGAUCAAACUCGUUCCACAUCAGUUCCUUCUACUUUAAAAGAACUCGACCCUGAGUUCUAUGAGGAAUUUUCAACACUUGAACAAAUCGACACUUUAAUAAUUUUUCCUUGCAAUUUAUAGGGUUUGAACACAAACAUAAACUAAACACAAAUUGGAUCAAAUGUAGAUUGAUAGCUGUACUGGUACAAAAUCAGGCACAAGCUUAAAAGUAGUAACCACACUAUCCAUUAUUGUUGACACAACUUGUACCUCAACUCUUGAACAAUAAAAGUCUUCACUAUAUUCGGUUUUAUCUUGACAUCCGCUGCUUGAAAAUUCAUCAAACUUUGAUCCACACCAUCAUCACUAGGAAAUUGUAUCAACUCCUUCAAGAGUGAAUAUGAAGGUUUGCUAGGAUGCACCUUAUCCUCCUUAAUAGUUAGUAGCUUGCGGAACAUCAUCUAGAUCAUCACCUACAUUUAAAUCACAGUCUAUAGCAAAAUAAUUAAUAAGUUAUUGUCAACCAAGUGGGCUGCUUUGGGCCGUCGUUGGCACCAAAACAAUCUUUUUCCCAUCCUUGAUGAAACAUUAAUAGAUUAUUUUCCUUCCAUUGAAUGUCACCUCCCAGUCAUAUUCCCAUGACCUCCUAAAUAACACAUGGCAUGCAUCUUAUCUACAAUGUCAUACAUGACACAAUUAGUGUAAUAUUUGUCUAUGGACAAUGAAACUAAACUUCUCUCAACUACAUUAAUAGGAUGUACAUCCUUUAUCCAACUAUUAAUGUAAGGAUCAGGAUGAAUCUCAAUAGGCAAGCUCAACAAUUUAACCAAAGCACUAGAAAAUAUAUUUUCACAGCUAUUAGUAUCAAUUACCAAGUCAAAAAGUUGAUUUAAAAUUUUACACAUAGUUCAGAAGAUUUGCUUGCUAUAUGUGUCAACUUCCUUCUUGGGUUAUGCACAGGUCACUCAUAGUCUACCACUCAUCAUCCUUAGGCUCAUAGACAUAUUUUCAUCUUCUUCUUCUCCGUUGCCUCUCACUCCAGUAUUCUCAGCAAAAUUUACUGUCUUACGCAGUGGAUAGUUGUUUGAGUGAUGCCCAAAUUACUGACAUUACUAUUACUUACCCUCCAUUGGUAUGGUAUAGGAAUUUGUGUUAGUUUUGAUAUUUUAUAGAGGAUUCAGGUUGGCAUGAACCUUCUUUAAAGCCCCAUUCAUUUCACCAAUCUUCAUCUUUUAUUCCCUAUUACCACCUCAACGAGUCUCUAAUACUGUCCAUAAUUCGUUUUUAACUAGUGGUUCUAUGGACUCCUUUACACAUCUAUGCCAACUUUCUUCCUUGCAUUCUUUUUGUAGGCCAAAUUUAAUUCAGCCUUCAAAGCUAGGUUGUUUACAUUCGCUACUAUAAGAAUUGAUUGAAUACCAAUCUCUUUUGAGUACAAAUUUAUUCAACCUAUUAAGAAAUCUUGACUGAGAUGUUCCUUAGUUUCCAUCAAAUUAUUAUGGGGAAGUAGGUGCAAAAAUCAACAUAGUAUUCAUGAAUAAUCUAGUUACCUUGAGUGCAAUUGAAAUUAUGAAAUGGGUACUAAUCAUAGUUUAGGAGAAGGAACAGAGUUAUCAAGAGAAGCAUCAUCUUUAGCCACGAUUAUAUGGGUUGCUUUCUCUAAUGUCAUCUCUAAUUUUGCAAUUACACCCACCAAUAAGAUGCUCUAUUUCUGCUCAAGUAGUAACUUACCAAUUUGACUUAUCAGUCUUUGGUGAUCUCCAUAUAAUUGAAGAAUCUCUUAAUUUUUGUAAUUCAAUCUAAAAAAUUCUCGUUACCCAGAUUACUAUUGAAAGAAGGAACAUCUACUUUCAAUUUAAACUCUUCAGACUCUUGAUUUUGACAUUGAAAACCCCUGUGAUUAGGGCUUUCUCUGCAAAAUUAAUCAUUAUUUGAUUAAUAGAUGCAUCUUCCUUAUAAGCUUGCUAUCUAUGAGGUCUUCUUUGUUCCGUAUUGGCUCAGUCAAGAGGCACUCUCUCACCCCCGAUCACCUUGUUCAAUCUAUCUUUUAUUAUGUGUCCAUGUCUUUGUUUGUUAAGGUUUCACUGAGACUUCUUUCAUGGACUUGAAGAAGUAGUGGUUGGCUAAAAGAUUCUAUUGCCUUGAUUCUGAUAGAAACCUUAAAAGAACUCCAUUUCCUCCACAAAAAUCAUGUGGUUCAUAAAUGUGUUAGUUUGGACUAAUGUUUUGGGUCAUGAAGCAAUACUGUAUCAUGCUUGGAAGUCCAACAAUGUUAAAAACUCCUUUCAGCACAAAAAUAUUUUAAUGAGGAAGAGUGUGAAAUUCAAGCACAAUCUUGGCGGCAAAAUAGUGAGUUAAGCUUAAGUACUUAUUAGAGUUUCAGACUUUUCAUGGCUUUUCAUCUUCUUCCUAAAAGAGGCCUCUUUCCUGCUAGCAGCAUUGCCCUGAGUUCUAUUACAAUUUGAAUAUUUUGGAGCCAUAACUCUUAUCUUUAAACUAGAUAAUUUUGAUUAAGUUGAAUGGUUGUUAAGAGUUGAACAAAAGGUCACUCUUUGAUCAAGUUUAUAAAACGAAGAUGAAGAAGUAAACAAAGAGUGCCAACUUUAAAGAAGAUCAAUAAGCAGCAGGGGAAAUGUGUGUAGGUAUUGAGUUUUCUUUCCACACAAGAAAAACUUAAGGUCAAUAUAUAUAUAUAUUGGUGAUUUUUAAAAGUUCGUUAUGUAUAUAUACAUAUAUAUACAUACUUGAGUUUGUUUCGGUUGAAACACGUGUAACCAUGACAUGUGCUUUCUAUGAUCUAGUGUUAAUAUUAACUAUAAUAACUGUGCCUAAGAACAUUUGAGCCUUGGAUUUCGUUUCAAUUAAAAUAGGGUGUAUUUCAUAUCAAACCAUAUGCACUAGAUGUUCUAAUCUAAUGCCCUGUACCUUUAUUAAGGCGGCAGAAUGACUCAUAGUCGGAGUUGGCUCAGGCAAAAAACCUUACCUUUGGCCUAAUACUCACUCUAAUAGCAUGUGUUGCCUCUAAAGCUACAUACAAAUCGAGCCGCUUGCGAGCAGGUUGAGUCAAGCUUGAAUUGGCUAAAUAAAGAAGGAACCUCCACCGAUGGGCACUGGCGAGCAUUCAGCCAAAUAAAGAAGGAACCUCCUCCCGUCGAGACUGUGAGGACCCGAAAUUUUACUUAUUUUAAUCUUAUUUUAAUGGUUUAAUUAAUUAUUUAUCCACCCGUUUUCUCCAAAUAAUUUAUUUCAACCAUUUUAGAUCCAAUUGCAUGGAACUAUAAUUUGCUUAUAUUUUUAAAAUGACUUGUUUCAAAAUUUAAUUUUUGAAAGCUCGUUAAGUGAAAAUAGUGAAUAUGCGAUUGGAAUCAAUAAUCGAUUCGAGAAUACAAUAAACUUGGAACUCGGGGACAUGUACAUUAUUCCUAAAAUAGGUAUUUUUAUGUUUAAGAGUUCAAAUGUUAGUUAGUUAUAUUAUCGUUAUAAGAAUUUCUUGGAAGUUUCACUUUAUCGCGUUUAAAUUGGAAGUACGCGUUUUUACGUGCGCGAUUAAUUGGGAGGUUUUAGACCUUCAUUUUAUACCUUUAAGAGUGAAUAAUAGUAAUAUGAAUAUAAGUGCACUGGUGAAAUAAACUAGAGAGGAAUCUAGCACGAAACGCGCGCAUAUGCGCACUAUUGAAGAGUUGACCUUAGAGUAAAUUAUAGCCACACAUUAAAGCUUCUUUUGGAAGCCUCAUUUAGAUCAAAAUUCCCUCUCUCUUCCUCCCCAAGACAGCCAGCCAUUGAGCUUGCAAAACAACACCAAAGUUCUCCAAAUAUCUUCACAAAAUCUUCAUCAAUCUUCAUCCAAUUCACAUCAAAUUUCAUCCACACUUGGCUCAUCACUUGGAGACCUCAUUAAGCUACAAAAAAAGGCUGCUGUCCACGGCUAUCUUAGGCUAAGGAGGGGCCGAAAAUUUCUGUCUUGUUCAUCUAGCGAAGUAAGUCACGAUCAACCUCGAUAAUCUUGAAUUAUGGAAGUUCUAUUGCACGUCUAAGCUUAUGCAUGCAUGUGGGUAGCUUGAUUAUAUUGGAAAAAUAGUUGUGUGGGCUCUAUGAACUCCCGCAUUUGAUGGAUGGACUGAUUUGGUGAAUAAUGAUGUUAUUAACAUUAGUUUAGUGCUUAAAUUAGUGAAAUAAUGUUGGGUUGUUGAUAGAAACUUGAGGAUGGUGCAAUGACCAAAAGUGACCAUUUUGCCCCUCUUAUAUUCAUGCACUUUGAUGUAAAAUUUUGACGUUCCAAAGGCUUGUUUAUGUUGUUUACAUGUUAUAGUGAGUGUGUAAAAAGUUUCAUUGAAAAAUAACUUGAUUUGGUCACUCAAAUGUUGGAAUUACGAAAGCUUAGAAAUCUGAAAAAUGUUCCCGUCACUGCUCUGGCAGUUGUUUUGUUUCGGCUAUAACUCAUUGCUCCGAUGUCAGAAACGAGUGCUGUUUGUGGUACUAGAAACUAGACAUUCCCAGAUUUCCAGUGGUAUAAAAUGUACAUUCUGAUUCCACCUGAGUAGUCCAUACCAAUCGUUUAAAUAUGACUGUCCUGUUUCACGUCUACACUGGGAGCUCUGUUUUGAGCAGUGAAUUGAUGCUCAAAUGUGAGCUAGUUGUGGACCGAUUUUGGAAAUGAUUUCUUCUAAGAAAUUGUAGCCUUAUGAAUCUAGUUUUCAACUCCACUAACCAUGCUCAAUUCCGAGUUGAAUUGAGUAACUUAUGACCAGAUUUCGAAACCAACUUUGUAGGCGGAAACCCUCAUUUUGGACAGGUUGUAACCAAUAUUGAUUUGGGACUUGUUGUUUCGAAAUUCUUAGUGUCAAUCACCUACCAAACACAUCUUGGAUGCUUUUUAGACAUUGUCUACCUAAAUGAACCAGAUUUAAGAUGUUUCUUUUGGCCAAACGUUUAGAAAGAGAAAUUUACAUACAAGGCAGAUUUGCUUUGAAAACUUGUGGAACUUUAACAACUUUGUUAACUGACUUCUGUUCGUAUAUUUCGAUGAAAUUUUAUAGUGGAAUAGCACUCAUAUGGUACUAUAAUACUGCCAAGUUUGGUGUCAUUCGAAGUCCUUCUCGAUGCCUAAUAGAUGUCCCAAAGUUUGCAUUUUAAAUUUGAAAAAUUUUUCCCUUUCUCUUGGCCGAAUGGUCAAAUUUGAUUUGGGGAGUUAUAUUUCGAAAAUUGUGAUGUGCAUUAUCUUUAAAUUGCUUAGUGGGUGUUUAUGGGCUCUUGGUUUCGAAAAUGGAGUGAUUUAGGACUGAUUUCAUUGCACAAAACUUUUGCAAGCAAAAGAAAAGUGAGAAGGCAAAUUAGCCUUGAAAUAUUUCUUGAACUUUGGUUGUUUUAAUGACCGCCUUUCCGUGGAAAUUUUUGUAUGAAACUUGGUAGAAAUGUUGUUCACACUUGGAGAAUUUAAUGUACCAAUUUUGGUAUAUUUCUAAUGCCGAAUCGAUGGCCAAAUGAUAUUUUCAAGAUAGUCUUUAAAUCUGGAAAAUGACUGAACAGUUUGUGAAAUGUGACCAACUUUGGACUGAUAUCUCUCAAUACUCAAAACUCCGAUUCUUGUUUCGCUUACUUUGUUUUAAACUUUGAUUGCAACUCUAAUUGAGUUUCAAAUCUGAGAAGUUAAUUCAAAUUCUGUGAAUUUUGCCAAAUUUUCAAAGUUGGCAAAAAACCAACCUUGAAACUGCCUUGAUAGCCUAAAACAGUAAAUUUGAGCCACCAUAUCUUGGUGUUCGAAACUCCAAUUCUUGUUCCGCUUGUUGUGUUGAAAACUUUGAUUGUAACUCUAAUUGAUUCCAAAUUUCAGAGGCUAGUUUGUAUUGUGUGAAUUUUGCCGAAUUUUCAAACUUUGUCAAAAACUAACUCCGAAACUGUCUUGCAAGCCUAAAACAGCAAUUUUGGGCCAAAUUUCGAAUGCCUUCCACUUGGAAUCAUGGAAAAGUAUAUUCUAGAAAUUUUUAGUACUUUGGAAGAAGUUUCGAACGGUAUCAAGUUUUUCAAUUUUGGACUUAUAAUGAGCGAGAUAUGAUUUUUCAAAGAUCUCGUAUCAAAGUGAAAAUUUUCGAAACUUAAAGAACUAGAGUUUUUCGAAUUCUUCUUUUUCCCUCGAUAUCACAUGAAUGUUUUACACUUGAUUUCAAAGAUGAAAACUUAAUUUCUCUUGUGCUUUAAAACCUCCACUUUUGAGCUUUGAUUCGCGAGUAAUUUAGGCUCGCUUUCGUGAGAUUUUCUUGGAUUGUACAAGCGUACAGUCAUUCGUGAUAAUUGAGAUAUAUAAAUGAUAGUUCACUAUUAAUUGUUCCGGCUCGCACGAGAACCUUCAAAAGAAUUCCAAGGUAGACGCCUGAACAUCAAGUGACAUUUCUUCUUUGUUUAUUUGGUGAGUAUCAAGUAUGUGUUAAAUGCUUAUGUGAUUGAGAUAUUAGUUGUACAAGUGUUAUACAUGAUACGUAAACUUGUCGAGCCGAGUGUGUACUGUAUCGCACUCGUUCUUAUUUGAAAUGCGUGAAAUUUUGGAGUACUUUCCAGCCUUCAAGCAGAAGUGAAAGCUCUCCUAAAGGGGGUUAGGUUUGACCUCAUGCUUGACCUGACUUGAUUCGCUUGACCUGACCUGACUUGCUUGACAUGACAUGUCUUGACCUGACCUGACUUGCUUGACUUGACAUGUCUUGACUUGGAAAAUAUGCUAUGGCUGCAUAAGUCGAUUGGAGCGAUGUCUCAUCGACCUCUGAAUGAUAGCAAGUACCACACCGAUUUGGUGGGAGGUAUCUCUCGAAUCAUCUCAGACAUAUUAAUUGAACGAUUGUAAGUACCACACCGAUUUGGGUGGGAGGUACCUCUCGAGUCGUCUCAGUACCCUAGACCUCUGAACGAUAGCAAGUACCACACCGAUUCGGGUGGGAGAUACCUCUCGAAUCAUCUCAGAACCCUAAAACAUUCUAAGUCGAUUGGAGCGAUGUCUCAUCGACCUCUGGACGAUAGUAAGUACCACACCGAUCCGGGUGGGAGGUACCUCUCGAAUCGUCUUAAAACUAUAAAUUGAACGAUAAUAAGUACCACACCGAUUUGGGUGGGAGGUAUCUCUCGAGUCGUCUCAAAAAUAUACAUGGAAUACGUGAAGUGCUACGAACUCAAGUACCUACCCGGGGUACGGGGUGUCGUCACGAGAAAGUAUUAAAAUUGAACUGGAGUAAAGUAAGAAAUCAUUAGCUCCAGAGUGCUUCUACAUCCUACUCAAGGGUGUUUAUUAUAAAUUGUGAAAUUUCUUGAAUGUUAUAGUUUUCACUAUUGUGUAAGUGCUAUUAUUAUUGAAUUACUUGUCUUGCAUAUUUUCUUGGCCUCACGAGCAUUCGUUCACCCCAUUAGAUUUGUUUUUCCUUAACAGGAGCUGAACUGGGAGGAAUUCUGGAGAAGCUUAAUUGAUGCCUUACUUGAUUAGCAUUGUAAAUGUAUUUGUUUAGAAUUUGAUUUUGGAAGCUGUAUAUUUUUGGGAUGUAAAGUAAUUGGGUAGAUUAUGAUGUAAGACUUGAAUAUUUAUGAAGGAAUUGACCUUCCUUUAUCUCUCCGAUUUUUAGUAUCGAUUGGUUAUUAUUGAGUGUAAAUUGAAUUAGUAUCGAGUCCUGGUGAGAGUUAGGCAGGCGUCCCGCCGAUACCCUUGGGUUCGCUCUUGGGAGAAAUGGGGGCUUCACAGUUGGUAUCAGAGCUUAGGUUUUAGAUUUUUGUAGAGUAUUCUAGGUCUAAAAGUUUAGGAUACCAGAUUGUGGGAUUUGAUUGUGUAUUAAGUGCAACGUGAUUUUGGUGCUUGAGGUUGUAGUACCACUUUUGCUUACAAAACAUUAUAAGACUUUACUCUUCAAGUUAGGUUGGAGGUGGGUCAAGAUUAGAAAAUCUAAAUAGCCAUCUAGUGAGUUUAAGGGUUAGAAACAUUGCUUUCCUCACUUUUUUGCUUGUCGAACAUUUCGAAAGAAAAGUUGAACCAUUUGAACAAUUUUGGCCUCCACUUUGAACUUGAAAAUGAGACAUCUUUGUAUUCCGUUUGGUUUGACUUAUUACUCUAGUUUGUACAAGAACUCUCACCUUGAAUCUAGCGAGGAGACUGAGAAUUUAGGAAGUAGCUCAAGCUUUUGGAUGUAAUUUGGAGUUAUAAUCAUUUGAAUGAUGUGGCUUUGUAUCAUGGAUUAUUCUAGUUUUGUCCCUAACUAGGUUUAUGAUUUUUCUUUUGAUCCUGCAUAGUAUAGUAGGGGUAGUGCUUGCCGUAAGGCCUUUUGUAUUUUACCUGCAAGUACUAUAUUUGUGGUAUUUAGUUGUCUAUAACUUGUAUUUGAUACUAUUAACUCGUUGUAUGCACAUUGACAUAUGAUAUGAUUUCUAACUUAUGCAAAUAGCUAUGUUUUGAUUUAAAGUGUUUUUGCCAUGUGUACCUGUUUUUCGAUUCACAUGCUUAUACUUUCUACUUCUAUUAUGCGUUUAGAAACUUGUUAAAUGAAUCAACGAGAAUGUGGACGGGGGCGUGGGCGUGGGUUUCAGCAACCCCGCACUCCCGAGAGAGGUGAGGGGUCCACGACUGGACCAAACCAAAAUCCUAGAAACGAAGAGGGUGACCAAGUGGUUAUGGCCAUUAACCGCAUGACCGAUAUUCUCAAGCGCUUAGUUGAGCAUCAGGGACCUGAACCAGUCAAUCAACCUAGGAACCAAGAGAGAGGUGAGGAUAGAGCUUUCGAGCGAUUCUUGAAAUUCGCUCCCCCUAAGUUUCAUGGAGGGUCUGAUCCCAAAGUAGCGGAAAAUUGGUUUAAAAGGAUGGUUGAAAUUUUUGCUGCUUUAGAUUAUACCGAGGAAAGGCAAGUGAAUUUUGCCGUUUUUCAAUUUGAAGGGGCGGCACGCUCGUGGUGGAAUGUUGUUAGUGUAAAGUGGAAAAGAGAACAAAUCUCUUGGACUUGGAUUAACUUUGAGAGGGAGUUUAAUAUUAAGUUCCUCCCGCCAAUUAUACAAGAAAACAGGGAGGACGACUUUAUUAAGUUAAAACAAGGGUUAUUAAGUGUGGCCGAGUACGAGGAGCGGUUCACCAAACUUUUCAAAUUUGCUCCUGAACUUGUACUUACCGAACGGAAAAGGAUAAGGAGGUUUAUUCAGGGGUUAAAUGUAGAAAUUCAAGAGUCCCUAGCAGCUGCUCAGAUUAUCACUUUUACGGAUGCCUUAGAUAAGACACAAAGGGUAGAAAAUGCUAAGUCUCAAUCUAAAACUUUUUACACUAGAAAGAGAGGUAACCUAAGUGAUAUUCCUAAACCAUCCGAGAAGUCUACCCAACCCUUUGAUAUGGAAAAAGAGGUUGGAGGAGUGAAGAUGCCUGAAAAAUCCGGAGAAACUCCAUCAAGCAAAGCCCCGCUAAAAGGAAAUCGGAGUAGACGAGAUCAACAAAAAGGGAAAUCUCAAACUGGUCAAGCCGUGACUCCUCACGUAACUUGUGGAUACUGUGGCCAAAUUAACCACACUAAGGCCGAGUGCUGGAAAAAACAAGGAAAAUGUCUGAGCUGUGGUAGUGCCGAGUAUAAGUUUUUGAAUUGCCCUAAAUCUUCUAAAGGAAAAAGAAAUUCUUAACCACCUGCUAAAUCCACUGCAAAAUCAAUCGACUACUAGAAGGAGUGAUUAAUGCUAAUGAUUGUACAAGGGACCCAAGUAGUAGAAACUCUACGAGUAGGAGUAAAUCUGACUUCACUCGACAAAUAGGGAUUGUAGUUUUACCCUAUCAUAGACUGGCACUUUUAGAGGUUGUAAUCUUUUGUAUAGGGGAUGACAUCCUUUUAUUGUAUACUGCGACUUAGCACAUUUUAAUCUUGUUGUUUCCCCUUUUCUUUUGAAACGAUUUGAUAAAUUUAAUAUAAUUUAGUGUAACCAUUAUGAUCUUUUUGGCAUAUGAAAAUCUACCUUGCUUUUAAUUGAUUUUACGACUUAUAUAUAUAUGUAAACUAUUGCUCCACGCCUCUAGACCUGUAAUAAGAUCAUGAAUGACACCUGAGAAUAGUUAAAUUCUAUAAGUAUGAGUUUUGAAAUGGGAGAAUUUAAAAGUGAUGGAAAUUGGUCACGGGAGGAGAAAGUAUUUGGGAUUAUUCAUACAUCAGAAUAUGAAUUUCGAGAACGAAAUUCUUUUUAAGGAGGGAAGGAUGUGAGGACCCGAAAUUUUACUUAUUUUAAUCUUAUUUUAAUGGUUUAAUUAAUUAUUUAUCUACCUUUUUUCUCCAAAUAAUAUAUUUCAAGCAUUUUGGACCCAAUUGCAUGGAACUAUGACUUGCUUAUAUUUUUAAAAUGACUUGUUUCAAAAUUUAAUUUUUGAAAGUUCGCUAAGUGAAAAUAGUGAAUAUGCGAUUGGAAUCAAUAAUCGAUUCGAGAAUACAAUAAACUUGGAACUCGGGGACAUGUACAUUAUUCCUAAAAUAGGUAUUUUUAUGUUUAAGAGUUCAAAUGUUAGUUAGUUAUAUUAUCGUUAUAAGAAUUUCUUAGAAGUUUCACUUUAUCGCGUUUAAAUUGGAAGUAUGCGUUUUUACGUGCGCGAUUAAUUGGGAGGUUUUAGACCUUCAUUUUAUACCUUUAAGAGUGAAUAAUAGUAGUAUAAAUAUAAGUGCAUUGGAGGUUUAGUGCACUGGUGAAAUAAACUCGAGAGGAAUCGAGCACGAAACGCGCGCAUAUGCGCACUAUUGAAGAGUUGACCUUAGAGUGAAUUAUAGGCACACAUUAAAGCUUCUUUUGGAAGCCUCAUUUAGAUCAAAAUUCCCUCUCUCUUCCUCCCUAAGACAACUGGCCAUUGAGCUUACAAAACAACACCAAAGUUCUCGAAAUAUUUUCACAAAAUCUUCAUCAAUCUUCAUCCAAUUCACAUCAAAUUUCAUCCACACUUGGCUCAUCAUUUGGAGACCUCAUUAAGCUACAAAAGGGGGCUGCUGUCCACGGUUGUCUUAGGCUAAGGAGGGGCCGAAAAUUUCUGUCUUGUUCAUCUAGCGAAGUAAGUCACGAUCAACCUCGAUAAUCUUGAAUUAUGGAAGUUCUAUUGCACAUCUAUACUUAUGCAUGCAUGUGGGUAACUUGUUUAUGUUGGAAAAAUGGUUGUGUGGGCUCUAUAAACUCACACAUUUGGUGGAUGGACUGAUUUGGUGAAUGAUGAUGUUAUUAAUGUUAGUUUGGUACUUAAAUUAGUGAAAUAAUGUUGGGUUGUUGAUAGAAACUUGAGGAUGGUGCAAUGUGAAUUUUGUCUUGUGAAAUAAUGUUCAGAGGCUAGUUUGCAUUGUGUGAAUUUUGUCGAAUUUUCAAACUUUGUCAAAAACCAACUCCGAAACUCUCUUGCAAGCCUAAAAUAGCAACUUUGGACCAAAUUUCGAAUGCCUUCCACUUGGAAUCAUGGAAAAGUGUAUUCUAGGAACUUUUAGUAUUUCGAAAGAAGUUUCGAACGGUACCAAAUUUUCUAAUUUUGAACUUGUAAUGAGUGAGAUACGAUUUUGUAAAAAUCUCGUAUCAAAGCGGAAAUUUUCGAAACUUAAGGAACUAGAGUUUUUCGAAUUCUCCUUUUUCCCUCGAUAUCACAUGAACGUUUUACACUUGAUUUCAAAGAUGAAAACUCGAUUUCUCUUGUGCUUUAAAACCCCCACUUUUGAACUUUGAUUCACGAGUAAUUUAGGCUCACUUUCGUGAGAUUUUUUUGGAUUGUACAAGCGUACAAUCAUUCGUGAUAAUUGGGGUAUGUAAAUGAUUGUUCACUAUUAAUUGUUCAAGCUCACACGAGAACCUUCAAGAGGAUUCCACGGUGGACGUCUGAACGUCAAGUGACAUUCCUUCUUUAUUUAUUUGGUAAGUGUCAAGUAUGUGUUAAAUGCUUAUGUAAUUGAGAUAUUAGUUGUACAAGUGUUAUACAUGAUACGUAAACUUGUUGAGUCGAGUGUGUGCUGUAUCACACUCGUUCUUAUUUGAAAUGUGUGAAAUUUUGGAGUACUUUUCAGCAUUCAAGCAGAAGUGAAAGCUCUCCUAAAGGGGGGGUUAGAUUUGACUUGACUCAUGCUUGACCUGACUUAACUCGCUUGACCUGACUUGACUUGCUUAACCUGACGUGACUUGCUUGACCUGACAUGACUUGACUUGGAAAAUAUGCAAUGGCUGCAUAAGCCGAAUGGAUCGAUGUUUCAUCAACCUCUGAACGAUAGCAAGUACCACACCGAUUUGGUGGGAGGUACCUGUCGAAUCGUCUCAGACCUAUUAGCUAAACGAUUGUAAGUACCACACUGAUUUGGGUGGGAGGUACCUCUCGAGUCGUCUCAGUACCCUAGACCUCUGAACGGUAGCAAGUACCACACCGAUCCAGGUGGGAGGUACCUCUUGAAUUGUCUCAGAACCCUAAAGCAUUCUAAGUCGAUUGAAACGAUGUCUCAUCGACCUCUGGACGAUAGUAAGUACCACACCGAUCCGGGUGGGAGGUACCUCUCGAAUCGUCUCAGAACUAUAAAUUGAGUGAUAGUAAGUACCACACCGAUUUGGGUGAGAGGUACCUCUCAAGUCGUCUCAGAAAUAUACAUGGAAUACGUGAAGUGUUACGAACUCAAGUACCUACCCGGAGGACGGGGUGUCGUUACGAGAAAGUAUUAAAAUUGAACUUGAGCAAAGUAAGAAAUCAUUAGCUCCGGAGAGCUUCUACAUCCUAGUCAAGCGUGUUUAUUAUAAAUUGUGAAAUUUCUUGAAUGUAAUAGUUUUCACUAUUGUGUAAGUGCUAUUAUUAUUGAAUUACUUGUCUUGCAUGUUUUCUUGGCCUCACGAGCAUCCGCUCACUCCAUUAGAUUUAUUUUUCCUUAACAGGAGCUGAACUGGGAGGAAUUCUAGAGAAGCUUACUUGAUGCAUCACUUAAUUAGAAUUGUGAAUGUAUUUGUUUAGAAUUUGAUUUUGGAAGCUGUAUAUUUUGGGGAUGUAAAGUAAUUGGGUAGAUUAUGAUGUAAGACUUGAAUGUGUUAUGGAGGAAUUGACCUUCCUUUUUUUCUCUGAUUUUUAGUAUCGAUUGGUUAUUAUUGAGUGUAAAUUGAAUUAGUACCGAGUCCUGGCGAGAGUUAGGCAGGCGUCCCGCCGAUACCCUUGGAUUCACCCUUGGGAGAAGUGGAUGCAUCACAGAGACAAACUCCCUCAUCUUUCUCCUAUCGAUAUACACUACAGAUUGGGAAAAGGCAUUUGCUUUUUUUUUUUUUUUAAAUGACUUUCAUGGGAAAACUUGUGCUAUUUACUUCUUACUACUAUUUCUAAAUUCUAAUGAAACUAAUGGUCAAUUCUACGUUGCCCAAUUUGAACACUUAGUUGCAACAAUCUAUCCCUCAACUUCUUGUAUGUGUCAAAUGAAUCCAUCCAUUGGAUAAUUGGGCAGCAAAUAUCUAUAUUUUGAGAUGCUUUUGUCAGUCAUGUCACAGGCUUAUGAAUAGGAGCACUAUCAAUCACAUUAAUUUGCAUUGUCCAUUCCAAAAAUUCCCAGUUGGCAGCAUUAAAAGGGUAUUUAAACACAAGUUGGUACAUUACUUGACUCUCAUGUGUAUGCAAAUUAGUUUUCUCUUUUUGCUGUGAGUGAAUUAUGGAAUGGAAAGGAUGUUGCAAUCUCUUUCGAACAUACAGUGAUGUUGUUGGUGGAAAGAUAGUACACCUACUAGUUAGAUUUGAGAAUGAAAAUUGAGAAUAGAUAAAGUUGAUAACCAAAAUAGAAGAUCUUUGGAUCGUUGUGCUUGGAAUGGGUAGAAGAGUCCUUUCGUAUUAUUCCUCUACAGGUUUCACGUAGUUAAGAGUACAUAAGCACCUUAUACUAAAUUUAUUACUCCCUCUGUCUCAUUUUGAUAGUUCUAGUUUUUUUCACACAGUUUAAGAAAAAGUAGUUAACGUUGUUGGAAAAAUAAAUUUAUAUUGCUAUUUUUCUAAAAUACCUUACAUUAAAUAAAGUUGGCUUUUCAUAUAUCAAUAUGUUUUGGAAAAUCUAAAUGCAUUAAGUGGGGUAGCUUAUAUUCAAUAGUAAUAAUCUAUAUUAAAUAAGGUAGUUUAUUGUAAUAGCAACUUACAUUGAAUAAGGGUAUUUUAGAGAAAUUAAAAGAUAACUAUAUUUUUCAAUUGGAAAGUGGAUUAUAAUUUGAGACAUACGAAAAAGGAAAAUAGGACUAUCAAAGUGGAAUGGAGGGAGUACUAAUUAACAAUACAAGGGGCCUUAUUGAUACAACUAAUAGUUUAAAAAGUUAAUGUGGAGCUGAUUGAUAGCUGAAUAAGAUUCAGUAUAUUUUACCAUUAACUAAUUAUACUCAUCGCCAAAUUUGGUGGUGUAGAGAUAUGAAAUAAGACUAUUUUUGUGUUGUUUAAAAAAGGUAAAAAAAUGACUAAAUAGGUAAUAAAAAGAUCAAAGACUAAAGAUACUUUAGAUGAAAAGUUAAAAGGGUGAAUGAUCUAUUAGCCAAAAUUUAUUUUAUCCAAAAAUUGUUGAUUUCUUGUCAAUUGUAUUAAAUUGAUUGAAAUGAAAAUUAUAGUCAUAAAAUGUGUUUUUAGUGAAACUUUAAGGACAAUAAUAGUUCAAAAGUUUCAUUUUCCCUUAAAAAUAGGGAAUGUUAAAUUGAUAACUACUGUUAUCAAACAAAUAAAACUUAGCAUUAACACUAAAACACAAUAUGGUUAGAAAUUAUUUAUUAUGCAAUAAGUAACUAACAUGAUAAUUUUUGCUUCUAUCUUAAAUUAACAAAACGACAAAAAGGAUAAAAACCUAACCAAUAAAAAAUGGCAUAGUAUAUUAACAUCAAUGUCUAUUGCCUCUUGCCUCUUAUGCUUUUUAUAAAUCGUGCAAGAGUAUAUAUAAGAAAAGAUUAGUAAGAUAAGAAAAGAUAAGAUAAUAUCGUCUAGCAAGAAAAGGGCUAGUAUCACAUAUAGCCAUGUGGUUAAGUGCUUUUUCAAGGUACAUCACUUGUAAUUUAAAAAUAUUCACUUACAUCCCUCUUUGGAUUUAAGUGGAAAAUAAAUGGAAAUGGACUCCACAAUAGAAAUUUCACCUAUGUACUCUGAUAGUAUAAUUUGUUACCUAAGUCUAAUGAUGUGAAACCUUUAUAAUGUUUUUCUUUUAAAAUUGCCUCCAAACAAACAUUUGCAAUCUAUCAAAAGGUUUAAAAUGUCACUAGUAGAGCAUUUGAACCUUUUUAUAGAUUACAAAAUGUUUGAACCUCUUUAUAUAUUACAAAUAUUUAUUUAAAGGCAUUUUUGAAAUAAAAAACUUUAGUUAUAUGUAAUAUCACUAGUAUCAAGUGCUGACUCUUGGAUCAUGUAUGGAAAAUCUCCACUAGUUGAGUCCAUCUUUGUUCAUUUUAUAUUGAAAUCAAGAUGAGAAAGUUUUAAUUUAAUAAUUAAAAUUGAAAUUCAUCUUUAUCUAUUUCAUAUUUAAAUAAAGAAGGUUUCAAUCUAAUGGCUAAGGUAUGAGGGUCUAGAACUUAAAAGUUUUAGAUCCAUAUCUCUUCCCUAACGUUUCUUAAAUCCACUCCUCUGUUGCUUAAAAAUAAAUAAACAAAAAAAAACAUAAAUCAAGAUAUAAGGAGUGUAAGUGAAUAUUUUUGAAUCAUAGGAGACGUAUCUUGAAAACCUUUAACAAAGGAUAAACUCCACUUUGCACCCUCAAACUUGUAUCACUUUCUCAUUUUGCAUCAUAAAUUUCAAUUUUGGACAUUUUGCAUGCUAAAUACUCACUUUUGGACACCUCACACCCUAAAUUCUCAAAUUUGUUCUAUUUAAAUCCAGUCAAUAACAAUUUUUGCAAAAUUUAGGGCAUAAAUGACUUAACAAAUCAAUGAUAAUGCACCGAAAGUAAUCAAAAGGCGCCAAAGUAUCAUAGCAAAAAUAAAACAAUAUAUUAUCAUUAAUUUGCACCAUUUUUUAUCUCUCUAAAUUUUACUUGUAAUAUUAAUAGUUGAGACCAUAUAAAUAAAUGAUAAUGUACUAAAAUGGUCAAAAAAGCUGAGGAAUCACAAUUGGAACAAAACGGUACAUUAUCAUUAAUUUUCACUAUUCUUUAUUACGUUAAUUUUAUGAAGAUAAUUAUUGAUUGGAUAUAAAUAGGACAAACUUGAGAGUUUAGGAUGUCAAAUAUCCAAAAUUAAGAGUUUAUGGUGCAAAAUAUCCAAAAUUGAAAUUUAAAGUAUAAAGCGAGAAAAUGAUAUAAGUUUAGGGGUGCAAAGUGGAGUUAAUCCUUUAACAACAAGGGACGUGUGUGAAAUUUACCCAAAAAAAAUAUAGCUACAGUAUAUGUUAGCCUGUUAGGGAAGUUGGGUAGAAAAAAGGAGUCGAGAAAGAUCGAAACUGGGCUAAAUCCCUUUACUGGGUUGGAUAAUUUAUUAUUCUAGUCCAAAUUUGAUUUGAUUCUAGGCGCUGCUUGAUUGGGUGGAUAUAAAUAAGAUAUCCUAGUCCAAAUCAUCAAUAGUAAAAUAAUAUAUAAAUGCUACCACUGCUUGACUGGGUGGAUAGAAAGAAAAAAAAGAGUUGGUUUUCAGUCUCAUGCAUUUUUGGUUGGUAUCUCAUAGGAGUUGGAAUCAGGUAGGUCAUGGGCUGACGGAUCGAGUUGAAACACGGUUAUUCUAGACAAGUCACCAACCCAGACACGAUCCGUUAAUUUUUUUGGGUCAGAUCCCUUGACCUGAAUACAAAUUGCAAUUUUUACUAAUCACCUUAAGGUGACCUAUUUCAAUAUGCAUUGAUAAUGAUCAAUUGAUCACCUAAUACAAAACUACUAAUUAGUCUAAUUACCUACAAUAAUUAGCAAUGUCUAAUUGCCUAUCAGAAUUUAGAAAUUCAUCCAAACAAUCAUAGUUUCAUAUGCUACUAUACAAAAGGUAAUCAUCAAACAUAAUACAAAUCCAGAUGGUUACAAACCAUAAAAGGACAUAACAUAAUCACAAGUUCUAAUACCAUCAUCAAAUCCAAAUGGCUACAAGCCAUACAUACUAAAUAGCAAUAAAUUAAAGUUUAUAAAAAUUUUUCAACCAUGCUGAUGAUUGUGAACUUAAUUAAAGACAACUGACUUUGAAGUCAUAGAUGGUGACAAAUUGAAAUAGAAUCAUUGAUCCAAGGUUCCAAACUCAAAUAGUCAAACUUAUACUUCUCUUCCAAACUUCACUGAAUCAAGGGAUGCAAGCACCUUUAAGUAACCUGCAGUAUGCACAAACAUCAAAGUAAUAAUGUUGUCACAUAUAGGUACAAUAAAACAUAUCAUGUUACAUUUUUCAACUCACCAAACUCAAUGACUUAGAGGUUGACUACAUUAAAUUUUGAAUCUUCAACAAAUUAUACAUUUAUCUUUUGAUAUAUUUAAAGAUAUGGUGUCUUGAGUUAUAUACUCCAAUAUCGAAUCUGUCAUCUUUGCAUUAACAAGAUGAGAAAAAUAAAUGAAUGCAAAAGACUAAAGAAAUAAAGUAGAUAUUAAAAAACAUUAAUUUACUAAUUUUACCUUUAUCCCCAAACAAUCAAUCCUUAGUACAUAUUAAAGUUUUAACUAUUUGUGGUGACAACAAACUAUCGAAUUGGUGUAGAUUUCUAUUACUAAGGUUUUUUUUGGUAUUUUUCUAUUACCAAGGUUGAAUGUAGAUUCUAGUGCAACAGUUGAUACAGAAACACAUAAGGCAUCCAUAGCUAAUUUUGCUAGAUCUAGAAAUUGAUAUUGUUGAGUCUUCCAGUAGUCAAGAAUAUGAAUCUCAUAUUUUCUUUUACUUUGAGACUUAUCUAGAUACAUUUUCAGUUGAGUAUUUUGUGCACCACCAGUAUACUCAAGACUAUCAAAUUCCUAUGAGCAUGAUAUUGAAAGAGAGAUAUAAUAAACAUGAAAACAAAACAUAUUUAAAACCACAUAGGAGUAUAUAAACUAAUAAGUCCAUAAUACUAUCAAAUUCCUCAAAUUCCUAUGAGCAUGACAUUGAAAAGAGACGUAUAUUAGACAUGAAAGCAGAACAUGUUUAAAACCAAAUAGGACUAUAUAAACUAAUAAAUCAAUAAUACUAAAACAUAUUAUCAUCAUACCUUGAAAAGAUUCAUUGAUUUGUUUCCUUAUAUUUUUGUUGCAUCAGAAGGGAUCUCAUUCAUCUCAUUUCUACCCCGAGAACACGAAGAUGAUGCCUAAGACGUCUUACUAACUCUAACAUAUUCAUUGAAGAGACUAUAAAAUGUAUCCCUCACCUUUGCUAGUUCUCUAGACCCCAGACCAUAUAACUUUUGAUAGCUAAACUCAAGAAGCUGAAAUUUAUAUUUCGAUCAAAUACCAUAGCAAUGGCUAAUAUAAUUAUUGAACUCAAACUAAUAUUUGUUAAAUUUCAAAAACAUUAGUUUAGUAAUCUUUUACAUAAAGCAUCUGAACUGUUAAAUUCCUCAAACAACUAUAAUUGAAUCAGAAAAAUUUGAGGAAAGUACAAGUUAGCAGUCAAGUAUUUAGAUCCUAAGAGUGCAACGGUUGCAUCAUUGAAAUUUUCUAGAAACUGCAAAUCUUUUCAACUCUUUCACACUCUUCUUAAGUUGGACAACAUUGAAAAUUGGAAUCACAUGAUUGCAAGUGACAAAGGCAAGAUGGUAAUAAAGAGUACUUGAGAGCAUCUUGUAAGUGGAAUUCUACCUAGUUGGGAUAUCAUGAACUAAGGCUUUUUUAGAAUCAAUGGAUGUUUGUGCUACACAUUGGGUAUGCUUAACUUUUCUUGCUUGAGAGCCCCUAACGUAUUUCACUUCCUUAUUCUAUCCACUGAAACAUCAAUUUCUUUCAAAACAUUUUACACAAUUAAAUUUAAAAUAUGAGCACAACACCUCACAUAAAAUAAAAUGCCAUCAUGCACCAAAGCACUUUUCAACCAAAGCUGAUUAUCAAGUAUUUGAACAAAACAAUCAUUUGCAGAAGCAUUAUCCAAAGUGAUACUAAAUAACUUCUUUUCAAUACCCUAAUCACUAGUCAAACUAUAAUUUUUUUCUACUAAAGCAAGUCCACUAUGUGGAGGAGGCAUACAAGAAAAAUUCAAAAUUCUUUUUUGUAGUAUCCAACUCCGAUCAAUAAAAUGUGCAGUCAAGCUCAAAUAUGCAUCAAUAACUAUAAAGGUCCAUGCAUCAGAAGUUAAACAAAUUCAAUUAGGACUCUUUAACAUGUAAUUUUUUAAUGUUAGCCUAAACAAUGUUCCUAGUAACAUGUUUAACUUGUGGUUCUAGACUAUGACAACCCCAUCUUCCCUUAGGGCAUACGCUAAAGAUUAGCAGACUAUUUGUUCAACUCUCGUCAGGACUAACUAACCAAAAAUUACCACAGGUACUAAAACGUACAACAUUAUUUCAAAAUAUCGCAACCCAAAAUUUUAUACAAUUCAAGCUUAAAGUACAAGUUGAAGUAUUCAAACUUAUACAAUUACAUAUAAGGUUUACUAAUACUGAGGAGUUUAAACAAAAAUUUCUAGAGUCUAGAACUAGCUCCAUUUUUCUCCAAAAUCACGUACCCAAAAUUUCGCCCCUGUAAGGAAAACAAAUGUGAUAGGGUCAGCUUUCGUCCAAUACGGUGCCACAAGUCAUGUAGUCGAAAUCACAUAGUUAGAACUUCAAUCUAUCAACAAUAAGCAUCGAGUAAAGGAAUAAGUAAACACCACAACUAAUAUAGAGCGGUUCAAGUAAAAGAAUACAGAUGGCUCUCAAAAGCCAAAUUCCCUAGUCGCAUUAGCUUGAUCCAACUUGGUUGACACUCCGUCAACGUUUAGAAAAACAAAGAAAUAUUGACCGUAGAUCCCCACUUUACAUCAGUUUCCAUCCAUCAAACAUACCCCUUACCGGGACCAAACACCAGGCAAAAACAGUGGUGGUAAUACUCAAGUAUAACAAUUAUCAGAAGCAUCCAAUAUUCAGUAAUUAGUGACAGUUUUCCUCAUGGCCCGUCCAUCUACCUCGACUAGCCCUUGUUGGCUUGAUUGGAUUAACUAUCAAUGAGGUUUGAGAUCAAAUUCAUAGUAAAGUCGUCGGAUAUUGGGCUCCAAACGACAUCCAAAUCAUGCACAAGUAAUAGGUUUCAAAUAAAUAGUAGACCGGUCAAAUAGUCAAGUGAAACCGAGUGUGAUAAAGUAUACACCCGUCCCGUCCAUACAAACCAUGAAAUAUUCCAUGUAAGCUACCAAAAUCAAGCUUGAAAUCUACUCAUAUACAAGUAAUAAAAGAAAAGAUGGUUUUUUAAUAUGGUUACCUUGAAACCCUAUGAAGAAAUGGAACUCAAGAGCUUCUUCCUCCCAAAUCUCUCCACCAAAGUUCUUAAUCCUCUCUAAAUAUCACUUUUUAUGGUUUGGAUUGUAAGUUUAAGGUGAAAACUCAAGGAUAGGAAAAGAAUGAAGGGUUGUUUUGGUCAAAUUUUGUUUUUAUUAAAGGUUAAAAAUGGUUUUAGUCAAAGUGUGACACCCCCACUUCUCCCUAAGGCGAACCAAAGGGUAUCCGCAGGACGCCUGCCUAGCUCUCGCCAGGACUCAAGCAAUUCCAUUCAACUUAUAUCCGGACCACAAAAAAAAAAUACAAAUCGAUAACUUAGAUGUAAUAAUUGCGGAAGUGUUCAAACUUAAUAACAGUUAUCCAUUCUUCAAACCACCCGUCGAUAUACAUAAUACAUUUCGUCCAAAGGUCACGUUUCCAUACCAAAAGUACAAUUCAAAGCCAAAGGCAUAAACAAAAGUAAUAGCAACCCUAAAACAAAAGCACAUCAGGAGGGCUGCUCCGUUUUACCUCCGAACUCAACCUGUUAAGGAAAACAAAUCUACAGGGUGAGCAAAACGCUCGUGAGGCCAAGAACACACAUGCAACCACAUAGUUCAGAUAACAAGCCCAAUAACAAUUCAGGUAUUAUCUUGCAAGUAAUUAAUAACACCAAUAAACUGUAACCAGAAACAAUUCAAGGAUAUAGAAGCUCUCAGGAGCUAAGUUCCACAUUUGCCGAUACCGUUUAUAUAUCUUUCCGUGAUGACUCUCCGUCAACCGGAUUGAUAUUUUCAUAUCCGUAGUUCACCACUUACUUCCCAUCCGUCCACCAUACACCACUUCGGGCCCGCACUACAUUUAUAAGGCAAUACUAUACGAGUAUGCCAAGCGAGAUCUCUCAAUAGAUCAAGCUUAUCAUUUGAGUCUCAUGGCUCACCGAGGUUCCCGACCAAACCCAUGCCGACUCGAGUUCCAAGGUCGGCCUAUGAGUUUGGGCAUCCCCCAUUUGUCAUGUAAAUGUCGAGGAGAUUCACUCCAUCGACGUAUGCAAUCAUAGCAUACCAUUUCAUGUAUUCAAGCAUUUGAUAGGUUUAAGCAGACAUUUCAAGUCAUGUAAACCAAGCAAAUCAUGUUAAGCAUGAGUCAUUCGUUUCAAAUGAGAACGAGUGCGAUCAAGUACACACUCGACUCCAUUUUGUCAAAAUCAGUUAAACUAAGCAUGAAAUCAGGUGAAUCAAGCAUGAAUCAAGACUUUAGGGUUCAAGUAGGCAUACACUUGACACUCACCAAGUUAUGCAAGCAAGUAAAUUGGAGGAAGAGUUCAAACUUCCACAGUAGGGUCCUCUUGGAGGUCCUCGUGCGUGCCUGAGCAAAUAAUAGUGAAUUAUCACCCAUAUCCCAAAUAUCGAGGAAUAAUUCGUUCACUAGUAUUACUCUAGGAAAUUCCGUGAAAAUGAACCUCAAUUACUCGUAAAUCGAGGUUCGAGAGAGGUUUGAUAACAUUCAACAAUAUUUAAGUCUUUAUCUAGGAAAUCGGGGAUAAAACGUUUAGAUAAUAUCAAAAGAAUAAAGAGUUCUUGAAAAACUCUAUUUCCUUGAAAGUUGGAAAAUUUUCAGUUUUGUUAUGAAUCUUUGAAAAAUCGUAACUCACUCGACAUAAGUCGAGAAUUGGAAAAAUUUAUACCGUUGAAAACUUCUUAGAAAGUACUACAAGUUCCUAGAAGACACUUUUCCAUGAAUCGAAGUGGAAAGUGCUCAAAAAUGAGCCUAAAGUUGCUGUUCCAAAUCACCCAGGAUUGAGCCGGGGUUGGUUUUUCGCUAACUUUGAAAAUUCGGCAGAAUUCACUCGUUGCAAACCAGCCCUUGAAAUUUAUAGAUCAAUUAGAGGUGCAAGUAAGGUUUAGGUCAGAACAAACGGAUCGAGAAUCGGAGUUUCGAGCACCAAGAUAUGGUAGUUCAAAGUUGGGAAAAAUUCAAGACUGUUACAAAAUUUCCAGAUUUGGUUCCAACUUUGGACCUUUAGUUAAGUGCCGAAACGGACUUGGAUUGACACCAAAUUUUGCAGUAUAAUACUUCCAUAUGAAGGUUAUCUCUAUAUCAAAUUUCACGGAAAAAUACCCUCGGGAGGGGGGUCAUUCAAUCAACCAAAGUUUGGAAAAAUCCUUAAGGCAAUCUGUCCAAAUCUAAGAUUUUCAAAACGAGCAGUCACCGUAUUUUGAUCAUAACUCUCUCAAUUUAACUCGGAAUUGGGAAUGGUUAAUAGUGUUAGAAAAUAAAUUCAUAGGGCUACAACUUCACAGAAGAAAUCGUUACAAGUUUCAGCAUGCAACUGGUUCAAAAUCAAGGCUCAAGUUGCAGCAUCAUCAAAUCAUUUCGGCAGAACGGAGAAACAGGACAGCCGACUUCAGAUGAAUGGUGUGGCUCACACACAUAAAACCAGGACGUGCAUUAUACACCGAUAAAAACAUGGAAACGUCUAGUUUCAAAUGCCGCUAACGGUACCUGAUUUUGACGUCGGAGUACGGAGUUAUGGACGAAAUACAACCACUGGUCUGGAUUACGGCGAAACCGUUUUUCAGUUUACUAGUUUUUGAAAUAAAUUCGUUUGAGCAACCAAAACUCAAUAUUUUUCAACAAAAUUUUGUACACAACUUUUACAACAUGUAAACUACAUAAUCAAGCCAUUAAAUCCUCAAUUUCUGCAAUAAAAUGACCGAACAGAGCAGGGGCAAAAUGGUCAAGUUUGGCCCUUGCUCUCUACGUGAGUUUCCUGCAGUUUUUCUUCAACGAAACACUAACUUAAACACUAAUCCGUCAUCAUAAACUUCAUCAAGCACAGAAUCAGCAACAACCCAAGAGUGGGAAUUCAUAGAGUCCACUUUUUCCAACAAUACAAGCUACUAAAGUAAAGAUUCCAACUCAAAUGCGUAAAUCAAACUCCAUAAACAAGUUUAAGAAGUUAGAUGGCUACCUACUUUGAUGGCUGUUCAAAUCAGAAAAUUUCGGUCCCUAUGAAGCCUGAAGACAGCCGUGAAACUCCUCCCUUUUCCAGCCUAAGUUGUUGUCCAAGUGAAAAGCUAAACGAAUGUGAAGUUUGGUGAGAAUCCAUGGAAGUUUUGGUAGGAAUUUGGUUGAGUUUUAGAAGAAAAGAAAUGGUGACUUUGGUUGUUCCUUUGCUGCAGUCUAGCCGGCCAUUGUAGCAGAGAAAAGGAAAUGAAUUUCGGCUCUGUAGCCUUUGCGUACAAAAGACGCUUGACGUCAAAUCCUUUGAUACGUCAAAUCAAUUUUAACUAGUACCCUACGCGCGCGUUUUGUAUCCGAUUUCUCUUACGUUUGUUGCACUAGUGCACUAAACCUCUAGGGCCCUUACAUUCAUAUAAAUAUUAUUCAUUCUUAAUUGUUCCAAAAUAAUGGUCCAAAGUCCCUCAAUUAAGCGCGCACGUGAAAACACGUAUUUCUAAUUUAGGCGUAAUAAAAAUUAAAACCUUUGAAAAAUUCUUAUAACGAUCGUACCACUAGUUAUUACUUGUGUGUUUAAACCUAAAAUUGUCUAUUUUAGAUCCAUUGUAUAGGUCUUAAAUUUUUAGCUUAUUGUAAUCCCAAUUGGCUAAAGUUUUUAGACACGUUUCUACUUUUUCGCUAAAUAGGCUUAUAAGAAAAUACUUAUUUAUUUAUCUAUGUUUUUAUUUUAUUAUUUUUAAAAUGAGACACUUUAGAAAUAUAACGAACUAUAAAAUCAUGUACUUAGGUCUAAUAGGCUAGAAAAUAUUAUUCGUGGUAAAAAUCCAAAUAAAUAAUUAUUUUAGCCAAAAUUAGGGAUUUUAAAAUAAUGGAAUUUUCGAAUCCUCACACAAAGUUAAAACACCAUAAUUUUAGUGACAAAUGGCAUUCCAAGGUUAAUCCUCAUCUAAUUGUCUCCCAAAUGUUAAAAUAUCUAGCCAACAUCUAAUUACCCCUUAACACCUUAUAAAAUAAAAUUUCUUUGGACAAAACUCCUCUUAAUAUUCAAAAAUUUAUCACACAUAUCUCACUUGUGGGUUCUACUUCAUAAUGCACUAAGAAGUUAACAUGUACUAAUUUAUAGAAGAAAAAUGAUUUGAAAACUUGACCCACUUAUGAAAAUAUCUAGAAAAUUAAGGCAAUAAAAUAAAGUAAAAAAAAUAUAUUCAAAGAAAUAAAAUAAAAUUAAAAUAAUUUUUCAGAUCCUCACACUUUCUCCCCCUUAAAAGAAUUUCGUCCUCGAAAUUCUCACCUUGAUUAACAAACAAUUCAGGGUAUUUUUUUUUGCAUUUCCUCUUCCACUUCCCAAGUUGCCUCUUCUACACCGUGGUUUCACCAUAGGAUUUUCACCAAGAAAAUUUGCUUUUUUCUUAAUUCCUUAACUUUUCGAUGAAGCAGUCGCACAGGUUUUUCCUCAUAGGUGAGAGACUCAUCUAAUUCAAAUUAUUUAGGUUGUAAGAUGUGAGUCGGAUCAGGAUAGUACUUCUUUAGCAUCGAGACAUGAAAAACAUCAUGAAUUCCGGAUAAACUCAAUGGUAAUUUGAGUCGGUAUGCCACUUUUUCGACUCGUUGAAGAAUUUUGAAGGGUCCCACGAAUCUUGAUUGGAACUUUUUCAUUUACCCGCCGCGACACUUCGCAAUAGAGUGACCUUAAGAAAUACAAGAUCUCCAAUUUUGAAUUCUAAAUCCUUCUUGCGAUUAUCUGCAUAACUUUUUUGUCGAUUUUGAACUGUUUGAAGUUUCUAACGAAUUAACUUGACCUUUUUUUGUACAUCCUCCAUCCAUGGCACUGUCGUUGGAUUUAAAAUUUUCUUUUCCCUUACUUCAUCCGAAUAAAUUGAUGAUUGUACUUUCUUUCAUAAAAAGUUUCAUAUGGUGCCAUUUGAAUAGACGAAUGAUAGUUGUUAUUAUAAACGAACUUCACCAACGUCAUGUGCUAGCCCCAAUUAACUCCAAAAUCUAAAAUACACGUUUUCAAUAUAUUCUCGAGGGUUUGAAUGGUUCUCUCCGAUUGUCCAUCUGUCUGAGGAUAGUAUGUGGUACUGAGGUUUAAUUUGGUCCCUAAUGCUUCUUGAAAUUUUUGCUAAAAUCGAGACAUGAAUCGAGGAUCCCUGUCUGAGACUUUACUCACAGGUACUCCAUGUAAUCUCACAAUCUCAUUUGUGUAUAACUGAGCCAACUUUUUCCAUGGAAUACUUCAUAUUCAAUGGUAAGAAAUGGGUCGAUUUGGUUAACCGAUCAACAAUUACCCAAAUGGCAUCAUGAUCCCUCUACGUCGGUUUGAGACAAAGUUCAUCGUAAUGUGCUCUCACUUCCAUUCAGGUAUCUUGAGAGGUUGUAACAAGUCUGAGGGUUUUUUAUGUUCAGUUUUAACUUGUUGAUAUGUGAGACAGAUUUAAACAUAUUGAACAAUCUUUUUUUUCAUGUUAUCCCACUAAUAUAACCCCUUUAAAUCCUGAUACAUCUUGUUACUAUCUGAAUGGAUCGUAUAUUUAGACUAGUAAGUUUCUUCCAAAUUUUUUUUUUCAAUGUUUCAUCCUUCAGUACAACCACUCGGUUUCGAUAUCUCAAAAUCCCCUCGAGACUCAAAUUGAAAUCAAGUAAUUCCCCCUUUUGCACCUUUUCUGUCCGUUUAUGUACUGCAGAGUCUUUCUUCUGAGUUUCUUUGAUUCGAUCUAGUAGGGUGGAUCUCACUGUAAUAUUUCUGAACAACUUCUGGCGUUUAAGGCGACAAUUCUACUCACUAAUCUUUUCAAGCAUAUUUCAUUCCUUAAUCAUUAAUCCAGUCACUUGAGCCUUUCGAUUUAGAACAUCUGCUACUACAUUAACGUUUCCAAGAUGGUAAUUAAUCGUACAAUUAUGGCCCUGUUUGGAAGCUUGGUUUUUUACCAAGUUUGUAUAAAACUAGUUUUUUAACAACUUUUGCUACAGGAACCCCAAAAAACUUAUCAAAGUUUUUAACCUACACACUUAAAAUAUCCAAAACACAACAAAAAAAAAUUCUCUUCCCCUUUUCUUCUUCUUCCUCCCCCACCACUACCUCCAUUGCCGGCUCCGUCACCAAUUUCCGGUGCCGGUCUUUUUUUUUUCCCCCCUUUUUUUCCCUCUCCCCCUCUUCCUCCCCUACCAUCAUCCUCUCUUAUCUUUUUUUUUUUCUCUCUACGUCCGGCGCAUAAGGGGGUGGCGCAGAGGGGAGCGGCGAUAAAAGAAAAUGGCCUAUGAAUUGAAGUACUCAAAAUAUAUUGCUCAUCUGGAGAUGGUUCCAUUGAAGUAUAUAUGGCCGGUGGUCCAAUUGGCUCCACUGACCCAUCCAGAGAGGCCACAACAAGUUGUGUAGUAGCAUAGUACUCAAAUAAAUCUUCAUCAUAUUCGUCUUUUAGCAGAUCUUGGAAGGUUCUCGUUUGAAUAACAUUUUUUUGCUCAUUAGACUGAAUCUUAGGACCAGAGGGGGGCAGAGGGGGCGGCGCAGAGGGGGGUGGCGGGGGAGGGGAAGGCGGGGGGAGGGGAAGGGGCAGAGGGGGAAGGCGGGGCAGAGAGGGUGGCGGGGGGAGGGGGGCGGCGGGGCAGAGGGGGGCGGCGGGAGGUGGAGUUGCUGCUGGGGGUGGCGGAGGUAACGGGGAAGAAGAAGAAGAAGAAGAAGAAAAAGAGAAGAAAGAAAAGAAAAAGGAAAGAAAGAAAAAGAAAAAGAAAAAGAAAAAGAAAGGGAAAGAGGAAAAAAAAAAGAAAAGAAAAAAAAGUUUUCACCCUACAAAAACUUCUAUAAAAUUUUUUCAAAAACUUCUACAGUGCACUACAGUAAAGUUUUAGACAAACUCCCAAAAAACUCAGGUUCCAAACAGGCCCUAUAAUCGUCUAAAAACUUCACCUAUCAUCAUUGCCUAAUGUUUAGCUCCUUCUAAGAAAAUAAAUUUGAGACUCUUAUGAUCCGUAUAGAUCUCGAAAGUUAUUUCAUAGAAAUAAUAUCUCCACUUUUUCAAAGCAAAAACAACAGCUGUUAAUUUCAAAUCAUGAGUCGGAUAAUUUUGCUCGUGAGCUUUCAACUUCUUAGAGGUAAAGACAAUCACAUUUCCAUUUUGCAUCAAUAUAUAUCCCAAUCCUUCCCUCGAGACAUCGAUAUAUAGUGAAACUGUCCUUUCUAUUAGGUAGAGUCAAAACUGGUGCCAUGAUCAACGUUUUUUUCAAUUCUUGAAAACUAAUUUCACAUCUACUAUUUCAAAUAAAGUUACCAUACUUUUUUGUCAGAUCAGUUAAAGGAUCGGCAAGUUUUAAAAAAUUUUUAAUAAGUCGACGAUAAUAUCCUGUCAGAUCUAGGAAACUAGGAAUCUUAGUAGGGUUUUCUGACCGUUUCCAUCCAAUAACAACUUCUAUUUUGGCCGGAUCUACUGCAAUGCCAUCUUUCGGAAUUACAUGUCCUCAAAAAGAUAUUUUCUCCAACCAAAACUCAUACUUACUAAACUUAGCAUAUAACUGGUGUUCUCUCAGAGUCGACAAUAUAAUUCUUAAAUGCUACUCAUGCUACUACCGAGUUUUAGAAUAAGCAAGAAUACCAUCAAUAAAUACAACUACAAACCGAUUUAAAGAGGAUUUGAAAAUCCGAUGCAUCAAAUCCAUUUAUGCUGUAUGGGUAUUGAUCAAUCCAAAGGGUAUGACUGAAAAUUUAAAAUAUCCAUAUCUAGAAUUGAAGACAAUUUUUGGUAUAUCCACUUUCUUGAAUCGCAAUUGAUAAUACCCCUGUCGGAGGUCUAGCAUAGAAAACACCACCGCUCCUUACAACUGGUUAAAUAAUUCAUCAAUAUGUGAUAAAGGGUAUUUAUUCUUAAUUGUUAUAUCAUUCAACCCCCGGUAGUUUAUACACAGUUUUAAACUCCCGUCUUUCUUUUUAACAAAGAGUACUGGAACUCCUCAUGGAGAUCCACUUUCUCGAAUAAACUCUCGCUCCAAUAAAUCUUGCAAUUGUAACUUCAAUUCCAUAAAUUCAGCGAGUGCCAUUUGAUAUGGAGUUUUAGAGAUAGGUAUUGUUUCAGAUAAUAGAUCAAUUUUAAAUUCUAUCUCUCUUUCUCUCUGGAGGUAAGGUCACUAAUUCAUCAGAGAACACAUCCAGAUACUCCUUUAUUACCGGUACAUUUUCUAUCUUCAACUUAUCUGUCGGAGUAUUUAAUAGAAAAGUUAGGUAACCUUGCGCCCUUUUACUCAACAAUUUCCUAACCCGAUUACCCAAAAUAAAUGCAGAUGAGGCUAAUCUACCUCUCACGUCUAGUGUUAAGGUUGCGUCCCCAGAUAUGCGAAGUUCUUUCACUUUCUUCUUGCAAUUUAGUUGAACAUCAUAUUGAAUUAAUCAAUCCAUAUCUAAGAUGACAUUAUACCCCUUAAUGGUUAAAUUUAUUAAAUCUCUCAAUAAUUUUCUCUCUCCAAUCCAAAUUUCACAAUUCUUAUAAACCAUACUAGUGAUCAAACGUUCAUCAUCCAUAGGAGUACUAACUUCGAAAUCAUAUGACAAUCUAACAGGUUUUACAUCAAUUUCAUACAUAAAAUUAGGGUUAAUAAAAGAAUGGGUAGCACUGAAAUCUAUUAGAAUCUUAGCUAAAUGGUAGAAUACAGAGAUCAUACAUUUUAUAACCUCAAACGAGUCAGGGAGCUGGUGUUGCUCCAUUGCAUACAUCCGAAUCGGCACUUUCGAUCUAUUUCCUUCCACCUUUGUCUGCCCAGGGUUUGUCUUAUUUGAAUGCUGAGUCUCACUCUUCUCUCAAGGCGGGUCUAGACAAUUGACGAUCUGAUACUUGACACUUCCACAACGUAAACAUUUUUUUUCUUCCUCCAACAACUCUCUUAGUAUGGUUCGGCUUCCUACAGUAUCCACAGGAGAUACGGGAAGCUGAUGCCGAGCCUUCUUGUGGCGCACCUCUUUGUUGUCCUCUCUCGCCUUGACCUUCUCUUGACGGGGCUCCUCUGGGCGUCCCGGAAAGACUUAUUCCGUCUAUCUCUCUUCCAAAUUUAAGAGGUAUAUUUUUAUCCCCUUGUCCAAAGUUACUACUAGGCAUAUCUCGUUUCUUUGCUUGAAAAGAUCUAACUUGUAGCCUUGCACUUUCAACCCGCUAGAUUUUCUCCAUAACAUCACUAAAUGUAUUGAUUUGGGCUACUGCUAAAUCUUUCUGAAUUUCGACAUUUAGCCCUUGAACAAAGUGCCUUAUUCGCCUUUAUUCUGUUACUACUAGAUCAGGAGCAAACUUAGAUAGUCUGGUGAAUUGAGUUUCGAACUCCACAAUGGUUUGGAUUACUUGACGAAGUUUAAUAAAUUCGUUCUCCCUUUUCUCCUGAAUCAAAGACGAAAAAUAUUUUGCAUUAUACUCUCUGAUGAAAUUUACCCAAGUUCUUGGGGUUUGCUCUCUUUUCCAUUUAGUUCGUAUCACAUUCCACCAAGAACAGGCUACUCUCUCUAACUGAAAAUCAGCGAAGGCUACCUGCCUAUCCUCAGUAUAAUGCAAUGCUGCAAAGAUAUCGAUCAUUUUCUUCAGCAAUCUCUCGGCUAUAUCAGGGUCAGGUCCUCCCAAGAAUUUUGAUAGGGAGAAUUUUUGGAAUCGUUCGAGUACUCUAUCUUUGCCUUCUACAUAGUUCCUAGGGUUACUAGAUUGGUUAACAGGGUUUUGAUCUUGACGGUCCACUAUUUGUACUAGCAAAUCUAUCAUAUGUUGGAUGGCUGUGGCUACUUGUGUAUUGAGAUCGGUCCCUAGUUCGUGAUUUUGUUCAAUUACUGGUUCGCGAUUACCCCUUUGAUUUAAGGGUUGCCUGGGUCCACGCCCACGGGCUUGUCCACUAUGUCUACCCAUCAUUGAUUUUUAACAAGUCUAGAAUUGAAAUGCAGAUGCAACAAUUAAAAUACCUAGAUGAAUAAGCAAGAUGCAAGAAUGUAAACAAGUUAGAAAAUCAAGUAUAUUUAACACAACCCCUUUCAUACAUAUCAUACAGUAAAAGUCAGGUACAAACAAAAUAGCCCCAUUUACAUAAGUAGUAGGAUCAUAUCAAAAGUAUAGUGAACAAAAACUAUACCAAAAGGACAAGAACAUCCAACUAGAGGUUUCCUAAUUACCCCUCACAUAUGGUCAAAACAUGACUCAUUGGAGUUCUAACCUAAUUUCCAAUAGAGCUAGUAGAUGUUUUAUUUCUAGGGCCAUGAUCUACGUCAGCCAAAUUUACAUCCACCACCUCUCCAAGUAAAGUCCUACAUUCCUGCAAAAUGCCCUCGGUUUGGUCUUCUACCUCUCUUAGCACCCUAGUGAGAAGCUCAUUCACCAUUUGCACCUGCUGGCGCAUAGCAUCCGUACGUUCUUGCUCUUGACCAACAGUCUCUUGCAACUCCUGGAUUCUAUCCGCCUGCAUUUCCAUAAUUCCUCCCAUUCUUUCCAUCUCAAUUUGAUCCCUAAAAUUGGCACGCCUAAGUCUUCUCCUCUCAUCUAGCACCGUCAAGACCACAUGAUUAGUAUAGGAGUAGUUUUGGCAACGACUACAUCUACUAGUCUGACUUGCGGAACUCCAACGUCGGAUUGGUCCCCCUGACCUCUCCUCAUAAUCGAUAAUUCGAAAGCGCUUCCGAGACGCCUCACUUCCACCCUCUCCAUUGGUUCCUUCCAUGACCUACAAGGAUAAGCACAAUUUACAAUUUAGACAAGGUUAAUCAUACUUAAUGACAUCCUAACAUGUCACAUUAAAGUUCCUUAGAAUCAAAUUUUCAUUUUGCCCAGGCCAUUUCUAACCUAGACUCUGAUACCAAUUGUGACAGACCCAUCUGCUCUUAGGGCAUACCCUAAAGGUUAGCGGACUGCUUGUCCAACUCUCGCCAGGACUAACUAAUCCAAAAUUACCACAGGUACUAAAACGUACAACAUUACUUCAAAAUACCGCAACCCAAAAUUUUAUACAAUUCAAGGUUAAAGUACAAGUCAAAGGAUUCAAGCUUAAACAAUUUCACAUAAGGUUUACUAAUAUCGAUGAGUUUAAAAAAAAUGUCUAAAGUCUAGAGCUCGCUCCACUCUUCCCCAAAAUCACGUACCAAAAACUUCGCCCCUGUAAGGAAACAAAAGUGACAGGGUAAGUUUUUGCCCAAUGAGGUGCCAUAGGUCAUGUAGUCGAAAUCACAUAGUUAGAACUUUAAUCUAUCAACAACAAGCAUCGAGUAAAAGAAUAAAUAAAUACCACAACUAAUAUAGAGCGGUUCAAGUAAAAAGAUACAAACUCGUUGACACCCCAGUCACAUUAGCUUGAUCCAAACUCGUUGACACUCCAUUAACAUUUAGAAAAACAAAGAAAUAUUGAUCGUAUAUCCCCACUUUACACUAGUUUCUGUCUAUCAAACAUACUCCUUACUGAGUCCAAACUCCAAGUAGAAACAGUGUUGAUGAUAUUCGAGUAUACCAAUUAUCAGAAGUAUCCAGUAUUCAGUAAUUCAAUGACAGUUUUCCUCAUGGCCCGUCAAUCUACCUCGACCAACCCUUGCUGGUUCGAUCGAUUAACUACUAACGAGGUUUGAGCUCCAAUUCACAGUAAAGUUGUCAGAUAUUGGGCUUCGACUAGCAUCCAAGUCAUGCACAAGUAAUAGGUUUCAAAUAAACAGUAAAUCAAUCAAACAGUCAAGUGGAAUCGAGUGUGAUAAAGUAUACACCCGUCCAGUCCAGAUUAAACCAAAUCACAGUCAUACAACUCAUAAAUUCCAGUCACAAGUAGUUCACUUUAAGCAACAAGUCAUACAAGUGGUACACUUACCAGUUCAAGCAAAGCAACGUCAAAAGUUCAUCCUCGGGUUAUGCCCUUGAUCACCAACAAACUCUAAGAACAACCAAGAUAAAAAUAUUAUGGUUCAACCAUCCAAAACUUAGGUGAACUAAGGAAAAUCCAAGUAACUCCUAGUGCAAAGAUUCAAAUAUAGUUUUAGAAUGAAAAUAGAGUAUUUGAAACCAAGGGACAUGAGUAACCAAGGAGUUCCUCAUUCCAAUUCAUGGUUGGAAAUUUCCAGCAGCAAAAUAGUGAAGAGAAACAACCAAAUCUCGAGUUUAAAGUAGAACAAAUGAAACUAGAAAGCAUGCUAGAAGAAAUCAUUACUUUUCCUCUUGUUUUACACAUGGUUUUAUCCAAAUUUCAUUUUAUACACCACCACCAAGGUGAACUCAAAUAAUCAUAAGCAACCUAAGUCCAAACCGACCCUAAAUUACCCCUCUAACAUCACUCAUAUCACGAGAAAGAAAGUAAUAAAAAUUUCAGCAGCAUUUCCCCUUAUUUCCUUAACUUUCCCUUUCAAACUCAAUACCUAUAUUCAUAGCAAUCCAACCUCAAUCACAACCACAAAGUUAUAGGCUAUAAAGUACACUUAUUUAAGGUCACAAAGCCACCCAAAAUAGCAAAUUAUCUAACUCAAGAACAACCACAGGAAAAAUGUAACCCUAAACUGAAAUUUACUACUACAAGUUGAAAUUUCUUAUAAUGAAACCAAAAUAACAUAUAAAAGUUAGAAAAUUCACAUGGCAAAGCUACUAGGUCAUACCCAAGUUCAAUUCAACAUAUCAAAGCUAAAAUUUCUCACUCAAAACUUGAAUUUUCCAACCACCAUAAAAACCAUGAAAUUUUCCAUGUAAUCUACCAAAAUCAAGUUUUGAAUCCACUCAUAUGCAAGUAAUAAAAGAAAAGAUGGUUUCUUGAUAUGGUUACCUUAAAACCCCUAUGAAGAAAUGGAAUUCAAGAGCUUCUUCCUCCCAAAUCUCUUCACCAAAGUCCUUAAUUCUCCCUGAAUGUCACCUUUUAUGGUUUGAAUUGCAAGUUUAAGGUGAAAAACUCAAGGAUUCAAAUAAGAUUCAAGAUUGGAGUUGAAGUUUUUUCUCUCUUUUUCUCUCAAAGUGGGUCGGCCAAGAAGGGAAAGAAUGAAGGGUUGUUUUGGUCAAAUUUUGUUUUUAUUAAAGGCUAAGAAUGGUCUUAGUCAAAGUCAAAACUCCAUAGCUUUAGUGACAAAUGGCAUUCCAAGGUUAAUCCUCAUCUAAUUGUCUCCCAAAUGCUAAAAUAUCUAGUCAACCUCUAAUUACUCCUUAACACCUUGUAAAAUAAAAUUUCUUUGCACAAAACUCCUCUUAAUUUUCAAAAGUAUAUCACACAUCUCACUAGUGGGUCCUACUUCCAUAAUGCACUAUGAAUUUAACAUAUACUAACUUAUUGAAGAAAAAUGAUUUGAAAACUUGACUCACUUAUAAAAAUAUUUAAAAAAUUAAGACAAUAAAGUAAAGUAAAGAAAUGUAUUCAAAGAAAUAAAAUAAAAUAAAAAUAAUUUUUCAGAUCCUCACAUUCUACAUAUAAACAAACAUUUCUAAUCCCCUCAUAUUCGACAAAUGAAAAUGGCAACUCAUGCCUAAUGAUUACAUGAUAUGAAUCCUGUUAGAAACCAAACCCGUAUUUCACAAGCCACGGAUCUAGACGAACAAUACCUAAGAUUUGGCAGCGGAAAAUUUAGACCAAUUAAUUCUAGGGUUCACGAACAUGUUGAUAUAAUCUCAACCCGUAAUUAAUCGAAUUGAAGAACCAAAGUUGAUGGAUAGAAGGUGCCACAAUUUAACAUACUCUUGAAUUGAUAAGCCAAAUUUCUUGAACACUCAAGAUAACUCUAAAGUAUUCAAAGGAAUCAUUUCUAAGAACCUAGGAGAAAAUUCUCUCACACAUAAGUGUUUUUUUUUUUUGCUGGAAAUUCUUGAUUAAUUUUAUUAAUAAACAAGAUAAGCCUUUUAUAGGCCUUACAAGACUCAAAACCUAAUCAUACUAGCAUAACUAAUAAAUAACUCAAAGUUCUAAAAGGACAAGUUCAACAAUUCGGCUUAGACUUCUUCACAAGCUAGCCAAAUGGAAACUAACAAUAGAAAACAUACUAAAAACUAAAAUAACUACUAGUUGACUACCAAUUAUAAACAACUAGACAUAGACUACUCACGGCCUUAUUCUUAAGAAAAGUUGGCCGUACAAUUGAUAACAAUUAUAACUUAAUUAAACAUACUAAAAACAAGAAAGGGACCCGAAUUUUUGAAAUUCAAUGAAUCGGCUUCUUAUAUGACUAGAACAUGAACCACUGGAUCACCAGCUCAAAUUAUUGCAUACAUCAUUAAAUCUCUAAAUUUCUCUUGAUGAAUACUUUUCAAUCAGAAGUAAUAAGAUACUGACCAAUAUCUUUUGUUAUUAUCUUUUGACAUUUUAUUAUGUGUCUUUUAAGGUUGCCAGUCUCAUUUUUACUCUGUGCAGAGUAAAUGCAAUGACAUAUUUUGCAUCUGCACUUCAAUUCCUUAUUUGAUUUUGAAGUUAGGAUAGUAAAAUGAGCCCAAACUUCAAAGUUUAGCUUCCUUUUUUGUCUCCUUUGAGAAUAGGGUUAGGGCAUUGAGACUGAUUCAUAGCUAUUUUGUCUUUAACAUUGUUGUCACUACUACUAUCAUCAUCAACAUCAACUGGCCUUGGAUUUGUAUUAUUUGCAUCCAUCUUUUAACCAAUAAAUAGACAUACAUGUCAUUGUCUAUUCGUGUUAAAAUUUCUUUUAACAUAAAAACAAAAUUUAAAAGAUAACGCAUUCACAAACAAUUUGACAUUAUGAGUAGAUGAUGCUUGCAGCCACAAUUAACAACUACAUUUAUAUUAAUAUUUUCAAUGUAAAACACUUAUGUCAUAAUGUCAAAGCUUGAGACUAACUGACUAAGUGUUUAUUUUCCAGAAGUGCAUCACCAGUAUUUAGUAGUAAGAACACUUUGGAAAGUUAGACGACUAUUAAACAUUGGGAUAAUGACAUCAAUUGAAGAUACAGGAGAUCAUGACAUGUAAAUGAACAUCCAAAAGUGAGAAAAAAAGUCAAUCCUUUUCUUUUCAAGAAGAAAGAGGUUUUUUUGUGUAACUUUUGUUAUUUAUGACUCCAAAACCUAUGCAAAAUCUCAAGCAAAAAAUUAAAACAAGACAAAUUUCCUAUCCAAUUCUAUAAGAUUUUCACAAAAUGAAAAUAAAUCAAACUAUGCAGGAGAUGAAGAAAUGUUUAGCUUAAGCCAUUGGAGUAUCAGUAUAUCUACUAUUACUUCAUCUAUGCGACUGCUACUGUGCUACAUCACUGAAAGAAAAAAAAUAUGGUGAAAAGCACAUAAAUAAUCGAUUUGGGGUCAAUUUGAAUUGUUUUGGAAUCCUUCAAUAUUUGAUGCUUAAGAGAGAGUAGGAGGGUCAGAGAAGGGUCACACAAAUUCAGAGGCUAAGGCUUUCGGUCGGAGAAGAAUGAUUGCCACUAACUACUGAGUGUUGAGGGAGUCUGGACUCUGGAGAAGAAGGUAAGAAAGAGGUGUUCUGCACUGAGGUAUUCUGCCCUGCCAACUAGCAGCUGCUAGUAAGAGAAUAAGAGUCAUUUGAUAAUACAAUUCAAUAACUAAACUUAAUAAAUUCAAAUUUUAAUAUAUUCAAAUCAUUUGGUAAUAAAAAAAUUAAACAUCUGAAGUAAUUAAGGGGUAUCGAAUUUCCUAGGCAAAAUUUGUUUUCAAAAUUAAGUGAUAAAUCAUUCAUUGAAUGUGAUAUGUACUCAAAUGUAUUAAAUUUAAUAUUUAAUAAUUCAAUAAUUUAAUGGAUUCAAAUUUCAAAUUUUAAACUUCAAUUUAAUGGAUUGCCACUAACUACUGAGUGUUGAGGGAGUCUGGACUCUGGAGAAGAAGGUAAGAAAGAGGUGUUCUGCACUGAGGUAUUCUGCCCUGCCAACUAGCAGCUGCUAGUAAGAGAAUAAGAGUCAUUUGAUAAUACAAUUCAAUAACUAAACUUAAUAAAUUCAAAUUUUAAUAUAUUCAAAUCAUUUGGUAAUAAAAAAAUUAAACAUCUGAAGUAAUUAAGGGGUAUCGAAUUUCCUAGGCAAAAUUUGUUUUCAAAAUUAAGUGAUAAAUCAUUCAUUGAAUGUGAUAUGUACUCAAAUGUAUUAAAUUUAAUAUUUAAUAAUUCAAUAAUUUAAUGGAUUCAAAUUUCAAAUUUUAAACUUCAAUUUUAUGAAACAUUGACUCAGAUUCAAAUCAUUUUUUUUUAUCUAUCGAAUCUAACCCAAUUUCCACUCAAGCCCGCGAAAGCUCAACCCAAUUUUAUGUUAGAUUUGUUUCGUUUUUUUGAAGCUAUUAGGCUUGUGAGUUAAUUAUCCAAGAAUGGAGCCGAAAGAAAAAGUGGAAAAAUAAUGAUGGAAGCAGCGAAGGGUGAAAUCCCGGUGUUCAUGCAUCUGUGAUGAUAUCAAGCAGAACCAGGGCAAUGAAAUCGCACAGCGUUGGAAUCAACAAGAUAUAUUACCCAGUACUAGUAGAAAAGUAAAAUUGGCAAUGAAAUCAGCUCAAUAGUGAUAUAUUGAUUAAACAAGAUAGUUACAGAGUUGGCGAGAAAAGAGAAGAAGAUGAACAAGAAUGAAGGAAAAACUUGGGAAAGAAGCAAUGAACUGGGAAUGAUCCCAAUUGAUUUGAUUACACAAUAUUCUCUUGUACUAUCUCCCAAAUCCACCUAUAUAACGCUGCAGCUAAUAACUUUGUUGUCAAUAAACCCCUGAUCAACUGUGGCAACAAUCCCUUAUCAAUAGACAGUUUUGAUUGAGUGACAAUAACAAUUGUCAAUAAAGACAUCCUGCCUAGAAAAAUACUACUCAUUUACAACACCUUACACAUGACUUUUCUACUACAAUAAUAUCUAAAAAAUGAAAAUAUCAGCAAUGUUUAAUAAAUAACAAAUGUAGGCACCCGUUACAAUAGAAUAUGCCAAAAUAAUAUAUUAAAUAUUCAAAUGUCAUAAAUAAGUGCAACAUCAUAGUACAAAUAGUUUCAUAAGUUUGAGUAGAACAAAUACUACUCAUAUAAGUCAAGGCUGCACUAAAAAAUAUAUUCCAAGUCCCAAAACAUAUCCUGCGCUUCUAAAACAUUUUCUAAACUUAAGACAGCACUAUAACCACAGUUUUUGAGCAGCCGUACUGCUAAUCUUCUUCGAAACCUCCAAAAUGAGCAAUGUAUCUGCAAUAAAGUAGUAAAGUUAUUAGUAAGGUUAUCAGGUGACAAAAGCAAAAUAGUCUCUAAUUGCUAAAUAAAGAACAAAAGUUGAAUAUCAUGAAUAUAUGAUAAAUACAUCAAUGUAAGAGAUAAAUAUGCAGUAGCAUUCCAUUUUUCAUUUUCUUGGGAUAGUGGCAUUCCGUGAUGUAUGACACUUAAAGUUGAUGGGACAUAUUCACUUUCCUAGCACUUCAGCCUCAAAGCAAUAUCUUUGUUAUCAAUCAACUUCAGUCAUGUAAUAUAACAAAUAUGCACAGAUUCAAGGCUAAAUAAGACUUGGCAAAAUCCAAAAAAGUAUUUUCCAAGUUUUGAGAGGAAGGAAGGGAGUUAGCUGAUUUCAUCCACUACAAUCCUGAAACCAAGAAAACAAAGUCCUUAGUCAGAGAAAUGCACCUGUCCUUCUAAAUCCAUCACCUCGUUCUUUAAAUAAGUCAACUAAGUAAUUUCUCCUGCAUUAACUGUAGGCACUCAGCAAGUUCACAGAGAACUCAAUAUUAAUUGGCCCCAGGAACAACUACGAACCUUGCAAAACUAUAAUGUUCUAUAACUGCCAAGACCACAGACCAAACACACUCUGCCUUGUGCAGGACAGAGGAGAUCCUAUAUUUAUCAUAUUUAUCUACUGCAAAACAGUCUCUAUUCUUUAGCCCUUCUGUGAUCCUCAAAUUAAUAUCAUGAAACAGAAACACUAUUGAAGCUUUUUUUUUGUGUAAUGUUAUUGUUUCAUGAUAACAAAGCUAUGAUAAAGCCACAAAUGUACUCCCAAGAUCAAAACACCAUCUGAUUAGAACCUUGUGUUGACAGAAGUAAUUCUUAAAUGUCCCUCCUCAGUCUUGAUAUUACAAGUUAAUAUUGUCACCUACCAAUAACUAAAUUGCAAUAACUUAUGUUAACUUUAAACCAUAGCAGCCAUUAUAUCUAUUUAGACAAGUAUAUAUAGUUGAAAAUUGCUUACCAAUCAGUUCGUUCAGAUGUGCCUUCAUCGUCUUACUUGUUGGCUUGCAGCUGUGCUUUCAAAGAUUUAAGGAGAUCUUGCAUUUCACUUUGUUGGUUCUGCAUUUCACUUUGCUGGUUCACAAGCUUCUCCAUAAGUUGUUGUUGAGAUUGGACUGUUAUUUCCAACUCAGCUGAGCGCUUCUCCGCUUGUUCUGCUCUUUUCUUGAAAUCAUCUAUCUCUGCAAGCUUUUGGGCAAUUAUUCCAGCUUUGGAGGGACCACGGCCAUGUACGUAUCCGGUUACACGUCCAGUUACUUCAAUGGAAAUGUCUUCUUCAGUCCUAUUUGCACCACUGGAUUCAGAUUCCAACUUUUUCUCCUUCAUCAUGCUCUGUCACAAAGGUAAAUUCUGAAGUUAGACUUUCAUAAGAGUUGUACAACAAUAUUAGAGUACCAAUUCCAUUUUUCUUACUAAGUUCAUAGCAGAUGUUUCGUCAACCAUUGCAUUCUUCUUCUUGCUGUAAUGGGUGAUGUCAUAAAGUUCUAUUGGUCCAACUUCCCUCCCUUCUUGUGCUUCCUGUUACAAUAAGAAGUUAAAUAACCUGCCUAAACAAUCCAAAAGACAUGUCUUCAAGAUAAUCAAAUACCCGGUCAGCUUUAUGACGAAGAAAGGAUUUUGUUCCAGCUGUAUGAGCAGUUUUUUGCUUUGAUCUAUUGAUCUUGUUCCUCUCACUUAUCUUCUGCACUUAUCAAGUUCAGCCGUGAUCAAAAUUUAACACACAAAAAGCAUGAGAAAGAACAAUAGUAAAUGAUCAAAAGUCGGCGUCUAUACCAUAAAAUUUAGACUACAGAAAUAGUCACAAAGGUAAAUCCAAUCAGAUUCUUCAACAUAUUGUGGACGAUUUGCAAGUGCUUCCUCUUUUGUACUAAAUUUCUUGAAAAUCUUGUGAAAAUUGUAUCGUCGACUUCUGUACUGUGUAUUUAACUGCUUAAGAAGUGCUGGCUUAACAUGUUCUCCUUCAUCAUAAGCAAAACUAUUCUGAAAUAUGAGUGAAAAAUUUAUUGUAAAUGUCAGAAAAAGUGCAUAAAUGUCCUGUUGCAGAACUAGUUGUUACCAAGUCAAGAAGAAAAACAAGCCUUCAAAACAAUUUCACUUACAUUAACAAGUUUUAGCAUUCCUUCCCUAUCAGAGCUGGCCAGUUUGGACCAUUUUUCUGCUUUCCAUUUGCCAUAUUUACGAAUGACACAACUUGCCUCUGAGAUGUACUGUUGUGCCCCUUCUCCAAUUACUCUUCCACUAACUUCAGAGACCUGGACUUUUACCUUUUUGCCGGCCUUCUUUUCCUUGGACAGUGCAAUAUUGCGAGUAUAUCCUCUUUUCCUAGUUACAUUGAUACCACCUACCCAAAACAUAGUUCACAGUUAUGAAUGUGAGUGGAAAAAUCUGAAAUGAAAUUAGCUGUGUAAUAUAAAUUACAAGUAAAUCUCAUAUACCGGUAUCAUUCUGUUGAACAUCAUCGCUCUCAUUAAUCCGGUCACUUCCACAACCAAUGGACUGGUUAGAUCCGACUUGUACUGAAGUAGGAGUAGUAUUUUGCUGCUCAAUAGAUGUAGGAGUUGUCAACUCAUGUCUUGAUGAUCCUGUAGCAGUUUUGCGACCAUUUGAGGUAGUAGGAUCCUAAAAUCCAGCCAACUACACAUUAGAAAUGUAUUUUUCAAAUAUUGCCAACUACCAAAAGUAAGAACUAACCUCAGUCUCAUCAAAUAGGCGAAUUUGAACUGACUUUCUAGAUAGGCUGAAUUCAGCACCAUUAUUGGCAUUGCUAGCCAGACUACCUUUUGGGCCACCAACUUGCUAUAGUGAAGUAAGAAAUACACAGCAGGUUUAGAUGCUUAAUUGUUUAAAACCAAUGGUAUAAAGAAGUGAAGGUACAAGUACAUAGCAAAGUCAAUUUUCAUCACCUGUUCACCUAUUUUUUCUCUAGCUUCUGCUGCAUUAGGUAUUUCAGCACCUCGAGUUGGUCGCAUAGGACAUUUUCCUUUCUUCCCUAGCCCAGCCAUGUAACUACAUGAUAAAAAGAUAUCAAUCAGCCAUGCAUUUAGACUAAAUAUGUCUAAAAUGCCAGGAUAAGGUACAAUUACCAGCAUGCUCACCCGAAGGAGGAACUUAAUUAAUAUGCCUUGUAUUUUACAAUAGAUAUUGCAAAUUAGAAGAUAAGAGUGACUAAAAAUAAUUCAAGAUAAGAAAUACACUUGAUUUGAACCAAAAGUUACAUUGUAACUAUAAAUAGAAACUGAAAAUGUUAUUUACAACAUCGUUUAGUCAGACUCAUAGUCAUCACUUUCUACAAAUUUUUCACUUUCAUCUUCACUCGAGCUCAAUUGCUGAAUCUCAUCAUCAUCAACAAAAAAAUCAUCCAUUUUCCUGGCAUGUUUAGCUGAAGAAUCAGAAUUUAGGAUGCCAGUUUCUACAGCUUCAUCAGCUAGCAUAUCACCUCUUUUCAAGUUAGACAAAUCGACAUUCUCUUGAACCCCAAUUAGGUCUUCAAGAUAAUCUUCUUGGUAAACUUGUUCUUCUUCACAUGAUUUAUCCUCAUCCUUUUCAAGAACAGCAUAUGAUGAACGUGGACAGACUGACUCGACAACAUGCCAAUCACCUCCAAGCCUCAUAUCCUUUACGUAAAAGACCUGUUCGGCUUGGGAAGCGAAUACAAAUGGCUGGUCUAUAUACCAUUUUUUUGACAAAUUGACGCUGCUUAGAUUACUCUGUUUGUCUAUUUUAAGACAUGAGCUAUUUUUCAAGUCCCACCAAUCACACUUGAACAGAACUACUCGGCUUUGACUGAAGGAGUAUUCAACCUCUAAGAUAUCUGUAAUAGCACCAUAGAAGUUUAUUUCUACAUCAGCAUGCUCACCCUUCACCAUAAUGCCACUAUUCUGGGUUUUUCUGUCUACCUCACGUGUUUUGGUAUGAAAUCUAAACCCAUUGACAUUACAACCAGGAUAUUUGAUCACUCUAAAAUCCAGUCCUUUGGCCAAAGACAACAAUUCAUCACAGCAUCUGCCUUGUGUAUGCAUGUAAGUGACCUAUAUAACCCAAAUAAGAAAUUAGAAUGACUGAACAAAUUAACAACUAUAUAAAUACCACAAGUUUUCUAGUAGUUUGUUCCAUACUUACACGAUCUUCAAACCACUUUGGAAACUCUAAAUCGUGCAUCUGCUCUACAUUCGACACAUUUUGCUGCUGAAGCAAUUCUUUGUGCAUCCUAUACAAUAGUAUUAUUAGUUAUCUAUGUGCUACGGUUAGUGCUAUAAUUGACUAAACAUAUAACACUUCUCAUAUACAUAAGGUAAUAAAUUUAUUACCUUAUGUAAUCAUCAAUUUCUUCACAAUUUUUCAAGAUGAAUAAAUGUAUUUUCAUCAACUCUGAUUCACUUAAGCAACAAAAUGUUGCUGCCCCAAAAGGCCGAGCCAUUCCAGAAAAAAUAGACAACUUUCCAGCAGCCUCAAAGCGUUCGGUGUUUCUUUCUGGUUCAUUAAAUAUUGUAGGAACAUUGUGCAAGUACCUAGAAAUGAAUGUUAGACAUUCAUCAUCCAAGUAACGCUCAACAAUGCAUCCUUCCGGUCGAGCUCUGUUGUGCACAUAACCUUUGUAUUGACCCAUUUUUCUGUGUCACAAAAAUGCAGCCAUAAGAUGUCACAGCAGUACGACCCUAUGAAGCAAAAGAAGAUUCAGUCUUAAAAUAGCCUUUACACUACCUCUCAAAUGGGAACAUCCACCGGUAUUGUGCUGGGCCAGCAAGUUUUGCUUCAGCAGGUAAAUGGACCAUUAAAUGGACCAUUACAUCGAAGAAAUUUGGAGGGAAAAUUUUUUCAAGUUUGCAGAGUAUUACAACAAUGUUUUUCUCCUGUGCAUCUAACUCAUCUACAUAAAGAGUCCUGGAACAAAUUUUCCUAAAAAAAUUGCUUAGUUCUACCAAAGUUUGGGAAACAUCCUUUGGCAGCAUGCCUCUAAUUGCUAAUGGAAGUAGACGUUGCAAGAAUACAUGAUAAUCAUGACUCUUCAUCCCUGAAAUUUGGCACUCUUUUGGCUUAACACAAUGAGAUAUGUUUGAGGCAAAUCCAUCGGGGAACUUGAGUGAGCUCAAAAACUGGAAUAGUUUUUGUUUUUCGCUGCGUGAAAGAGUGUAGCAUGCAGCGGGCAUCACCUUUGAAUCCCCUUGAGUUUGAAGAUGCAAUUCUUCCCUCAAUCUCAUUUCCUUCAAAUCCUCUCUAGCUUGCCAAGUGUCCCUAUUUUUGUGUCCCGUACCCAUCACUGUAGCCAACAAAAUUUCACACACAUUCUUCACGAUAUGCAUAAUGUCCAAGUUGUGUCUAAUUUUGUUAGUACUCCAAUAUGGCAGCUCAAAAAAAAUGCUUUUCUUCAACCAAUUUGACUGAUUUUGCAUGCGUUUUCUUUUCUUCUGUUUAAGCAAUUCAGGUGCCUUACCAAACACCAUUUGAUCAAACUCUUGAAGUUGUUCAAAGAUUUCUUCACCGGAUAAAGUUCUAACAGGCUGUCUAAGAUCACUCUUGCCAUCAAAUGACUUUCUUUCUCUGCGCCAUUUAUGGUCCGCUGGCAAAAAUCGCCGGUGCCCCAUAUAGCAACAUUUUAAUCCAUUUCUCAGAUAUACACUGGUUGUAUCAUCUAAACAAAUAGGACAGGCCUUAUAACCUUUCGUACUCCACCCUGACAAAUAGGCAUAUGCUGGAAAAUCACUUAUAGUCCACAAUAGAGCAGCCCGUAACAUAAAUUUUUCUCCCACGGCUGCAUCAUAAGUCUCAAAGCCAGUGUCAAAAAACUCUUUCAACUCAUCAAUUAGAGGCCUAAAAAAUAUAUCCAUAUCAUUUCCUAUGCACUUAGGACCUGGAAUAAUCAUUGAUAACAGGAAAAAAGGGUCCUUUAAGCAUUUCCAAGGUGGUAGAUUGUAAGGAACAAGGAUUACAGGCCAUAUACUAUAUGCAUUAUUCAUGUUUCCAUAGGGAUUGAAACCAUCAGUUGAAAGCCCCAACCUAACAUUACGAGAAUCUUCGGCAAAAGAUGGGUGACUGUUAUCAAACUCCUUCCAAGCUAUUGAGUCAGCAGGGUGUGUCAUUGUGUUUUCCUUGGGAACGCGUCUCUCUUUAUGCCACCUCAUAUCUUGAGCUAUCUCCUUGUUUAUGAAUAGUCUUUGCAACCUUGACUUUAAGGGGAAAUAGCGAAGCACUUUUCUAGGAAUUUUAGAACCCGGGGAUUUAUAACGAGGUGCUUUACAUUUUUCAUUUGGGCAGUGAUCGAGGCUUUCAUUUUCUUUCCAAUAAAGUGCACAAUCAUUUUCACAUGCAUGUAUUUUUUCACACUUGAGUCCUAGCUCACGAAUUAAAUUUUUUGCAUCAUAGUAUGAGCUAGGAAUUGAUGCCAUGGGGAAGACUUGAAUGAGGAAUUUCAGCAGCAUAUCGAUGGAUUUGCAAGUCCACCGAUUCAUAGUUUUCAAAUGAAGGAUAUGGACAACAAAGGAAAGUUUUGAGUACUUAUCACAACCCGGGUAGAGACUUUUUUCAGCUUCAGAUAAUAAUCUAAGAAACUUACUUGCUUCCCCCUCUUGCUUAUUUGGUAUAUCCCUAUUAUGUUCCCCCGAAUUUCUCCAAUUCUCGCCAAAGUUUGCAGUACCAACGUCAUUUAACAUUUCUUGAAUAUCAUCUGACUCACUGUUUUCUUCAUCUAAAACUAUGUUAUCAUCUUCAUCCUCAUCAGAAUCCUCAAACCUUUCACCAUGAUAUACCCACCUAGUAUAGCUCUCAACAAUUCCCCCACACAAAUGACUUUUCAUGACCUCCAUAGUUUGAUCCUCAAAGUUGUUGCACCCUUUACAUGGACAAGGGAGCUUAUAUGUGGGAUCCUUGCCUAAAUAAGCGAACUGAACGAAUUCUUUCACUCCUGCCAAAUAUCUAGGAUGCAAGUAAUCUUUAAUUGUCAUCCAACUCCUAUCCAUGUUUUUUCAAAAGCACCGUUGAUCCUAACACAAAAAAAUAUGCAACCAUGAUAUUACAACAACACAUAUAAUAAAUAUAGGAAAUUAAUCUUCCCAUACAACAAUAAUAAAAAUUAAACAAAAUACAACACAGCUAUUACUAAAUUCAAACAUGUCACAAUGUAAGCAUGUGAGGAGGCUGUGUGCAAUGCAAAACACAAUGUAAGGCAGAUAGGAAUUAAUUCUGGAGUCUUGUGAGAUUUUCUUGGCAAGCACUACUGUAUCCCGGGCCACACAGACAAUGAUCACCAUAUCAGCUUAGUUAACAACAUAGCCAGGGCCAGCUAAUCAAACCAGAAGUUUCAGGGAUGAGGAGGCAAAGUUUAAGGUGUGUAAGGUUCGAUCAGUACAGUUUGGACAGAAGGGCAAGCCAUACCUGAAUACCUAUGAUGGUCAUACCAUUCGUUACCCAGACCCACUCAUCAAGGCCAAUGACACCAUCAAACUUGACCUGGAGAACAACAAGAUUACUAAAUUCAUCAAGUUUGAUGUUGGGAAUGUUGUCAUGGUGACUGGGGGAAGGAACAGAGGUUGGGUUGGAGUAAUCAAGAAUAGAGAGAAACAUAAGGGAAGCUUUGAGACCAUCCAUGUCCAAGAUGCCACAGGUCACGAGUUUGCAGCAUGAGAACAAGGAAUUGCAGACUCCAUAGGUCCUUAGCCACUCUAUUAUGGAGGGAUAACAAGAACAUUUCUGAUAUUGAAGUUUAGUCACUUUUGACAAUUAAACUACUUGAGGUAGUUGCUGUCCCAUUACUUUCAUUAGAAAGUGACCCAAAAAGUUCCAUCAGAUGCCUCAACAUGUACAGGCAUCACAGCAACAGAUCUCAUAUGAACAUAAAUGCUGCUACAUUUGGACAAAUUUCCAACUCAGCGUUUUGAAAAAAAAGGGGAGGGGGAGAGCAUGAGUCCACACACAGCACUUUAGACACCGUUAGACAUCAAAAAUCACUAAAACCACUAACAAGGAGACAAAAAUAUUAAGAAAGAUGUGAGUGAAACAGUCCUUACAGAAUUAAGCAGAAGUUCUGGGCUAGUCCUGAAAAUAAAUUAAAAAAUUUAAAGUUAUACAAAUCUCAUGAAUGUAAUUAGUCAUUUAUGCUAGAAAAAGUACCAGACUGUAAAUUGUCAUCACAGAAAAAACACAUAGAAGGUCUAAAAUAGCCUACAUGAUAAUCAUGCCCAAAAUAUAGCAGAAGAGACCAAUGACUUAACCACCUUCAGUCACCAGACACACCCAUGCCAAAGCAUCAAUAAGAUCAGCAUGCUACUUGGAAUAGCUACCAUAAAAUUCUAAAAUAGAUGUUGAUACAACAGUAAAAAACUGGCACAAUCAGAGGAUUCUUACAUCUUCCCGCUUGUUCACUACUGAAGGACCUGAAGUGAGGAUUAUACUACUAAUUAAGAAUUUCACUAAUGGACCAAACCAGCAAAACUAUAUGUUUUACAUCCCAUGCUCCAGCCAGAGUCAGAAUAGAAUCCAAAGAAUAUAGUUAAUAUUUCUAUAAGAUGCAAUUGCAAUCCUUGGCACUUAAGAAUGGCAUCAACAUGUUGACUUAACCUCCUACUCAAAGUGCAAACACCCAUGUCAUAUGGGCCACAUUUUUUUUUCAAACUCAGAUAAAAGAAAAGCAUAUCUGAAGCAUCUUGAGACCAUCAAAAGAUUCACAAGAAUUUUCAAGUCAUAUCAACUCUAGGAAUUACAAGAGUAUACAAACCCAGAUAUUUUAUAAGUUUCAACUCUAUCAGAAAUAUAGCACUCGAUUAGAAAAAAGAGACUGCUGCCAAUCCUAACUAUGAAGAACAUACAAGAUCACUACAAACCGGACCAGCAUGCAAGAACUUAACCUUUUUGUAAUCUAACUCGCAUGCUAUAUUUGUCAAUUAUCACAAAAUUGAAAGUUUAGAAUUUAAUAACCAUAGCGAUUGAAACUAACUAAUGUGACAACAGUAAAGAGCAACAUACUUCAGUUCAACUUCAGGUUUGUUAUGUCUUUCAACUUCUUGACAAGGGAAGUUCUGCAGUCAGUUUUUGCCAAGGCAAAGGAAAUCAUCAAAAGGCACCACUUCUCAUCAAAGAAAACAUGGCAAUGUUAUAGUGGAUAAGAUAUCAUCUUUAUGUAAAGUAACAAUGCCAAGAUUCAGAUUCUAUCUGUUUCCGAUCAUAUUCUGUGAUUUCAAUCAGAAAAGUAUAUUAAAUAAAAAAUAUGAAGUUGUUUCUGAAUUGUUAGAGACUCAGAGGCAAAAGUUCAGCCAAACUUGUAUCUGACAAAAGUUAGAAGACACAACAUUGGAAAAGGUGCAAAGCCCUGGGUGUCUCCCCCAAAGGGCAAAGGUAUCAAGUUGUCAGUUAUAGAGGAACAAAGGAAAAGGAUUGCUGCCCAGGCGGCUACUACUGCCUAAUUUUUCUACUAUUAGCGUCUUUGGGAGGGUAACAUUUUACUUGCAAAACUAGUAUUAAGAUGUUGCAAUUUUUGAGUUGGGUUUAAUGUUUUAUUUGUCUUGUUUAGUUACAGUUUUGGACAUUAAAUAUUUGUGUUGGCGCGGUGAUUGCACUGCUAUCUAGAACCCUACAGUUACAGGUUUAAAAAAAAUACAUAUAGAUAUAUGACUAGUUUCUGAUAAGUAUCAAAGCUAAGUAUUACCCCAACGAGUCACUACUCAGAAGCAAAGUACCUAAAACAGCCUCCUGGAUCUGGCAGAGCAUUAUGGGAGCAAGAGAGGAGGUGGAGGAAGGUAUAAGGAGGAAGAUAGGAAAUGGGAGGAGCACAAUGGUAUGGGACGACAAAGGUGGUGGAAAAGGAGAAAGCAGAAGCAUUAGGUGAAUUCUUGAAGCUGACAGGAUUAGGAAAGAAGGCAUGACCUUUCUCUUGCCUGGUGGCAUUGGUUAGCUUCAAGAGGCCAUUUGGUGUGAUUUCAGCUAUGCCAUCCAGGCUCAAGUUUGACGACCGGAAUCCGUUGUAGGUGAUACUAAGGUCCUGGGAAGAUGCAAAGCCAGAUAGAGUGGAAACCACAAGCAGUAUAAGCUUGAUUAGAAUCAACAUGGCUAGCUAAUGGCUGAUACUAGCUUCAAGUUCUCUCCAAAAUCUGACAAUGGUUUUAAGUAUAUCCUUUGCUUGUCAAUAAGAUAUCAGCAGUAUUAAUUGACUCUCGCGAGAGAUUCUGAUUGCCGGGCCUGGCGGACAUUGAAAAUAUCGGAUGAUUGUGCCAAUGGCUGAUAAAAAACUUAUCAAUUUUUCCGGUCACUAUCAUUAGUCCAUCCAGGAACAGUCAUUGUCACGUGCAUACUGAUAUGUAAAUCCCUUAUCCGUACCAAAGAAUUAACUCAUGGCAUAUUAAUCUUAUUCCAUAAUAGUACCUAUUCAAUCUAGGUCCCUGCCUCCUUCGACUCGACAACAUUUAACAAGUACUUCGCAAGCCUCUAAACAAGAAUAGACUGAGAAGAAUGACAAAGUGAAAUGCACCAGAAUACCAAGAAAUUAGCCAAAACAAGGGGAACACACACACACACACAAGGCGAGAUGCAAAUAUAUAGCAGUUGGAGAAGCUAAAGUUGACCUUUCUAUUUUAAACCCCAUAAAUAAUCUGUUUAUCAUACUACAAAAACAUAUAGCAGAUCGAAAUCUUGUAAAGUUUUCAAUGAAUAACCAAUCAAACAACUAAGUUUUUUUAGCAGCGGAAGGUUUUAUUUUGUCAGUCUCUAGAUCAAAAAGAAGAAAAUUUUGCCAAAUGUACGUGUCAAAUUAAACCUAAUUGAUCAGCUAUAGUUGACGACGACCGUUUCCUAACUCAGAUUUCAGUUCUAUCGCAGUUUUUGGAUAAAAUAUCAAACUUGUCAUUCUCAAGUCUGAAUGGAAUUUAAAUCUAAACGGGGGAAUUCAUUAGGGGCAAACCAUUUGGGGGAAAAUUAGGGAGGCAAAAGAGAAUCAGCAUACCUUUUUUUGUAGACAGUUGCUGCUAAAUGUGGUCUUCUAUUUCAUCAUUUCCCAGCCAAGAUCGAUUAGCAGAUGGCGAGGAGAUGUUUCUUGGUUCUCGGCGAGGAGAUGUUUCCGGCAGAGAUGAGCAGUGUGUUUUUUGGUUCUCGGCAGAGAUGAGGAGCAGAGUGUGUUUUUUGGUUCUAAGUGUUGCUUGUUGGCUGUUGGCUCAUGGCUGGUAGCGUUUUGUUCGGUGAAUGACUAAACAUGACCGCGAGUUGUUGGUUUCACUAAGUGUUCAAGUCAAUUCCGCGCUUCUCCUCAAACUAUUGACUUUGAAUGAAAAUUCAAUUCCUUACAUUUCCCCCCCUACUCGUAUCAAAAUUUCAACCCAAGUUUUUUAGUUUUGAAUUAACAUUUUACUAAUAUAUUAUUACUUGCAACUUUUAAAUAUUUUUGUAAAAAUAUUCAUAAUAGGUAAUUUUUUUAUGACAUCAAACAGUUGAUCCCAUAUUAAUAUUGAUAUCACUUUCUCAAAAUUGUGAACUAAAUUACAACUUACUUAUCUUUCUUUUCAUUAUUUUUGCCCAAAACUCCAGAAUUUUUUUUAUUUUAUAAUAAGGAGAGAUGAUUUGUUUCAAAUGGUUAAUUUCACUUCAAAUUAUUGCACUAAUAUUAAUUUACAUGACAAAAUUUGAGUUCCUAAUAGUUAAAAAAAUCAUUAGAGAGCAAAAACAGAAUAACAAUUGGUUGUCACUAAUGACCAAAUUUCUUGUAAUACAUUUGCAAGAUAUAGAUUUAUGGGUAAUUUCUUUUUUUUUUUUGCUUUCACAUAUUUAAUUUAUGUUAAAUACAAAACCUACCAGUUUCCCUUUCAUAAAAAUAUUAGUGCAACACUUUUUGAAUUUUACUUACAAACAUUUAUGUAUUUAACAUAAAUUAAAUGAUUCAGAGUGAAAUGCCCAUAAAGAGCAGAAUAUUUGUUCAUGUAAUGGAGGAAACCCACAAAGAGUUGGUACUUUAUGGGCCAUUUCUUUUUUUAAAAAAAAUUUAAUUUAUGUUGAAAAGAUAACCUGCCAGUUUUCGUUUUGUAAGAAAUCAGUGUAACACUUUUUGAAUUUUACUUACAAACAUUUAUAAAUUUAUCAUAAAUUAUAUGUUUGAGAGUAAAAUGCCCAUAAAAAGUUGGUACUUUGAAUAGAUAAUGCUCAUUUGCCCAUAAACUACACUCCCUGAAGGCUAUCUUGUUAAUUACUUUGUAGUACUUUGUUAUUCCUUUGCUAAUACUACUUGGCAUGUAGUACAAAGGAUAAAUCUGACAUAAAUUUCUUAUUCCAUUGAUAAAAAGACCUGCCUGCCUUAUAACUAUUGUAAUGAAAGAUAUAUCUUUAGAGUUUAUAACAAAUUAUUACUUAAGUUUGAGAAAAUUAUAAAAUAUUUAUGCAUAGUUUAUCAAGAUACCAUUCGCAAUUUCCUAAUAAAAAAAUAGGGGCUAAAUUGUAAAAGUUAGGGUGCCAUAAUAGAAAUAAUAAAAUUGGUGUAUUACAUAUGGGGGUUAAAUUGCAAAAGUUAUAGUGUCAAAGUAAAAUUAAUGAAAUUGGUAAAUUACAUAUGGUGCUAAAUUACAAAAGUUAGGGAGUAAUAAUAGAAUUAAAGAAAUCGGUGUACUACAUAUGGGGCUAAAUUGUAAAACUUAAGGUAUCAUAAUGGAAUUAAUGGAAUUUUUUAUAACAUUUGGGGCUAAAUCGCAAAAGUUAGGGUGGCACAGUAGAAUUAAUGAAAGUGACUUAGAAAUAACUACUUUAAAUAGUGACGAUUAAUUCUUGUCACUAAAUCCGAAUCAAGAGAGUGACAGUGACGAUAUUAGAAGUUGUCACUGAAUAAAUCAUUUUAGUGACAACAUUUUCCAAGGUCGUCACUGAAGACACUGUCGCUUUGAGCAAUUAUGACAACUCUCCUUGUCGUCAAUAAACAUUUAGUUGUUUUGAUGGAAUUGUGACAACUUUAGGUGUCGCGACUAAAGAAUCCCCUUUUGUGACGAAAUAUUGUCAUUACUAAAAAAUGUUGUCACUAAUAACUUUUUUUAGUGAUCAGUGACGACAACAAAAAGUCGUCCGUAAAUAGGCCAAGCAAUAGUGAUGAUGUUCUUAAUGUCGUCACUAUUGUGUGUUCUAAACACUCCCGCCUUCUUGCUAAAUCUUGGCGGGAAUUUACUAGUGACGACUUAGAAGUCACAAAUGAGUUGCCUCCCAUUAAAGGUUUGUGACGAGUUAGAAAGUCGUCAAUAAAGGAUAGACUUUUGUGACAACUUCUUUUCGUCAAAAAGAAAAGUUGUCACUGAUGACCAAUUUUUGUUGUCACUAACUACACUAUAGUUUUAUUGACAAAAAUUGGUCGUCAAUAAACAUAAACAGUGACAACAACGAAAAGUUGUCAAAGAAAGUGGUAGAAUUACUGACAACUUUUAUCAAGUCGUCACUAUCGCAAAACUCGCGCCUUCCAAAUCCCAUGGCACGAAGUAGUUUUGUGACGACAAUUAAAAGUUGUCACUGAAAACUUAGUUGCUUUGAGUCAAUUGUGACAACCUUCAAAGUCGUGACUAAACAACCUCAUUUUGUGACGACUUUUUGUCGUCACAAAGAAAUGUUGUCACUAAUGACCUUUUUUCUUGUAGUGACUCAAUCCAUAAAUGGCUAGUGAACACCUUAUCUCAAUCAGACAGCAUACUCAGAGGUACCCCAUGUAGUUUACAGACCUAAUCCAGGAAAAUUCGAACUACUAUUGGUGCAUCAAAAGGGUGGGAUAGGCUGAUAAAGUGUGCUGACUUGGUGAACCUAUCCACUACCACCAUAAUAGUGUCCCUUCUCUUUGAUACUGGAAGUUCUUCAAUAAAGUCCAUGGUUACAUGACUCCAUGAGUACUGAGGUACAGUAAGUGGUUGCAGAAGGCCAGGGUAAGCAGUGUGCUCAUCUUUACAUUUUCUAAAUGUAUCGCACUGCAACACGGUUUCUUUGAUGUCCUUAUGCAUCCCUGGCCAGUGGAACCAUUGUUUAGCCCUCUGAUAGCUUGCCUGUAUUCCAAAAUGCCCUCCUAACUGUGAAUCAUGUAUUGCAAUAAUAAUUUUCUUCCUUACUCCCCCUUCUGUGCCAAUCACCAUCUUUCCUUUGUAUCUGAGCACACCAUCCUGAUAGGCGAAAACUGGUAGGCUAUCAGGGGUGAGCAGUAGUUGCUUGAUGAGAUCUUGUGUUUUUUCAUCCCCAUCAUAGCUUCCAAUUACUUCUCUUACCCACUUGGGAAUGACACAAACCAAUGUGGCACAGUCUCUUUCUUCCUUGUUGGUUCUCCUAGAUAGUGCAUCUGCAGCCACAUUCUCCUUCCCUUUUCUGUACUGAAUCUCGUAGCUCAGUCCCAACAAUUUGGUUGACCAUUUCUGUUGAAAUGUAGUGGUAACCCUCUGCUCCAACAAGUACUUCAAGCUCUGGUGGUCAAUCCUUAUUAUGAAGUGGUGUCCUUCCAAGUAGUGUCUCUAUUUAGCCACAGCCAUCACCAGGGCUAGCAGUUCCUUUUCAUAGAUGGAUAGUCCCAAGUUCCUAGGACCAAGACUCUAGCUCAGGAAUGCCAAGGGUCUCUUGUUGAUAUGUGAGACAGAUUUAAAUAUAUUGAACAAUCUUUUUUUUCAUGUUAUCCCACUAAUAUAACCCCUUUAAAUCCUGAUACAUCUUGUUACUAUCCGAAUGGAUCGUAUAUUUAGACUAGUAAGUUUCUUCCAAAUUUUUUUUUUCAAUGUUUCAUCCUUCAGUAAAACCACUCGGUUUCGAUAUCUCAAAAUCCCCUCGAGACUCAAAUUGAAAUCAAGUAAUUCCCCCUUUUGCACCUUUUCUGUCCGUUUAUGUACUGCAGAGUCUUUCUUCUGAGUUUCUUUGAUUCGAUCUAGUAGGGUGGAUCUCACUGUAAUAUUUCUGAACAACUUCUGGCGUUUAAGGCGACAAUUCCACUCACUAAUCUUUUCAAGCAUAGUUCAUUCCUUAAUCAUUAAUCCAGUCACUUGAGCCUUUCGAUUUAGAACAUCUGCUACUACAUUAACGUUUCCAAGAUGGUAAUUAAUCGUAUAAUUAUAAUCGUCUAAAAAUUUCACCUAUCAUCAUUGCCUAAUGUUUAGCUCCUUCUAAGAAAAUAAAUUUAAGACUCUUAUGAUCCGUAUAGAUCUCGAAAGUUACUUCAUAGAAAUAAUAUCUCCACUUUUUCAAAGCAAAAACAACAGCUGUUAAUUUCAAAUCAUGAGUCGGAUAAUUUUGCUCGUGAGCUUUCAACUUCCUAGAGGUAAAGACAAUCACAUUUCCAUUUUGCAUCAAUAUAUAUCCCAAUCCUUCCCUCGAGACAUCGAUAUAUAGUGAAACUGUCCUUUCUAUUAGGUAGAGUCAAAACUGGUGCCAUGAUCAACGGUUUUUUCAAUUCUUGAAAACUAAUUUCACAUCUACUAUUUCAAAUAAAGUUACCAUACUUUUUUGUCAGAUCAAUUAAAGGAUCGGCAAGUUUCAAAAAAUUUUUAAUAAGUCGACGAUAAUAUCCUGUCAGAUCUAGGAAACUAGGAAUCUUAGUAGGGUUUUCUGACCGUUUUCAUCCAAUAACAACUUCUAUUUUGGCCGGAUCUACUGCAAUGCCAUCUUUCGGAAUUACAUGCCCUCAAAAAGAUAUUUUCUCCAACCAAAACUCAUACUUACUAAACUUAGCAUAUAACUGGUGUUCUCUCAGAGUCGACAAUAUAAUUCUUAAAUGCUACUCAUGCUACUACCGGGUUUUAGAAUAAACAAGAAUACCAUCAAUAAAUACAACUACAAACCGAUUUAAAGAGGAUUUGAAAAUCCGAUGCAUCAAAUCCAUUUAUGCUGUAUGGGUAUUGAUCAAUCCAAAGGGUAUGACUGAAAAUUUAAAAUAUCCAUAUCUAGAAUUGAAGACAAUUUUUGGUAUAUCCACUUUCUUGAAUCGCAAUUGAUAAUACCCCUGUCGGAGGUCUAGCAUAGAAAACACCACCGCUCCUUACAACUGAUUAAAUAAUUCAUCAAUAUGUGAUAAAGGGUAUUUAUUCUUAAUUGUUAUAUCAUUCAACCCCCGGUAGUUUAUACACAGUUUUAAACUUCCGUCUUUCUUUUUAACAAAGAGUACUGGAACUCCUCAUGGAGAUCCACUUUCUCGAAUAAACUCUCGCUCCAAUAAAUCUUGCAAUUGUAACUUCAAUUCCAUAAAUUCAGCGAGUGCCAUUUGAUAUGGAGUUUUAGAGAUAGGUAUUGUUUCAGAUAAUAGAUCAAUUUUAAAUUCUAUCUCUCUUUCUCUCUGGAGGUAAGGUCACUAAUUCAUCAGAGAACACAUCCAGAUACUCCUUUAUUACCGGUACAUUUUCUAUCUUCAACUUAUCUGUCGGAGUAUUUAAUAGAAAAGUUAGGUAACCUUGCGCCCUUUUACUCAACAAUUUCCUAACCCGAUUACCCAAAAUAAAUGCAGAUGAGGCUAAUCUACCUCUCACGUCUAGUGUUAAGGUUGCGUCCCCAGAUAUGCGAAGUUCUUUCACUUUCUUCUUGCAAUUUAGUUGAACAUCAUAUUGAAUUAAUCAAUCCAUAUCUAAGAUGACAUUAUACCCCUUAAUGGUUAAAUUUAUUAAAUCUCUCAAUAAUUUUCUCUCUCCAAUCCAAAUUUCACAAUUCUUAUAAACCAUACUAGUGAUCAAACGUUCAUCAUCCAUAGGAGUACUAACUUCGAAAUCAUAUGACAAUCUAACAGGUUUUACAUCAAUUUCAUACAUAAAAUUAGGGUUAAUAAAAGAAUGGGUAGCACUGAAAUCUAUUAGAAUCUUAGCUAAAUGGUAGAAUACAGAGAUCAUACAUUUUAUAACCUCAAACGAGUCAGGGAGCUGGUGUUGCUCCAUUGCAUACAUCCGAAUCGGCACUUUCGAUCUAUUUCCUUCCACCUUUGUCUGCCCAGGGUUUGUCUUAUUUGAAUGCUGAGUCUCACUCUUCUCUCAAGGCGGGUCUAGACAAUUGACGAUCUGAUACUUGACACUUCCACAACGUAAACAUUUUUUUUCUUCCUCCAACAACUCUCUUAGUAUGGUUCGGCUUCCUACAGUAUCCACAGGAGAUACGGGAAGCUGAUGCCGAGCCUUCUUGUGGCGCACCUCUUUGUUGUCCUCUCUCGCCUUGACCUUCUCUUGACGGGGCUCCUCUGGGCGUCCCGGAAAGACUUAUUCCGUCUAUCUCUCUUCCAAAUUUAAGAGGUAUAUUUUUAUCCCCUUGUCCAAAGUUACUACUAGGCAUAUCUCGUUUCUUUGCUUGAAAAGAUCUAACUUGUAGCCUUGCACUUUCAACCCGCUAGAUUUUCUCCAUAACAUCACUAAAUGUAUUGAUUUGGGCUACUGCUAAAUCUUUCUGAAUUUCGACAUUUAGCCCUUGAACAAAGUGCCUUAUUCGCCUUUAUUCUGUUACUACUAGAUCAGGAGCAAACUUAGAUAGUCUGGUGAAUUGAGUUUCGAACUCCACAAUGGUUUGGAUUACUUGACGAAGUUUAAUAAAUUCGUUCUCCCUUUUCUCCUGAAUCAAAGACGAAAAAUAUUUUGCAUUAUACUCUCUGAUGAAAUUUACCCAAGUUCUUGGGGUUUGCUCUCUUUUCCAUUUAGUUCGUAUCACAUUCCACCAAGAACAGGCUACUCUCUCUAACUGAAAAUCAGCGAAGGCUACCUGCCUAUCCUCAGUAUAAUGCAAUGCUGCAAAGAUAUCGAUCAUUUUCUUCAGCAAUCUCUCGGCUAUAUCAGGGUCAGGUCCUCCCAAGAAUUUUGAUAGGGAGAAUUUUUGGAAUCGUUCGAGUACUCUAUCUUUGCCUUCUACAUAGUUCCUAGGGUUACUAGAUUGGUUAACAGGGUUUUGAUCUUGACGGUCCACUAUUUGUACUAGCAAAUCUAUCAUAUGUUGGAUGGCUGUGGCUACUUGUGUAUUGAGAUCGGUCCCUAGUUCGUGAUUUUGUUCAAUUACUGGUUCGUGAUUACCCCUUUGAUUUAAGGGUUGCCUGGGUCCACGCCCACGGGCUUGUCCACUAUGUCUACCCAUCAUUGAUUUUUAACAAGUCUAGAAUUGAAAUGCAGAUGCAACAAUUAAAAUACCUAGAUGAAUAAGCAAGAUGCAAGAAUGUAAACAAGUUAGAAAAUCAAGUAUAUUUAACACAACCCCUUUCAUACAUAUCAUACAGUAAAAGUCAGGUACAAACAAAAUAGCCCCAUUUACAUAAGUAGUAGGAUCAUAUCAAAAGUAUAGUGAACAAAAACUAUACCAAAAGGACAAGAACAUCCAACUAGAGGUUUCCUAAUUACCCCUCACAUAUGGUCAAAACAUGACUCAUUGGAGUUCUAACCUAAUUUCCAAUAGAGCUAGUAGAUGUUUUAUUUCUAGGGCCAUGAUCUACGUCAGCCAAAUUUACAUCCACCACCUCUCCAAGUAAAGUCCUACAUUCCUGCAAAAUGCCCUCGGUUUGGUCUUCUACCUCUCUUAGCACCCUAGUGAGAAGCUCAUUCACCAUUUGCACCAGCUGGCGCAUAGCAUCCGUACGUUCUUGCUCUUGACCAACAGUCUCUUGCAACUCCUGGAUUCUAUCCGCCUGCAUUUCCAUAAUUCCUCCCAUUCUUUCCAUCUCAAUUUGAUCCCUAAAAUUGGCACGCCUAAGUCUUCUCCUCUCAUCUAGCACCGUCAAGACCACAUGAUUAGUAUAGGAGUAGUUUUGGCAACGACUACAUCUACUAGUCUGACUUGCGGAACUCCAACGUCGGAUUGGUCCCCCUGACCUCUCCUCAUAAUCGAUAAUUCGAAAGCGCUUCCGAGACGCCUCACUUCCACCCUCUCCAUUGGUUCCUUCCAUGACCUACAAGGAUAAGCACAAUUUACAAUUUAGACAAGGUUAAUCAUACUUAAUGACAUCCUAACAUGUCACAUUAAAGUUCCUUAGAAUCAAAUUUUCAUUUUGCCCAGGCCAUUUCUAACCUAGACUCUGAUACCAAUUGUGACAGACCCAUCUGCUCUUAGGGCAUACCCUAAAGGUUAGCGGACUGCUUGUCCAACUCUCGCCAGGACUAACUAAUCCAAAAUUACCACAGGUACUAAAACGUACAACAUUACUUCAAAAUACCGCAACCCAAAAUUUUAUACAAUUCAAGGUUAAAGUACAAGUCAAAGGAUUCAAGCUUAAACAGUUUCACAUAAGGUUUACUAAUAUCGAUGAGUUUAAAAAAAAUGUCUAAAGUCUAGAGCUCGCUCCACUCUUCCCCAAAAUCACGUACCAAAAACUUUGCCCCUGUAAGGAAACAAAAGUGACAGGGUAAGUUUUUGCCCAAUGAGGUGCCACAGGUCAUGCAGUCGAAAUCACAUAGUUAGAACUUUAAUCUAUCAACAACAAGCAUCGAGUAAAAGAACAAAUAAAUACCACAACUAAUAUAGAGCGGUUCAAGUAAAAAGAUACAAACUCGUUGACACCCCAGUCACAUUAGCUUGAUCCAAACUCAUUGACACUCCAUUAACAUUUAGAAAAACAAAGAAAUAUUGAUCGUAGAUCCCCACUUUACACUAGUUUCUGUCUAUCAAACAUACUCCUUACUGAGUCCAAACUCCAAGUAGAAACAGUGUUGAUGGUAUUCGAGUAUACCAAUUAUCAGAAGUAUCCAGUAUUCAGUAAUUCAGUGACAGUUUUCCUCAUGGCCCGUCAAUCUACCUCGACCAACCCUUGCUGGUUCGAUCGAUUAACUACUAACGAGGUUUGAGCUCCAAUUCACAGUAAAGUUGUCAGAUAUUGGGCUUCGACUAGCAUCCAAGUCAUGCACAAGUAAUAGGUUUCAAAUAAACAGUAAAUCAAUCAAACAGUCAAGUGGAAUUGAGUGUGAUAAAGUAUACACCCGUCCAGUCCAGAUUAAACCAAAUCACAGUCAUACAACUCAUAAAUUCCAGUCACAAGUAGUUCACUUUAAGCAACAAGUCAUACAAGUGGUACACUUACCAGUUCAAGCAAAGCAACGUCAAAAGUUCAUCCUCGGGUUAUGCCCUUGAUCACCAACAAACUCUAAGAACAACCAAGAUAAAAAUAUUAUGGUUCAACCAUCCAAAACUUAGGUGAACUAAGGAAAAUCCAAGUAACUCCUAGUGCAAAGAUUCAAAUAUAGUUUUAGAAUGAAAAUAGAGUAUUUGAAACCAAGGGACAUGAGUAACCAAGGAGUUCCUCAUUCCAAUUCAUGGUUGGAAAUUUCCAGCAGCAAAAUAGUGAAGAGAAACAACCAAAUCUCGAGUUUAAAGUAGAACAAAUGAAACUAGAAAGCAUGCUAGAAGAAAUCAUUACUUUUCCUCUUGUUUUACACAUGGUUUUAUCCAAAUUUCAUUUUAUACACCACCACCAAGGUGAACUCAAAUAAUCAUAAGCAACCUAAGUCCAAACCGACCCAAAAUUACCCCUCUAACAUCACUCAUAUCACGAGAAAGAAAGUAAUAAAAAUUUCAGCAGCAUUUCCCCUUAUUUUCUUAACUUUCCCUUCCAAACUCAAUACCUAUAUUCAUAGCAAUCCAACCUCAAUCACAACCACAAAGUUAUAGGCUAUAAAGUACACUUAUUUAAGGUCACAAAGCCACCCAAAAUAGCAAAUUAUCUAACUCAAGAACAACCACAGUAAAGCUGGAAAAAUGUAACCCUAAACUGAAAUUUACUACUACAAGUUGAAAUUUCUUAUAAUGAAACCAAAAUAACAUAUAAAAGUUAGAAAAUUCACAUGGCAAAGCUACUAGGUCAUACCCAAGUUCAAUUCAACAUAUCAAAGCUAAAAUUUCUCACUCAAAACUUGAAUUUUCCAACCACCAUAAAAACCAUGAAAUUUUCCAUGUAAUCUACCAAAAUCAAGUUUUGAAUCCACUCAUAUGCAAGUAAUAAAAGAAAAGAUGGUUUCUUGAUAUGGUUACCUUAAAACCCCUAUGAAGAAAUGGAAUUCAAGAGCUUCUUCCUCCCAAAUCUCUUCACCAAAGUCCUUAAUUCUCCCUAAAUGUCACCUUUUAUGGUUUGAAUUGCAAGUUUAAGGUGAAAAACUCAAGGAUUCAAAUAAGAUUCAAGAUUGGAGUUGAAGUUUUUUCUCUCUUUUUCUCUCAAAGUGGGUCGGCCAAGAAGGGAAAGAAUGAAGGGUUGUUUUGGUCAAAUUUUGUUUUUAUUAAAGGCUAAGAAUGGUCUUAGUCAAAGUCAAAACUCCAUAGCUUUAGUGACAAAUGGCAUUCCAAGGUUAAUCCUCAUCUAAUUGUCUCCCAAAUGCUAAAAUAUCUAGUCAACCUCUAAUUACUCCUUAACACCUUGUAAAAUAAAAUUUCUUUGCACAAAACUCCUCUUAAUUUUCAAAAGUAUAUCACACAUCUCACUAGUGGGUCCUACUUCCAUAAUGCACUAUGAAUUUAACAUAUACUAACUUAUUGAAGAAAAAUGAUUUGAAAACUUGACUCACUUAUAAAAAUAUUUAAAAAAUUAAGACAAUAAAGUAAAGUAAAGAAAUGUAUUCAAAGAAAUAAAAUAAAAUAAAAAAAAUUUUUCAGAUCCUCACAUUCUACAUAUAAACAAACAUUUCUAAUCCCCUCAUAUUCGACAAAUGAAAAUGGCAACUCAUGCCUAAUGAUUACAUGAUAUGAAUCCUGUUAGAAACCAAACCCGUAUUUCACAAGCCACGGAUCUAGACGAACAAUACCUAAGAUUUGGCAGCGGAAAAUUUAGACCAAUUAAUUCUAGGGUUCACGAACAUGUUGAUAUAAUCUCAACCCGUAAUUAAUCGAAUUGAAGAACCAAAGUUGAUGGAUAGAAGGUGCCACAAUUUAACAUACUCUUGAAUUGAUAAGCCAAAUUUCUUGAACACUCAAGAUAACUCUAAAGUAUUCAAAGGAAUCAUUUCUAAGAACCUAGGAGAAAAUUCUCUCACACAUAAGUGUUUUUUUUUUUUGCUGGAAAUUCUUGAUUAAUUUUAUUAAUAAACAAGAUAAGCCUUUUAUAGGCCUUACAAGACUCAAAACCUAAUCAUACUAGCAUAACUAAUAAAUAACUCAAAGUUCUAAAAGGACAAGUUCAACAAUUCGGCUUAGACUUCUUCACAAGCUAGCCAAAUGGAAACUAACAAUAGAAAACAUACUAAAAACUAAAAUAACUACUAGUUGACUACCAAUUAUAAACAACUAGACAUAGACUACUCACGGCCUUAUUCUUAAGAAAAGUUGGCCGUACAAUUGAUAACAAUUAUAACUUAAUUAAACAUACUAAAAACAAGAAAGGGACCCGAAUUUUUGAAAUUCAAUGAAUCGGCUUCUUAUAUGACUAGAACAUGAACCACUGGAUCACCAGCUCAAAUUAUUGCAUACAUCAUUAAGUCUCUAAAUUUCUCUUGAUGAAUACUUUUCAAUCAGAAGUAAUAAGAUACUGACCAAUAUCUUUUGUUAUUAUCUUUUGACAUUUUAUUAUGUGUCUUUUAAGGUUGCCAGUCCCAUUUUUACUCUGUGCAGAGUAAAUGCAAUGACAUAUUUUGCAUCUGCACUUCAAUUCCUUAUUUGAUUUUGAAGUUAGGAUAGUAAAAUGAGCCCAAACUUCAAAGUUUAGCUUCCUUUUUUGUCUCCUUUGAGAAUAGGGUUAGGGCAUUGAGACUGAUUCAUAGCUAUUUUGUCUUUAACAUUGUUGUCACUACUACUAUCAUCAUCAACAUCAACUGGCCUUGGAUUUGUAUUAUUUGCAUCCAUCUUUUAACCAAUAAAUAGACAUACAUGUCAUUGUCUAUUCGUGUUAAAAUUUCUUUUAACAUAAAAACAAAAUUUAAAAGAUAACGCAUUCACAAACAAUUUGACAUUAUGAGUAGAUGAUGCUUGCAGCCACAAUUAACAACUACAUUUAUAUUAAUAUUUUCAAUGUAAAACACUUAUGUCAUAAUGUCAAAGCUUGAGACUAACUGACUAAGUGUUUAUUUUCCAGAAGUGCAUCACCAGUAUUUAGUAGUAAGAACACUUUGGAAAGUUAGACGACUAUUAAACAUUGGGAUAAUGACAUCAAUUGAAGAUACAGGAGAUCAUGACAUGUAAAUGAACAUCCAAAAGUGAGAAAAAAAGUCAAUCCUUUUCUUUUCAAGAAGAAAGAGGUUUUUUUGUGUAACUUUUGUUAUUUAUGACUCCAAAACCUAUGCAAAAUCUCAAGCAAAAAAUUAAAACAAGACAAAUUUCCUAUCCAAUUCUAUAAGAUUUUCACAAAAUGAAAAUAAAUCAAACUAUGCAGGAGAUGAAGAAAUGUUUAGCUUAAGCCAUUGGAGUAUCAGUAUAUCUACUAUUACUUCAUCUAUGCGACUGCUACUGUGCUACAUCACUGAAAGAAAAAAAAUAUGGUGAAAAGCACAUAAAUAAUCGAUUUGGGGUCAAUUUGAAUUGUUUUGGAAUCCUUCAAUAUUUGAUGCUUAAGAGAGAGUAGGAGGGUCAGAGAAGGGUCACACAAAUUCAGAGGCUAAGGCUUUCGGUCGGAGAAGAAUGAUUGCCACUAACUACUGAGUGUUGAGGGAGUCUGGACUCUGGAGAAGAAGGUAAGAAAGAGGUGUUCUGCACUGAGGUAUUCUGCCCUGCCAACUAGCAGCUGCUAGUAAGAGAAUAAGAGUCAUUUGAUAAUACAAUUCAAUAACUAAACUUAAUAAAUUCAAAUUUUAAUAUAUUCAAAUCAUUUGGUAAUAAAAAAAUUAAACAUCUGAAGUAAUUAAGGGGUAUCGAAUUUCCUAGGCAAAAUUUGUUUUCAAAAUUAAGUGAUAAAUCAUUCAUUGAAUGUGAUAUGUACUCAAAUGUAUUAAAUUUAAUAUUUAAUAAUUCAAUAAUUUAAUGGAUUCAAAUUUCAAAUUUUAAACUUCAAUUUAAUGGAUUGCCACUAACUACUGAGUGUUGAGGGAGUCUGGACUCUGGAGAAGAAGGUAAGAAAGAGGUGUUCUGCACUGAGGUAUUCUGCCCUGCCAACUAGCAGCUGCUAGUAAGAGAAUAAGAGUCAUUUGAUAAUACAAUUCAAUAACUAAACUUAAUAAAUUCAAAUUUUAAUAUAUUCAAAUCAUUUGGUAAUAAAAAAAUUAAACAUCUGAAGUAAUUAAGGGGUAUCGAAUUUCCUAGGCAAAAUUUGUUUUCAAAAUUAAGUGAUAAAUCAUUCAUUGAAUGUGAUAUGUACUCAAAUGUAUUAAAUUUAAUAUUUAAUAAUUCAAUAAUUUAAUGGAUUCAAAUUUCAAAUUUUAAACUUCAAUUUUAUGAAACAUUGACUCAGAUUCAAAUCAUUUUUUUUUAUCUAUCGAAUCUAACCCAAUUUCCACUCAAGCCCGCGAAAGCUCAACCCAAUUUUAUGUUAGAUUUGUUUCGUUUUUUUGAAGCUAUUAGGCUUGUGAGUUAAUUAUCCAAGAAUGGAGCCGAAAGAAAAAGUGGAAAAAUAAUGAUGGAAGCAGCGAAGGGUGAAAUCCCGGUGUUCAUGCAUCUGUGAUGAUAUCAAGCAGAACCAGGGCAAUGAAAUCGCACAGCGUUGGAAUCAACAAGAUAUAUUACCCAGUACUAGUAGAAAAGUAAAAUUGGCAAUGAAAUCAGCUCAAUAGUGAUAUAUUGAUUAAACAAGAUAGUUACAGAGUUGGCGAGAAAAGAGAAGAAGAUGAACAAGAAUGAAGGAAAAACUUGGGAAAGAAGCAAUGAACUGGGAAUGAUCCCAAUUGAUUUGAUUACACAAUAUUCUCUUGUACUAUCUCCCAAAUCCACCUAUAUAACGCUGCAGCUAAUAACUAACUCCUUAGCUCAUCCAAUCUAGUUUGGGCACGUGGCCCUUUGUGCCAAAUUCUGUUGCAAGACCACUUGCAGCUGAUCUCACGUUUUCUAAACUGAUUUCCAGUAAAGGCGUGGAUUUGACUCUCACGCCUUCUAUUGUGUCUCUUUAUCACAUUUCACGACUCCUCUAUGCAAAUUACGCCUUCAGUUUGUUUCUUCAGUUUCAACUUCUACUUCAUGACAAUUGCUUCUCUUUCAAUCAAUCUUGUCCUCAAGAUUGGAAUUCAGGGAACUCCCUCUCGAUUUUUUCUGCAUCUUCCCACGUGGGCUUCGGCAGGAGUGGUUCCCCACCAGUGGAUGAGCCACUGCACAGCUACUGCAUUUUUCUUCUUGAUGAUUCUGCGAUCCUCUUGGUGUUGCCCCUUAGACCUUGGGCCAAAGUACUUAGCAGACAGCUUGGUGUUGCCCCUUAGACCCAUAGAUGUUUGCCUAUAUGGCUGUAGCCUUAAGUAGACCCAAUCUCCCACACUGAAUGUUCUCUUGCUCAUAUUCUGAUCAGCAUAUAACUUCAUCCUAUCCUGUGCUUCUUGCAAGUUCUUUUUUAGCAAAUCAUCCAACCUCCGUCUGUCUCUCAAGUGAUCUUCUACUGCUGCCACCUUGGAGUGAGAGUAGUGUUCUAGUGCUAGCUAAGAAUGGGCCAUUCCAUAUAAGGCCUCAAGUGGACUUAUGUGCAUAGCUGUAUGAUAUGUAGUGUUGUACCACCACUCUGCAAGGAAGAGCCAGGCAUUCCACCUCUUAGGUUCUAGAUGUGUCAUACAUCUCAAAUACAUUUCUAGCACCUGAUUUACCCUUUCAGAUUGACCAUCUGUUUAAGGGUGGUAAGCAGUGCUCAACUUUAGAUCAGUCCCCAGCAACGUGAAUAACUCAAUCCAUAAAUGGCUAGUGAACACCUUGUCUCAAUCAGACAGCAUACUCAGAGGUACCCCAUGUAGUUUACAGACCUAAUCCAGGAAAAUUCGAACUACUAUUGGUGCAUCAAAAGGGUGGGAUAGGCUGAUAAAGUGUGCUGACUUGGUGAACCUGUCCACUACCACCAUAAUAGUGUCCCUUCUCUUUGAUACUGGAAGUUCUUCAAUAAAGUCCAUGGUUACAUGACUCCAUGAGUACUGAGGUACAGUAAGUGGUUGCAGAAGGCCAGGGUAAGCAGUGUGCUCAUCUUUACAUUUUCUAAAUGUAUCGCACUGCAACACGGUUUCUUUGAUGUCCUUAUGCAUCCCUGGCCAGUGGAACCAUUGUUUAGCCCUCUGAUAGCUUGCCUGUAUUCCAAAAUGCCCUCCUAACUGUGAAUCAUGUAUUGCAAUAAUAAUUUUCUUCCUUACUCCCCCUUCUGUGCCAAUCACCAUCUUUCCUUUGUAUCUGAGCACACCAUCCUGAUAGGCGAAAACUGGUAGGCUAUCAGGGGUGAGCAGUAGUUGCUUGAUGAGAUCUUGUGUUUUUUCAUCCCCAUCAUAGCUUCCAAUUACUUCUCUUACCCACUUGGGAAUGACACAAACCAAUGUGGCACAGUCUCUUUCUUCCUUGUUGGUUCUCCUAGAUAGUGCAUCUGCAGCCACAUUCUCCUUCCCUUUUCUGUACUGAAUCUCGUAGCUCAGUCCCAACAAUUUGGUUGACCAUUUCUGUUGAAAUGUAGUGGUAACCCUCUGCUCCAACAAGUACUUCAAGCUCUGGUGGUCAAUCCUUAUUAUGAAGUGGUGUCCUUCCAAGUAGUGUCUCUAUUUAGUCACAGCCAUCACCAGGGCUAGCAGUUCCUUUUCAUAGAUGGAUAGUCCCAAGUUCCUAGGACCAAGACUCUAGCUCAGGAACUGCAGGGGUCUUGCAUCAGUACAGCUCCCAUCCCUUCAUAGCAGGCAUCAGUCUCAAUCACAAAUGGUUUAGUAAAGUUAAUUAGUGCUAGUACAGGUGUGCUACACAUUGCCAAUUUCAGCUUCUGAAAUGCCUCAUCAGCUUUUGCAUUCCAUUGGAAACCAUCUUUCUUCAACAACAUAGUGAGAGGUUUUGCUAUAGUUCCACACCUCUUCACAAAUUUCCUAUAGUACCCUGUCAGCCCUAGAAAUCCUUUCAAUUGCCUCACAGUAGCUGGUUUUGGCCAACUCAUCAUGCUUACUACCUUUUUAGGGUCAGCCAUCACCUCCUGAUCAGAGAUGAUGUGUCCUAAGUACUCUACUUCUGUUUGAGCAAAUGAGCACUUGCUUUUCUUAGCAUAGCGCUAGUGCUUCUUUAGGAUGUUCAGUACUACUGCCACAUGCUCUAGGUGACUAUCCAAGGUGGGGCUGUACACCAAGAUAUCAUCAAAGAACACCAAAACAUACUUUCUUAGUUGUUCCCUAAAAAUAUGGUCCAUGAGACUCUGAAAAGUGGCUGGAGCAUUAGUCAGCCCAAAUGGCAUGACCUUGAAUUCAUAUAAUCCUUGGUGAGUUCUGAAUGCUGUCUUGUGCCUGUCUUCCACCUUGACCCUGAUUUGAUGAUAGCCAGCCCUCAGAUCUAUCUUGAUGGAGAAUUUGGACCCCUGCAGUUCAUCAAUCAACUCAUCUAUCAAUGGCAUAGGGAAUUUGUCCUUUACUGUUAGCUCAUUGAGCUGUCUAUAGUUGACAGAGAACCACUAGCUUCCAUCCUUCUUCUUUACCAACAAUAUUGGAGAUGCAAAAGAGCUGUUGCUGGGCUAAAUGAUCCACAUUUGCAACAUUUCCUUGACCAAUUUCUCUAUCACACCCUUCUGCAUAUAUAGACAUCUGUAUGGCCUGUUUUGAAAUGGAGUUGCUCCUUCCUUCAGUGGAAUGGCAUGGUCAUGACUCCUGGCUGGAGGCAUGCCUUGUGGCUUAGAAAACACUUCCCCAAACUGGUUCAGCAGUUCCUUCAUUUCUGCUGGCAUCUGCUCAUAGCCCAACUUUUCCUCUUCCACUACAUAGAGUUGGGCAGUGAUUCCAUAUGCUUGCUUCCUCCUCCAUUUAGCUAGUUUACUCCCUUUGACAAGUUUCAACUUAAGCUUUUCUACUUCUCCCUUCAACUCCACUGGUUCUUUUCCUUUCAGGAACUUCAUAGUCAGCUGUUUGAAAUCAAACUCAAUGGGACUAUAUUUGGCCAACAAGUCAACGCCAAGCACCAUGUCACAGCUACCCAAUCUAAGUGUAUUGAAUUGGUGAUGGAAGUCCUGCCCUUGUAUGCCCCAUCCCAUCAUCUUUUGUAGUUAUCUAGAUUCUUCAGCAUUCCCCUUUUGCUCCUCAAGUGAGUUACCAGAAUCAACAGGCUCAUCCACCACUAUGAAGUGCAUAUGAGCCUAUUUGCAAAUAUGCCUCAAGGUAUAAGUUUCAGCACACUUGAAACACAACCCCUUUUCCCUCCUAUAAUUGAAUUCAGAAGGAGUGAUUCCUUUAAAUUGGUUGGCUGAGUGAGUCCCUAUCUUGGUGUUCUUAUGGGAAAUGAAUUCUGGUUUUUGGUUGUUAGGCCACUUCCCCUUAUUUUGUGGGUUAGAGGUCUGUAAAUGAGUUGUGGUGGGAUAUUUUUGGAUGAUUUUUCCUAGUGCCUUCCUAACGGCUUCUUCUAGAUUUUUUUCCUGCAGUUUAGUACCUUCAAUAGCAUCUGCUACGGUAAGGGGCUUGGUCAUCCUAACCAUGCUAACAAUCUCAUGUGUCAAGCCGCUAAGGAAACAAGAUCUAUAAUAAAAAUCAGGUUGUCCAGGAAGGGAGGACAUUACCAGGGACUUCAGCAGCUCAAACUUUUCCAGGUAAUCUAUUACACUACCAAUCUGCACCAGUUUGUUGAACUCCACUAUAGCCUCCUCUGGAUCUCUUUCUCUAAACCUUUCGCAAAUAGCCAUUGCCAAUUCCUUCCAGGGAACUGCUUCUCUUUCAUGGUACAUGCCAUGGAACCAGAUAUCUGCCUUGUCUUUAAGGUAAAGCUGAGCAAUAUCAGAUUUCAAAUCUUCCUCUACUCCAUGGAUCUGGAAGUACUUGUUAGCUCUCCUAACCCAUUCCCUCGGAUUGACCCCAUCAAACAAGGGAAAGUCCAUCCUAGCCAGUUUAGCUCCCCCUCUUCCUUCUGUUUUCUCAUACUUCCCAUUGACCACUUCCACCAUCUGGUCAUUUCUAGUGCUAUUUCCCUCUACUUCCUUCCCUUUAUCGCUUAGUUUGGACAUAAUCUGUGCCAUCAUAUUCAUCAUUCCCUCAUAUUUUUGGUCCAGAUUCUUAAUGGCUUUUUCUAUGCUCUCCUGCCUAUGCUCCAUUACUCUUACUGUCUGCUCUAUUCCAUCAUUCCUGUUGGCAAAUGUCCUCACGACACUUCCCAGCUCGGUUAGAUCCUUCCUCAGCAUUUCAUCUUGAGUCUUAGUCAUCCCAAUGGCUCGUGGUUGAGCUCUGAUACCACUGUGAUGAUAUCGAGCAGAACUAGGGCAAUGAAAUCGCACAGCAUUGGAAUCAACAAGAUAGAUUUCCCAGUACUAGCAGAAAAGUAAUAAUUGGCAAUGAAAUCAGCUCAAUAGUGAUGUAUUGAUUAAACAAGGUAGUUACAAAGUUGGCGGCAAAAGAGAAGAAGAUGAACAAGAAUGAAGGAAAAACUUGGGAAAGAAGCAAUGAACCAGGAAUGAUCCCAAUUGAUUUGAUUACACAAUAUUCUCCUAUACUAUCUCCCAUAUCCACCUAUAUAACGCUGAAUCUAAUAACUAACUCCUUAGCUCAUCCAAUCUAGUUCAGACACUUGGCCCUUUGUGCCAAAUUCUGUUGCAGGACCACUUGCACCUGAACUCAGGUUUUUUGAAGGUGUGGAUUUGACUUCCACGCCUUCUAUUGUGUCUCUUUAUCGCAUUUCACGACUCCUCCAUGCAAAUCACGCCUUCAGUUUGUUUCUUCAGUUUGAACUUCUACUUCUCUGGGGGAUUGCCGGAAGUUCAAUAUCACUGGUGGUAGGGAAACCAUGGAGGCUCUCUGACUUUGCGGGAGUCUGAAGCAAAAAAUCCCGGGCAGUGUGAAGCAAAAUCUGAAUUGUGGGCUUGUGUUUGCGGCUGAUGACGGUAUUAUUGUCCACCUGAGUCUUCCGCCCAAAAAAGGUGACCCUCCUAUUAUCCCUGCCUCAUCAUCUACUUCACGUUUUGCUUCUGCUAACUUCCGUACCACUCAAAACGAGUUUUGGGUCGAGGGUGAGGGUAGGGCACUAGAACUCGAGAAAGAAAUGGAGGAGACUGAAGUUGCCGUGGUCUGGAGCUUAGGAUUGAUGAUGCUUGAGUUCGGAUUGGGUUUUGCCCGCCAACAAUCACCCGGAGCUGCUUAAUUUGGUAGGGAAAAAUCAGAACAGGGGAGUGGUCUGGAGGCAGGUUACUCCGUGCUAGCGACCUAAUUGAUAUUGAUGGUCAAACUAGAAAGAGGCGGAAUUUGGGGUAGAAUCCCUCUAAGAAUUUGUGUUUCUCGCCACUAUUUCAAGAAGUAAUCAGGUCCUUGAAUUCCAACCCUGCUGGUAGACCUAGUUUGGAAGAAAUAUUUCAAGGUGAUUUGUUUAAGGGCUGUAAGCCAUUUGAAAAGGUUGUAGGGAAAAUCUUUUAGGGGCGUGUCUUUGAUGGUAAAGGCAUCUACAAACUGGGGAAAAUUCUUAGCUACCACGGGGAAUCUCUGGUUUACCAGACCAAGUAUAAGCCCAUCAAAAGCUCUGAUCACUAUGUGGCUUUGAAGGUAAUGGAGAAGGAGAAGUCUGCUCCAGAAAUCAGUUGAGAUCAGUGUGGAUGCUAAUUCCCAUCCAUGUAUCGUCGGGGUUAUAAACAAAUUUGCAAGUGGUGCAAGUUAUUGUGUCUCCAUGCCCUUGUUUGAUGAGGGUUCAUUGAGGCUUCUUUCAAGGACUUGAUGAAGUGGUGGUCGGCCUGAGGAUUGAAUUGCCCUGGUUCUGAAAGGUCUUCGUUUCCUCAUCAUAUGGUUUUCAAACGUGUUAGUCCAGACCAUAUUUUGUCUGUAGGAAUCCUUUAUGCAUUGCUUUGGGUCAUGAAGCCAACUCAGUGUCAUGCUUGGAAUUCUGACAAUGCUAAAAAUUCGGUGAUGAAUUCAACGAUUGAUGAAUUCAGUCAUAUAUCAGAAUUCUACGAUGCUGGGGAGGCUUAUUCCUCCAAGGCUGACAUAUGGCUCCUCAGAUUAGCUGCUUUGGAAUUGGCCUAUCACCGCAUCCCUGUCAAGACAUGAGCAGGCUUAAUGGCUUUAACCUCAUACAUCAAUCAAAACAAUUGUUAGCCUAAUUUAUAUAGCCUGAUGGAGAUAGGCAAUGAUAUUAGCAGGACUGAAGCACCGCUUGUCGCGGGAGAAACAAGACAGUUCACCAGCAAUUUCAGUAACUUUUGUCAGCGUAUGCCUCCAUGAAAAUCCAGCACAAAGACCGUUAGCUAUCCAGCUGUUGGAACAUCCAUUCUUGAGAAGUUGUACUACUCUUGAAUGUUUCGAUAAGGUGCUUAAGUAAUAUGGCCAUUUUGAAGCUUCUCCUGCCCUGGGUUUGCUUGAAAUAUUUUGUGUUUCGACUUAUUGUUUUUGAUGCUUAAAGGUGCUUAAGUAAUGUGGGAAGUUUGAAAUUUUCUCCUGCCUAUGUUAAAAAUGAGAAAUUUCAUAUUUUCGGCGCACUGUUUUUUGUACUCUUUUAAGUUUAUCUUGCUUACUUUUUGACAUCCUUUUGUGAAAUUUAAGUAUUUAAUUUUUUUUUAAAAUUUUGCGUUAAUUAUUCACCUUUGGAAAUUGAGAAUGCUUGGAUGUGGGUGUUACAACAAAAAAUUUUUGGGGCUGCUUCUUCUCAAAUUGUUACUUGGGUACUUUAUUUUUUACUGCAUUUGGUUUUGCAGGUAAAAUUUUCAUAGGAAGGGGAAAACUAAAAGUAGAAAUGCCUUUAAUAAUCAUUUCACUAGUCGAUAAUUCCUUCAGAAUGCCAAUUGACACUGGAUGUUGAAAUUUUGAAUGCAUAAACCUACUUUACUGAGAGGCAAUUGGUGACAUUAUGUUUACUGAAGUGAUUCUUUGCACUGCUACAGAACGUACGAACUGGUUAUAAAAACCAAAGUGCAUUGAUAGCCUCUGCUCGUUUCCUAACUCGUAAGACCUAGAUUUGCUUCAAAAAAAAUUUUUUUACCCUCAACUUUCUUUCAAAAUUUACUUAAGUGUAACUUCUCCAACAAAAGCUAUACCAACACGGAGAGGAAAGAAGUGGAGAAUACUUUGAAAAUGACUGACUCAGUAAUGCAGUACAAGUUUUUUUACGUGUUUUCUUUUGAUGAUUUUGCAAGUGGAAGGUAUGCUUUUGUUGUUUUUUCACAUUUUUAUCAUUUUCGGCACUGACGGACUCUGUUAUUGCAUCUAGAUAAUCCACCUAAUUCUAUACUAAAAUUCUAUGCAGUUGUGUUUUUCUUCUCCUCCUCCACAAAUCUUUUUUUCUUCCCCCCCCCCCCCCUCUGUUUCGAACUUAUGCCUAAUGGUAUGCCUAACUUGCGACCUUUGUAAUGAUAUGGCCUAUUUCUUAAUGUCAAUUUGCUGGCACCUUCAAGCAAUCUCAAGUUCUCAAACAUUACUAAAAUCUUUUUAUUUGCUACAAGAUCAACAGUAUGUGCAAAGAAAAAGUGGAAUAGUAUCAGAGAGUUUGUCCAAAAUUGUCUUAUUUCUGCAGCUCUUUUGCGGAAUAUCCCAUUCUGCUGGAGCAGCAGACCUUUUGGCAAAAAGUCCUUGUGGCUUCAAUGUUUUGGAGCAAUUAGUCUUUCCAGUCCUUCUUUUUUGCAAUAUCUGCUGGAUUUGAAUUCUACUUAACAUCCUCAAGAAAGAAGGACAACUUGUAGUUUCCACUCUAGACAUGUAUUAUUGAGGUUAACGUUAGUCUGUUUUAGUUCUUUGAUGCUUGCUAAAUUGUGUGUUCAGUGCUUUGUACGGUUGUAUGACUUUCUUCAAGCAAUCUGUGCAUUGUUGUUUCUCAUUCAGAAAACUUGCAAUCCUUAAUAGUUGUAAGAAAUGGAUUUUCUGUCUCCUGAUUUCAAUUAAAUAUGUAUGUAUGUGUAUCUAGUCUUUCAAAAUGGAGCUUCUGAAGUAUCAGCAUAUUUUACACUUGUAGACACUAAUUCUGGAAAAACUAGAGAUAAAUAUAUAGCGAGUCAGGAUUUGUUGUUUUUUCUUUCAUCCUUGUAGUCACUGUGCUGGCAACUUCCAAAGUCUCAUGAAGAGCUUAUUGUUUCCUAAAUUAUCCAUUAUGUUUGACAAUUGGCAGUGUUUCAACUUGAGGAUAUGCUCUGGUAUCUUCAGGGCUUUAGUCUAGAUAUGUAUUGAACACUUGCAAUAGCUUCAACUUGAUCCAUUUUUUUGACAUGCUGGCUUUCAUUGCAUGGAAACUUGAAUUUACUUGGUUUAAUUUUAUCAAAAGUUUGUCAGAGAAGUUUGUUUUAUCUUUUUAGUUGAUAUAGAUGACAUGUGCUAUGUUGAUGAAUGCACAUCAUCAGUUGUAUCGGCUCGUAGAGAGCAUGCUUGGAGCAGGCUGAUGACUCCUGUUAGAAGUUUUUGGAACUAUAUAGGGUACAUACCUCAAAUAUGAUACUUGAUAUGUGCCCUCUUAAAGAGUCCUUGAAUAUUGCGUGUUCUGUGAAAGAUGCAUAUAUCAACAUUAUAAUAUCUUGACUGUAUGUUAGCAUCAGCAAUGUAGAUCUUGAAAUGUGCAAUUAUAGAAGAAGUGGUUUAUUACCUCGAUGAAGAUUUAGUCUUUAUAGCUAGCACCUUACACAACGCAAGUAGAAAGCCAAAUGGAAAAUCAUAGAGUUUUACCUAUAAAAACCUAAGUGUUCACAGUGACUGCAGAAUGCAGCGUUCACUGUAAGUGUUACUUUUCUGCCAGGAGAUGCCUGAUAAUUUGCAUUACUGACUUUGAGUGUGUUAUAUGUACAGUUAUGAAUGUACACAUAAAAUUCCUUUAUUGUGUCAAAUAUUCUUUAGCUACAAUUUCAGUGAGAAUCCACUCCCAGACUUGGUGCAGAUGUCGUACAUUUCUUUCUGUGCAUGAUAUAUUUGGUUCAUUAAACUGCAAGACAUCUUAAUGUAUUUUGGCUUCAGAAUUCGCAAUAAAUUGGCGUUAUGGUAACGAAUGGUUAAUGAAUCUAUUCAAAUUAAUCAGCAUGUUUUGUUGUGGCUCACAUUCAUAAAUCAACAGGAUACCACUAGGGGUGUCCUGGCAUGUAGCUCACACCAUCAGAGUGACACAGCCGAGCAUUAUUUCUCAAAUUUUGUAGUGAAAGCGAGAUUGCUCAAUCUCAAAUGGUUCAAUUGAGAAUAAUAUAAAUGUGCAGAAAUAGAAAGUGGUAACUUAGAUUUGUAUUUUUGACGAGUGCACUUUAAGUUUUCAGUCCAUACCUUAUGCUUACGAUUUUCUUCCAGCUUCACAAUGUCCUGACUUCUGGGCCUUUAAGUUUCUGAAUAUUUAACCAAAAACUGAUGCAUAGAUUUCUUGUUCCACCAAGUGUUUUAGAUCCUUGCACUGAUUCAUAUUUGGCAAGAUUUCUACAUAUUCUUUGCUUAGAAUUUUUUUUCUUCCUGAAGCUCAAAAGUUUUGGCCAUCAUUUUGUAGGUCAAUGGAUGCAACAUAAUUGAACACUCAAUUACACAGGACGAAAUUCAAUACGAUUCAGGGACAUCCCCAAGGCGUUCAGCCCUGGAAAUGCAAAGAUGUCUACUUGAGUGAGAUUCACAUUAAAGGCAAAGAAACACUUUUCCCCUUUCAUGUGGCCAGUCGUAGCAUCCAAGGGAAGGCAUUGGUAGAAUGCAGAAGUGACAAAAAUGUCAAGAAAAAGACGAGGUGAAUACUAAGAUUAUUGUAGGAAGCCGUGCUCAAGAAUGAUACGAUUUUUAGCUCUCUGGUUGCUAGGAAUUACGUAAGUUGGUAUAUAUGUCCCAGGGCAAGAAUGAUAGAUGUAUUUACGGAAGACGAGGUGAAUACUAAGAUUAUUGAAGGAAGCCGUGUUCAAGAAUGAUACGAUUAUUAGCUCUCUGGUUGCUAGGAAUUACGUAAGUUGGUAUAUAUGUCCCAGGGCAAGAAUGAUAGAUGUAUUUACAGAAGCCCAUAUGGGCGGCGUUGGGGCAACUUUUCAAAUAUGGCUGCCAAUUAACGUAGGCUGUGGUGCAUGCAUGGAUUGGAUAUCAUAUCAGCCUGGGGUUGUUUUUAUUCGGAAAAAAAUGGAUUGGUCUGUAUCUCAUUACAUAUUUGUUUGGUAUGUGCUUAACGUUGUGCAAGUUAUCAAAUAAGCAAUCGUUUGGUACUUUUUUCUUCAAUUAGAUUAGUCUGUAUCUCAUUGCAUCAUGAUUUAAAAUGGCCCUCGUUCCUUCAUUUAGAUUGAGUCGAUCGUGAGAUUUAACUCCUAGUUGAAUUUGAAGCUCUCAAUUCUCUAGUUUGCCGUUCUCAAUUAGGAAAAGAAAAAUAAUGUUGUGAAGUACUCCUCUCACUGGAGUCAUACAGCCAUGGCUCCCAGAUGACAAAAGCAAUUACACAGACAUUUCGUCAAAAUGACAAAAAUAUAGCAAUUGUAUACAGCUCAAUUAUCAGGAAAAGGAAGAGUUUUGAAUGCUUGCAUGGGGCAAGAAGUUGAAAUCUUACUCGAACUUGUAAAGCUUCAGAGAGAGGAAAAAAUGCAGUAGAAAACUCCAAUUUUGUAACCACAUCGAGUCAAGAAUUUUAUUCAGUACACUAACCAGUUUCAUCACGCAAGUAAACUCAAAUGCAUGUAAAUAAUAAAUUUGAAGAUGACAGCUUUAAUCUUUUGUUAUUGUUUGCAGUUAAUUAUAUGUCUUUUUAGUUUUAUAAUUUUGAAGAAUACUGUUUCUAUGCUUAGUUGUUAUUGUUUCUUUUUAGUUUUAUAAUGAUGAUGAUUACUGUUUAUAAUUAUGUUGACAAUUAUAUUUCUUCAAAAGACUCAAGAGUGUCAGAAACUAAUUAAAGAAAAUUCAAUGGGCUUGCAAUGGAGUGUUUUUCAAAAACUAGUUUUUCAAAUAUAAUUUCAAUUUUUAAAAAGUACUCUAAAAGGUAAUGUAAAAAUUAGUUUAAAAUUUUCAAAGAUAUCUUAAAACAUAUUUUAGAAACUCUUUUACUCUUAAGAUCCCAAAAUAUUUCAAAAUAUAAUCUAAAAACUCUGCUACAACAAAAUUUUUCAAAAAUACCCCAAAAACAACUAAUCCAAACGGAGAGUUAGUUUUUCUGCUUCAAAAACAAAUUUAGGAUUUGAUACUUAGAAAAUUGACUAAAAGGGAUUACAUAGUAAUAAGACACAUGCCAUCAUACUAUAUGCUGCAUCACUAUCAAUCAUGCACGUUCAACCAAAUAAGUGAAGUAAUUUUACCAUGUUUGGAACCCACCAGACAAAUUAAUAAUUCUAUUUUUCGUUGUCAAACCACCUAUCUCAAAAUCAACAAAAUUAAAAAUGGCAUGACGACUAUAUUGAGUAGAUGCAUAAAUGGUUUUUCAAUUUCACUUGGUUAUAUUUGGAACAGUAUAACAGUAUGGACCAUAUUGAGUCUAUUCCGUCGUAAAGAAGGCACGAGGGUCGUCCACGAAUGCGGGUCCAAUUAUGUAUGUGCAAUACACGGCAUUGAAUUGUACAUAUCUUUGAAUUCGGUAACAAUAAUUGGAUUUUAUAAACAAAUAUUCAAUAAGAAGUAUAAGCUACUAGGGUUGGCCUAGUUAAGGGAAGAAUUUUAGAGUUUUUUCUAUUAUCAAGGUCAGAAUUUGAAUUUUAUGUUUAACAAUUGAAGAUAAGAAGACUGUGGAGAGGAGUGGAAAGGUAAAAGGAAAGAAAAAAAAAUAAAGAAGUGUGUGUGCUCGCAUGUAUAUAUACACACAUCCACACACACAUAUAUGCGCACACAUGUAAAGAAAUGAUAUAUUUUAGGGUAAAUUACAUUUUAGCCGCCUGUGGUUUUCGCAAAAACCACAUAACCCCCCAUGAUUCAAAAAGCUAUACAUAAACUCCCUGUGGUUUGGGUUGAACUGUCAAAUAGACGGAAAGCAUGAAUCGUGAUGAUUCGUGGUCAAAACGCGCUGAUUGUACUGAUAGCAGUCAAAACAUUCCUAAAUUACCCCUGUCAGUUUUAAAGCACCCAAUAAAGCUUAGAUCUGUGGUCCUCAUCUCUUUCCAGCUUCCGAAUGUAAUUUGCAGCUGACUUUCCACUGAAUGUUGGUGAAGACAAUACAUUUAGUGAAGAAACCAAACCAAGAUAGAGAAUGAAGGAAAUCUGAAGGUGAGUUAUAACAUCAAGGUGCAGUCUUUUCCUUUUUCCGGAUUACAAAGUUGGGUAAAAAAAAAAUAAAUGUAACAAUAAAACAAUAAAUGGAUCGUUUUUGGCAUUGCAUGAUUAAGUGAGGGGUGGCGGUUUUGCAGUUUUGCUGGUUAAAGGAGAUCUAAGCUCCCGUAGUCUUCUUUCCUCAGAAAGCAACCUUGCGAACCUACAACAGAUGGGAAGACAAAUAAGUUAUACUUUACAAAAAUUACUCAAGGUUGUAAGAUUAGAGAAAUUGAGCCUGGUUACAAUAUUGCACAAAUUAGAUAUAUUGAAUUGCUGAGUAGUUUUUGUGCGUGAAGGAGCUAGAUGCUCAAGCCUUUGAUUUUUUUUUAAAAAAAAGAACAUUCUUUUGAUAGACUAAUAAUUUGUAGCAAGAAAACUGCUGAAGAGAAUCAAAGCCUCAAUUAUAUGACUGAAAGAAUAACAUUAUUGGUGAAAUUAAUAGUUGCAAGAUUGAGUCCACACCUUUUAGUGCAUCUUAUAUGUUAAACUGAUGUAAAAAAACUUACCAGAUGCAACAAUAGCUUUCGUGAAACUCUUCCACUGCUACUUUUUGAUCUUCAAUGGUAGAUCUACGGUUUUAAUUUUGUGGGUUAAAUUUUUUUCUCUUUCAUUCGGCGGUUAUAUUUUUCUCUCUCUUUCUCACGACAAAGACCAGAGCAUCUGACUUCAUCUGCUUCCCUUUUGUAUUUAUAUUAGGGUAAUUUGGACAUUUUAUCCACGAAUCGUCACGAUUCAUGCUUUCCGUCUAUUUGACAGUUCAACCCAAACCACAGGGGGUUUAUGUAUAAUUUUUUGAAUCAUGGGGGGUUAUGUGGUUUUUGCGAAAAUCACAGGAGGCUAAAAUGUAAUUUGCCCUAUAUUUUAGUAACCUAGUUCGUGUAUGUUUCGAGUGCAAGUUUAUCAGGAAAAAUUUUUAGAGUAUUUUCUUGACAAAUUUCUGAUUUACCUCUUUACCUUAUAAACAUCACAUUGUAAAAUGUAUUUUUUCUAAAAAAAAAAUUCCUAUUCUAAUAGAUCCAGUUCUUAUUUUUUCAAAAAAUAAAGAAAAAUUUGUAUUGCUAAAAAUGGGUGAUAGAAGAUGCUUAAAGGGCAGAAAUGGAACUUUGAACAUUUUUGAAUGGAAGAUUCAAUGCUGAUUGAGACCUUAUAAAUUAGAGAUCUUGUGUUCAAAUUUCAUUGUCCCCUUUUUGCUUCUUAAUCUAUUCUUUCUCCGCUGAAAAAGGAAGAAGAAGAGGGAAUUAGCGUGUAAGUUUAAUAUGCUUGCGUGCAUUUACUUUGGCAUGCAUACACACACAUAUAUAUGUAUAUAUAUGUAUAUAUAUAUAUAUGUAUGUAUGUAUAAACAUCAUGCUCAAUGAUUAAACAAGAAGAAGAGGGAAUUAGCGUGUGUAAGUUUAAUACGCUUGCGUGCAUUUACUUUGACAUACAUACACAUAUAUAAAUAUAUAUAUAUAAACAUCGUACUCAAUGAUUGCCACGGAAGAUUCCUCCUAAGCCAAAUUAUUUAAAGUAUUUAUACUUCCUUCAUUACUUUCAACGUAAGCAUAUAACUUGUUUUCUCAAUUAAUUGAAGUUGAUCAGCUUCACUAACACCAAAUAAAUUAUUAGUAACAUGAUAAAUAUACUAUCCUUUCUCUCCUGAGUCAAACACCAUGGCGGAUUGACUAUGAGCAGUAUAUUCAGAUUAGGCUGAUUAAUAAGAAACCCUAAGCCACAUUUGAUCGUCCGUUUGAAAAAGUCUAACCCAAUCUAGCUACUUAUGUGUAAGCUUAUCCAAAUCGGCCGAGAUGUGGUGAAAAACCCAGUAUUCAUUUUCAAAGUUAGGCUUAUACUGGAACACACGUAAGUAAGGGAGAUCACAUUCAGGUAUUGUAGUUUUUCAUGAUUUUCUUCGGUAAAAGAGUUAAACCCCACCUGCACUAGGGUACAACAAACAAAGGUGAGUUGGAUAUACUUCCGUACGACUGCAGAACUCAUUUACACAAUGCGAUUUUGAUGCAGCAAUAAGAAAUUAUAUCAAACUUGAAAUCAGUCAUCCUUUGGGGUUCUAUAAAUACCAUCCUCCCUGUCAGUUAUGGACACAUUCCUGCCUAGCUACUUUUAGUUUCAGCCAAACUACAUAUUCAUACCUAGCUGAACUGAAAUUAAACUUUCCAUGGCAUACCAGAGCGCCUACAAUAUGAAUUACCAGAUACUACUAUGCUUGAUACUCUUCUCCCUAGUCCUUCUCCUGCCACUGCCAUCCCAUUCUGCUGAUCCAAGCCCAUUGCAAGAUUUCUGCGUUGCAGAUCUUGAUUCCUCUUUAUACAUUAAUGGCUUUCCGUGCAAAAACCCUGAUAACGUAUCUUCACAAGACUUCUUCGCCAAUGGGUUCCAACAAAGUCCAGGAGAAUUCAAUAUUUUUGACGUCAAUGUCACUCGUCAAGAUGUUCAGCGAUUUCCAGGACUCAACACUCUAGGGCUGUCAAUGAACCGAGUGGUUUUGAAGCCUGGAGGGCUGAAUGCACCCC
Molecule: long non-coding RNA, 195687 nt
Filed under: Coffea arabica (coffee)
Lineage: Eukaryota; Viridiplantae; Streptophyta; Magnoliopsida; Gentianales; Rubiaceae
Description: long non-coding RNA (CARA_LNC001153)
Source: RNAcentral